AAAUGGAUAAUCCAGAGAAUGUGGGCCAUAUGGUAGGGAAGGAGUUUGGGAUGUUCUUUGCUCAUGCCACGGCCUUUGUCCUCCUAUUCUUACAGUGUGGAACUCCAGAGUAGUAAGUUUUUUCUUCACAUUUGUUCAAAUUUGGCAAAGAAAGUGCAUAGAAAAUAAUCAAAAUUUCUUCUGAAUAUAGUAUCGAUCAGCCUCAUCAGAGAUACGAAGAGGCAAUGGAUAGUUAACUGCAGAGUAAGUACCUUGUACACACUUGUAUUUUCCGACCAGUGAAGCUUGAUGUUAUGGUCUAAUGCCAUUUUUUACACUUGUACAUGUGAACAUAAAUCACAUAUGUAUUUUACAUCAUGGAUUUAUAUUCUUGUCAUUCAAUCUGCUAGAGCCAAUUUUUAGUUGCGAAACAGGCCUGAGAUAAUGUCCUAUUUUAUGUGAGUUUGAAUAGGGAACAUGAAGUUGACUAGCACACAAUUACUAGAGUUUAAAGUGUAUUGUCAGGUCUAUGCUUCUCUCGGUGUUAGUUUUUUUGUUAGCUAAAGCUUGCCAUUCUGAUGGAACUUUGUAGGGCACAUAUAUUUUGAGUAAAUUACUUGAAUUACAGACUCAAUGUACAUACUAUACCUCACUUACCACUACGAGCUACUAUUUAGGGAGAAUUUGUGUUGCUAAAAUUCCACGUGUAAAGACAUGUUUCGUAGAUCUACAUGUCUAGAUUCUAUUUGUUUUUAAAAAGUGCAGUUUUAUGUUGCACUUCUUUAUUGAAUCCAGGCAUGCGUAGCAAUACCCCGAAAGUCUUAAAUCUGCAGCUAUGUGGAAUUGGCUCUUAAUUUCGUAGCUCUGUAAUUUUUGUACUUAAACAAGUACUCCCUCCUUAAACUAAUAUAAGAGCAUUUAGAUUACUACUUUAGUGAUCUAAACACACUUAUAUUAGUUUACAGAGGGAGUAGUUUGGUAAUGCUUUGUACUUUGGGGAUGGGGACACAUUUCACAUGAUACAUGUAGGGAUCCAAGUUACGGCCCCGCUAGAACCUGCUUUAUUUCCUUCCAUCACGCUAAUCCUUUGUUAAGAAAGUUUGAUCUUAACAUUUGCCUUUUAGGCUCUGUUUUAGGGUGUUCUCCUUUUUGGGAAUAUGCAAACUGGGCUGCCCAAGCAGUUUGGGUAUAGAUGGGACCUUGGAAAGGGUGAUUCAAUGUUUUGGGAGGAUAAAUGGAUAACUGACUAUCCUUUAUGCACCACUUAUUUGAAUCUUUAUAAUAUCUGUAAUGAGAAGAACCAUUCAACUUGUCUAUGAUGAACAAUUUCUCUUUGGAUAAUGGUUUCUGCUGUUGGUUCACAUUUCUCUUUGGAUAAUGAUCCCCCCAGGAGGAUGUUGCAUUCUGCUGGGGUGUAUACUGUGCAAUUUAUUUAGAAGAAAUAGUUUGGCUUGUCGUUUAUAACCCAUCUGCUCUACAGGUCAUGCUGUUUUCUCCCAUUGCCGAGGCACAGCUGAGAGGAGUUUCAAUGUUCCAAUGCUGGCAAGAUUUAAGUUGAAGGCUGCGGCUACGAGCUUGUGGGCUGAUUCGCAAUGCGUUCCAGUUUGAUCAAAUUCUCCAAAAGUUGCACUGAUGAGCCAAUGCAUUGCUGAGUGAAUCUUUUUGUAAUUUUCUGUUGCUUAGGUCUACUUACUGAAUCAGUGAAUCUUAUUGAUUCAUGUUUCUCAUGACUUCCUUGUAAAAAAUUAACAUACUAUAGCAUCUUACCGGAUCUUUUUUUAUCAAUUGGCGUGUACUGUUUUGUACUGCCUCCUUUUGGAAAUAUUUGUCGGAUAAAUGGAUGUAUCUAUAGGUAUUUCAGUUCUAGAUACAUCCAUUUUUAUUCAUUUCCCGGACAAGUAUUUUCGGAUGGAGGGAGUAUUAUGUUUGAGUUUUGGAAUGGUAGUGUUUUCUUCAAGUAGGAAACUGAUAGCUCCUACUCCCUCUGUCUGAAAAAGCUUGUCCCAAGCUUGUUUCUCAAAUGGAUGUAUCUAGAACUAACUUGGUGCUAGAUACAUCAAUUUGAGGGACAAGUUUUUUCUGACGAAGGGAGUAAUAAGGAUUUCAAUUGCAAAAUAGCAGUUUAGACUGAGUUUGGUUGCUGCAUUCGUUUAAGAUCAUUAUGCUGCGUUUGGAUGUUUGUAUUUGGGCUUGGAAAUGUGAUUUGGUUUUGGUAGGGGUUUAAUUCAGAUGAUCGAAUGUGCUUUGUGGUAGAGCCUGGUAACCGAGUAAAAUGCAGGUAUGGUAUACAUAUCACGUAUGCCACGUCGGCCAAGGGCCCACAGUCAGACGACUUGGUCAUCACUGGAAGAGGGUGAGAUAACGAAGUUGUUUCCUACCCUAGCCGCCACCACCAGCCAAGCGACUAGGGAGGCGAUCUCUUUCCUCCUAUCUCCACCGGCCAGGGCGCUGGUCCCCUCUCCCUUCGACCGCUGCUCCGGCGGGAGGGGGGACCCGUUCCUCCGCUUUUUAAAUAUAUUUAGUAUGCUAUGUCGACACUUCUCACUACACCACUUUUUCUGUGAGGUGCUCGGGCACUUUGGCCUGGAAUUUUAUGAGACCAUGUUCAUCAUCUAUUAUUUCAGUAAAAUUAGCUGAUUUGUCUGUGCACUCGAUUGCCCAGCCCAAGGCCUAAGCAAACAACACAGGUCCUUUAUCUAUGAAACUGCCGUCAUGGCCACGUUCUCCUUGGCGAAAUGGCCUAUCCACCAAUGACGCUCAUCGUUUGGGACCCCAUAGUGAAAUCUAUGAGUACCAGGUCAACUGAUCAGUAAUUUCAGUGAAAGAUGGCAGUCACAAGACUUCUUUCGACAUAAUAUGUUGAUCAGCCAAGUGGAUCGUUCAUUACUAAGUGAUGGAGUUCCAGAAUGAUUAUGGGCCGAGCAGGUCGUUCAAUCCUAAUACCGUGAUGGAAUUCUCAAAAGCGGAAAACCCGAGAGUAACCGCUCAUCUGAAGAAGCCUCGAUCUCCUCAAAAUUAUGAUAGUCUACUUGAAGUGACCUAACCAUUGGCGAAAGACUCUGUUCUGAAGGUUUUGACCUUGUGCCUUGGCUCGUUUACUCCUUCCUUCGCCUCGGUGUGGCUUUAAAUAUAUUAAAAAAAUAAAACAUGCUAUGUCGACACUUCUCACUGCACCGCUUUUUCUUUGUUCUAACUUUAGCUCGGAACCAGCCGUCGUUGGCGAGCUUGCUAAAGCUAUCGAGGAGGGGGAGGGCGUUGAUAUGAAAUAUAAUUAGUCUUCGAGCAGGACCGAACAAGGUGUCCCCUUGUGAGCUGCUCUAGUAUCUCCAAAAAAACUAAAUGCAGGAAAAUAGACCCAGUUGGUAUUACUUUCUCAAGCAGGUGCAAAUUUGCUACAUCUUGUAGGCGCAAUCUUCAGGCCAUCGUCGGAACAUCAACAAGCGGUACUCCGGUAGGGGGUGAGGGUACAUCCCGAGAGGAACGAAUCCCCCCUUGAGCUGGUGGAGAGGAGCGUACUGCCGGGUUGCAGAUGCAGCGGUUGAACGUCUCGGAGCAGGGGUGGUAGAAGAGGAGGAGGCCGUCGCAGGAGGCCUCAGUUUCCAAGCAGUGAUUACAGAUGAACGAACCCUCUAGUCGCGCCACGGACUAGAACCGGUCGGCCGGGGCGACCCCUGCACGGUGGUCGAAUGGGACAAUGUCUAGGAACCAACCGCUGUUGGUGAGUUUGCUGAAAGCUAUCGAGGUAAUGGUCGCUCUCGACUUUGUUCUUCGGAACAAUGGAGCGAGUUAAUAACUUAUUGGAAAUAAUACAUACCGAUGUAUGCGGUCCGAUGAGUGUUGAAGCACGUGGCGGGUAUCGUUAUUUUCUGAUCUUCACAGAUGAUUUGAGUAGCUAUGGGUAUAUCUACUUAAUGAAAUACAAGUCUGAAACAUUUGAAAAGUUUAAAGAAUUUCAGAGUGAAGUGGAGAAUCAUCAUAGAAAGAAAAUAAAGUUUCUACGAUCUGAUCACGGAGGCGAAUAUUUGAGUUACGAGUUUGGCCUUCAUUUAAAAUAAUUUGAAAUUGUUUCACAACUCACGCCACCUGGAACACCACAACAUAAUGGUGUGUCCUAACAUCGUAACCGCACUUUAUCAGAUAUGAUGCGAUCUAUGAUGUCUCUUACCGAUUUACCACUAUCGUUUGGGGGUUAUGCAUUAGAGACAGCCGCAUUAGGUUUUGGAUUUGUAGGUCGUGGUGUGUCGUUGGGGUGGUGGGGCCAGCGCUCGGAUGAAUAAAUCUGCUUCAACUCCACUCCCACACCAGUGAUGCCUUUUAUGACGGUGUCUCGGAGUUGAUGGCAUCGUGUCUCUGCCGAUCCCUCAUAUCGUCAGCAUCUGGGUUCAUGGAUGGUGUUGGUGAGGCGGCGGCGACUCCAUCAGGUGUGUCUCUCCUUUUGCUCUAUCCUUGUUGCUGUGGCGUUGUCUCCGACGUCAUGGUGGAGCAGAGAGGUUUUGUCAUUCAGGAGUACGCGCAGGCGGUUGUCUACGCAAGUGACAGCUGGAAGAUGGAGUAUCUUGUGCUGGGUCUGUGGUUGAAGGUUGAGAGUUCUAUUUUCCUCCUCCGAUGUCGUCGUCAUGCGGGGGUGUCAGUUCUGAAGUACGAUGACGUGUCCGGGGACAUGUUGCCCCGUCUGGUUCUUUCAACGGCUAUGAUUUUGCUUCUGGCAAACUACUUUGGAGGUCCGCAAAGCUGUUGAUCAACGAAGGAGUCGCGUCGAGCUUGGGUGAAGAGGUGAUCUGUCUUUUACCCUUUGGUGGUCGCUUCGGCGGUGUCGAAGGAGAGGGACAAACGCUUGUACUUAGCAUAUGAUUUUCCUAUCUUUUCAGUCAUUGUUGGUGUUUACAUGCCAUGCAACUUGAUCUUUAUUCUAUAUAUAAAUUAGACAUGUAUUACCAUAAAAAAAAGACAACUUGCUCAUCCCCUGGUCAAAUCGCAGUCGCUAUCCCCAAUCAUCACGGCGUCAAUGUUGCAGAUAGUUCGAUCUCCGGCGAACCUCCCAUCACCGUUGGCAUCCUAACCGUGCCUCCCCCUUCUGUUACCGGCGGUGGCUCGCGCCGCGGCUUGCUGGGGCAAGCUUUCCGCAUGAGGCGUGACGGCGGGGAGAGCCCUGACGGCUCCCGGAGGCGGGCCACGUGCGUUCCACUUCCAUGGAUGAGCAGAUGGUCGUGCGGGCACGUCCUCCUGGCGACGGCUGUCAGAGACUGUAGCGAUGCUGUGACGCCCGCUGCUCUACUGACCGCCAUGGAGGUAAAGUGCAGCUUCCUGCCGUCGGAUGUUUAAGGUUGCAAUGCUAUUCUGAAUUUGAAGGGUUGUGUCUGUCGACCAUUGCUAUGCAGGGUUAUGAUAUGGAUUUGUUAUGAAACGAAAUUUCUUUGUGUACUGCAAGUAAUUGGUGGAGUUCUGAGACCGCUUUUGUUGUGAGAGUGCUUGUGCUGUGUAGUAUAACCGUAUCCUUUUGCUGAAUCAUGAACUGAGAGUACUUGUCUUGUGUAUGGCUCUCUCCAUUGCACAUAUUUAUUUGAGUAUGACUGUGCAUUUUUGCUGAAUGAAAAUAAACAGUUUGAGACUACUUUUGCACAUACUUUUGCACAGUUUAUGACAUGGCUGAGCUGAGAGUUCUUGUGCAUGAAAAGAUAUCAAUACAUGUGCAAGAAUAUUGCAAUUGAGACUGAACUGAACUUGUGCAUUUGUAAUAUCAGCGCAACAGUACUUGUGCUCAAAUGAUCUGAAUUUGACCAAAUCUGCAUGAACCACAACACAUCUGAACUGAAGAUAAUAGAAGUUCAUAUAUAUGACUGAAUCCGCAUCAAACAGAACAUUGUUUAACUGAAUUUGCCUGAACCGCACCACACAUGUAGGUCCUGGAUAGUACAUAAGCCAUAAUUUAGGAAAUAAAAGAGAGAUCCAACAGCUUGAUCAUAAGCAGAACACAGCCAUUACAAGCUCUGUAGGUGAUCAUAAGCAAAAGACAGAAACACUAGUAGUUCAUUAACAAAAGACUGAAGCACGUGCAUUUUACUCCUGGAAACCUCACCCAAUACAGAGCCGAGGCGAAAUCCACGCGGCCAGCCGAGGUCGACGCCUCUCCUCUGCCCGCAGGAGAGAUUCUAUCUGUUUGACCGGUCGUCAUCAUGUUCUUCUAGCUAAUCUGGCUGCCUUCCUAGUUAAAUGUUGUAUCUUCUGAUUCUUCUAUGCUAUCCGAUGUGCCAUUGGAUUGAUCUCCAAGAAGGUAACAUCACUAGUUUGGACUUUGGAGGCCAUCAAGAUUCCCCCUAUGCAUUGCCACCUCUGCGUUCACCCACUCUAGAUCCACUGACGAUCUCAAAAGAAGAAGAAAAUGCGACGCGAAUUUUUAGGACAUGCGGCCACGCGAGGUCGUUAUCUCGUGCGUCGGCAGCGCGUCGCGAUCGGCAGCUAAUAUAGCAACUCCUCCCCACUAGCAAAUACGGCACAGUGUUUUAUUUGUUCUUAGCCGGGAUACGCCCGCUAUACGCUCUCAUUUAUGGGCCAGUAUGCAUUUACUUUUGUACAAAUACAGCGUUGUCCGUUAGCUAGUCGACACGCUGGGACACCCGUUCGGUGGUGUGGUCAUAAACGCCCUGACGUCGGGUCCACCAUCAUUUAGCAAGCGGGCGAGCCGUCUCCGACCAGUAGCACUGUAGAUCUUCUUGAAGCUGCGCACUGGAGGAGGCGCAAAGGGGGGGGGAGACGGCAUGGCUUCAGCAGAAACAGAGAAAUCCAGGUAAUCCCCGGCAAGAUCCAUAUGAAUACCCUUGUUUUCUCAGCAUCAUAGUACUAGACGAACUGUAAUCGACCCCCCUGUCUUCCAUAGCAUGCCGCUGAUUAUGGGGGAAAGCAACGGAUCUGUGUGCUCGCGAUUAUCGUGGGUGAGUGCUAGUUACCCCGAUUCUGCUGUUUUUGGCGUCGAUUCGGAGAGGCUGAGCAUGCUGCGAGAGGUUACCGAGGACGACCCCAGUGGCAGAUUUGCGGAUUUGAUGGAUUCUGUUGACGUUAGGUCAGAAACAGGCAAUGUGGAUCUAGAUGACAAUAGGGCUUUGAGGAUGGAGAAUAGAUAUACGGCUCUUGAUGACAAAGUUGGAUGGGUUACAAGGUAACUAGUUCCUGCCACAAGUUAUCGUUUUCCUUCACGCCUCUUUAGAUAAAUCAUACAUGGGCUCACUUUCCUUGCCGUGUUCAGGAACAGGAAGGUGGCAAUGCCAGACGAGAGAGCAACAAGUGCUGAAAGGGUGACAGCCCUGGAAACAACACUCACAGGAUUUGCCGAAAGAAAAACAGACACGAUGGUGACACCAUCGGUUGGGCUGACUUUUGACUCUAUAAUCGAGGCCUGCGAUUUUUACAAUCUUUAUUCCUGGGAGACAGGGUUCGGCAUCAGAUAUGCAAAGAGCAGAACCAAUGUCAAAGGAACGAGAUGCAUGCAGGAGUUUGUGUGCUGCUGCUCGGUGAGUAACCACAGUAUCAUGCUGAUUCUUGCUUCAUGUUCAGAAAGGUCGGAUAGGUCACUUACCAGCUUUUGUUUUUUUGAUAAAAUCAGGGCAAGCCAAAAGAGGCGAACUCAACAUCAUCACGGUGUCAAUGCCAAGCCAUGAUAAGACUCUUGCGUAUAGAUGACGAUGGCUGGUACAUCAACGAAUUCAGGUCCAGCCACAAUCACUCGAUGUUGAACACAUGUGCUGAGAAACUCCACUUCCCUUCACAUAGGCAUAUUGACAAAUAUACGAGAGCUAGUAUCUCAGCUUAGAGAGAAUAAUGUGAACCUGAGCAAAGUUUACAACAUUCUUGCAACUUUAUUUGGAAGGGUAGAAAACGUUCCGUUCACCAAAAGAUGCUUGAGGACACUAUGUGGGAAGCUGAGUAGGGAGCAGGCGGACGAUGAUGUACAGAAGACUAUGGCCAUCUUUUCAGAAUUGAAAGUCCAAGACGGCGAGUUUACUUACAAUGUGCAGGUAGACGAUGAAAGUAGGAUACGCACUCUCAUGUGGACAAAUGGGCGUAGCGAAAAACAAUAUCAUCACUUUGGCGAUGUGGUCACAUUCGACACAACAUACAAGACCAAUCUAUACGAUAUGCCAUUCGGAAUUUUUGUUGGCAUGAACAACCACUUCCAGAGUGUGUUGUAUGCUGGUGUGCUCAUGCGAGAUGAGGCGGUCGACACUUUCAAAUGGAUUUUUGAUGAGUUUGUGAAGAUGAUGGGAGGGAAAAGACCAGUUACAAUUUUGACAGGUAAAAUGAAAUGCAUCUGUGUUAUUCCCUUUUAGUUGCGUGAAGAUCUAUGAUUGACUUGUAUGUCGUGUUGUGUAGACCAAGCCAGGGCGAUGGAAGUCGCUAUUGAGGAAAUAUAUCCAGAUGCAACACACAGAUGGUGCAAGUGGCACAUCCUGAAGAAGGCCAAAGAGAGCCUGGGGUCUAAUUACACAAAGAAGUCUGAUUUCAGGGCAGAAUUCCACAAGUUGGUCCACGAGAUGCUCACCAUCGAGGAGUUUGAUGACGGGUGGGCAGCGUUGCUUGAGAAGUACUCACUGACUAAGAACACGUACCUGACGCAAAUUUACGAAACAAGGCAGAAAUGGGCCAAACCAUACUUUGCAGGAAAAUUCUGUGCCAGGCAAACCAGUACUCGAAGGAGUGACAGCGCAAAUCACAUGUUGAAACAAUAUGUUCCCCCUUCUUGCUCAAUGAAUCUUUUUGUCAAGCAAUAUAACAAGCUGCAGUUUGACCGUGAACAAGAAGAAGGGUUCCAGGAGAAACGAACCAGGCUGGUAUGACAAAUUCCACAUAAUGUCCUCCCGACAACCAAAAACUCGUGGGGCAUUUAACGACAUAUAUUUUCUCUCUUGUUGUUUUACUGCAGAGUGGAGCUGUCUUGAAGGUCAACACCCCACUAGAAGUGCACGCUAGCAAGAUUUACACCAGGAAGAUGUUUGAGAUUUUUGGAGGAAUAUUGUAUGAAUCCGGAAGCUAUGAUGUAGAAGAGAUCAUACCAAAGCAGAAAUACAUGGUGACCCACGUCAAGGCUGAAAAGCGAGAGAAAUGGUUCAAAUGCCGAUAUGAGGUCAAUGUGUUUGAUAAUCUGGGGUAUUUCUCGUGCAUAUGCGGCCUAUUCGAGCACAUGGGUAUGGGCUGCUGUCACUCGCUGCAGGUUAGCAAGGUGGCAAUUCUACACCUAGGGAUUUCAUCUCACCUCCAAUAUCUGAAUAAGCGGGAAACUGACUACCUAGGUUGUUUUAUCAUGCAUAUGUAGCUCCCCUGCUGCUUGGGCGAUGCACCUUCUGAUAUUAUAUGUUCUUCACAGGUCAUGAAUGUGCUCCGGCUUAGGGAGAUUCCCCACAGGCACAUCUUGAAGAGGUGGAGCAUACAUGGCAGAGAUAAUUUGCCGGAUCAUCUCAAACAUUACCAACAGGACAUGGGCCCGCUGGACGCACCCACUUAUAGUGCUUUGUACAUCACUGCCCUGGAGGUGGUUAAAAUGGGCGACAGAAACCUAGAAGCAUACAAAUUCAUGUUGGAUGGAUUGGUGGAUCUUAGGGAGAGAGGAGCUGAGAUUAGCGCACCAAAUGAUGGCCUAGGCAUCGUUGAGCAGCAGGUCUCGAACAAUGGAGUUGCGGGUGGUUGCAGCAAGAAAACCAAGACUUGUAAGGCGGCAUGCUCUGUAAGAAGUGUUGAAGGGAAUCACAUAACGGCCAUAGGAGAAACAUAGGUGUCGGUUCAUCCACCAGCAAACCAAGGCGAGGGGGCACCGACGUCCAAAGACAUGGCAUCAAAAGGAUCCUGUCCAAAUGCAGAUAGCUACAAUUCAGACUUUUCUGAGGCUGCAUCCAGGUUUACUGUCAAUCUGGAUGAGAGUCUGCUUGCACCAGAAAGGAAAAAGAAACGUGGCCGGCCAACAACAAGCAGGGACAAGGCUCCAUAUGAGAAGGGAAGCAACAAAAGAUCAAGGUUUUGUUCGAUCUGUAGGGGCAAAGGCCACAAGUCAAGCACCUGCCCCGACCGUGGUGACGCCCCUAGAAAAGAAAGGAAAGUGGGCACAUGCAGCAAGUGUGGAGUGCCUGGGCAUAGGAAAACAACAUGCAGCAAGCCGCUCUUGUCCUCGAUGGCCGGUGUUCCUCCAUCUCAUUAGUUUUUCCAAAAUAUUUGUCUGAACUUCUCGUCCCCUGUAUUUGGCUGUUGUAUUAAUAAAAGUUCUCGAAUGUUGUUGACUUCAAAAUGCAUCUCGGUAGGUGCCAUGUUUUUCUGUACAGUCACCCAUCAUCCAACUGGAGCACAUUGUUUUGCCACAAGGUUGGUUGUGUCCAUGCGUGUCUGGCUAGAGCACGUCUGUAACCUGGUGCACCAUGGGUAAAUUUGAAAAUGGCGUUUAAGCCCGCGUCAGGUCGCGGAGGUAAAUGAAGCAUUCAAGCUUACAGCUAUGUGGGGUCUGCAGAUUUCAAAAUUCAAACAUAUCCGCCCGCGCCUAGAGAGGGGGCUAUAUAAACACCUCGUGCAUGUGCUAGAUGGGCACAGCAAGCAUCAUGUCGAGCUCGUCUUCAGCUGGCUCGUACUCAGGAGGCAGCACAGAAACAAUUCAGGUGCUCGUUCGCCUCUUCUUUGUUUCUUUCAGCGCGCACGUUUUGUUCCCCCUCCUCAUGCAUUAUGUUUUUUAUGUAUACAGCGCGAGGUGCGUGCAGUACGUACAGAAGGGCAGUUGGGGAGACAAGGUGUUGCUCAACCUCAGAACGAUGUAAGCUUUUUCCGAUGGUUGCAUUCUCAAUGAACACGAUGCUGGCUUUCAUGGAGUCUUACAGUUGGGAUGCACAAACUCUAUGAUUUCAAGGUAGCGUGUGUGCGGCAGAUAUCGGAGGUGAGAAUGAAGAAUGCGUGGCAGCCAAUGCAUCCCUGGAUGCAAAAGUUUAUGAUUUAACAGAAGGGUCGGGCGAGAACGACCCUCAUGAGUCUGCAGAGCUGGCGCAAGAGAUAAAACCCGAACCUGCUGGGGAUCGACUAUUUCACGCUGUAGUAUACAGGUGGGCGUGGGCUUCAUGGGAAGACGACGACGAGGUCGAUAGCAUUGCAUGUAAAAGGCCCAAACUGUAUUGAUGCCCAAUGGGCCAGCUGUGGUAACCGGUUCGCGUGUGCCCAGGUGUAUGACGCUUGUACGACUCAUGAAUAAAAAUUGUCCGACGGCGCAAAAAUUCUUUUCUUGCCUAUGGUUUUAUGAACACAGCGAAUGCAUCGUACAGGCCUACCGUCUGAUCCUAGGAUUUAGGGUUUGAAAAAAAAUGUAAACAGGCUGUCUGUAUAUCCGUUGGGUGUGUGUAAAAGACGGUGUGAUAUUGCAAAAGGCAAAAAAAUAAAAACUGCAUUAUAGACAACACACAAAAAGUUGGAAAUGAAAUGGCGUCGUUCGUUAAAUAAAAGUUGUAAUGAAUGGCGUCGGUUCGUUUUAAAAAAAAGUCGGAAUGAAUAGCGCCGUUAUGUUUGUAGCUUUCAACAUAAAAGAAAACCUAAUUUGAAAGAUCUAUUAAUUCUGGGGGAAAGACAAACCUUGGUGACGCACGUUAGGCGUAAAUUAGCCAGGGCGAGUUUUUCGCAAAGAAGAAAUGACUACACCCACCUUUUGCGUUGGUUUCGAAAAGGAAGGGGAGAACCUAAAUCGAAUAAUCCAGAUGUUGCUCUUCAACGAAUCGACAAGAAAAUUCCGCGUAGGAGUGGGUGCACGUCAAGAUAGAAAAGGAGAACAUAAUUUGAACUGUCCAUUCCUUCUGGGAAAAAGCCGAUCCAUGGUCACCCACGUGAAGCAGAAAAAAUGCGCUGGUGAGAUUUUCCGAAACACGAACAAAUGUGUGUUCCCACACAUGACUUGCACUCGUGAAAAACCUAAAGUCGAAUAGUUCAUUUGUCGCUCUUCAGCGAAUCCACAAUAAGUUCUAUUGGGCACAAAACAGCCGCGUAGGAGUGGGUGUAUUCUAACCACAUGCAAUUCUCGGAGGCUCGAAGGCGACAUUUUCAGUUCUCGGUGUAAAAAAAGAAAGCCCGAGCCUACCACAAUGUUUACGAGAGGGCUUGUCCUUUUUUUCGGACAAUAGGUUUGAAUCUAAAAUGCCCGCAUGUUUUAUGAAUGCUAGCGUGGGGCAUUUUAUUUGAUACGGCAGUUGACACAACCGCCACCCGCGAGAGUGUCGACGGCCGAUCAUCAGACACGAAUCUCAGCGGGACAAGAAAUCGAUGAUACGACCGGGGCACAUACACCACCACCCUCCGCNNNNNNNNNNNNNNNNNNNNNNNNNNNNNNNNNNNNNNNNNNNNNNNNNNNNNNNNNNNNNNNNNNNNNNNNNNNNNNNNNNNNNNNNNNNNNNNNNNNNNNNNNNNNNNNNNNNNNNNNNNNNNNNNNNNNNNNNNNNNNNNNNNNNNNNNNNNNNNNNNNNNNNNNNNNNNNNNNNNNNNNNNNNNNNNNNNNNNNNNNNNNNNNNNNNNNNNNNNNNNNNNNNNNNNNNNNNNNNNNNNNNNNNNNNNNNNNNNNNNNNNNNNNNNNNNNNNNNNNNNNNNNNNNNNNNNNNNNNNNNNNNNNNNNNNNNNNNNNNNNNNNNNNNNNNNNNNNNNNNNNNNNNNNNNNNNNNNNNNNNNNNNNNNNNNNNNNNNNNNNNNNNNNNNNNNNNNNNNNNNNNNNNNNNNNNNNNNAAGAAAUAGGAAACUAAAUGUUGGUGCAUAAAAUGAAUAACCCCAACUUUCUACUCUCUCAUACAUCUUCACGGGUCGGAAACCAACUGAAGAUUACCAAUGACAUGGACCCAGAAUGUCCAAUAUAAAUAAAAAAAUUGUGCCUCCCCGAAGGAAAGGUUAGUCAAAAUGUGAACAGUGGUGUGCUAUGGGGGGUGGGUGGGUGGGUGAUCUUGCGCUAGGAUUGCGUGACCUGCAUCCAUCAUCACAACAGUGGCUCUGGUUUUACAAAAAUGAGCGGGGGUACGGGUUUUGAUGGGUGGCCAUGCUUCCUCCGGUUCGCUGUGUCUUGGGCUGCCUAGCAAUUUAGUCCCCGGUUGUCAUCUUGCGCUUGAUCGUGCGAUGGGUGGUUUGCAUACAUAAAGAGGCGUCGACCUGUAUAGUGCUGUGAGAAUUGAUUAGGGCGAUUUACUCCGUAAUUCUUUUUUUUCAUAUGGAUUGGUGUGAACGAUUUUCAAACUCGCCGCAGCGGUGCUCAAUGCGUGCAUGUGUGACCGGAUCACGUGUGGCCGCGUGUGUAGUGGCCCUGGACAGCCGGCUACAUGCUUGCAAAAGGUUCUUUGUACCGAGCAUGUAGUUUAGUUUAAUACAUAGACAUGGUAUGCUAGGAGAUCCCGGCCGGAUAGAGGACGUACCGCGCCUUGAAGCCAUGCUCAGCCAGCGAGCAUAGGCCAUCAUCGCGCUUUGCCGCCCUGGCAGUCCGAUUUGACGCGAGUAGACAGAGCUGUUUAGUCAGGCAUUACUCUUCUGUACUCUCUACCCCCUCCCCUCCGCGUGCAUAAGAAAGAGCUUGCCCGAGGGGGAGUCGUCUGAGGGAAGCCAUUCAUCUAUCCAAGAACCAGAGCACUCUACCACUGCGAGAGCUCUGCUUCUGGAGCGAGCGCGUCGCCGGAGCGGCGGCCAACUGCGAGGUGAGAAAAAAUCCUUUGCUAGAUGUAAUACUUUCUCGCAUUUGCUUGGAUGUAUACUGAUGGGGCGCUCUUGUUUCUUGUUCCCUGUUCUCUUUUGCUCUCCUAUCCUUUGUUUCGUUUAGAUGUCCGGGUCUAGCUGUCCACGUUGUAGCAAGGUUUAUGAGUCUAGGAAGAAAGCCGCGCAGCCAAAAUGCACAGUAGACAGUAGUUUCGCUCCCAAAGAUGUGUACGAAGCGGCUGUUCUUUUUACUGAUGAACAGAGAGAUGCUGUAAGGGAGAUUGGUCUCGGGGGGAUGCUAGCUAUAGGCAACAUAACCCAUGUGGAUCGGGAGAACUGCUGGAGUUUAUUCCUAGAUGUAGACCUUGAGCGUGGUGCACUCAAGAUAGAUGAUGGCGUUUACGUCACAUUCAACGAGGUUGACAUCCACAACAUCUUAGGAAUUGCACUAGGCGGAGAUAUAGAAAUAAAAAAGAGAGAUGUUGCACCUUCAACGGCACAGCUAGCGCAGAUCAGAGAGUACCUAGGGUUGCACCCGUCGAGCUUUUACAUAACUGUCGGUGACAUUAGAUGGGCGUUGAAGAAACCAUGCCAGACCACCCUGUCUGAAGAGGACAAGAUCAGGAUCCAGGUCGGUUUUGCCAUGCUUUGCAUGGCAACUUGUUUUAGUCCUAGGGAGAGGAGGCACACUGUCCCAACGGAGGCAUAUGCUAUUUGCAUGGAGCCGGCUAACCUGCACAGGGUGAACUGGGGAAGAUACGUUCAUUCUGAGCUCAUCGGCGCAGCCCAGGCGGCCCAUGCAAUACACAGUGAAGGGAAGAGGCCGCAGCUGUACGGGUGCCCGCUAGUGUUGCAGGUGAGGUGCCUGUUUCCAUCGUGCGUAGGAAUUUGAAUUAAUAUUAUGUUUGUUCAGGGCUUGAACUAAAUUGAGUCGGUUUGCUUCCGUGGCAGGCAUUGUAUUUCGACUUGGUCGACACUUCUGCAUCUGUCCAGCCUGACCCGCUUGUGCGCCCCAGAAUAAAGUUCUACACUGCCUCCAACUUGUCAAAACUGAUACUCAAAGAUACAGCCAUAGGCAGCAUUCCGAAGAGAUACGGUGUGAUGAAGGUGAUCAUUGGCCUUCAUCCCAUGUUUCUUUUUUUGUGCACACCACCCUUGUUCUGACCCAUGCAUGCAUGCAACAGGCCAGGCGUAUGACGGAUCAAAGCUUGCCAUGGAACAGAGAAAAUGUCAGGAGACAAAUCCAGGAGGUGAUUUCAUUAAACCCAUUCUUUUUAGCCACCUACAGAAGUGGUGCGCACUAACCAUUGUGUUUGGUUUCAGGCAAAAGCUUUCAUAGAUCGCUCACUGAAAGAGCACGCGCUGGCUAGUGCUGAGCGCAAUACUUUGUUCUUUCGCAACUUAACUGCACUUAAAGAACAUGCACAGAGAGAUUGAAAGGCACCUUGCUAACGAGAGGGUGAUGAAAAUGCGGGACAUGCAAGCUUUGCUCAAGUACGUGGAUGGGUUGGGCCUGGGUGAUUCAGUAAACGAGCUUAAAAACCAAGUGAUUGUAGUCGCUGCGCAAUCAGGUAACCAGGACAACGCACGUACUCUGUAUCUACCGUUGCAUUAAUUCAGUGUCUGUUCAUUUUUGGCAAAAAACAAAUGAUUGUUGGUUUUAAUGCGCAGGUGCGUACCAGGGGGUGCUUCCGGGGAAGGAUGCAGUGGAGCACAAGCAGGAGAGCCUGACGAAAUGAUCCCCACGGCAGGCGUCCUUCGUCCUGGUAAGUUUUCCUCUUGCAGUGUGAUAGAUGCGGUAGAUGUUACCAAUUUAUUGAUGCCUGCUGAACAAGGAGUACGCGAUGCAGUUGCCGUCCGUCCAGUGCCAGUUGCUCCCGCGAGCUCUGCCCAUGGCCACAUUGAGCAUGCCGAGACAGGUGAGACCCAGCAUUUAUGCAUAUACCAACAACGCUGAUGCUUACUUCAGUGAAUUAAAUGAGAAACUGGUGGCUUCCCCUCCAGGUCCGUUCCUUUUGCUGCCUGGGCAGCCACGCAACACCCACCACCCCGGUUCCGUUCUGCCGGGUGUGCCAAUAUUCAUGUCCAUGGGGUCUUUUGGCCAGUUGUAUCUAGAUGGUGGAUUAGAGAAUGUGGUGCAGCCUGUCCGGUGUGGCCAGCAUGAUGCAGGGGCUGGGCGGCCGAUUGGUGAAAAUAUGGGCUUCGUGCAACUGGGGAAGAGGAAAGAAAGGGAAGUGGAGGAUAGCAACGAGAUCAUUGUUUACCAGGGUAGACGUAAGUGGUUCCUGUGAAUGGAAUUUACUUAUGUCAGGAUACUAAAUUUGUAGUCACAGAUGAACGACGCUUGUCAAUGCAGGUGCAGCUGUUCAUGAGUUAAACUUGCUGGCAAGGUUUGGUGAGGAGGGAGAUGGGAGGAAGAUCGUUAUCUCCACGGAGAAUGGUGUCUCACCAUUCCGCAUCCCGGAGUUCAAUUACGAAUUCGUGUCGCCUCUAGUCGCCCACGCCGCUUGGGUACAAAUACAACAGUUAGCCCUAGAUGUAUUGAACAGGUACUGUUGGUCCCAGUGCGUUUUGAGAAAACACUGAAUUUAUCGCAUGUUGUCUGUUCAGCAGCUAGCGUUAUAUCUAACUGAUCGCAUCCCCGCCUUUUUGCAGUGUCUGGGUCGAUCAAUAGGGUCCGCCUCAUGUGAAAAUGACUGGCUAUGAAAUUUAUGAAAACUUUUGUCAGACACUGGAUGACAAGGGUUUCGAAGUCGCAAACAUGAUGAUGAGGGAACAAGAUGCAAGGUGGUACGAUCCUUCAGACAGGGCGCGUUUCCGUCACCCAAUGCCGCCUUACUUUGCGGUACGUAAUUCGAAUCGGCGAUGUUUAGUUCAAUGAUCCAUACAUGAUUAUCGUGGCCUGAGCGUCUUGUUCCUUGUUUCGUGCAGUCCCGGAUCAUGGAGGUGGGCGACGGUUUCUUGAGCGAUCCUUACAUAAAAAACUUGUUUGUUGGGGAGCACCUGGGAUAUGAUGUGGAGACAUGCCGCCUGGUAAUCCCCAGCUGAUCCGUAGAUCGUUAGUUCAUAACCAUGUUUUAGCAUGUUACGUGACAGCUGCAUGGAUGUGCUUUUUUCAGAUAACCGUGCCGUUCAAGGACGAGGGAGGUUUCUAUGUGCUCUAUGUUUUUGACAUGCUGAAGAAAAUUGCUCGCGUGAUGGAUCCGAGACGUACCCAGUGGAACCUUCUAGAGCUGGAGAGGCAACACGCACGGGUCCUCGACAGGAUGCUCUAUGGGCUGUGCAAGUGCAUUGACAAGUUUUUCAAAGGGUGGCAUGUCCGAGAAGAUGAAUUCAAAAGGGCGGCUCACCGCCUGAUGCAUGAGCCAUCGAACAGGUAUGCGCCCCCCAUCCAUCCGCUUUGAUGUUUGAUCUGCAGCUUAGAAUAUCAAAUUUACGUAUAACUUGUGCUCGGAUGCAGCGAUGACACUCCGUUCUACACUCUACACUACACUAUGUGCUUUGAUGGGGAGUUCAUGACAGAAGGGAUGUGGGCGGUGCGUGCAUUGUCCUAGCAACUAUUUAUUCUCGGAGUGAUGAACUCUUUCUGAAUAUUUGUUUGGUUUGUGUUGUCAGGACAAGAUGCUGCGGUUCAAGCAGAAGCUCAUGAUGCUGGUGCUUACUAUGCCAAGAAACAACGCCCUGCCUCCAGCCAUCGUGUUAAACCCACCUGCCUGAAGCCUCUAAGGUUGUCAAUUGUUCGGACUCCAAAAAUGACUGUUGGAUCUACUUUGUAAUAUGAACUCCAAAUAUUAUUUGUAUAAUUAGAACUACCCAUGCCAAGGGCUUUAGUCGUCAGUGCACUCAUCUUCGUUGUGGAAGGCGCCUAUCGGGCGCAAAGUUCUGUAUCUUCAACUUGUAGACCUGAACACCGAAUAUUAUAUGUAUAAUUAAUUUUAUGUCAUGUCGUUGGAAGCAUCGGGAUGAAAGCGUGUGUUUGGUUUGUUUCUUUGAAUAUGUUUUAGACAAAGCCGUGUGACCGCGUCUUCUUUUGGGUUAUUGGGCGGUUUAGCUUCAAAGCUUUUUUCCUUGGAAGAACAUCCACUCAAACACCAAUCAUCAACGGGAGUGGCACUCGUUUUAAUAGAAACAGGAACGGUUUAUGCAAGAGACCAUGCAAUUAGUUAGAAAACCAGAUAUUUCGGUGUAUGUUUUGGGGCUCAUUUGUUGUUUGAGAAGUUAAAAAAUCCUCUUUGGUUCAAUUCGUGUACGGCCAAACCGGUUUAUGUAGAAACCGCUCAUCCGGUUCAUCGACGGGAGUGAAGCUCAUCUUGAUAUAAACGGAAACGGUUUACGUAGAAAACCACGCGAUUAGUUAGAAAACCGAUGAAUUCGAUGUAUGUUUUCUUUCUCUCUUCACUGCUAUCAUGGUGUCGGAGGUGUCGCGAAGAAAAAAUGUUUGGUUUUCUCUUUGCUUAUGUUUUAGAUAAAGGCGUGAAACGUGUGACCGCACCAAGGGGUUAAGUCAUCAGUGCACUCAUCUUCAUGGUGGAAUGCACCUAUCGGGCGGGAGUUCUGUUUCUUCAACUUGUAUAAUUAAUUUUAUGGUGUAAGACAAGUGCCGGUCAUUUGUAAAACUACGGUGUAUGACGAAUGCCCCAUGUUUGGUUUUUAAUACUUUUAGAAAUCCUCUUUGGAUUGUUUUCUUGUAAACAUCAUGAGGCAUGUCCCACCAUUUUUGUGUGUACCUAUAGACUAGAGCUAUGUUGUACGCAAAAUGCCCCUCUUUUGAAUUUGGAGAUUUAAAAAAAAUCAUCUGUUGUUUGAGUUCUUGGAUUCCAAGAAGCUAUUCUCUAUGGAAGAACAUCCAUUCAAAUACCAAAUAAUGUUGCGGGAAAAAAAUGUAUGGUGUAUGACAAGUGGCCCUCGUUUUGUUUUUUUGGAAAAUGAGAAAAUCCUCAUUGUGUCAGUUCGAGUACGGCCAACACCCAAUCUUGGGGGAUUGGGUGGUUUAGCUUGGAAGCUAUUCUCCUUGUAAGAAAAUCCACUCGAACACCAAUAAAAAUUGCAGUGGAAAAAGCUAUGGUGUAUGACAAGUGCCCCUCAUUUGUUGUUUGAAAACUUUGAAGAAGCCUCUUUGGUUUAAUUUGUGUACGGCCAACACCCAAACCCACCGAAACACCAAUUUAUAUUACGUUGGAAAAUGUUAUGGGGCUCAUUUGUUGUUUGAAAAGUUAAAUAAGUCUCUUUGGUUCAAUUCGUGUACGGCCAAACCGAAUCAUCGACGGGAGUGAAGCUCAUCUUGAUAUAAACGGAAACGGUAUACGUAGAAAACCACGCAAUUAGUUAGAACACCGAUGAAUUCGAUGUAUGUUUUCUUUCUCUCUUCACCGCUAUCAUGGUGUCGGAGGGUCGCGAAGAAAAAAUGUUUGGUUUUCUCUUUGCUUAUGUUUUAGAUAAAGGUGUGACCGCGCCAAGGGGUUAAGUCAUCAGUGCACUCAUCUUCGUGGUGGAAUGCACCUAUCGAGCGGGAGUUCUGUUUCUUCAACUUGUAGAAUUGAACACAAAAGUUUAUCUGUAUAAUUAAUUUUAUGAUGUAAGACAAGUGCCGCUCAUUUGUAAACUACGAUGCGACCAUGCGAAUAGUUAGAAAACUGGUUAACCAUGUAUGUUUUCUUUCUCUCUUGAAAGCUAUCAUGCUGUUGGAAGCGUCGCAAGAGAAAAAGUGUUUCGUUUCUUGCAUUCCUAAAACUUAGAAUGUGACACCACGAAGCAGGCAAUUUUUCCAAAUGCCCCUCAUUGGGGUUUGGAAAUCUUCAAAAAAUCUUCUCUUGCUUGGGGUCUUGAAGACAUUACCGGGCACGUCCCAUGUUUGCAUUCCGAAGAGAAUGCUUAGUAUGUGAUUUGUGUAUGAAGACAUGUAUGAACAACAUCGUAAUUUUGGUUUGGGUUUUGCCGUCACAGAAAACGUCGUCACCUUUUUUGUUGAACUAGCGGAGAUUGUUUCCUGGUCUCGGGCAAGAGAGCUAUCGACCACGAUGUGGACCGGAAACAAUGGUGCUGCCUCCUCCUCGUCGUGCGUGCGUCGGAAAAGUCAGCCAGCUAACUGCAUGUGGACGCCACCGUUUCCGUGCGGCAGAGAUAUUCUGAGGCGCACGUGAAUCGAGUUUUAUUGCUCAGCAGUGCAACAGUACUGGCGCGACGGGAGGCGACUGUGCUAUACGUCUGGGGUAGCUUGUAGCUUUGCAGGUAGCUAGCGCGCGUGUUCGAAACCCAUGGCGUUUAUACUUUGAUCGAUCGAAGCCCACAGUCUUUGAUUAUAUAUUACACUCACCGACUCAUUACACGCAUUAGAGGGCGAGUGAUUAUUAUAUAUUACAAUAAUCGGUCCUGGUUGCCAUUACACGCAUUACAGUCAUAGAUAUUUGUUUACAGCCCCCGAAACGGGCUUGGUUGGCCACUAGACACAUUACACGUACUAGGGUGCAAGCUCUGUGUUUAUUUUAUAUGGAAGGGCAGCCAGCACGCGAAACUUAGAGCUCUUGGGCGGGCCAUGAGGUGAUUAGGUUGGUGAUGCUAUCCGGCAGGGGGGACAUGUUGCCCUUCAUUUCAACGAGCUCGGUCAGAAUCUCCUGUCGCUCUCCUACGAUUGAUCCCUGCGUGGUUACGAAAUGCAUCGUUAGAUUGUCAACUAGCCAGUCCACCGGUCGCAAAUCCAAAAUGCAUGCAAAUCGAAAAACGCACAUGUGACAUAUCCGCAAAAACCUGGUUGCCAUCGAAGUGUUUUGCCACGUGGACAAUCCAAAUCCCGGUGUCCUUCCUGCGAUCGGAUUAGUAAUUUAACAAUGGAUUGUGCGUAAAACCGUUUACGAGAAAGAUAACUUACUGCUUGACUGUGGUAGGCGAAGUGACAUGGAAGAUUUUCUCCCAUCUAAUGCAAUCCACGUGCCAGUUGUUGAACAGCUUGUAAAUCGUGGUGAAUAGCGCCACGUGGAGCUUGUCGGCGACGGCUUCCAGGAGGUCCGUGCGACGCUGUGUGGUGCAGCUCCCGUAUGACGGAUCAAAAAUAUUAAUAUUCUUGCGCUGCAUAUCCCAGUUGUACAGGCACCAUCCAAAGUCGAAAAUGGUUGGCAGGAAAAACUGCAAAUGUCAAAGAAAAUGGAGUGGUAAGCAGCACGGUCUGUAUUUUUCGCAUAUCGUUAAACGGGGUGGGUUAUUGACGCAUACCAUUCUGCACUCCGCGAUGUUGUGUGUCAAAUGCGGCCCAAUGAACUGUGCCGAUGCAGGAACAAGUGUCCAGAUUUCUUCUCCAGCCAAAGCGGCAGUCUAAGAUAGAAGGUUGUCAAAUUCUAAGCAGAAAAAUGAGAGCGCUGUUGGUGAUAAGGUGUUAUUCAUAAUUUAGAUACUGACUGAUAUAUCUGGCUCUAGGAAUAAACAAAAACAAGGCUGGUUGUUCACGUAAAGUGACUCGCCAUCAAUCUGAUCUUGAUGUCGGAAUAUAAGAGAACAUACUUCGUGGUCUAAUGGGUCCUUUCCUAAAUCUGGGUCAAUAGUGGGCUUGGGGUGAUGGAGAUGUACCUUGGUGUGGCAUGAGUUACAAAAGGCCUACGGACAAAAAGUGUUAGUUCGUGCGUGAAGAACAUUACUGGUUUUGGUACGAGGAUUGACGAACUGGGUUGCAUGUACCUUUCGAUUUCUUCAAUUGAGAUGCUCUUCAGGAAUCCGUCGAUGGCUUUCCAUACAGGGACUUGAAAACUUGGACGGCAUUUGCCAUCAAUCCAGUGCGACACGGUGAACCCCGCGUGCGCCCGCUCUUGCUUCGGUGGCAAUUCAGAUGAAGCCUGGCCGAACAGGACCGCGUCGGCUGGGUGCGCUGCAUCUCCGUCCAGACGAGGCCGAUGACGUGAACUUCUGACCAGAAGAGCUUUACCCUAUGAAAAAAUGAAACAAAAGGGUUUAUUCGUCUAGCCGGUGGGGGAAUAAUUAGGCACGAGUGCAAGUAAUGGACGUACCAUCGGAUUCGGUCAUUUCUAGCUUGCGACGGUAGAUGUUCAUGCACUGCGGAGAACCCGAGGGGGCAGGUGUGGUGAUGAUGCAUGGUACCGAUCGGAGGCUGCAGCAUAUGCACCCCUCGCCGAGCUCACUAACUAGCGAGUUGAGAAACUGAGUGUUCUCCUGUAUUAAGUCAGUCUUGAGGGUGUUUGCAAUCCUAAAAGUGGUGGUGUUGUGCCGCUUCAUCAGCAUCCCAACACUCGAACUUGCCUGGGGCAGACCAGUCAAGCCUUAUUUAUCGAAGUCGGAUAAUGUGGCGUGCCCGAUGAAAUAGAUGCGCGCAUGCAGCAAAAAAAUGAUCGUUGAUUACAAAAUGAUUGGCAUACCAGUUUCGGGUAAUUAUUCUUUAGAUACAUACAGAAGUCGCCUCCGGUCGGCAUGCGUGGGAAAAGAGGAGCUGGUGUGAUUGGAGUGGGUGACGCUCCAUGCGGCACUUGGGGCAGCCUGAACGAGAUCGGCUGCGGAUUAGCGAUGGUGUGGGUCCCGUGUGGCCUAGCUGGCGCCCGUACUCUGUUGCAUGGUAGGCCGGGCAGCAUGGGAGCCGCGCGGCCAACUGGAUCUGGUGAGGUGUCCCACGCACUCCUGGUAUAGCACACCUGAUCAGCCUCGCGGAUCUGUACAGUUGAUAUAAUUGCGGUUGAAGGAUCAGCACGUGGGUUCGUAAAAUCAAAACGUGGUUUUUAGAGGUGAAUAAUAAAAAUCGGAAAUUCAAGAACAGGACCAUUGCGCCGGAGAAGUCUGUACUGCCUUUCCCCCCAACGCUGCACUGUAAAAGCAUACGCCUGAACUGCAUGUCGUCGAACAUAGCUAUUCGAGGGAAUGUAGUGUGCAGUAGGUUGAAAAUCCCGAGAUCAAGGUUGUCUAGGUAAAAGACCUAUUUACAUAAAAUAAAAUGUUAAACGUGCGUAUGGGCACAAUUGAUUCUAGCGGUAGAAAUCCUGAAACUAACCUGCAAGAAUAAAUGGCAGGCGUGGAGAUACGUGACAGGCCGUCCUGCCUUGAGAUCUGCUUUUACUCUUGAACAUGCAACCAUCAACUCUUCUAUCACGUACUCGCACCAAUCAAACUCGCUAACGUGGUCAAUCUGGACGAGUGCCCCCCAGUAAUGCGUGUUUGUGUGAUCGUGGGUCGUCGACGGGGCAAGCAAAUGCCCCAUUACGAAAAUGACAAAUGCCAUUUUGAAACUGUCUAUCUCGAGUUUAGAACUUGACUCGUCUAUUGGUCUAACUAGUAUUUUCUCGACAGCAGAUAAUAGGUUUUUACCGCUCGAGUUUAUACUUAGCACAUCACGCACGUGGUUUGUCUCGGCGAUCGACGCUUUCUGUAUAUGUACGCGGCCAGACGGUACUCCAAAAACUUUGAACACGUCCGCUGCCCUGAAGGACAUUUGUCUGCCAGGACGGAUGUAAAUAGUUCUAGACAGCUCAUCAACUCUAGCCAUGAUCCAUAUACUUAAUCUCAGGCUAAUCCUUGGCAAAUGUGGCACCUCCAGUAUGCCUUCAAAACCCAUCUCCUCGACAAGAGAUUGUUUGAAGUCAUCAAAGGAAUCAAGCNNNNNNNNNNNNNNNNNNNNNNNNNNNNNNNNNNNNNNNNNNNNNNNNNNNNNNNNNNNNNNNNNNNNNNNNNNNNNNNNNNNNNNNNNNNNNNNNNNNNNNNNNNNNNNNNNNNNNNNNNNNNNNNNNNNNNNNNNNNNNNNNNNNNNNNNNNNNNNNNNNNNNNNNNNNNNNNNNNNNNNNNNNNNNNNNNNNNNNNNNNNNNNNNNNNNNNNNNNNNNNNNNNCUUCGUGCCCUGGGGGUGCAUGGGUUCAUCCAUCUGCAUACACAAGCACACAUGCGCGGACAAGGGGGAUUGAUUACACCUUCACGAGUACAGAAUGAAAGAAAGGAGCAACGAGAAGAAGAUGCUUACCUUACCGUUACCGGUGUCCGGCGACGGCCACAACACGGCGACGGCGGUGGUGUUUACAAAGACGGUGAAUCACGUGUUUGUGGCUGUGUGCUACCAGAUGAAGGAACCGUGUGGUGUGUGGGUCGAGGCUCGGGCCGCGGGAGCUCAAUUUAUAGAGCACGCGUGCCCUGGCGUCUUCUGCUCCAUUGCAGGCCAUUGUAAUUGGAGCAAUCAAUUAAUCAUGGGUGUGGCAUUGAUGGGGCGCAUCGCCUUCUCUUAUUGGUGCAUUCAAGUGCAUGGCGGACGACGACUGGGCGAUGACUCAUGACUCCACUCUCUCUUACAAAAAAUACGUGUUUGCAUCUGUUUCUUGAUUAGAGACAGUCUAAUUACGACGGCGGGGGGUACAUAAUUAAUUGCACUUAGCAGCUCCCGCCCUUGCAUGGGCAAGCUGGACAUACUAACUGAUACAUGCAGAUCACUAGAGAUACUGUAACAUACGAAAAGGAAACGGCAUUCCCUACGCAGAGGGGAUACAGCCCAUGUGUGACUACGACAUUGCCCUGUUCAUGGCCAUGGCAAUGCGGUGGGUACAUCAAACUCCACUGAGCGGCAUGUGACGCCCCCGAUUUAAUCGUACACUAAUCAUGCACGCAAACGUGUACGAUCAAGAUCAGGGACUCACGGGAAGAUAUCACAACACAACUCUAAAACAUAAAUAAGUCAUACAAGCAUCAUAAUACAAGCCAGGGGCCUCGAGGGCUCGAAUACAAGUGCUCGAUCAUAGACGAGUCAGCGGAAGCAACAAUAUCUGAGUACAGACAUAAGUUAAACAAGUUGCCAUAAGAUGGCUAGCACAAACUGGGAUACAGAUCGAAAGAGGCGCAGGCCUCCUGCCUGGGAUCCUCCUAAACUACUCCUGGUCGUCGUCAGCGGGCUGCACGUAGUAGUAGGCACCUCCGGUGUAGUAGGGGUCGUCGUCGACGGUGGCGUCUGGCUCCUGGACUCCAGCAUCUGGUUGCGACAAACAGAAAGAAAGAAAAGGGGGAAAAGGGGGGGGAGAAAGCAACCGUGAGUACUCAUCCAAAGUACUCGCAAGCAAGGAACUAAACUACAAAUGCAUGGGUAUAUGUGUAAGGAGGCCAUAUCAGUGGACUGAACUGCAGAAUGCCAGAAUAAGAGGGGGAUAGCUAGUCCUAUCGAAGACUACGCUUCUGGCAGCCUCCGUCUUGCAGCAUGUAGAAGAGAGUAGAUUGAAGUCCUCCAAAUAGCAUCUCCAAGUAGCAUCUCCAGUUGCAUCGCAUAGCAUAAUCCUACCCGGCAAUCCUCUCCUCGUCGCCCUGAGGAAAAGCGAUCACCGGGUUGUCUGUGGAACUUGGAAGGGUGUGUUUUAUUAAGUAUCCGGUUCUAGUUGUCAUAAGGUCAAGGUACAACUCCAAGUCGUCCUGUUACCGAAGAUCACGGCUAUUCGAAUAGAUUAACUUCCUUGCAGGGGUGCACCACAUAACCCAACACGCUCGAUCCCAUUUGGCCGGAUACACUUUCCUGGGUCAUGCCCGGCCGCGGAAGAUCAACACGUCGCAGCCCCACCUAGGCAAAACAGAGAGGCCAGCACGCCGGUCUAAACCUAAGCGCGCAGGGGUCUGGGCCCAUCGCCCUGAGCACACCUGCACGUUGCGUGGGCGGCCGAAAGCAGACCUAGCCUAGUGGCGUUCCAGUCCAAUUCGGCGCGCGCCGCUCCGUCGCUGACGUCUGAAGUGCUUCGGCUGAUACCACGACGUCGGGAUACCCAUAACUACUCCCACAUAGAUGGUUAGUGCGUAUAGGCUCGUAGCCAGACUCAGAUCAAAUACCAAGAUCUCGUUAAGCGUGUUAAGUAUCCGCGAACGCCGAACAGGGCCAGGCCCACCUGUCUCCUAGGUGGUCUCAACCUGCCCUGCCGCUCCGCCACAAAGUAAUAGUCGGGGGCCGUCGGGAACCCAGGCCCACCUCUACCGGGAUGGAGCCACCUGCCCCUUCAGCCCCCAUCUCCGAACAGUAUCACAGGUAAUGUAACUGUGUAAAGUAUAUCGUAUAUGCCCGUGAUCACCUCCCGAAGUGAUCACGGCCCAGUAGUAUAGCAUGGCAGACGGACAAGAGUGUAGGGCCACUGAUGGAACACUAGCAUCCUAUACUAAGCAGUAGGAUAGCAGGUAAUGGUAACAACAGUAGUAGCAAGGACAGGCUAUGCAUCAGGAUAGGAAUAACGGAAAGCAGUAACAUGCUACACUACUCUAAUGCAAGCAGUAUAGAGAAAAGAGUAGGCGAUAUCUGGUGAUCAAGGGGGGGGGCUUGCCUGGUUGCUCAGACAAGGAGGGGUCGUCGGUGACGUAGUCGACCACAGGGGCAUCAGCAUAGGUCUCGGAGUCUACCGGAAAGGAGUAACGGAGGGGGAACACAAUAAAUAACAGAGCAAUCAAAUGUAACACAAAGCAAGACGCGGCAAUAUGCGGUGCUAGGGGUGACCUAACAUAGGGAUAGGCGAUACCGGUGAAGGGGGAAACAUCCGGGAAAAUAUCCCCGGGGUUCCGUGUUUUCGGGCAGAGGAGACGGAGGGGGAAAGUUGCGAGUUUGAUAUGUUAGGGGUGUGUGGCGGACGAACGGGUUGCGUAUCCGGAAUCGUCUCGUCAUUCUGAGCAACUUUCAUGUUGAAAAUAUUUUAAUCCGAGUUACGGAUUAAAAGAUAUGAUUUUCUAAAGAUUUUAUUAAUUUCUGGAAUUUAUUUAAUUAUUUAAUUAAUUCGGAAAAUAGAUUUAUGACGUCAGCAUGACGUCAUGCUGACAUCAGCAGUCAACGGGGGUUGACUGGGUCAAACUGACGCGUGGGUCCAAUGGGACCCACCUGUCAUGCUAUGUUAGGUUAAUUAGGAUUUAGUUAAACUAAUUACUGUUUAGUUAGACUAACAGGUUAAUUAGAUUAAUUAAGCAGGAUUAAUUAACUUAAUUAAUUUAGUUAAUUAAUUAAUUAACUAUUUAUAUAUAUAUAUAUUUAAUUCUUUUUCUUUUUCAUCAUUUUUUUUAAAAUGUUCUGGGGGGCGUGGGCCCCCCCGNNNNNNNNNNNNNNNNNNNNNNNNNNNNNNNNNNNNNNNNNNNNNNNNNNNNNNNNNNNNNNNNNNNNNNNNNNNNNNNNNNNNNNNNNNNNNNNNNNNNNNNNNNNNNNNNNNNNNNNNNNNNNNNNNNNNNNNNNNNNNNNNNNNNNNNNNNNNNNNNNNNNNNNNNNNNNNNNNNNNNNNNNNNNNNNNNNNNNNNNNNNNNNNNNNNNNNNNNNNNNNNNNNNNNNNNNNNNNNNNNNNNNNNNNNNNNNNNNNNNNNNNNNNNNNNNNNNNNNNNNNNNNNNNNNNNNNNNNNNNNNNNNNNNNNNNNNNNNNNNNNNNNNNNNNNNNNNNNNNNNNNNNNNNNNNNNNNNNNNNNNNNNNNNNNNNNNNNNNNNNNNNNNNNNNNNNNNNNNNNNNNNNNNNNNNNNNNNNNNNNNNNNNNNNNNNNNNNNNNNNNNNNNNNNNNNNNNNNNNNNNNNNNNNNNNNNNNNNNNNNNNNNNNNNNNNNNNNNNNNNNNNNNNNNNNNNNNNNNNNNNNNNNNNNNNNNNNNNNNNNNNNNNNNNNNNNNNNNNNNNNNNNNNNNNNNNNNNNNNNNNNNNNNNNNNNNNNNNNNNNNNNNNNNNNNNNNNNNNNNNNNNNNNNNNNNNNNNNNNNNNNNNNNNNNNNNNNNNNNNNNNNNNNNNNNNNNNNNNNNNNNNNNNNNNNNNNNNNNNNNNNNNNNNNNNNNNNNNNNNNNNNNNNNNNNNNNNNNNNNNNNNNNNNNNNNNNNNNNNNNNNNNNNNNNNNNNNNNNNNNNNNNNNNNNNNNNNNNNNNNNNNNNNNNNNNNNNNNNNNNNNNNNNNNNNNNNNNNNNNNNNNNNNNNNNNNNNNNNNNNNNNNNNNNNNNNNNNNNNNNNNNNNNNNNNNNNNNNNNNNNNNNNNNNNNNNNNNNNNNNNNNNNNNNNNNNNNNNNNNNNNNNNNNNNNNNNNNNNNNNNNNNNNNNNNNNNNNNNNNNNNNNNNNNNNNNNNNNNNNNNNNNNNNNNNNNNNNNNNNNNNNNNNNNNNNNNNNNNNNNNNNNNNNNNNNNNNNNNNNNNNNNNNNNNNNNNNNNNNNNNNNNNNNNNNNNNNNNNNNNNNNNNNNNNNNNNNNNNNNNNNNNNNNNNNNNNNNNNNNNNNNNNNNNNNNNNNNNNGAUGGGGUUCGUUCCCCCGAUCCGAUCUGGAUCGGGGAGGAGGGGGGGAGAGCGAGUGGUGGGGGGCGAGUGGGGAGAGUGGAGUGGCGGACCGGCUAGGGUUCCGAUCGGGGUGGGGGUUAAGGGGAGGCCGGCUGGGCCAGGUGGGCCGGCCUGGCCGGUGAGCUGGGCCGUCUGGCCCAGUUGGCCAGGGGGCCUUUUUUUUCUUUUAGUUUUGUUUUGUCUUUUGCUUUUGUAUUUUUUUUAUUUCUUUUCCUAUUCUGUUUUAUUUAAUUUAGAACAUUUAGGUAUUUUAUAAAAAUGGGUUUGUUGCACCAUAAUUAACUUUGUAAUAUUUGACAACCACCGAACAUUUUAGUUUUAAUUUUUGAAAACUUUUAUUGUUACCAUUAAUUUGAAUUUGAAUUUCGAACGGUUCCGAAUUGUUGCGAGGAUAGCAACAGUAACCGAGGUGUCAUGGCAUGAUUAGCGUGGGAUUACUGUAGCAUGAUUAUCCGGGCGUUACACGGCAGCAAGACGAAGGCAUGUAUGAGUACGACACUACGUACGCAGGACAGGGUGGUGCUUCAGAACUUGAGGAGGAAGAUAGUGACCAUGACCACCAAAUUCGCGAGGCACAGCAUCAAUAUGUUCUUCAGGAAUGCAUGGUUCUGCUCGAGCAGCGCGACGUGGCGAUGAACCGACGCGUGCGAAAUCAGAUGUCCCCACCGCUGGCUUAAGUACUGUAUGUACUUGUUCUCCCACUUCCAAAACUCGCACCCUCCAUGCUGCAGAAUGAACAAGAAUCAGCAUGCCCUGGAGAACAUGAGCUGCGUGGAUAUGAAAAAACUUACCCCAUGCCGUUCGCACUUGUAGAAGUGCCUCCCUAGGUUUAGUUCUGUCCCGGAGACAAACCACGUGACGUAGCCGGCGUUGCAUUCGGGGCAACGGAUGAGUGGGAGUGGCGGCAUCUGGUUGCUCGUGUGAUGAGAUGGCGGUGGUGUCGCACUGCUAUGGGACAUGGACGAACACAUGCUUUGCAAGCCCAGAUAAUCUGAGAAUAUUGGAGAAUGGGAGGAGCUUGGAAUGGCCAUCCAAAGCAAGGAAGGAUGGCGUUUAAAUAGCCAGCGAGGAGCGUCGCCCAGCUAGCCGUUGUGACUAAACGGUGACCAACGCGAUCUCCCUCACAUGCCUGAUGCGGGUAGCCGUUGUCACUGCCGGGCAGUAAAUGUGGUCGCUGCCUUCCGUUUCAGCUAGCCGUUGUCACUACCAGAUGCCAUGUGGGCCUUCAUUGAUGCGCAGAGAUUAAUACGAGAGCUAUACGAGAUGGGAUACGCUGCCCAGUGGCCUUUAUACGCGAACGUCGUAUUGGAGUUAGCACGAAUCGCGUGGGGACUACCGGUGCGGAUAACGACCUCGCGUGGCCGCAUGUGCACACGCGAUUUAUCGGUUAUUAUGUGGCAUGUUCAAUACGUUUGCCUUUAGCAAUCUCUAUAACAUGUCUUAUUACUAUAACGACAUUGUUUUGCGAUCGAGAUUAAGUUUUCUUGCACAACAAUAUUGAUUUGCGAUUGAGAAAUAUAUUUUUUUCUCGCAAAACAAUCUCAUUGCGAAUGAGAUUAAUUUUCUCUCGCAAAAUAUUAAUUCACCCUGCUGAAUUAUCUUGCAACUUGAUACAAUAACAUCUCAUUAAAUUUGAGGUGUAUAUAAUUCAAGUUUUUUCACUUGAACAUCAAGUUUGCAACAUCAUUACUAUUCAUUUAUAAUAGUGGUGUAUUUCUGUUGAGUACGAUGUAUUCCGGAAUGUAUGUAUCUCCAUGUUCGCUACAUGUCGAGAUUAAUAUGUCUAUUUGUAAUUGAGAUUUUCAAUUUCUUGCAAAUACAUAUGCAAAAUUCUUAGUGAUUUCUUCAAAUUGAUGUAUUGGGAUCCCGAGGUAGUGUGUAGAUCUACUGCUUUGCAGAUUAUCACCACUACUGUUUAAGCCUACAUUUUGUCAAAUUUGACAUUAUGAUUGCACAACAUUGUGCACUCCCAUGCAUUUUACUAAGUCAUGACAUAAGGCAUUAGGAGUGAGUAUCUACUAAUUUCAUCAGAUUAUACUCCCUAGUGCUGCGAGAUCUACUUCAUUUUGGAGAUUAUCUUCAAGGUGUCAUGCUUAGCAAUUUGAGAUUCACAUUAAUGGUUUCAAGAUAACUUCUUGAAAUAUCCAUUAAUUUUACAAUAUUACCAUGAUGGUCUUCAAUUUACUAAUUGUAAAUUAACUAUCUCUGGUAACCGAUGGCUAGAGAAUUUGAGGCAUUCGCCCUCAAUCGCCACCACUACCCUACCUGGGCAUGGACAUCAUGAUCACUCUUGUGUCUUGUGGAAUAGUGUGUGCAAUCCAAGACCACAUGAUUAACCUCUGGUCGGAAUCACACCGCUAACAGAAAAAUAUUGUCUUAUACAUCAUAAGGCAUUAUAUCGAUUCAGAUCUCUGCAUCUGGUUAUUCUGUAUCAGCAAUUCCUAGGACACAAUAGACCUCAAGGGCAAAGGUUUGGAGCUCACUUCAACCUUCAACCCGACAUCACCAGCAGUGACGGGACCCUAUGGGCACGGAGAAUAUGAUGGUUGAAUAUGACUCAACUAACAUGUUUGAAGACUUCGUCUAGUCUCUCAAUCUCCUGAGUGGUCAACAUAAUUUAUGUCCAUUUAUGAUGUUCUAAUAAGAACAUAAGUAUUGUUGUCAUCAUAUAUUGUAUAUCACAAUAUAUUGUAUCAGCACUUUGUUACAAAUAUAUUUGUAUGUAUUCUAUAUAUCUGACAGUGAUUUUCAUAUUGAGAAUCUUCAUGUCUAUAUAUAGAUUUCUAGGGAGUCAAUCCGAUGAAAAAUGAUAUGUGCCUUGUGGACAUAUGCACCACAAACUCUAUACUCAGGGAAGUCUAAUGUAUUUUAAAAUCGCUAGACGCGAUGAGGUAUUUGUUGGCUCAACUCGAGUCAUAUUUACUAUCCCUGUGGGUGCCCGAGUAACAUCGGGAUGCUUUAUUGCUUCCCAAGUUUAACUCGUACCCUACUAAACUAUAGAGGUAUCCGUCAAAAUAGUUUCCAUAGCGAAACUUAUGAUGACAACAAAGAGAAAUAUCUUCUCUUUACCAUAUGCAACGGAUAUGGCAAGCACAUUCUCUAUGUAUCAUCGGCAUUGCACUACACAUACUACAAAACCCGUAGCACAUGUUGCGUACGAGAUAGUUUUCCAGAGUGUCUUUUGCAUGACAAACUUGGCAUUCCUGCUUUGGUCAUCAUUGACAUUGGGUUGAAACCGAAACUAUCAACAAUUCCACUUGUUUAUGAUUGUUAUGAUGCUAAAUUCUAAUAACAUUUGGAUUUUAUGUGCACUACAAGUGACACAGGGAAGCUAAUUUUAAGGCUCGCACACCUUAAAGUCUACGCUGAACCACUCAGACUCCUUGAAUGCAUCAAGUCGAGGUAAGUGGCUCUUCCCAGCCAUUGAGUAGACUAUUCAGGUAUCCAUGGUUCUAAAAGACAUAUCUACAUGAUGGUCUUAAGUGUGUGCUUUAUUCACACGAAACCAUUGGCCAUUAUCCUGACAUUGAUUUCAAGCAAAUUGAAUGGAUAACAUUGCAGAAUUCUCCUUGAGGGCCAUCUCUAUGGCUUUUGGAUUGAAAUUUAGCAAUUUGUCCUAAUGUCUAGACUCAAAAUGGUUUGGUAGAAUCCUAUCCAAAGAGUUAAGCUCAUUGCAUUAUAUUUACUUUGGAAUUGCAACUUACCAACUUUACGUUGGAGUCAUGCAGUUUUACACGCUCAUGAUAGAACUGCAUAAUAUUAUUCCCCACUAUCUUUGAUAUGUGGAUAUCUACCAAGUAUUUCCUAUCUGCGGUAAUUCGGUUGCAUACCGAUAUCACCACCCGGCAUACAUCAUUGGCCCCUCAACAUAUAGUUGGGAUCUAUGUGAGGAAUAACUGUAUUUCCGUCAAUACCUCAAGCCCCUCACAUGGGGAGUUAUUCAAGGCUAGUAUGUUGAUUCAAUGAGGAACAUUUCCAGGCAUUAGGGGGAGAUUUCAAGUACCAUAAAGAAUGCCAGGAAAUUAGUGGAAUGUUCAACACAUUUUCUGCCUCAAAUCCACAUACUCAAAGAUCUGAACCAUGCAUUCAGAAGAUUUGCAUCACAUUGCAAAUAACCUGCUAGAUUCAUUUACUGACUAUAAAGGUGUCACACAAUCCUAUAAUCCUGCAAAAAUAUGCCUGAAAGAGUGAUGGUACCAACAAAAUUCACUCCACUCCCUGUUCAUAGCAACAAAGGGAGAUGUAUGGCAGAAGUACAUCAGGAUUCAGCUUCCCGCAAGCAAGGAUAUCAAGGCCUGUGAAUCAGUAAAUGCAAGUCAACUUCACGUUGAGAGACACCUAAUGGGUAGUAUACACCCAAUGGACGGGAAACCUCCACCAACCCAGGUCAUAGUGCACACAAUGACCAGGACAUCGGAAUACCCGACUCGAUCGCAUUGGGAAAUCGCGAUCAGUCACCAUGGGUAACGAUAUUUCCAUCAAGUCUAUAUUGAUAUAUAGAUUCUGGAGAAUCAUAUAACCGGAAGUCUACAAUUGUCGACAUAUAUUUCUCAACUAGAUUGCAAAAACCUUUCAAACGAUUCAGAUCUAAAGACCAUGGCCAUGGCAAAGUGUGAACAACACUCGGACUGAACUCAAGCAAAGGGUAUAAUCUAGGUAGAAAUGAUCUUGCUCAAUAAUGGGAAGGUAUUCAUAAGCAAUACCUACACCAGUUUUCUUCUGGAAACGGAAUUGAGAACAAUGAGGUGGUGAAACAUAGAGCAAGUAUUGUAGCAUAAGGGUUCACGCAGAUACCCAACUAUUCUCCACAGGUGGAAUCUCUUUCCGAUAACUUAUAUCAUUGGCAGUACACAAUCAUCUAUCUCUGCAGUUGAUAGAUGUAGUGAUUACAUAUCCAUGUGCAUCACUAGAUUCAGACAUAUAUGAUUGAUUCCCGAUGGAAUCUCAAUUCUGAAUCGAAAUACAAAAUGCAACAUACAUUGUGUAAAAUCAGUAAGUCACCAUACGACUUAUCGUUGUCGGUACAUUUGGUACAACCGACUUAGUGAGUUCCUUUCCACAAGGAUUACUCCUACGAUGAUGAUUACCCAUGUUUGUGUGUCUGCAAUGACGACACAUGUAAUCAUCUAAAUGACGGAGUUUAAAAUGAAGGAUCUGGGUAAACCAAAACACUGCUCGUUACUACAACUUGAGCACCUUCAUUCAUACAUUAUGGUACACCAUGUUGUCUAUAUCCAAAACAUAUUGGAGAAACUCAUUAUGGACAAAUCUUAUCCAUCCAUAACUCUCAUGGUAAUUCAUUCUCUAGAUGUAGAGAAAGAUCUAUUUAGACCAAGAGAUGAUGGAAAUGAGAUAUUGGGACUCAAUGUUCCAUAAUGCCAUUGGAUUCACGAAACACAAUUGGUUGGUACUCAAGAAUAUCUUUCGAUAUCUCCAAGGCAUCAAACAUCUUGUCCUGGUUUUCAGUUUCACAGGAAUGUGAACUCCAAUAUCAUUGGAUACAUCGAUCAGAUCCCACUAUGUCGGAUCGUAGACAAGCUUAGUGUUCCUAUUAGGUGUGGUAGCCAUCUCAUGGAGAGUCUUUGAAACAGACCUCAUGGCUACAUCCAUCAACCAUUAUCUCAAGAUAAUGUUUCUUGUGUUGUCCGGAUGCAAACAGGUUACUAAUAAGCAAUAUCUUUAUAUUGCAUAUCUUGCAAGUCGAAUCAUGCAACUGAUUUGUUCACCAAGUCUCUACCAACUUUUACAUUCCAGAAACAUGUUCAUGGAAUUGGUAUCUGACGGCUUUGGAAUUUGCAAGAAUCAGGGGGAGUAUCUUCCUGAAUUGUUCCUGUUCAAUGCAUCAUAUUAUACUCUUUUUCCCUUCAUGAGUUUACUAUACAGGUUCUCAUAAAGGUUUUUAAUGAGGUAAUAUCAACAUGAGAUCAUAUGUCAUACUUUCUGUUUUCCCCACCGGGUUUUUUGGGAAAGUAUAUACGACAUAUUUAUUGUUCUCUAAACUCUAUGAGUUUUCUCGUAUUGAGUUAAAAGAGACAAUAACCAUUAUAUGUUGCAUCAUUUUCUCCUUAUUUUUCCCACUGGGUUUGAAGGAGUUUAGCAACAUAUCAAAUAGUAUACUCCUCACAUUUUUCCCACAUGGUUUUUGGAGGAGACUUUUUCAAGAUGAUGAUAUUACAUGGACAAGUGUAGAUUAGGGGGAGUGUUAAAGCUUAAUUAACUUGUGUUAAUUAUGGGGGAAUCUCCCCUUGUACCAACCACAGCCAGUUUGCGUUGGCAACUGUCGCGUCGGUUCCUGACAUCUCUCCCGAAUGGAUGCCUCUUCGAUGCAUCGCUUCUGCCUGUAUAAAUACCUACAAUCAUCUAAUGAAAGGACACUCAUUCACUUUUACAUUUGUGCCGAGGCUCUCUCGAUUGUUCUCUUGUUUCCCUUUCAACACUCACAUCUAAAAGAAUUCAGAUAUUGCCCCUCUCUCACGGGGGUGAGGAGUACAAGUGGGUCUACCUUAAAAUCUACUGUUGCAGAAAAAAAUGUACAUCCGAAGACUCCGGGAACCAAGUCCAAAUAAUCGAUCAAAGGAGAAAAAAAGUGCACAAAUACAAUGUUCGGAAACUUCAACACCCCCACACUAACAACAUCAUCGCACACACACCAGGGAAGCUGGUGUGUGGUCAAUCUCAGGCGCUUGUUCGUGGUUAACCUCGAACAUUGGUCCGGCCUUCGGGUUUCAUUCAGGAUACUCCGAGCCCCUCACCGAGAGACUCUGGACACAGGGUCAGAGAAACCCUCAGACACUACGGAGUCCUACUACACAUAUGAAGACUCCUAGUUCCACACAUCCAAUAUAAAUCCGAUUAUGUUGUACGUUUUGGUCUGACUUUUGUGGCGACAAAAGGAUAAAGUUGAGCAAUGAGCGCCUCCCUUUUCUUUCGGCAUCCAUUGUAAUUAGUGUGGCUACCCCAUGACUCAAGGUGAUUACACAACAUCACAAAAACAUAGGAAAGUUAAAAUAUAUUUUUGGAAAGCCACUGCCUAAAUUCCUUUUACUUUUCGAGGGGGGAGGGGGCGUCAAUGCCCUGGAACAUUUGGCACUGAAACAUGUUCAUACACUUAGCGCGCACACACACAUUAGUGAAUUAAUUGUUGGAUGUUAAUUAUAAGAAUCCAUUUAGAGACCUAGAUGUCCAUUCAAGACUAUAACUACAAUCGCAUGUGCUAUAGAAAAUGCGGUAUUAAUGAGAAUUAAUACACAAUACCCUCCUCCAACUACAAACCACUCUUUUUUGUCCUUAAGCUAUGAAAGUGACCAAAUCGGUUCCUAAACUAUUCGGGUGGCUCAUCUUAUCCUUCUGCCCAUGUGGCGGUAAACGUAGCCUACCAACUGGGUAGAUGAAGGUCUUAGCACAUGUUGUGGACUGAAUUUCCUAUUAAUUUGAUCGUGAUUCAUUAACAAACACCUCUUAUAUACAAGGGUAUUUUAGUUUCGUUUUUUGCUUGUGCAAAAUGUUUUGUGAACAUCCCUUGUCACGAAUCAGCAUGCCACGUGUCUAAUCAUAUGAUCAAGUUGAUGAAAAUAUGCCCGUCCAGGGCCUGGCUAGGCCACGGCGGUGGUGUCCAGCGUUCUGCGGGAGCUUCACACGUGGUGGUCGCCUCGGGUUGAUUUCCAAGACUAUGGCGGCGUCAUCCUUCAUCCCUUCGGUGCUGUGGUGGCCACCCUAUGGCAACUGGAGGAUAGAUCUGCGCCGUGGGUUUGGAGGACCGCCUAGAUCCGUUCUUUUUUUUGAGAUGGAACACAGCGAUUCCAUAAAUCACACAGGCACAGCAAGAGAGCUGGCCAGAUACACCAAUACAUCAUCAAGGACACCAUCGGUCCACAGCUGCCUAGCGUCUGUUCACUUAGAGCCUACGGCUGCUAGUGCAUGUGCUAGUUUAUUACAGCCCCUGGGAGCAUACAUAAAUUCAACAGAAUUAAAGUUCAACCGAGCAAAUACGUACUCCUCCUCCUCCUCCUCCACCACCAAAAAAGCUAGGGUGUGUGCCUCUCGCCGGCUCGCCGCAGGUCUGCCUCGUCUCCGGUGGCCCUAGGGCCAUGGAGGCGAGGUGGAUCCUCGUAAGGACCGGCGAGAGGGCUCCGUUGUUAGUCGUUCCUUUCAUAUUUGUUAGGGUUUCUGUCCUGCUCAGGAAGACGAGACGGCGGCGGCUCCCUGAAGAUGGAAUAAAGGUCUCCCCGCCUAGCCCCCGUUCCAGUGGUGCGUCUAGCAUCGUUGGUGGGCGUGUGGAGGUGUGUCUCCAGCGGAUCUAUGCUCGGUGGAUUUGCUCGGAUCUGGUUGUUUUUCGUCUAUGUUCGCGUGUCUUCAGAUUGGAUCCUUUCGAUCUACGUUAUCCUUCAUCGGCGGCGGUUGCUGUUCUGGUGUGCUGGUUCUAUGGGGCCUUAGCACGACGACUUCCCAACUGUCUACUACAACAAGUCGUGCCCGACUCCGGCGAGGGAGGGGCGAUGACAGCGGCGCGCCUUCGGCUCACUUUAGUGCUUGUAGUCAUCGCUAGGUGGUCUACGGACCUAGAUGUAAUUUUUAUUAUUUCUGGUGUUCGUUGUACUGUCAUGAUUGAAGAUGAAUAGAUUGGAAGUUUUUCGCAAAAAAAAAGUUCAACCGAGCAAAAGACCGGAUAUCUUUUAGAAGAACACCUUCAGGAGCCAAGUCAUACUCCGUACUCUGCAAAGCUUUCACCAAAGAUUGGCAAUCAGACUCCACUUGGAUAGCCGUCAUUCCCCAAGAGGAUGCUGCAUGAAUUGCUUCCCAAGCAGCAGUCGCCUCGGCCUGGAAAGCACUGGCCACACGCUGAAGCUUGCCAGCCCCUGAUCCCCUUAUGUCGCCACUGUUGUCCCUGGCCACGAAUACCCAACCGCCACACCCAGUAGAGACAUUGAACGCCUCGUACACAUUAAUUUUCAUCAAGUCACCAAGCGGUUUCUGCCAGAAACGGUGUUCCUUGGGUUGUGACUGGGAUUUGGGAUUACUGCAUAGUUGUAGUGAUUCAGCAGCCCAGAGCCUAGCGGACACUGCAGUCCUCUCCAUUGUGUCUGAAGACUCCCCAGCGUUAAUUUUAUUGCGGCAGUCCCACCACCUCCACAGCAUACAUGUAACAAGCACCUGUUGAUCUUCAGGUAGAUCCAGCACUGCUUGUAUAACUUCCUUUGCAUCAGUGCAAGCACACAACUUUUCACGAAUCUCAUCCAGCUCGAGACAACGCCACAGCUUUUUAACCUGUUUGCAUCUCAGGAACAACUGAGCCCCAUCUUCAUCUACCCUUCUACAACAUACACAGAGUGUUUCACAUUUAACCCCUCUCCUUUUCAGAGCUAGCUUCAAAGGUAGACUGUUGUGUGCUAAUCUCCACAUGAACUGUUGGAUCUUUGGUUGGCAGGGGAUGUCCCAAAUUUUCUUCCAUGGGAAACAGAGUUGUUGACCUGAGAUUGACGACGAGGCUGAGGUAGCAUCUCUUGCUUUGACGUACAGUUUGUAUGCAGAUUUUACUAAGAAUUGGCCUUUACUAUCAGGGAACCAUGCAUAGAAAUCUUCAAACUCUUCUCGGAUUGGCGUCGCAAGGAUGACCUUGGCAUCUGCGUCAGCAAAGAUAUUCCUGACCAGCUCCCUAUCCCAGUUUGCGGUUUCUGGAUUAAUGAGUUCACAUACCCGAGUAAGAAGGCACCUUCUUCUUGGCGUGAUGGGAAAUCUCUGGCCCUCCCUAUUCAUCCAUGGAUCCUUCCAGAUAUUGACCUCAGUCCCAUCACCAAUUCUACAUAUUAGGCCCUCCUUUAAUAGAUGCACACCCUUCACGAUACUCCUCCAAGUAUAUGAGAUACCAGGUGCUGGUGCAGCCUCAAGAAUUGGUGUAGAUGGAAAAUAACGUGCUUUAAGAACUUGUGCAUAAAGGGAGGUUGGGUUCUGGAGGAGCCGCCACGCCUGUCUUGCAAGCAUAGCGAUGUUGAACCCAUAUAGAUCUCAGAAUCCAAGGCCCCCAUCCUUCUUCGGCUCUGUCAGAGUCUCCCAACUCAACCAAUGCAUAGUGUUUUGCUUCUCCUGCUUUGCCCACCAAAAUCUGCAUAUCAUGCUCCCCAUCUGCUCGCAUAAGGAUUUAGUGAGGUCAAAACAUGACAUGGCAAAAGUAGGGAUUGCUUGAUCACAAGCUUUAAUUAGGACGUCCUUCCCCAUCUUAGACAACAAUCUCUCAAUCCAACCUUGGAUUCUUUUCCAGAUUCGUUCCUUGAGAUACUGAAAGGUUUUUGCUCUAUCUUGUCCCACAUAAACAGGUAACCCCAAAUACCUUUCGGAUCUAGCCUCCGUAUUGAUAUGUAGCUCAGCCAGGACACUUUGCUUCCUCUCCCUCCUUGUGUUUUUGCUGAACAUGACCGAUGACUUAUCGUAAUUAACAAUUUGUCCCGAGCACACCUCAUACAGAUGUAGUAUACUUUGCAGAUGCCUGGCACUUUCGCUUGUAGCUUUAAUCAGUACCAACGAGUCGUCUGCAAAUAAUAGAUGGUUGAAACUUGGGGCUGCAUUGCAAAUACGUAUACCAGUCAGAGUUCCAUUCACUUCUGCCCUGUUCAGUAAGGAGGAGAACCCCUCCGCGCAAAUGAGAAAGAGGUACGGUGAGAGGGGGUCACCUUGACGGAGGCCGCAUUGGGGCAGCACCACAUCCGUACACUCUCCAUUCACUUUGAAUCUGUAUGACACCGUGGACACACAAAGCAUGAUCCGUUUGACCCAUGUCUCCUCGAAGCCAAGUUUAUACAUCAUCUUUUCCAGAAAAUCCCAUUCCACCCUAUCAUAGGCUUUACUCAUGUCCAACUUCACUGCAGCGAACCCUUCCUUUCCUCUUCUCUUUCUCUGCAUAUAGUGUGUACAUUCAUAAGCAAGCAAAAUAUUAUCCGUGAUCAAUCGGCCCGGAACAAAGGCACUUUGGUUAGGUGAGAUAAUGUCUGGAAGGAUUUGUUUCAACCGAUUUGCAGGUACCUUAGAGACCAACUUAUAAACAACAUUGCAGAGGCUGAUUGGUCUCAAGUCUUUCAUGCAUUCCAGAUUUUGCACCUUAGGAAUCAGCACAACACAAGUCUCAUUCCACCCCUCGGGCAUGGGUCCCCCAUUCAGCACCUCAAGCACUUCUACGACCAGUUUUUCUCCUACAAUGUCCCAGUAUUUUUUGUAGAACACCGAUGGCAUACCAUCGGGUCUAGGGGCCUUCAGGUCACCAAUACUUUGGAGAGCUUCAAACACUUCCUUCUCAGAGAAGGGCUCAUUCAAAACCUCAUUCAUUUGCGGGGUAACACGUGCAUCAACCUGACUCAUCAUCUCCUCCAUUCUUGUUGCCGUGUGGGACGUAAACAGAUUAAGGAAAUAGCUAGUCAUGACUUCCUUCAUGGCCUCCUUCUCCUCCACUACAGUACCAUCUUGUCUCCUCAAUUUCUUAAUGUGGUUUUUCUUCUUUCUAUCCGAUGCUGCUGCAUGGAAAAACUUCGUAUUUCGAUCGCCUCCCUUCAUCCAAUGGACAUGUGCCCGCUGUCUCCAAUAUAACUCCCUCCGAUCCUCGAGCCUCCCCAGUUUAAAUCUAAGUAGUUCCUCCCUCCGAACCUGCUCUGCACUAAUGCUGCUCCUUCGACACUUCUCCAACUCCUUCUUUGUUUUGCUAAUUCUUUUCUCCAAGUCCCCCAAAAUAUUUCUACUCCAGUCCACUAAUUCAACCAUGACUCCUUUAACAGCUGUUGCCACCCCUUUUCCUUCCAACUGCACUCCCUUCUUCCAAGCAUUUUCUACCAUUGCCCUACAGUCCUCUUCCUCCAGCCACUUCGCCUCAAACCUCGGCGUAGAGCUCCGAGUCGCACCUUGCUGUCUCUUAGCUCCUCCUUGUGUGUCAAUGAUGAUUGGUCUGUGGUCCGAGUGUCGAGGAUCUCCGUUAGUGACCUUAAAAGCAGAAAACCGGUUGCACCAUGAUUGUGUAGCCACUGCUCUGUCAAUCCGCUCCUUUAUGUAAUUAACUGCAGCAUGGUUGUGAUUCCGCCAUGUAAAUGCAUCUCCUAUGAAGCCUAAGUCUCCAAGUUCACACGCCUCAAGUGUAGCUUUAAACUUGUCCAUGCAAUUCUGUGAUCUAGGUGCCCCCCCUUCCUUCUCCCAUGGGUGUAAAACCUCAUUGAAGUCUCCUGAGCAAAGCCACGGUUUGUUGUUUUGUACCUUCAGGUUGCUCAUAAGACGCCAAGUUUUAUCCUUAUCAUCAUGUUUCGGCUCCCCAUACAUCCCUGUGAAUCGCCACACAAACUCGUCCUCUUCCGUGAUCUCCGAAUCGAUGUGAUAUCUAGACAUGAAGCCCACCACUCUCAAGUUCACCUCAUUCUUCCAGAAUAAAGCCAAACCUCCACUCUAACCUUCACAGUCCUUAACCAUCAUAUUCGUAAGGCCCAACUUCCACCGCAGCCACUCCAGCCUACUACGUACCAAUUUCGUCUCCGACAAAAAGAGUACGUCGGGGUCCUCCUUCUCCCGGAUAUCCAGGAGUCCUCGAAUUGCCGGGCCAUUCCCCAAACCCCGGCAAUUCCAUGUGAUGAUUCUCAUUUCUGCUCGCAGGACUGACUCGGCAGUCCCGCAUUCAAAAUGGUGUGUACUCCCUCCAUUUCUUGGGUACUUGCUUCGUUCCCUUUGAUUUUCUUCGGUGACCCCUGGCUGUCCACUUCCAUCUCCUCCCCCUCCUCUUUUUUUUUUCUAUUAUUACUCCACAUGUUUUGCCUUCCACACUCUCCCUGGGUUUUCUCUUGAACUUCCCAUUCCUCCCUCUUGGUUCAGCCCUUGGGCUGUUUACAAUAUUUCCUACCCCAUCUUCCUCUUUGUUCCCUGGCACACUGUGGUUUUCAUUCGACCCAUUCCCAACACCCACUAUCACACCACCACCACCCCUUACUGCCGUCUCUGUAAUGUUUUCCAUCCCAGCCAGGCUUGGAUCGUUGGCGUCCCCCUUCCCAAAAUCAAGUUGUUUUUUAUUCUUCUCUCCCACUGCAGUGUCAUUAGCCCCCUUAGCAGUUGGACCAAUCUUAAGUGGACUCGUGACCUCCUCCCCAUCAUCAUUCUUCUUCUUACCCCCAUCGGUUGUGCAAGUUGGUGGUUUCCUCCAUGAUGGUGCAUCACUCCUGCUCUUUCCCUCACUAUUCGACCAACCCUUCUUCCUUCCCGAGCUGCCUCCACUCGCCUCCCUCGGUCCACCCUGGACCAUGUAAUAUGAUUGAGGCUUCUCUGGGGCAUAUUUCAUCCAUCUCCCGAAUUCAGCAGCUUGUCCCCUUUUGAGUUUUGUUUUACAGUCCUUAUCUAAAUGCCCCAGCCUACCACAUGUGUAGCAGAAGUCUGGCAAAAACUCGUACUCAAAACGGCACCAUAUUCUUUCAUCUUCCUUUCUCUUCUUCUUCCUCCCACCCGUUUCGUCUUCCUUUUCCCUCUCUUCCUCCUCCUCCCCUCCCUCCUCCUCCAUUGCCCCAUCAUCCACUGGAUCAAUAUCCAGAAAGAUUCCUCGCAUAAGUGGCUCAGCAAUUCUGAUUCGCACCUUCACUCUCAGGCACUACCCCAACGCCGAGCCAUCCUCACCCGAAUCCACUUCUACCAAUUCCCCUAUCUCAUCUGCUAGAUCCUCCCCCAUUUCCUUACACAUCAUUCCCAAAGGAACAUUAAAAAUACGGACCCAUAUUGGAACUGUUUCAAACACAUAUUCAUCUAGUGUCUUCCUAGGGUCGAAAUCCUCCAUCACCAGAAGCUCCUUGCCGAAGGUCCAUGGCCCGUUCUCGAGCGCCUUUCGUUUCCCUACCUCCUGAUGGAACAUAAACAGAAAUCGGUUCUCCCCCAUCUCCUUGACCUCCAGUCUCUUCAUCGGGCACCACACUCGCCCCAGCGCAAUCGCCAUUCCUUCUGCAUACCCCGGCCUGUCCGAGAUCAGCUUCCCCAUCGCCUUUGGCACACUUCCCUCCCUCGCCGUCGCCCUCUUCCAGCCCACCUUGACUCCCCUCCUCUCUGCCUCGGACAGGUUCAUCUUCUUCAACAUUCCUUCGACUCCCUCCAUGCUACCCCCAACCUCCAAAUGCCCGUGCAUCACCAGAGAAACAAAAAAAACUAGGGAUUUGGUGGAAGUACGACCGUGUGCCCCAGACUCACACGGAAGGCCUCUGGUGGAGAUGGGUUGGGAUCUAUGCGGACGAGAGAGGGAGGUUGGGUCGCUGGCCUCCGAAGCUGCCGAAGGCGGCUGGGACGAGAUGGAUCUGCCGCCGCCGGGUUGGGGGACGAGGAGGCGAACCCUAAGUCGCCACAAGAAGCGCCAGACAGGAGACCAAGUCAUCACACACGGGACGGACGGUUUGGCGCCUAGAUCCGUUCUUGGCGAGCUCUAGUGAGGGCACGAUGUGAGUUAGGCCAACUUCACCUCACGUCCCCAAAUGAACGUCCAGUUUGGCUGGAUUUUGUCUCUUUGGAGCGGCAAUGGGUUCGCUCAUGUCCCCUUCAGCUGGGUCCUGGGCGCGCCUAACGCGCGGCCGCACCCCAAAUCAUGUCCGGAGUGGACGUGAAAAAAAGAAAUGAAAAACUAAAAUAAAGCAAACGUCCAGUUUGGCAUAAUUGACUUAAAAAUAAAUAAAAACGCUGCCCGCGCGCUCCUGCCGUGCCCGUCGAUGCCGUGGCCGUCGCCGUCUUCGGUGGCCGCCGGUGUCGUCGUCAUCGCUGACGAGGUCGACAUAGUCCAGCGGCAUCCAGAGGUGGGACGGCGGUUCAUGGUACUCGGUGGCGGGCCGGAAGGCGGGAGGUGCCUGUACCACCUCCUCCCAUGGCGACGCCUCCUGCUCCGGUGACCGCGGCGGCGUGGGGCACCAGUUCACGCCACCCACGGCGUCGGCCAUCUCCGGAGCCGUGCACGACCAGCUCCACUGCUGGCCCACCAGGCUCGGGUGGAACGCGGCCACCAGCUCCUCCCCCAUCACCUCCUCCGCCCUUACCAUCUGCAGCUCGGGGAAGGCGACGUCGCCGGCCAAAAAGAGAGCCACCGUCUACUCGAGGCCCCGCCAUUGGUGCUCAUCGUGCGUGUUCAUGGAGUCCUCCAUGACACGUUGCAUGAGCUGGGCCUCCUCCUCCACUGUCAUGCGAGGAGGUGGAGGUGGCGAUGGAGAUGGGGAAGGCGACGACGUGGGUGUGAGACCGCGCACCCGCGUACUCCCGCGCACCUCCCGCCGCGGCCGCCGCGGCCCGGACGACGUGCCGGCGAAGUAAGAGGCGCGCCGCACGUCGUGCUCGUCCCUUAGCCACGUGUCCCAGAGAACGGAGUCGGGGGCGUACCUAUCGUCGUAGUAGAGGUCACCGGGGAGGAGGCGGCGGUGGCGCACAAUCUCGUCGUGGCGCGCACGGUCGCCCGUCGGGACCGGUGGGAUCGGGACCUGGUCGGCGGAGAGGUGCCAAUUGUUGGGGAGGUGGACGUCGCUCCACGGGAUCGGCGUCAUCGUCUCCCAAUAGCGCCGGCAUACAUCCGCGUUGAUGUACUGCCGGUUGCGCUCGCCGGCGGCCCUAGGGCCGAUGGUGAAUGGGGCAGGCGCGGGGGCCCGACGCGGUGGUGAUGCGGCCUCCUCUUUCACGGAGCCGCGGCGGCGUCCCGAGGAGGAGCCAGCCUCGCGGUCGUGCUUCCCCUUGCGGCCGUGGUUCCAUAGCCCCAUUGCUGCGCGGCAGCCGGCCGACGAGUUCGAGGACAAGGAGAGGCUAGGGUUUGGGGGUGUCGGGUUUUGAGGAGGCAGCGGGUUGGAAUGGGGAGUGUGGGCGACGACCGGUCCACGGCUUCCUCAUUUAAAAAGGACGGCGGCCGUUCGCCUGGGCGGAUGACAGGUGGGGCCAACCGUGUGUGCGCAUUAAUGUCAAGCGGUGGGAGGUAGGUGGCCGCCUGCCACGCGGCCCCGACGUGGACGAGCGCCGCGUCCAUUUGCUGUCCGCCGCGACCCAAACCCGGCGCAUGUUUGCGCUCGAAAUGAGUCGGCCCGGACACAAAACGGACCAGAUGGGUCCAGGCCGUCGCGCGCUGGGCCGUCCGGUUUGUCCCUUUUACCCCAAACGGACGGGGCCGGACGGGAUAGGGUCGCGCGGCGGAGUUAGUCUUAUGAGGUCGUGAAGGUGGGGCUCAGUGGUAAACGCUUCAGUGGUGGCGUGUGCCUUGCUCUUCCAGUGUCGUCGCAGGCGUGCUUGGGCUGUGGAGGUGCGGGUGGCCUCUGGGCGAGCUAGCCACUUUGUUGACGUGGUGCGAUGGAGAGGCAUCGAGCAGCUUGCUCCUUGUUCGGUUCACGUGGUCUUCCACUGGCAUGUGGCACGUAUCGGUGGUUUAGCCUUCUCCUAAGAGGCUCAUCGAGGUGGAGGGUCUCUGGGCUAUAGGUGAAAGCUUUGGUUGAGAGGGGUGGGUACCGGCGACGAAGGCGUUGAUACGUCUUCAACGUAUUUAUAAAUUUUGAUUGUUCCAUGCUAUUAUAUAUUUGUUUUUGAUGUUUUAUAUGCAUUAUUAUGCUAUUUUAUAUUAUUUUUGAGACUAACCUAUUAACCUAGAGCCCAGUGUCAGCUCCUGUUUUUCCCUUGUUUUAGAGUUUCGCAGAAAAGGAAUAUCAAACGGAGUCCAAAUGGAAUGAAACUUUCGCGAUGAUUUUUCUUGGACCAAAAAACAUCCAGAGAACUUGGUGUACAUGUCAGGGAAGCCAUGAGGCACCCACAAGGACGGAGGGUGCGCCCAGGGGGUAGGGCAUGCCCCCCACCCUUGUGGGCCCCUCGUGACUCUGCCGACCUAUUUCUUCCGCCUAUGUAUUCUCAAAUAUUUCAAAACCUACCAAGAGAGCCACGAAAACACUUGUGCUAGUCUAUUACUAAAAACUGUAACGUUCGUCAUUUACAAAAAUUUCUUAAAAAUGUUCAGAAAUAUAAAAAAGUGUUUAUAUUUUUUCAUAAAAUGCUCACAAACAUAUUAGAAAAUAUUCUCAAAUUUUCAAAAAUUCCAUGUAUUUUUUUAAGAAAUAUAUUUUAAGAAAUAAAUAAAUCUCGUGUUUUCCUGGAAAACCAAAAUAAAAACCCACUGAAAACUAAUAAAACAGAAAAAAACCUCAAAAAAAGGAAAAACAAACUCACUGGAAACAACUCGCUACCGAGCCUUACACUACAUGGGCCGGCCGCCCCGAGCGUUCGAGGUUCUGUUGCGACCGAUCUGUCAAAAAGGUCUGUCUCGCUCCUUCGGUUCUUCCCCUCGCUCAAUCUGUCUCCCUCGUGCCGCCGCCUCGCUAGGGUUCGGCUCCACCGUCGCCGCCGCGCACCGCGACCGCCUGCCGCCGAGCGCCUCGACCGCCUGCCGCCGAGCGCCUCGACCGCCUGCCGCCGCGCACCUCGACCGCCUGCCGCCGCCGCCACCACCGCCAUCCCGGCGCUUCCCACCUUCGGCCUUUUCCACGAUGCUCCGUCUCCGGCCGUCUGCCCUGACUCCCAGGCAGCCAUAGUCCGAGCUCAUCUACCCUGAUUCCCUGACAUCGACCCCCGAGCUUCUUUCCCGUCAAUUCCCAGGGCUAGGCCAUUCGCCGCCUUCCACGAUCCAUAUCUUCAUCGGCACCCUUUCACUUCCGUCAUGGCAAUGCAAGACCAUCCUUCUCCGUGUGGCCACCACCCCCAAAUCCUCUUGGAUAAAAAAUGUUUAGUGGGCGAGUUGAAAAAUUUCACUACCGCAAAAUCCAAGAAUAGCAAAGGGGUUCACUUGGAGGUUUCUUUUGAAGCAGUUGACCCUCCAGCCAUCUCACUGUGCCUGGUCAGCUGCGUUGAUCAGACCGGGGAUCGCUUGACAGCACCGCCUCGUAUACUUGGUGUAACUGGAGGCUUUGUACUGCUGGCUAUCACCUUCUCGGACAGUGUCAACCGUUACUUGUUCAUCGACUAUUUUGUUUACAAAGCAGGGCCCGAUUUCGCCUCUCUUCAUCUUCUUGCAAGGCCAUACCCGUCUUCUUUUUCGCCAAACAUGGCUGCCAUCUUGCCUGUUAGUGAUAACAGUGAAGACUUUGCUGUCAUUUUCCCACAUGUUGAAUAUUUCAGACUUGAGUCUCGCGAACAUUACACACUCCACAUAUAUCGAUCUGACACGAAUGAUUGGCACUCUCAGGUCGCUUGUAUCGCUGAGGAUAAUGAGACAAGGAAUGCCAGGGAUAAGCUAUUGCUUCAUAAUACCAUGAGCUUGGCAUAUGCAGAAAAGGGUAUCAUAGGUUGGAUUGAUCUCUGGUGGGGAAUUCUCUUAUGCAAUGUUUUGGAUAAAAAGCCUACCAUCCGUUUUGUUCCGUUGCCAGUUCCGGAACCGUGUGAUACGUCCGAGUUCCAUUUGAUGUUUGAGAAUCUCACUCCAAGACCACACCGUCAUGUGACGAUAUUCAAUGAUUUGAUCAAGUGUGUUGAGUUAGAUUUUCAUGUGCAAGAUGCUUUCUUCAACAUGAAGCGAGCAAAGGAUUAUGGCUGGAUGGCUAAAACAUGGACUAGAUCAAUUUAUUCAGAUGUUUGGUGUGAUGGCUUGAUGAUUGAUACGUCUGAGAUAUCUUUCACUGACUCAAGUUUGCCGAAUUUGUUGCCUGGGAUGUUUGAUGAGGAAAACAAUUUGACUUGGAAGAAAUUGACUAGUGCUGGUCCUACAUUAAGCUUGCUUGAUGACAAUGUUAUUUACAUUAUGGCGAACGAGAGCAUGUGCCAUCCGACAGCAUAUGUACUUACUGUGGACACCAAAAGUUUGAAGCUCGAGUCUGGUGCGCAGUGUGCUCCUCAAAAGACGGCGUGGUUCGAACCAACAUAUGAACCGUGUGUUCUUUUUAGCUCUUUUGGCACGACUUCAGGUACUUGUCCCUAAUAAAUUUACGGAGUUAACAAAAAAUUGUAAUAACCGGAAAAGCACUAGUUAAUAUGGUAGUCUGAUAACACAUGUAAUUAGUUGCUUUUUUGUUGAUGAAAACAUUACUGUUGCCUUACAUUAUGCUUUGCAUUUUUUUGCAGAGUUGGUUAAAGAAUUUGAAACCAAAGGGACAAUAUUUGAAAUCAAGGAAGGGCCGGUGCUCUCGGUGGUGUCGAAGCGUCUCCGCGUGCUGCGGAAGAAGCAGAAUCGCAUCGCGCAGAUGGAGGAGUCCGUCGCUGCCGGCAAGAUGCUUAACCAGGAGCAGAAGGAGCUCAUGCACUCCAAGCCCGUCAUCGCCGCGCUCAUUGACGAGCUUGAGCGCCUCCGCGUACCACUCUCCACUGCUCUCACCAAGGAGCUCUCCACCGUCCCUGCACCUGCUGCCGGUUCCUCAUCCUUUGGCUCCGAUUUGUCCAUCCAGGACCUCCUCGCGCUCAUCUACUUCGGCUCCCUUUUUUAUGUCAAGUCACCGAACGAGUUCAUCGCCACCAUGGUUGCGCGCAAGAACGAACGGAGCAGCUGCAUCACCCACGGCUACGUAUGGGAUGAUACCGUGGACCUGCUCGUGGAGAACGACCUUGACGCAGUGUCUGCUGUGGCGGCCCUUGCCGCGGCUCGCCCUUCUUCCGCAGAUGGUGUCUCCCACCAUGACGCACUCCAGGCCUGUGCCCAUCAUGCCCGCCUAUGGCUAACCCGUGCUGAUGCGCCGAUCCACCCUGGCUCCUCUGUUACAUGUGAGGGUUGAUAUAGGUUUGUAAUUUGGUUUGAUUUGAGGUGAUUGCUGAUUGAAAUUUGUGGCCUUUUGCUGUAGAUGCUGCGGUGAGGUCCAAGUUAGACAGGAUCAUGGCAUCAGACUACUACACAGCACCUGCAGUUGCUGGGAACCAUGGAGCUGAAGGUCUGCAGGCACAGAUGAGCAUGACCGACUCACCAGAGGCACCAUCACUCAAGGAGACCCUAGCUGCUGAAAAUCACAAGGUGAAAUAGCAAAUUGCACUCCUUAGUAAUUUAAUAGUAUAUGCUUAGCAUGGUGAAGUGAUCAUUGCCCUGAAACUUUGUUCUGAUCUUUGUCAACGAUUGAUCUGCUGUAGUGCACAGUGCUCCUAGUAUUAUUAUUAUCAUCAUUGUUGCUGCUGCUGGUGCUUUUUGUGCUGAUUCAGUAGUAAUGAUCAAUGUGGAUUAUAGCUUUAAUUGGAAAACUGUAAGGUCGAUCCAUUUGGGGUGUAUAUUAUGCUGUUUCAUAUGGAUGUUGUGCGCCGUUGCUUAGAUAUAACAGACAGUGCCUGUGCAUUGGUGUUCUGGAAAAAACGCUGAAAAUAAUAACUUAAAAACUAUGAUCUUUGUAUAAUAUUAUGUGUAGUGCUACCACUAUCUAGGUACAGGAUGGUCUCUAUUCUGAUGGGUCUUCGCAGUUUGCAAACAUAGUAAUUGAGUUUUUGUUGUAUUAAAGAUUAUAAAUAUCACGCGCUNNNNNNNNNNNNNNNNNNNNNNNNNNNNNNNNNNNNNNNNNNNNNNNNNNNNNNNNNNNNNNNNNNNNNNNNNNNNNNNNNNNNNNNNNNNNNNNNNNNNNNNNNNNNNNNNNNNNNNNNNNNNNNNNNNNNNNNNNNNNNNNNNNNNNNNNNNNNNNNNNNNNNNNNNNNNNNNNNNNNNNNNNNNNNNNNNNNNNNNNNNNNNNNNNNNNNNNNNNNNNNNNNNNNNNNNNNNNNNNNNNNNNNNNNNNNNNNNNNNNNNNNNNNNNNNNNNNNNNNNNNNNNNNNNNNNNNNNNNNNNNNNNNNNNNNNNNNNNNNNNNNNNNNNNNNNNNNNNNNNNNNNNNNNNNNNNNNNNNNNNNNNNNNNNNNNNNNNNNNNNNNNNNNNNNNNNNNNNNNNNNNNNNNNNNNNGAAUUCAUCAUAUUGCAGUCAUGCAAUAACAUGAUUGUUUAUUGUACAUUUGUUCCUUUUUUACUUUGUUGGCCAUUACUUAAAAUGCUGGUUGAAAAGAACAGCAAUCCCAAUCCCUGAUAUCAAAACAUUCUGAAAAGGAUACACAUGUAAAUUCUCUUGUAUUUUAUUACGUUUGUAAAUUUAACGGAAAAAGCUGGCAUUUCUGCAGCAUGAGUGGAGAAACCAAGUUUAGCGCUCUGACAAUAUUUGUACCCAUUGUGUAAAACAAGUUUGGAGGCGGCCUCUCUGCAUUGCAGUGUGCAGGGGUAAGGCUUGCCUCGUAUAAUCCUUCCCCAGGCCCCACCUGGCGUAGGAGCUUCUAGCACUGGGUCUCCUUUUUUUCUGUACAAGUUUUGUGCCUCUAAAGAUUACAUUUUAGAGCCCAGAUUUGUUUCUUUUGCUCAGGCGCAAAAAAGUGUUUGUUUUUCCAAGAAAACCUACUGGAAUCUGAAUGGUUCAAACAUUUGCAUGUGUAAUUUUACCUGAAUUUUAGACACUCAGAAUUAUUUAUUUACCGUCCACUGAAGGAGCACAUGCUCCUGGGACCUGGGGACCAUUUUACUCCUAUCUGUCAUUCCUACUUCUUGUUGCUUAUCUACUUUAUGAUUACAAGUCUAGGACUUGUGACCAACAUUACUUUGAUAACACAACUUAAUAGUUGUAUAUUCUUUGGGUCUGGUAAUAUAUGUUCGUUGGCAUCCUAGCUGUGUACUUCGAUAUUAUUGCUAGGUUACUUUUCUGAGUUGCAGAUUCUCUUUCAUAAUUAUAGAUCAUUCGUAAUCUUUGUUAAGUCCCGAGGGAUCUUCUUUGACUUCCAUUUGAGGAAUUCUUAUUAUUUUUAGCCGCAAUCUCCUAGGCGCAUUGCAAUGUUCUAGUUGCAGAAUCUAUAGCCCUAUUGUUCUUGCCAGUUUUGCAGUUCGUUGCGCAAGCUUGAUUGUUGAGAUAGUAUGUAAUUAUUUACUCAGCAUUAAUAUGACAUGGAUAAAGCUCCAGCCUCUAGGGCUCAUCAUAAAAUCACUUGCAAUUUAAAUAUGUAUAGAAGUUAUAGUGUUGCUCUUUUGUGUGUGCUAACACUAAAGGUAGUGUCAUUUUCCUAAAUUGCAAAAUGGGAUUUCUAACCUAAGAGUUCACGUUCACAGUUCUCCAUUCUUUAUAACAACAUUGUGAUAUUUUUAGUAACAAUUUUAUGCUGGCAUCGCUUCUGCAUUGAUUUCCCUAGAUUUAAACCUGUGUGUACGUGUACAGUUCUUUGUGCUUUUAAAACUAAAAAUCAUGGUAUAUUCACUGUAAAUCGUCCAAGCAUCACCUACUGCAUGUUGCCUCAGACAUUAUAUUUAGAAACUGUACAAUGUCCAUCUCCACCUUUUAGUAUUAUGAUUAUUGGAACAAAAGCUAGACAGCACUGUCAUCACCUUACUACACCUUUGGUAAUAUCACAGUUCUUUGGUGUAGAGUACUAUUAAAAUGCACCUACAUACUCCCUCCGUCCGGAAAUACUUGUCAUCAAGAUGAAUAAAAGGGGAUGUAUCUAGAUGUAUUUUAGUUCUAGAUACACCCCUUUUUAUCCAUUUUGAUGACAAGUAUUUCCGGACGGAGGGAGUACAUACCUAUGAUAAAUCACUGAGGUGGGGUACACAUUUGAAAUGAUGCAUUAAUAAUUAAGUAGUUCUCCUGGAUAAAUUGUGCUGUCUUGCAUUUUCCAAACAGCCAAUCAUGAACUUGGGUUAUCGUUUAACUUUUGUGGUGUUUUCCCAUUGUUUUGGGUUGCUGGGAAUUCAAGUACUGUUUUUAUUUUGUGCCAUAUGAUGAGAGACCUUAUCCAACUCACAGCGGUCGUCUGGACACUUAGUGUGUAAUGGUGCAUACAUAUUUCGCUGAUGGCAUUUCAGUUUUUUAUGCAUAAAGGAUUUGAUUUCCCGGAGAGCAUUGUGUUAAUGCAAGUUUUAGAAUAACCCGAACUCCUGAAACUUUUGCCUCGGUCUUCACUGAAGAUUUUUGGCGUUAUUUGCUGGUGGCUGCCCUGUGAGCCAUGCCCAUGCUAGUGUCUUGGUAGUUGGUGUAGAUUGAUAUAGAGAAGAAAAUGUAGGUACAUGUAAUUGUUAUUCUUGAUGAGAGGGUCACAUUUCCUAGAGGACUAUAUGGUUCCUCCUGGUUAGCCGUAGUCUGAUUCCAAACUCAAUGCCCUUAACUUACUCGACUGGACUCCUUGCCUCUGUAGGGUCAGUCGUAUAAUAAGUAAAUAUAUCUCAAGCAGGACAGCAGUUGCACUUUGCUAGGAGGCUAAGCUGCCAGCUAUAGUAUUUUCUUUUCAGGGAUGCCUUUUUUAAUUGCGCUGGAUGCAAAUAAUCAACCACUAUAUCCAGAAAGCAAAAGCACUACUAAUUUUCUGAUACUAGCAUAUGUGAUCAGUCAUGACUAUGAAUGUUCACCUAAAGCACUACCAUGUACGAAGUGUUUUCUGCAGAUGAGAUUAAAACAAGAUAUCUUGCUAGAUUUAUUAUUUUGGUUACUGUGAAGUGUUUCUACUGUUGCUUAGUCGUGUUGGCUUGGUUAUUCAUUUUGUGUUUGUUCUAACACCCAGAAGCUGAGCUAUGAUAGACUGAAAAAUGGUACACAUUUUGUAAUUAUUAGAUGAGUGUUUAUAUUUAAAAUUUACACGGUUUUAAUUGGGGACAUUUUGAGGGGUCAAGUAUUUUGUUUGUUGACCUCUGAAAGUAGAAAUGAUUAAAGCUUAUAUUGAUCUUGUUGGUAUGUUUACUUGUUGACAGGAGGACGAGGAAGAUUCCUCGCAUGCCACAGAAAUCGACAAUGAUCAUCAGUCUAAUGCAGCCGAUGUGCAAAAUGUGGUAAUGACUGGAUGACCUGUGGAGUGUUUUUCUGUGUAUAUAAUAUAUAUCUGGCUGAUACUAACAUGCCAACUUCAGGAUGGUAAAACCCUGGUGAACCCUCGUGUGGAAUAUCGCGUGGCUGAGGCAGAGCAGGAGAAAUUUGAUGUGAAAGAACAAGAUCAGAUGUAUGCCGAGCCAAAAAAGCGACAGUUUCAGCACCCUCGGCAAUCUUGUCAGAAUCAGCGAGGUGGUGAUCGUGGCUGGAGGGGGGCCUACCCUAAUGGCCGCAGCGGGCAUGGAGGCGGCCGUGGCAUGGGCAGCAGACACGAGAAUGGGCGUGGAGGUGGUGGUGGUGGCGGCCGUGGCAUGGGCAGUGGAUACGAGAAUGGGCGUGGAGGUGGUGGUGGUGGUGGUGGCUGUGGCAUGGGCAGCGGAUACGAAAAUGGGUGUGGAGGUGGUGGUGGAUACCAGAAUGACCGGGGUUGUGGUGGCGGAUACCAGAAUGGCCGGGAUGGUNNNNNNNNNNNNNNNNNNNNNNNNNNNNNNNNNNNNNNNNNNNNNNNNNNNNNNNNNNNNNNNNNNNNNNNNNNNNNNNNNNNNNNNNNNNNNNNNNNNNNNNNNNNNNNNNNNNNNNNNNNNNNNNNNNNNNNNNNNNNNNNNNNNNNNNNNNNNNNNNNNNNNNNNNNNNNNNNNNNNNNCGGGUACCAGAAUAGCCGGGGUGGUGGUGGUGGCGGCGGGUACUACAACAACGACGAUGGGUACUACCAGCCGAGGAACUUGAACAACAGGGGCAGGGGCGCAGGGAGGUGGCCACGCGGACACCGAGAGGAUUGAGGCAAUGGCAUAUGUGGAAGUCUGGGAGGUCAGGAGAGGGAAGGGGCAAUGUGAAAGUCUGGGAGCCAUUUUGUUAUUAUAGAACUACGGAGUAUGUAAUAACCUAGCCUGUGGGUAUGUCGCAAUCCAGUCCCUCCCCAUCUGCGAGUUUUUUUGUUGCUCCAAUGAGUGCAUAAUGGUUGGUUGGUAAAUGUGGAAUCUCGUUGAAAGUAGCUUCAGGUCAUACAUGUGUUGCUUCUUUUUCUGGCUGUGUGAGUUGUCAUAUAUUUCCGGUUGGUUUAUUAUUUUUGUUAGAUGUCUUUCUACGUCAUUCCUGUUCAUUUUUCAGUGUUUGUGUUUGUGUUACCUUUGUUUGUUCUGGCCUGUAUCGUAGCUCUUCAAAAAAAGAAAAAAAAUACUGUUUGUUUCGGUGAAUGCUGAUCGAGAUUUUGGCUUUGUCUUUAAUAAUCCUGAUAAGUGUCACCGUAGCCGAUUAUGCAUAGUUGCGGCUAGGUCUUGCAUGUGCAGGAGCGCAACUGAACACAAAAAAAUGUUUUUACGUGAGGUCUACUUGCAUGGUUUGUUUACCAUUGGGAAGAUUCUGGGAGGACUUUGUCAGGCAACUGACCAUUUCCGGUUUCUUGCAAGUUCUCCAGCUACUCCGAUCGAUGUUGGAGAGCUUGCUGGCGGGACGCUUGUCGUCCCUCGCCGAAUGGGCACACAUGGCGGCCGGGACAAAGACGCCAACAGGGGAAUGCCCUAUCCAAUGGUUGCAUGGUGGCCGGCUGAAAAUUGGGUCGGCUGCCGUUGGCUUUUCCUUAUGUAUGCAAUCAAAGGGACAGACUAGUGUUGGCUUUUCCUUAUGCAUGCAAUCAAAGGGACAGACUAGUACUGCUCUUCCAUCGGUAUUGUCUUCAGAGAGAUUAAAAUCUUUGUUAGUUUAAACUUUUUCUUUUUUAAGAUUGUUUUUUGCCCAAGGGGCUGUAAUACUGUAGCUGAUUCUCUAGGAGCGUGUUUGGUUGAUGUAGCCAACAGUAGGUGCAUUGCAUAGCCUUCUCAACUCAGUCUGGCUAUGUAAAUGCAGCCUCAAAUGCAUCAUCUGCAUGUUGUUUGGUUGCCUGCAUGGGCAGAACCACACUGCUGGUGUUCGGUUGCAUGCAUGUUAGUGGACAAACCCAAGGCAUGGUGUUUGGUUGUAUGCAACGUCUGGUGUGUGGUAACCUCUUUGGCUAGUUGGUGAUGUUACCAGCACCACUUCGGCACAACCAUGUAGCACACAUCAUAAGCAGAGCAGAGUAUAAAAAGAGGAUCAACUACUUAAGAGCAUAUUUCUGAUAAGCAGUACCACACUUCAUAACAGUUCUAUGCAUAAACCAUAAACAUAAACAGUUCAAAGCAGAUUCGAUAGUACUUAGGGAGGCCCCGACCCUACUCCUUGGCGGCGAAGGCUUCGUCGUGCUUCCCGCACUUGUUGACGACCUCAAUGCAAUCGUCGUCGAAGAUGGUGACCUUGAGGGUGUCUGGAGUGAGGAGCUUGAACCUCACCAUGUAGCCGAUCUUGAUCUGAUGAACGGCUGCGUAGGUGGCCCAACCCUGAUCCAGGGUCACCCUGCCGUUCAUCAGCUUCACCGUCACCUUCCAGGAGCAGCCGGUGUUGUUCCUGAGCUUGAACUCCGUCGGCACCGCGACGAAGUGCUUGGUGAAGUCCAGGGGCAUGGGGAUGCACUCAAGCUUCGGUGCAAGGAUGACCUUGCAGAAGUGAGUUGGGCCAUCCUCCUGAUGGUAGUGGCCGUAGUUGCGGCGCUUGUUGCUAGGGGGGCUCCUCCAUGCCCUCAUCAUCGCCACCCUCAGGCGUCUUCGGGUCUUCCUCGGCGGUGGGCGGCAGCACAACCUCGUCGGGCAUUAGGUGAAGGGGUUGCUUGCCCUUGUUGUCAACGGUCGGGAGCACCUCCGUGCCCAUCUCAUUGCUCUCCUCGAUCUGCACACAAUUCAUGGAGUCAGGCACAACACAGAUUUCAUGGCUUAUUGAAGAGCAUGUAGUUAAAACGGCAUGACUGUCACUCUUCUCCUCCUCUCCAUCGCCCCUAUAUUUACUCACCCUGCCCACCACUACUUACCCACUCCCUCUCUUCUCUAACUGUCAAUCUUCCUCCUCCCCAUCGCCAUGAGCUCUAGCUCCAGCUCCAAAGCCAACCCCUUCCCUUGGGGUAUUGGCUGGAGGGCCUUCUUCCUCGGGUGGUUGGCUGGUGACCGCACCAAGUUCGAGAACACCAUGGAGGUGUGCUCGAACUUCGGCUCCAUGCCUGACAUGCAGAAGGAAUCUAAUGCAGUAUUCAUGAAGGCCAUUGCAGAAGAGCUGAAGACGUUGAUUCCUGACCCAGCGAAGGGCGCGAUGGCAGUUGACAUCAUGCGCUGGGCCAUGAAUCAGGCCGUCUCCGACGACGGUAAACAGAGGAAGAAGUGGUGCAAGUACAAGAACUACUGGGCUCCUAAUGACCGCCGUGCCGCAGUGUACUGGGAGACGGCUAUCGCGUUGCCGGCGGUCAUCGGUGGGGAGCCUAAGGAGGAAGAAGAAGCGAUGCAGAUGCCAGCAAGGGCGCCGGAGCCAGGCCGUCGUACCAGGCAGAUCGACCUCGACUCCGCCGAGAAUGACGACGAUGACCCGCCGGCCCGCACGGCGAUGAAGAAGAAGAUGAAGGCCAGCAGCUCAACCCACCGCUCCGCACGCCGGUGAUGGCCGCCGCGGUGAGCCGGUGUCCGUUGUGUACCCCCUAUCCCCCAAUCCCCCUUCUGCAUCCGCAUCUACCUCUAUUCCGAUCUUGCAUAUAUGAACUCGUAUGAACUGGUAUGAACUAGUAUGAACUACCCCUAUGCUUAUCUACCUCUAUUCCCCAUUCCCCUCCGCCGUGGAUCGAAUCUAUCACCGGAUCAAACGGGAAAAAGUUUUGCAUGUCGAACAAAGAGAAGUGCUUACCGCCAUUGCCGCGGGCCAACUGCUGAUCCGCUCGUCGGUGAUGCGGUGGUCUUCUUGCUCUGCUCCGAUCCGCCGCCGCCGGUGAGAGUUGGGAGAGUGGGGAAGAGUGGGGAGAGGGAGCGGUGAGGGGCGGUGAGGCUAAUAACUACCGGCGCUUCGGGAAGCAACGUGGCUUCUCGAGUGUGGCCGCGCACGUGCAGCCGUCGCCGCCCACGUGCACCGCUCGGGCAUGGCCUUGGAGAAACUGCCGAUUCGUGCGUUCCCAGGGAGCCAGGCCCAGGAGUGCUUUAAGGUUCGUGUCAUGCGGGCCGAACAGUGAAAGCAGGCAACCAAUCGACCCGUUUUUAUCCCGCGCGAGCCAGGCCGGGCCUCAUGCAGGCUACCAAACACGCCCUAGCUGCUCACGGUGCACGUAUGAGCCAUGCAUCCUCAGCCUUGUGUCCGGAUGGGGCUCCAGACUUUGUUCAUGCGUUAAUUGCCAGCAAUUUGACUGGCCGUUCUGGUUAAUGGAAUAAAGAGUAUUCCGGCUCAAAAAAAUUAAAAAAGCUCCAAAGCGGAAACGCCUCCUCAUCUCGAAUCUUGCUUUUUUUUAAACACAGUACAGACGCAAGUGCUCAUACUAUUAUAACACACACACGUACAUCCUAUCCCUAUGAGCAUCUUUGAGAGAUCGAGCCGGCAUAUCAUGUUGAGAUUUUAUGAAUAAGUCACCGUAGGAUAAGUGCGAGCACCAGGACUUGAACCCUGGUGGGCUGGGGAUACCACUGUCCACAUAACCAUCCAACUACAGGUUGGUUCGUGUCUCGAAUCUUGUUAGAGCAAUCGCUCCUUGUUGUAUGCAUAGGAAUAGCGGAAAUUCAACAUGGGUCAUAUUACCAUAUGGUAUCGUUAUCCGAGCCGUUGGUCCACAUAGGGAUCAGUGAACACAGGCGUAUUGCAUGAUGCAUUUCUUUUUCAUUGCAUCAAUAUUCAAUGCGCCAGUGCUUCUUGCCGGUUGUCCAUUAAUGUUGUGGCCCACAAUGGUGUUCUAACGACGCUACUUUCUACUUUUUCUGGACCGGAGCUUGUGGCACAUGGUCUGCUCCAUACUAAGGCCUACUCCAACGCAUGACCCAAACAGACGUCCGUUUUGUCUGGAUUUCGUCCGUUUGAGGGUGACAAUUGGGUCGUAUCCACCCAAAUUUGAGUUUGCGUCGGCAGGACGCCCAACGAGCGGUCGCAUCUUCGACGCAUCUUGUCCCCGUGCAUGCAAACAUGAGAAACCAAGGAUUUAAGUCGCGGCCACGGUUCGCACUAGUUCACGUCGGCCGGCAACACAGCCAGCGGCCUAUAGUAUCAUGCCGCAACACAGCCAGCCUUUAAAAAGUACAUGUUUCACGCCGGCAACAAAGCCAGCGGCCGACACACCAGCCAGCCUUAAGAAAGGACCGCCAUCGCGGCCAGCGUGGCCGAGGUCUCACCUAGUUCAGGCUGUCACGGGCUAACAUCUCCUUCUGCCGGUUCAUGAACCAAGCCUUCCUCUCUAGUGACAUGUUGUUCUUGUUGACGCUCAUCAACACUAGUGCCAUCUCCUUGGCUUUUGUGCCGGCAUUGGUGGCCUCGAUCUCUAGCUUCUUGAGUUGAGCGGCCUCCUCUAUGUCGAGCUUCCUCUUCUUCACGGCCUCCUCCAUGUCAAGAUUCUUCGUUUGAAGAUCUAGGUAUAUCUUCAUUUGCUCCUCCUUCCCUUUGCACCUGCUCUCCUCCCGCACUUCCUUUUGGCUCAUCAUGUUCUCCGAAUUUCCUUGCAAGGCUAUAGAAGACACAUCACGCUUCUCGUCGGCCUUUGAGCUUGUCUUGCCCCUCGGCCUCUUGAGCACGUCUCCCUCAUCAGCCAUGGCCGCCUUCUCUCCUAUAUUCUUCUUAAGAGCAUUGUAUUGGUCCUUGAACUUGGGGCAAUCUUUGAUGAGCACCCAACAAUGCCCAACAUGAGGAGGGUGUGCGCCUUGGAGACGGUGGACUCCUUGUCGUCAAGGUCGGCCUGGUGCUGCAACACACGCCGCAGGGAACACUUGGCGGCGUACUCGAUGACGGCCUUCUUCUCCGUCAUGACAGUUCGCCGGUUCCUCCUCUUGGCCGAUUCGGCGUCGAGCUUGGCGGCCUCCGCCGACGUGAUCUCCGACCGAAGCUUCUUCACAGGCUUCGUUUUCUUCGCCACGGGGUGGGUGGCCGGUGGUGGGUUGCCGGGAUUCGCCUCAUCGGCCAUGGUGGAUGGAGGAAGGGGGAAGGAUGAGGACGCGGGAUAGUGGAGGGCGAGGCCCGGGAGUGUUUUGGAGGAAAGGGAGGGAAAGUGGCCGCCUGUGCCACCGACGGGCGGGCCAAGAGGACAAGGGCACGCGUCACGCCCAUGCGCGUGCUGUCCGUUUUGCCGCAAACUCGUCUCAAUCUUGGGCCAGGAGUGGGUCGGAAGCGGACAGAAAAUGAACGACAGUCCGUUUACGGUCGCGUGUUGGAGGUCCUGCUUUGUCCAUUUACCCCCAAACGGACACGGACGAGCCAUUUGGGGUCGUGCGUUGGAGUUGGCCUAAGCCAUCGGCCCAAUUUAUACAAGUCAUAUGCCACCGGGCAAUCCUCUAGUCAAUCGUGAUCCCUUCUAAUUCCUAUCAUUUUGGUUAAUUCACUUAAUCUCUUCCCGAUGGGGAUUAUUCAAAUCCAUGCAGUGCGCAUCAAACUGGUGCAUGCAAGCAUACAAGCCCAAUACAGCUGAAAUAUGUCUGCAUGUAAAAUGAAGCAUCCUCAGCAUCAGUUUAUUACAGUACCAUGGAGUUGAAAGCCAAACAAUUUCUUGAUCAGAAAAGGGAAACGUUCCUAGUAAAAAAAGAGGAGAAGCAGGUUUCAUACACAGACAAUAUAUGAGAUGGUCCAGGAGAUGUCCGUGACCUAAGAAAACUGCAAAUUGUUGUUUGCAAGAAAAAUUCAAAUAGCUAAGCAUGGUCGUCAUUACUGCCAGAUGCGCCCCAUUCAUUAAAUAAGAAGGAGGUUUAACAAGGUAUCCAGGCACUGGCCAAAGGCCGGAAAGAAAAAUACAAGCCGUUACUCUCCCGGCAUCAGAAGACCCAAAUGUUUCGACCCUGCUAGGAUCCAUAGCUUCGCCUCGUGCUUGAUUGGUUGGAGAGUGCCAAACGUUGGAGCGGAGCGGCCUCUAAAAACCCGUGCGUUCCUCUCAUCCCAAAUUGCUUUCGAAACGAGCAUAAAGAUAGAAGGCAUCACUUUCUUGUGUGCACUAUGGGCGGAAGCCGAUUCACACCAUCAAUCAUGGAUGCUCGUGUAAGUCGCCCAACCAGAAGUAUCCAAAUCAAUGAGUUGAAGGCAAACUCUAACCAUCUCCCAAACUCUCAAAGUGUAUCUACAUUGGAAGAAAAUGUGCUCGACCGUCCUUGUUCACGCCUACAGAGGGUGCACGGACCACUGUUUGGCCAACCUCGCUUGGCCAAGCAAACGGAUGUCCAUAACCUGUCUUGGAUGGCAAGCCAUGCAAGAAAAUUGNNNNNNNNNNNNNNNNNNNNNNNNNNNNNNNNNNNNNNNNNNNNNNNNNNNNNNNNNNNNNNNNNNNNNNNNNNNNNNNNNNNNNNNNNNNNNNNNNNNNNNNNNNNNNNNNNNNNNNNNNNNNNNNNNNNNNNNNNNNNNNNNNNNNNNNNNNNNNNNNNNNNNNNNNNNNNNNNNNNNNNNNNNNNNNNNNNNNNNNNNNNNNNNNNNNNNNNNNNNNNNNNNNNCAGAACGGGUGAUGGUCAAGUAGUGCACGUUAUAAGCCAAAGACACAGAGUACCUCCUGAAGGAAAUAUGCCCUAGAGGCAAUAAUAAAGUUAUUAUUUAUUUCCUUAUAUCAUGAUAAAUGUUUAUUAUUCAUGCUAGAAUUGUAUUAACCGGAAACAUAAUACAUGUGUGAAUACAUAGACAAACAGAGUGUCACUAGUAUGCCUCUACUUGACUAGCUCAUUGAUCAAAGAUGGUUAAGUUUUCUAGCCAUAGACAUGAGUUGUCAUUUGAUUAAUGGGAUCACAUCAUUAGGAGAAUGAUGUGAUUGACAUGACCCAUUCCGUUAGCUUAGCACCCGAUCGUUUAGUAUGUUGCUAUUGCUUUCUUCAUUACUUAUACAUGUUCCUAUGACUAUGAGAUUAUGCAACUCCCGUUUACCGGAGGAACACUUUGUGUGCUACCAAACGUCACAACGUAACUGGGUGAUUAUAAAGGUGCUCUACAGGUGUCUCCGAAGGUACUUGUUGGGUUGGCGUAUUUCGAGAUUACGAUUUGUCACUCCGAUUGUCGGAGAGGUAUCUCUGGGCCCUCUCGGUAAUGCACAUCACCUAAGCCUUGCAAGCAUUGCAACUAAUGAGUUAGUUGCGGGAUGAUGUAUUACGGAACGAGAAAAGAGACUUGCCUGUAACGAGAUUGAACUAGGUAUUGAGAUACCGACGAUCGAAUCUCGGGCAAGUAACAUACCGAUGACAAAGGGAACAACGUAUGUUGUUAUGCGGUCUGACCGAUAAAGAUCUUCGUAGAAUAUGUAGGAGCCAAUAUGGGCAUCCAGGUCCCGCUAUUGGUUAUUGACAAGAGAGGUGCCUCGGUCAUGUCUACAUAGUUCUCGAACCCGUAGGGUCAGCAUGCUUAACGUUCGUUGACGAUAUAGUACUAUGAGUUAUGUAUGUUGGUGACCGAAUGUUGUUCGGAGUUUUGGAUGAGAUCACAGAUAUGACGAGGAACUCCGGAAUGGUCCGGAAGUAAAGAUUGAUAUGUGGAUAGUAGUGUUUGAUCUCUGGAAGGGUUCCGGAAUACACCGGAAGGGGUUCCGGAUGUUUCCCGAAAUGUUUGGGCACGAGAACACUUUAUCUGGGCCAAAGGGGAAAGCCCACAAGGUUUUUGGAAAGUGCAAAAGGAAGUUUUGCGGAGUCCAGGGGCCAGAUGCCAGGGUCCCUGGCGUCUGGGUCCAGACGCCGGGAACCCUGGCGUCUGGCCCUGGAGUCCGAGAAGGACUCUUGCCUUUCGGGUGAAACCGACUUUGUGGAGGCUUUUACUCCAAGUUUCGACCCCAAGGCUCAACAUAUAAAUAGAGGGGUAGGGCUAGUACCCAAGACACAUCAAGAAACACCAAGCCGUGUGCCGGCAACCCCGUCUCCUCUAGUUUAUCCUCCAUCAUAGUUUUCGUAGUGCUUAGGCGAAGCCCUGCGAAGAUUGUUCUUCACCAACACCAUCACCACACCGUCGUGCUGCCGGAACUCAUCUACUACUUCGCCCCUCUUGCUGGAUCAAGAAGGCGAGGACGUCACCGAGCCGUACGUGUGCAGAACUCGGAGGUGCCGUGCUUUCGAUGCUUGGAUCGGUCGGAUCGUGAAGACGUUCGACUACAUCAUCCGUGUUGAUAUAACGCUUCCGCUUCGGUCUAUGAGGGUACGUAGACAACACUCUCCCCUCUUGUUGCUAUGCAUCACCAUGAUCUUGCAUGUGCGUAGGAAUUUUUUUGAAAUUACUACAUUCCCCAACAGUGGUAUCAGAGCCUAGGUUUUAUGGUUUGAUGUUAUAUGCACGAGUAGAACACAAGUGAGUUGUGGGCGAUAUAAGUCAUACUGCUUACCAGCAUGUCAUACUUUGGUUCGGCAGUAUUGUUGGAUGAAGCGGCCCAGACCGACAUUACGCGUACGCUUACGCGAGACUGGUUCUACCGCUGUGCUUUGCACACAGGUGGCUGGCAGGUGUCAGUUUCUCCAACUUUAGUUGAAUCGAGUGUGGCUACGCCCGGUCCUUGCGAAGGUUAAAACAACACCAACUUGACAAACUAUCGUUGUGGUUUUGAUGCGUAGGUAAGAUUGGUUCUUGCUUAAGCCCGUAGCAGCCACGUAAAACUUGCAACAAACAAAGUAGAGGACGUCUAACUUGUUUUUGCAGGGCAUGUUGUGAUGUGAUAUGGUCAAGGCAUGAUGCUAAAUUUUAUUGUAUGAGAUGAUCAUGUUUUGUAACCGAGUUAUCGGCAACUCGCAGGAGCCAUAUGGUUGUCGUUUUAUUGUAUGCAAUGCAAUCGCCCUGUAAUGCUUUACUUUAUCACUAAGCGGUAGCGAUAGUCGUAGAAGCAUAAGAUUGGCGAGACGACAACGAUGCUACGAUGGAGAUCAAGGCGUCGCGCCGGUGACGAUGGUGAUCAUGACGGUGCUUCGGAGAUGGAGAUCACAAGUACAAGAUGAUGAUGGCCAUAUCAUAUCACUUAUAUUGAUUGCAUGUGAUGUUUAUCUUUUAUGCAUCUUAUCUUGCUUUGAUUGACGGUAGCAUUAUAAGAUGAUCUCUCACUAAAUUUCAAGAUAAAAGUGUUCUCCCUGAGUAUGCACCGUUGCCAAAGUUCGUCGUGCCCAGACACCACGUGAUGAUCGGGUGUGAUAAGCUCUACGUCCAUCUACAACGGGUGCAAGCCAGUUUUUGCACACGCGGAAUACUCAGGUUAAACUUGACGAGCCUAGCAUAUGCAGAUAUGGCCUCGGAACACUGAGACCGAAAGGUCGAGCGUGAAUCAUAUAGUAGAUAUGAUCAACAUAGUGAUGUUCACCAUUGAAAACUACUCCAUUUCACGUGAUGAUCGGUUAUGGUUUAGUUGAUUUGGAUCACGUGAUCACUUAGAAGAUUAGAGGGAUGUCUAUCUAAGUGGGAGUUCUUAAGUAAUAUGAUUAAUUGAACUUGAAUUUAUCAUGAACUUAGUCCCUGAUAGUAUCUUGCUUGUUUAUGUUGAUUGUAGAUAGAUGGCCCGUGCUGUUGUUCCGUUGAAUUUUAAUGCAUUCCUUGAGAAAGCAAAGUUGAAAGAUGAUGGUAGCAAUUACACAGACUGGGUCCGUAACUUGAGGAUUAUCCUCAUUGCUGCAUAGAAAAGUUACGUCCUGGAAGCACCGCUGGGUGCCAGGCCUGCUGCUGAUGCAACUGACGACGUUAAGAACGUCUGGCAGAGCAAAGCUGAUGACUACUUGAUAGUUCAAUGUGCCAUGCUUUACGGCUUAGAACUGGGACUUCAACGACGUUUUGAACGUCAUGGGGCAUAUGAGAUGUUCCAGGAGUUGAAGUUAAUAUUCCAGCAGAAUGCCCGGAUUGAGAGAUAUGAAGUCUCCAAUAAAUUCUAUAGCUGCAAGAUGGAGGAGAAUAGUUCUGUCAGUGAGCAUAUACUCAAGAUGUCUGGGUAUUGUAAUCACUUGAUUCAACUGGGAGUUAAUCUUCCGGAUGAUAGCGUCAUUGACAGAAUUCUCCAAUCACUUCCACCAAGCUACAAGAGCUUCGUGAUGAACUAUAAUAUGCAAGGGAUGGAUAAGACAAUUCCCGAGCUCUUCGCAAUGCUAAAGGCUGCGGAGGUAGAAAUCAAGAAGGAGCAUCAAGUGUUGAUGGCCAACAAGACCACUAGUUUCAAGAAAAAAGGCAAAGGGAAGAAGAAGGGGAACUUCAAGAAGAACAGCAAGCAAGUUGCUGCUCAGGAGAAGAAACCCAAGUCUGGACCUAAGCCUGAAACUGAGUGCUUCUACUGCAAGCAGACUGGUCACUGGAAGCGGAACUGCCCCAAGUAUUUGGCGGAUAAGAAGGAUGGCAAGGUGAACAAAGGUAUAUGUGAUAUACAUGUUAUUGAUGUAUACCUUACUAGAGCUCGCAGUAGCACCUGAGUAUUUGAUACUGGUUCUGUUGCUAAUAUUUGCAACUCGAAACAGGGACUACGGAUUAAGCGAACACUGGCAAAGGACGAGGUGACGAUGCGUGUGGGAAAUGGUUCCAAAGUCGAUGUGAUCGCGGUCGGCACGCUACCUCUACAUCUACCUUCGGGAUUAGUAUUAGACCUAAAUAAUUGUUAUUUGGCGCCAGCGUUGAGCAUGAACAUUAUAUCUGGAUCUUGUUUGAUGCGAGAUGGUUAUUCAUUUAAAUCAGAGAAUAAUGGUUGUUCUAUUUAUAUGAGUAAUAUCUUUUAUGGUCAUGCACCCUUGAAGAGUGGUCUAUUUUUGAUGAAUCUCGAUAGUAGUGAUACACAUAUUCAUAAUGUUGAAGCCAAAAGAUGCAGAGUUGAUAAUGAUAGUGCAACUUAUUUGUGGCACUGCCGUUUAGGUCAUAUCGGUGUAAAGCGCAUGAAGAAACUCCAUACUGAUGGACUUUUGGAACCACUUGAUUAUGAAUCACUUGGUACUUGCGAACCGUGCCUCAUGGGCAAGAUGACUAAAACACCGUUCUCCGGUACUAUGGAGAGAGCAACAAAUUUGUUGGAAAUCAUACAUACAGAUGUAUGUGGUCCGAUGAAUGUUGAGGCUCAUGGCGGAUAUCGUUAUUUUCUCACCUUCACAGAUGAUUUAAGCAGAUAUGGAUAUAUCUACUUAAUGAAACAUAAGUCUGAAGCAUUUGAAAAGUUCAAAGAAUUUCAGAGUGAAGUUGAAAAUCAUCAUAACAAGAAAAUAAAGUUUCUACGAUCUGAUCAUGGAGGAGAAUAUUUGAGUUACGAGUUUGGUCUACAUUUGAAACAAUGCGGAAUAGUUUUGCAACUCAUGCCACCUGGAACACCACAGCGUAAUGGUGUGUCCGAACGUCGUAAUCGUACUUUACUUGAUAUGGUGCGAUCUAUGAUGUCUCUUACAGAUUUACCGCUAUUGUUUUGGGGUUAUGCUUUAGAGACGGCCGCAUUCACGUUAAAUAGGGCACCAUCAAAAUCCGUUGAGACGACGCCUUAUGAACUGUGGUUUGGCAAGAAACCAAAGUUGUUGUUUCUUAAAGUUUGGGGCUGCGAUGCUUAUGUGAAAAGCUUCAACCUGAUAAGCUCGAACCCAAAUCGGAGAAAUGUGUCUUUAUAGGAUACCCAAAGGAGACUGUUGGGUACACCUUCUAUCACAGAUCCGAAGGCAAGACAUUCGUUGCUAAGAAUGGAUCCUUUCUAGAGAAGGAGUUUCUCUUGAAAGAAGUGAGUGGGAGGAAAGUAGAACUUGAUGAGGUAACUGUACAUGCUCCCUUAUUGGAAAGUAGUACAUCACAGAAACCGGUUUCUGUGACACCUACACCAAUUAGUGAGGAAGUUAAUGAUGAUGAUCAUGGAACUUCAGAUCAAGUUACUACUGAACCUCGUAGAUCAAACAGAGUAAGAUCCGCACCAGAGUGGUAUGGUAAUCCUGUUCUAGAAGUCAUGCUACUAGAUCAUGAUGAACCUACGAACUAUGAAGAAGUGAUGGUGAGCCCAGAGUCCGCAAAAUGGCUUGAAGCCAUGAAAUCUGAGAUGGGAUCCAUGUAUGAGAACAAAGUGUGGACUUUGGUUGACUUGCCCGAUGAUCGGCAAGCAAUUGAGAAUAAAUGGAUCUUCAAGAAGAAGACUGACGCUGACGGUAAUGUUACUGUCUACAAAGCUCGACUUGUUGCGAAAGGUUUUCGACAAGUUCAAGGGAUUGACUACGAUGAGACCUUCUCACCCGUAGCGAUGCUUAAGUCUGUCCGAAUCAUGUUAGCGAUUGCCGCAUUUUAUGAUUAUGAAAUUUGGCAGAUGGAUGUUAAAACUGCAUUCUUGAAUGGAUUUCUAGAAGAAGAGUUGAAUAUGAUGCAACCGGAAGGUUUUGUCGAUCCAAAGGGAGCUAACAAAGUGUGCAAGCUCCAGCGAUCCAUUUAUGGACUGGUGCAAGCCUCUCAGAGUUGGAAUAAACGCUUUGAUAGUGUGAUCAAAGCAUUUGGUUUUGUACAUACUUUUGGAGAAGCCUGUAUUUACAAGAAAGUGAGUGGGAGCUAUGUAGCAUUUCUGAUAUUAUAUGUGGAUGACAUAUUACUAAUCGGAAAUGAUAUAGAAUUUCUGGAUAGCAUAAAGGGAUACUUGAAUAAAUGUUUUUCAAUGAAAGACCUCGGUGAAGCUGCUUACAUAUUGGGCAUUAAGAUCUAUAGAGAUAGAUCAAGACGCUUAAUUGGACUUUCACAAAGCACAUACCUUGACAAAGUUUUGAAGAAGUUCAAAAUGGAUCAAGCAAAGAAAGGGUUCUUGCCUGUGUUACAAGGUGUGAAGUUGAGUAAGACUCAAUGCCUGACCACUGCAGAAGAUAGAGAGAAAAUGAAAGAUGUUCCCUAUGCUUCAACCAUAGGCUCUAUCAUGUAUGCAAUGCUGUGUACCAGACCUGAUGUGUGCCUUGCUAUAAGUUUAACAGGGAGGUACCAAAGUAAUCCAGGAGUGGAUCACUGGACAGCGGUCAAGAACAUCCUGAAGUACCUAAAAAGGACUAAGGAUAUGUUUCUCGUAUAUGGAGGGGACAAAGAGCUCAUCGUAAAUGGUUAUGUUGAUGCAAGCUUUGACACUGAUCUGGACGAUUCUAAAUCGCAAACCGGAUACGUGUUUACAUUAAACGGUGGAGCUGUCAGUUGGUGCAGUUCUAAACAAAGCGUCGUGGUGGGAUCUACAUGUGAAGCGGAGUACAUAGCUGCUUCGGAAGCAGCAAAUGAAGGAGUCUGGAUGAAGGAGUUCAUAUCCGAUCUAGUUGUCAUACCUAGUGCAUCGGGUCCAAUGAAAAUCUUUUGUGACAAUACUGGAGCAAUUGCCUUAGCGAAGGAAUCCAGAUUUCACAAGAGAACCAAGCACAUCAAGAGACGCUUCAAUUCCAUCCGGGAUCUAGUCCAGGUGGGAGACAUAGAAAUUUGCAAGAUACAUACGGAUCUGAAUGUUGCAGACCUGUUGACUAAGCCUCUUCCACGAGCAAAACAUGAUCAACACCAAGGCUCCAUGGGUGUUAGAAUCAUUACUGUGUAAUCUAGAUUUUUGACUCUAGUGCAAGUGGGAGACUGAAGGAAAUAUGCCCUAGAGGCAAUAAUAAAGUUAUUAUUUAUUUCCUUAUAUCAUGAUAAAUGUUUAUUAUUCAUGCUAGAAUUGUAUUAACCGGAAACAUAAUACAUGUGUGAAUACAUAGACAAACAGAGUGUCACUAGUAUGCCUCUACUUGGCUAGCUCAUUGAUCAAAGAUGGUUAAGUUUCCUAGCCAUAGACAUGAGUUGUCAUUUGAUUAAUGGGAUCACAUCAUUAGGAGAAUGAUGUGAUUGACAUGACCCAUUCCGUUAGCUUAGCACCCGAUCGUUUAGUAUGUUGCUAUUGCUUUCUUCAUGACUUAUACAUGUUCCUAUGACUAUGAGAUUAUGCAACUCCCGUUUACCGGAGGAACACUUUGUGUGCUACCAAACGUCCCAACAUAACUGGGUGAUUAUAAAGGUGCUCUAUAGGUGUCUCCGAAGGUACUUGUUGGGUUGGCGUAUUUCGAGAUUAGGAUUUGUCACUCCGAUUGUCGGAGAGGUAUCUCUGGGCCCUCUCGGUAACGCACAUCACCUAAGCCUUGCAAGCAUUGCAACUAAUGAGUUAGUUGCGGGAUGAUGUAUUACGGAACGAGAAAAGAGACUUGCCGGUAACGAGAUUGAACUAGGUAUUGAGAUACCGACGAUCGAAUCUCGGGCAAGUAACAUACCGAUAACAAAGGGAACAACGUAUGUUGUUAUGCGGUCUGACCGGUAAAGAUCUGUAACACCCCAAAAAUUUAACCAGGUUUUAGUUAUUAAAAUUUUGCCAAGAGUUUAAGAUUUUUGCCUGCAAGAAUAUAUCUGUUGAUUUCAAAACUUUUCUUUUAAUAUUAAGGAGUUUUUCCCAAGUGGAUCCUUCCAAAACAUAUUGGACUUAUUUUCCCUCUCAUUUAAAAACAUCCCUCAAUCAGUAGUUUUAUUUAUAAAAUUAUUUCACCCUGAGCUUUAUUCAUUAAAUGACUUGUUUUAAAAUUUGGAGCUCUUUUUGAACUACAACAAUUUGAUAUAUUUAUCUAAAAAUCCAACCAAAAUUUGGAGAUGUCAUAUGAUGUUUUUAAAUCACUUUUAUACAAAAAUAUCUUUUAUUCUUGAAAUAUUUUGAGCUCUACACCCAAUUUUCUUCUCUGGUCCAGGGAGCAAUUUUGCACUACAACCCUUUUAAAUAUUUGUUUCUAGCUUACACCAAAAUUUUGGGAUGUCAGUAGGAGCAUACCAUUUCAUUAUAUGCAAAAAUCCAGGGUUGUUCUUUGAAAAUUUUGAGUGAAACAACCUCAUCUUUAUUCUGGCCCAACAUGAUGGUUUGUACAGCAACCACAUUUUUAGUUGCUCCUUUAUCCAUGAUUCCUCUUCCUACUUGUAGUCCUCCAUGUUAAACUCCUAAGUCCAGGAGCAUGCAACCAUUGGCACAUUUUUGGUUCAUGAAAUAAUGCCCUUCACCUCCUGUCCAGAUUUGAAGUUCUGCAAAACUUGCACUAGCAAGUUUAUGCUUUUCACUAACUAACCUCACCAACCUCUUGUGCCUCCAAAGAGACACUGAUCUGGAAGAAUUUGCCCCUCCAAGACCUGCCUAGAUGCCUCUGGCAUUUUAUCAAACACCCUGUGGGCAUGGACAGAUUUGGCAUGAUUGUAAGUUUGUGUUGUGAACUUUCCCAUCUGUCCAAACCAAGUUGUCUAAUAGCUUUCUAUAUGUCUCUAACCUAGGCUUGUGGAUUUGCAUUAGCUUCCUAGCAACUUGGCUCGCCCUGGCAUUUCGUCGAACGAGUGCCGUGCACGCCCAGAGCGCGAGCAGAGCGCGCGUUUUGCACGUGCUCGCGCCGAGCCAACUCACCCCCCCUGGAUAAGUUUCCCCGAGCUCAUCCAAAUCCUCUCCCUCUCGCCACGUCACGCUAGAAGCCCCGACCGCCUCCGCGCCCCCUGCAGCGUAGCCAGCAAGCGGCUUGGCGGCACGCCCGUGGCCGCACCCGCCACCGCCAUGAGCAGCACCGCCCAAACCACCACAGCGCGCCAGCUCGCCUCCUUCGACAGUGGAGUGAUCGUCGUUAGCCCCUGGAGCUAGCCAGCCACCGCCAUGUCGCUCUGCAGCACAGUAAGACGGUCGCCGGCGACCUUAUCCGCGGCUACCGUCGGAACCGACCCCGAGCGCCUAUUUAAGGAGGCCCCGAGCACGUUCCGUUCGCAGGCGGCCUCAGUACACUCCUCCAGUUCCCCCAUGGCAGCCAAUCGACCCGAGGAGGCCGUCUUCCUCAUCUCCGGCAACUCCAGCCGCCGCCGCUGUCUCGACCAUUCCGGCGCCACCAAAGCCUCCCUCUCCCCAUUCUCUUCACCAGGAGCUUCCUCUCCACCUCGUGAAUCCAUCCCCUUGCUCGAUUUCGAUUGGGACUCACUGUGGGAGAAAAACCACUUUGCCCGACGACCACCGUCCGCUGUGAAGCUCGCCGCCGGCAGCUCCGUCCACCCCAGAGACCGUAUCGACCACCGGAAUGACUGUCUCGAUCCCCUGAACCCGCAUAUGGCCUCCAUUUCCCGAACGAUGCCGCCAUUCGCCGGCAAACAUCGUCGGAGCUCCCGCCUCUGUUCGGCCAGAGGAAGGGGAGGGAGGGCGACUGGUCAAACAUGACUAGUGGCCCCCCUGGACCCACUGUCAGUGACCCAGCCCCGCCACCACAUGACUUAAGUGAAGACGUGAAAUCACAAAGUACGUUUCCUCCGCUCCGAAAACGUAUUCUUGUCUGAAACGUUUUCUUUUCUAUUUUUUUAUUUUAAAAACAGAUUUUUGACCACAACUUUGACUGGCUUUAUCUUUUUAAAUAUAACUCCAAAUGAAUUAAUUCUUUUUCCUACCUCUCUCAAAUAUUGUCUAGUUUAUUUUAAGAUUUAUUUGAAAAAAAUUCAGAACAACUUUUUGUGCUGUUUUUAUUUUGUGUGUUAAUUCAUUUAUUUCUAAAUAGGAUUUUUGAAGAGAAGAGAUAUACUUUCAAAAGUUUUGAAGUACACCCUGCCUUACCACACAUUGAAGGCAAGCAUUCUGAACCCCGGCAUAAUAUUUUUGUGUGUUCGAUGACACGUUUAUAACAUCACCUCACUUCGGAGAAACUUGUUAUUUCAUGUGACAUGAUCAUAUGCAUGGGUGCAUGUUAUUGAUUUCCAUGCUGUUGGAAAUGAACACACUUGUGAUGAUAAUCACCCUCAUGUGCCUUGCAUGCAUACCGGCAGGAACCCGGGAAAACCUCAGCCUUGGGUAGGCAUGAGUUUGUCGCCAGUCUCCGUCGGGACGGUUAUGUCUGGUAUGGCAUGGCAAUAUGAUAUGAGCGGUGACUCUGUUGGUUGAAAUAUAUUUGUUAUGCUAAUCAUGCAGGGAAUACUUAAACCUCCUGAGUCGACCGUAGAUCGAGUCUUGUUUCAGUAACCCCCAUACUUGUUUCGUACUACCACUCGUCUCUACAGCAAGUAGAGUACGGUUCAGUAAGUUGUCAACCUCUUUCUAGCACACACCGUACAGAGAGGCCAGGGUGGAAGAUACCGGUUGUAGCUGGUAGGCAGGCCACCUGGUCCGGGGGCAUGGGUGUUUCCGGUUGGGACCGAGAGGGGGGCACCCCUUAGAGCGCGCGGUAUAAAUUUGAUCCCAUGCUACGCGAGGUUGUAGCCUCCCCACUUAGAGUUUGCUUAACAGGUGUCAUGGGUGAUUCCAGACACGUGUGAGAUAGGCUGGUGUGUGCAAGUUAGGUGUGUUUUCAACAAAAAGACCGUAGACGGAAUUAGUCCCGAUGGACUAAAGAAAUCCAUUACUCGUGGGUAAAGAGUACACCCUCUGUAGAGAUUAAACCUAUUCGAAUAGCCGUGUCCAUGGUUAAGGACUACAGUCUGGGAUGGGUCAAGUAUCGGUCUUAGUGUCGGUCUUCGGAGGUGAAACUGUUAACCAGAACUGGAACAACAUGGAUUGUGACUUGUGACUUAUGAUGAUUAUGAUUAUUAUUAUUGUUGACUAACCCGUGAUAUUAUUGUUAUUAUCGAGUAUCUCUGGGAUGGUUCUACCUCCGGAAUAUUCCCUAUGAUUGUUUAUUUUAAAGCCCUUUAUGUGGUGUCGCUCAGACGCCCGACUGUGGCAUUUCUUUUAAAGCCCUUUAUGUGGUGUCGCUCAGACGCCCGACUGUGGCAUUUCUUUUAAAGCCCUUUAUGUGGUGUCGCUCAGACGCCCGACUGUGGCAUUUCUCUUAAAGCCCUUUAUGUGGUGUCGCUCAGACGCCCGACUGUGGCAUUUCUUUUAAAGCCCUUUAUGUGGUGUCGCUCAGACGUCCGACUGUGGCAUUUCUCUUAAAGCCCUUUAUGUGGUGUCGCUCAGACGCCCGACUGUGGCAUUGUUUGUUAUUUCAUACAUUCUAAUACUACUAUGUUAUUGCACUUUUAUAAAUAACUUGCUUGCACGCAUCAGAGUUUUAUUUAUCUUUUGUGACUGACGUCAUGAGCAUAAAAUAUUUUCAGCACAUCAUUGUUAUAUUAUACCUGUGUUCGUAAUGUUUGCGAGUACAUUCAAAGUACUCACUGGCUUGUCCCUGGCUAUUGUCUUGGCCAGAUUUUCUUGCACGGGGAGGAGCGACGCGAUGGCAGCCCGGAACCUAAGAAACGAUGAUAGCAGCCUCGUGAAGAUAGGAGUUAACCUGGUCAGCUGUUCCUGUGGGAAUUAGAGUCCCAUAGACACUGAUGAUCCACAAACCGCUUCCGCCAUCAACCACUAGAAACCAUUUGUUGUACUCACAGGCCAGAAUGGUCUUGCACUACAUAUUUUGUAUUUUGCUUGGAAUUUCUAUAUCAAGUUGGAGCCUCAUCAGCUAACAGUAAUCCUGGGGCUGAUGAGCACGACGGUCUUUUUCUGGAAAUUUAUACCCGGAAAAACCGGUCGUGACAAGAUCUUCAUAGAAUAUGUAGUAGCCAAUAUGGGCAUCCAGGUCCGGCUAUUGGUUAUUGACAAGAGAGGUGCCUCGGUCAUGUAUACAUAGUUCUCGAACCCGUAGGGUCCGCACGCUUAACGUUUGUUGACGAUAUAGUACUAUGAGUUAUGUAUGUUGGUGACCGAAUGUUGUUCGGAGUUUUGGAUGAGAUCACAGAUAUGAUGAGGAACUCCGGAAUGGUCCGGAAGUAAAGAUUGAUAUGUGUAUAGUAGUGUUUGAUCUCUGGAAGGGUUCUGGAAUUCACCGGAAGGGGUUCCGGAUGUUUCCCGAAAUGUUUGGGCACGAGAACACUUUAUCUGGGCCAAAGGGGAAAGCCCACGAGGUUUUUGGAAAGCGCAAAAGGAAGUUUUGCGGAGUCCAGGGGCUAGACGCCAGGGUCCCUGGCGUAUGGGUUCAGACGCCGGGAACCCUGGCAUCUGGCCCUGGAGUCCGAGAAGGACUCUUGCAUUUCGGGUGAAACUGACUUUGUGGAGGCUUUUACUCCAAGUUUCGACCCCAAGGCUCAACAUAUAAAUAGAGGGGUAGGGCUAGCACCCAAGACACAUCAAGAAACACCAAGCCGUGUGCCGGCAACCCCGUCUCCUCUAGUUUAUCCUCCGUCAUAGUUUUCGUAGUGCUUAGGCGAAGCCCUGCGAAGAUUGUUCUUCACCAACACCGUCACCACACCGUCGUGCUGCCGGAACUCAUCUACUACUUCGCCCCUCUUGCUGGAUCGAGAAGGCGAGGACGUCACCGAGCCAUACGUGUGCAGAACUCGGAGGUGCUGUGCUUUCGGUGCUUGGAUCGGUCGGAUCAUGAAGACGUUCGACUACAUCAACUGCGUUGAUAUAACGCUUCCGCUUCGGUCUACAAGGGUACGUAGACAACACCUCUCCCCUCUCGUUGCUAUGCAUCACCAUGAUCUUGCGUGUGCGUAGGAAUUUUUUUGAAAUUACUACGUUCCCCAACACCUCCCACAGGCCGUGUGUAUCCACAAAAUAGUAUCCUCCACGCCCGCUUGUAGCUGCACUCCGCGAAGGAGAAACCAAAGCUCUAGAAUUGCCAAAAAAUUGCCGGAUGCGCUACAAUGGCAGUGAAGUACAUCCUGAGCUGGGUUGCAGGCAGCAGCUAUCAGAAUUCGCUCUCUGACACUCGCUCUGAUAGAGAUGAACACUGGUGUUUGGCGUCGCGUAAAAUCUUGCGAUUUUUCUGACUUUCUCAUUCGCUAUUUUUUCUGGUACAAGGAAGAAACGGUGGCCAGUAGAGAUCCUACCUCGGCGCCAUGAUCUGGCUCAUGCCUGUGCCAUACCACGAGCACCAAGACCGGGUCCUAGCCCUACAUGCACGGCACGCACAACCGCGACACAUGCCUAACUGAAUUUAACUGAAAAAUGGAAAUUAACUACUGCUACCAAUGACUAGAUUAAGUUGUCAACAAAUCACCCCCUAAUCUUGUCAUUGCUGAUUUAUUUCCUAAGAACUCCAGUCAUGCCGAUCCUCCUCCUCAGCUCUUGAAACGCCAGACGUCCAAGUCCCUUUUUCAAAACAUCAGCGAGCUGAUCACUGGUUUGAAUGUAGUCGAUGUCGAUCUUCCCUCCCUCCAUGCACUCCCGGAUGAAGUGGAACCUAAUUUCAAUGUGCUUGCUCCGGUCAUGGAAGACGGGAUUCUUCGACAGAGAGAUCGCUGAUUUGUUGUCGACGAACAGCUUCGACGGCACUGUCUCCUUGUUCAGCAUCUCAUCGAGCAGCCAUGCCAGCCAAAUCCCUUGACACAUAGCUGUGGUGGUUGCAAUGUACUCGGCCUCGCAUGAAGAGAUGGCCACCACUCGUUUCUUUUGCGACUACCAGCUUAUAGGGUUCUCAUCGAGGAAGAAGAUGGUGCCCGUCGUGCUCUUCCGAUCGACGAUGUCCCUGACAUGAUCUGAAUCACUAUACCCUAUUAGCUUCAGCUUGCCCUUCCCGCGCUUGAACGCACAUCCGUGCUCCAGCGUCCCUGCUAUGUAACAAAGCAGGUUCUUCACCGCCGCAUAGUGAUUUGCAGCAGGGGCCUCCAUGAACCUCCUUAGAGCCUACAGCGAAGCUUACUUCUGGCCUUGUGUGGGUCAGAUACCGCAAACCUCCGAUGAUGCUUUGGUAGUACAUGACAUCCACGACAUCCCCGACACCGUCCUUGCUCAGCUUCAAUCUUGCCUGUAUUGGUGUGCUGACUGGGUUGCAGUCUGACAGCCCAGCUCGCUCCAACAAACGCUUGGCAUAUGCCAUCUGGCAGAGCAUGAUCCGAUCACGCUCCCGGUGGAUUUUGAUGCCAAGGUAGAAGCUGAAUUUGCCCAAGUCACUCAUGCAGAACAGCUUGGUCAUUUGCUGCUUGAAGCUUGCGAUCUCCUCCGUGUUCACGCUGGUGAUGAAGAGAUCAUCCACAUACACCCCAACGAGUAGCAGUGAGUUUCCUGUGCCUCGUCAGUACACCGCGUGCUCCGACGGACAACGCUCGAAGCCGAGUGUGCUCAGACUAUCAUCCAGCUUCGUGUUCCACGCCCUUGGAGCUUAGCGCAGACCGUACAUGGCCUUGCGGAGGCGCAACACCUUGUCUUCACGUAUCCCAGCGGCUGCUGCACAUACAGCUCCUCGAGCAGGUCACCAUUCAAGAAUGCUGACUUGAUGUCCAUGUGGUGUAUUUGCCAAUCAUGGUGAGCGACGAGGGUGAUCAACACACGCACCAAGUCCAUCCGCACCACGGGCGUGAACACAUCCUCAAAGUCAAUCCCUUGCCGUUGGACGUAGCCCUUGGCUACCGACCUCGCCUUGAGUUAGUCAUGAGAUCUUGUAUUACAGAACGAGUAAAGAGACUUGUCGGUAACGAGAUUGAACUAGGUAUGGAGAUACCAACGAUCGAAUCUCGGGCAAGUAACAUAUCACCGGACAAAGGGAAUUGCAUACGGGAUUACCCGAAUCCUCGACACCGUGGUUCAACCGAUGAAGAUCUUCGACGAAUAUGUAGGAACCAAUAUGGGCAUCCAGGUCUCGCUACUGGUUAUUGGCCAGAGAGGUGUCUCAGUCAUGACUACAUGAUUCCCGAACCCGCAGGGUCGCACGCUUAACGAUCGUUGACGCAACAGUAGUAUUGGGAUAUUUGAUGAUUGGUAACUGAAAGUUAUAUGGAGUCCCGGAUGAGAUCCCUGAUGUCACGAGGAGUCUUGGAAAUGUCGAGAGGUAAAGAUUUAUAUAUGGAAAGUCGUUUUCGGGAUUCUGGAAAAAGGUGUAGUUUUUCGGUGUUUUAUCGGGAAGCUUUGAGAAGGUUCCGGAGGGGUCCGGAAGUCCACAAGUGGGUCCACCAAGUCCCACAUGCCAGCAUGGGCUGAAAGGGGCUCCUUGGCCUUCAUGGGCCAGGCGCACCAACCCCUAAGAGUCCCAUGUGGCUAAGACAUGUGGAAAGGGACUAGGAGUCCAACUCCUACUAGGAGUAGGACUCCUCCCCCUUGGCGCCCGUCCUACUAGGAGUAGGGCUAGACUCCCAGCCCUCCCACACCUAUAAGUAUAGGGGAGGGGGCGCAGCAAGGCACCUCAACACAUUGGCAUUUGCUACUGCCCCGUCUCUCCCUCCCAGCAUAGUUCUAGUCCACGGUUUUCACUUAGCGAAGUGCUGCCAUUGCUCCACCACCACCAUCUCCACCACGUCAUUGUGUUGGUUGAGAUCCCAUCUACUUCUUCCCUUCUCUUGCUGGAUCAAGGAGGAGGAGAUGUCACCGAGCCGCACGUGUGCUAAACUCGGAGGUGUUGUUCGUUUGGUGCUAGAUCAGUUUGGAUCGUGAUUGGAUCACGAAGAGUACGACUACAUCAACCGCGUUAUAUAAGCUUUCGCUUAACGGUCUACGAUGGUACGUAGACACACUCUCCCCUCUCAUUGCUAUGCUUCUUCUAGAUAGAUCUUGGGUGUUAGUAGGAAUUUGAUUUUCAUGCAACAUUCCCCAUCAGCUUACAGUCAGGAGCAAAACUUUGGCUACUGCUUUUUUUGUCGCCGAGGUGCAAGGUAACUACAACGUCAUACUAGGCCGUGAUUGGGUUCAUGCAACCAAUGCGUGUCGUCUACUAUGCACCAGUUUUUCAUCAAGUGGGUUGAUGAUGAGGCAGAAAUCAUUUAUGUUGAUAACUGAUGCAUCAGUGGAUUGUCAACAUCCUAAUGCUACUUUCUUAACAGGGCGCGUUUUAAACAUGGUUAGUAUUUUAUGUAUACAUAUUCUUAUACAUGUCGGCGUUCUGGGAAUGGGGGUCCCCAGACUUGCCUGCCUGUGGCCUGCGGCGUGGCUCCAUCAGCGGCCCUGUACGGCCCAUCUUCACCAGCAAACACUCAAGACCCUCGCGAGGGGCCAAGCCUCGCGAGGCGGACGAUGCAAGACCUCCUCAGGGGUGGCCUCACUAGGCUGGCUCGCGAGCAGCGGAGAGAUCAAGGCAAGGGGCACCUCAUGAGAUUCCCGUGACGUGAGCCAUGACGACCAAGGCCAGACGGGUGCUAGCGGGCGCAUAGUACUCGUUUCCUCUUUGGUGCUAACGGAGCAGGCGCAGGCGAGGGGUCCCGAGGCAUUAGGCAAAGGUUUCCAUAUCGAUGCAACAAGACCAAGACCAGCAGGACGGCAGGACGGAGGUCAUCGCAGAGCCCACGGCGGCGUCACCACCAGAGGCUUUGGCAGGCGAAGACCAUCUUUUGUCAGGAUAGCUUGUACUAGUUGUCCCCCUUCAAAUUGGCCAUUGUGGGAUCCCUUCCUGCCUGAUAUUUGGGAAGAGGACCCGGGCCUCUAUAAAUAGGACUAGCCACCACCAUAGGAGGCAACUCAUCUGGGAUCGGAUCCAUUCCAUCCUCACACAUGCAAGCUCACCGAGCUCAAGAACACCUCUCCUUAGGAGGCUGUUCUUCCCUUGUACUUGUUCAUCCGUAUCCUACAAGGCAAUCCACCACACCACACUGGAGUAGGGUAUUACACCACAUCGGUGGCCCGAACUAGUAUAAACUCUUAUGUCCCUUGUUCUUCGGGUUCGGCGGGCCGAGCUUUGAGAUUGCGGUGAGAUCGUGAGCUAGGGGGAGAGAGAUCUUCGCGCGCACCCCAGAGUUUGAACCUUAAGGGUUUUUUGCUGGAACCCGUGAUCCGACAUUUGGCACGCCAGGUAGGGUGCGCUGGAGCCUCUCUUCCAUCAGCUGACCCGCCAACACUCUGCGGUUCCAAUAUCCGGCGACCCGAGGACCGACGCUGACAGCUGGGCAGCUUGGCCCGUCAGGGCAGCACCGUCCGCCCAGGAAGACCUCAACUCCGCACUCCAGGCGGCCCGCAUACUGCCGAACACCGCGGGGCGUGGGCGAUGCGGACCGGCAUCUUCCACCCUCACGCCGCGGUGCGCGCGGGCCGCCGCGAGGGCCUCAAGCUACGCAGCGGUGACAUCACCGCACACCCGGCGGGAGCAGGCGAACGUGCGGGCCACGCUCAUCAUGGCACGAGAGCUGUUACGGUGCAGGCUGAUCGAGAGCGGCCGCGAUGCAGUACUAGAACGCGUUGCUGAACUGAUGGACUGUGCUUGCAGGGGCACGCCGCCCUUCUGCUCCUUGUCCACUCCUCAGGUUGUGGCUGAGGCACGUGCAAGGGCCCGGCGAGCUCGUGCACCCCCCGGAGCAAUGGAGGAGCCAGGAGACACCAGCGUGGGCACCGGCGUCGCCUAUCCUACUGCAGCAACUUUGUCAUAGGCCGAGGCAAGCGCUGGUGGCCUACCAUGAAGCCUUGCUGGAGUGCGACCCAAUGGCCGCCAGGGCCUGGAGCCACGGCCAGGAGCUCAAGACGCGCUGCACUCAGGCGGUGGCCCCCCCCGGGGGGGGGGCAGCCGUCGAUGCCUAUGUGCCCCACAUGGUGAACCUGGAGUACAAGCUCGGGGAGGGCCCCAAUACACUCCUUGGGCCGGCAUGGGACGGCGGAACGCUGGAAGCAGGAGUUUUCCACGAGUCGCCUGAAGGCUCCGCCGAUCCCUUCAGCGACGACGGCGGGGUACAUCAGGUAUCGCAGGAGCAGGCGUGCACUAACCAUGGGUUGCAGGUGGACCAGGUCGUGACGGUGGUCGAGGACCCAAGGGCGGCGGUUCUGUCCCCGACCGGAGCAGAGCGCUGGGGGCUGUGCAUGGGGGGCUUGGAGCCACGGCCUCCCGCAUGCCGUGCAGAGCAAGGCGCCGGACGGAGGUAGGUCCUCUACCGGCGGAGCGCUGGGGAGCCCUUCCCCCCGGCAGAGGGCCCAUGGUCACCGGGGGCACCGCUGGCAUCCCCCUUGCCCCUUGGUCUCGUCCUGGUUUUCGGACGCCCCAAUAGUGGUCGGGGGUGGCGCAAGGCGGGGCCCUCUUCAGGCGAUAUGAACUAAGGCUCACGCCUGUGAAGGUCUCCACUCGUGAAACUCUCACGUAAUAAUGAGUGGGGUUGUACACGCCCUGGAGUCUUCGAGUGCCGCCCUUGGGCCUCAGGGGCUCCCGCCCAUGUCCCAGUGGUAGCACUUAGCUCCGCGCUGGUGGAAGACAAGAAGACUAGCUAGGCGCCGGACGCGGCUAUUUGCUUUCCUCUCCCAUUUUCUUUGUAACCUGGUUUGUCACCCUUUCGGCUUGAAUUUGAAGUCUUUCUCGUUGCAAAUAGUGGGGGGAGUUUUCCUUUGAUUUCUGCUGGUUCUAUCGCUUUCUGGUCAUGCACCUCGUUUUUAAGGCUUGCGCCUCAGGCCCUCCGGCUCGGGGGCUGGACGGUCGAUCCCACCAGGCAGGUCUACUCCACCUCGGCAGGACCCCCCUUGGGGCAAGAGUGUAUGCGCUGCAAAAUUGCUGCGUACGCAUCCUACCGCGGUCAGCAGGACGCCCCUGGCCAAGCUCCCCGCAGUAGGGCCGCAUGCUGCUCAGGAGGCUCAGGGCCGCGGACCCCUAGCGGUUUAUCUCAGGAGAAGGGCGUGCCAACUGCCCUGCAACCAACACAAGACCAGGUAGGUCAGGAUGAGUUGCGGUGGCGACCCUGCUUAGGAGCCCACCAACUCGCGGAAGCACGUCCCAAGUUCGGCUUUAAGACGGGAAGAGGAGAGAAGAACACCAACUUAUACACAUAGGGGGAUCUCCCCAUCAAAACACUCUCACACCCCACGGGGCCUUCUCCAAGUCUUUGCAUGCAGGGUGAAAACAGAGGGGUGCGAGCUUAGUCGGACAUGUCGCUCGCAACGUCAUCCGAGUCGCUCUCAUGCGCGCUGCCGGCGCUUUUGCUAGAGUCGUCUUCACCAUCAUCAACCACACCACCUUCGUCCGCCACGACCACGGCCUUGUCGUCUUCGGUAGCGAAGGCUCUGGCCAGAGCAUCCAUGUUAUCAUCCACCCAGCGUGCCAGGUUGUCCCGGAUAACUCCGGGCACGGGGGCGAUGGCAGCGUUGAAGUCAAAGUUGGGAUCGACAUUCUGAAGAUGGCUAAAGACGCGGGAGAACGCGCGUCCAAGGAGGCCCCGGCUCUUUUCCUCGACAAGCUCGUGAGCCCUCUCGGCCCAGUCCUCCAGGCGCGUCACGACAUCUGUGAAGAAGCGAAGAUGGCCGACAUAGUCCUCGGUGUGGGGAUGAGGGGCGUGCUCGUCGCAGAUGGCGCCGAGCGCCAGGUUGGCCCUCGUCCCGAGGUCCUGGAGCAUGGGGCAUGCUCGCGCUGCAACGUUUGUCGGCGGAUCGCCUCCUCCCUGCUCUGCUGCGCGAUGGACUUGGCAACGGUAACCCGCUGCUGAAGCGGGAGCAGCUCAGCUUGGGAGGAGGCCAACUCGGCCUGCACGGAGAUCAAGGCAGCCGCGGCAGCCUUCUCGCGCUGCUCCGCCCCAGCCAACCUCAACCUGAGGGCGGCGGUCCUGCCCUCAGCUUCAGCUUCCGUGAACUUCAGCUUCAGUUCGUACACAUUGGCAAGAUCAGCGCGAGCCUCGGUUGCCCUGCGAUCAACUUCUUCCUGGGUCCUCGCCUCGCGCGCGCUGGCAGCAUCUCCCGCUUGGGCAACUUGACGCUCCCUCGUCUCCAAUCGCUCAAGCUCGAGGCUGCGCUCCGUGGCCUCCAGCAUCAGCGCUUCCUCGCGCCUCAAGAUCUCCUCCUCGUCGGACGGCGCCCCCUUCAUCGAUGCCAAGGCAGCCCUACGUGCCUCCACUUGCUGCUCCAGGGAGGCAUUCAGGGCCUGGAGCUCCUACCAGCGCUUUUCGGCAACCUCGCGGUGGUGAUCUGCCUCCCUGGCCUCCUCCAAGGCUCGGGCGCUGUCCUCGCGCGAGGUUGCGUGGGAUGCUUCGGCCUUCGCGUUGGCGUGCUCGUGCUGGAGGCACCCGAGGUUGAUGGCCACCUUCAGUUGACGCCACUCGUCCACCAGCCGAAGGCCCUCGGUCUCAAGGAGGCGUCAACAUCCACAAGCUCCUCCCCAAGCCGACUCAGCGCACCCAUCGUCUCCCGGAAAAGCUCAUGACGGACAGCGCCCCUCUUGCGCGCCUGCUCGAGCGAACGACCAGGCCCGUCCUCCGCGCCAGAAGUCGCUGAAGAAAUCCGAAGAGGCACGCCUCCCCCCGGCAGGGGGCUGGAGGCCGUCCCCUUUCUAGUCGUCCUUCGAGUCUCAACAGAGGCUUGGAAGGGCGGAGGUUCGUUGCGUGAAGAAGACGCCAGGGCCGAGGUCACCCAGCCGCGGUCAAUAACCAGAGGAGGAGCCCUUGGCACACCUUCAGCACCCCAAGCAGGACCGCAAAGGGGGAAUGGCAAGAACACGGGGUCAAGAUGCUAGGCCGGCGCAUGCACCUCUCCGGCCGACCUUGCACUGAGUGUGGCAGGCCGGCUAGAGGUGCUCAGGAUCAGCAGAGGACUCGAGGUAGGAGAAGGCUGCUUCUCGGGAGAUUUCGCCGCCUUAGCAGAAGGGACCCUGAGGAAUCAUGCUCACGAGGGGAAGUAGCACUCGAGAAACUACAAAGAUAAGGUACUCACUCGUUUAUGGCGAUAUACUUCCUCUGUUUCAAUGGCCGGAAGGCAUCACCGCCGCAGCUUGGAGAUCCCUUCCUCUUCCGGAGUGCGUCACCAGCAAUGAAGGAGCAACUGUGCAGGUCGUGGUGGCCGCCUAGCUAGGCGGAUAUCAAGGCUGCAUGGGGAAGCGAGGAUGCCCAAGUCCCGUCAGUCGCCACGCAUCAAUCAAGGCCGCAUGUAGUUGGGGCCUGCGGCGCUUUGCACUUGCCCCUUGGCUUCGCCUCGAAGCCAAGUCCGAGUGCGCCUUAGGCCCGGGGGCUACUGUCGGUGUUCUGGGAACGGGGGUCCCCAGACUUGCCUGCCUGUGGCCUGCAGCGUGGAUCCACCAGCGGCCCUGUACGGCCCAUCUUCACCAGCAAACGCUCAAGACCCUCGCGAGGGGCCGAGCCUCGCGAGGCAGACAACGCAAGACCUCCUCAGGGGCGGCCUCACUAGGCUGGCUCGCGUGGAGCGGAGAGAUCAAGGCAAGGGGCACCUCGUGAGGUUCCCGUGACGUGAGCCAUGACGACCAAGGCCAGGCGGGCGUAGAGUACUUGUUUCCUCUUUGGUGCUAAAGGAGCAGGCGUAGGCGAGGGGUCCCGAGGCAUCAGGCAAAAGUUUCCAUAUCGGUGCAACGAGACCAAGACCAGCAGGAUGGCAGGACGGAGGUCAUCACGGAGCCCAUGACGGCGUCACCACCAGAGCCUUUGGCAGGCGAAGACCAUCUUUUGUCAGGAUAGCUUGUACUAGCUGGCCCCCUUCAAAUUGGCCGUUGUGGGAUCCCUUCCCGCCUGAUAUUUGGGAAGAGGACCCGGGCCUCUAUAAAUAGGACUAGCCACCACCGUAGGAGGCAACUUGAGGGAGUGCUGGAUUAGGGGGUAUCCGGACAGCCGGACUAUAUCCUUUGGCCGGAUUGUUGGACCAUGAAGAUACAAGAUUGAAGACUUCGUCCCGUGUCCGGAUGGGACUCUCCUUGGUGUGGAAGGCAAGCUUGGCAAUACGGAUAUGUAGAUCUCCUUCCUUGUAACCAACUCUGUGUAACCCUAGCCCCCUCCGGUGUCUAUAUAAACCGGAGGGUUUAGUCCGUAGGACCAAGAACAAUCAUACCAUAGGCUAGCUUCUAGGGUUUAGCCUCUACGAUCUCGUGGUAGAUCAACUCUUGUAAUACUCAUAUCAUCAAGAUCAAUCAAGUAGGAGUAGGGUUUUACCUCCAUCGAGAGGGCCCGAACCUGGGUAAAAACAUCGUGUCCCCCGUCUCCUGUCACCAUCUGCCUAGACGCACAGUUCGGGACCCCAUACCCGAGAUCCGCCGGUUUUGACACCGACAUUGGUGCUUUCAUUGAGAGUUCCUCUGUGUCAUCGUUGUUAGGCUUGAUGGCUCCUUCGAUCAUCGAUAGCGAUGCAGUCCAGGGUGAGACUUUUCUCCUCGGACAGAUUUUUGUUUUCGGCAGCUUCACACUGCGGGCCAACUCGCUUGGCCAUCUGGAGCAGAUCGAGAGUUACGCCCCUGGCCACCAGGUCAGGUUUGGAAGCUUAAACUACACAUCCGACAUCCGCGGAGACUUGAUCUUCGAUGGAUUCGAGCCCCUGCCGAGUGCACCGCACGGUCACGAUGAGCAUGAUUUAGCUCUGCCAUCAGACAGUGUUUAGGAGAUCGCACCGGCAACCGCUCCGACCCUCAAUUUGGAGCCAAUUGUGCCAUCCAUGGACGGGUGGAUAGACCCCGCCAUGGAGGCUGCAUUCUUAGGGGCGAUCGAGCCAAAUACCGACCUUACCCAUCAUGAGAGCCGUGACGCCAAACUGCCGGAUUCUUCCCCGGCCAUGGACUCCGAACCGCCUGCGCCCGUUCCUAUUGAAUCCGACUGGGCGCCGAUCAUGGAGUUCACCUCCACGGAUAUCUUUCAGCACUCGCCCUUCGGCGACGUACUGAACUCAUUAAGGUCUCUCUCCUUGUCAGGAGAGUCCUGGCCGAACUAUGUCCGGCCGGAUUGGGAUGCGGAUGACGAAGAAAUUCGCCGCCCACCCACCACCGACUUAGUAGCCACUAUCGAUGAUUUGACCGACAUGCUCGACUUCGACUCCAAAGACAUUGACAGCAUGGACAACGAUGCAGGAGACGAACAGGAACCACUGCCUACAGGGCACUGGACACCCACUUCAUCUAUGAUGUAUACAUGGUGGACACACCCAAAGAAAACGACGACGAGGAACGGAAGGAUGCAGUGAAGGAUCGUUCCCUCGAGAAGCAGUCCAAGCGGUGGCGUAAGUGCCGCUCCAAAUCCCGCCUCGACAGAAACAACGAUCAUAUAGACCCAGCGAUAGAGCAGGGUGAGCCAGCGGACGACGAACACGGCAUGGAACUGCCGUCCGACCACGGCAACACGGAGAAUCAAACCAAACAACCCGUCCCCGGCGAAGAUAACAGUCCGGAUGACAUCACACUGGACAAGCACCUGGAGCAACAGAAUCUCCAUCAAAGGCUUGUCGCCACUGCGAGGAGUCUGAAAAAGCAGAAGCAAAAGCUCAGGGCUGCACAAGAUACACUCAAAAUUAGAUGGAGUAAAGUACUCAACACCGCAGAAAAGUACGGCGGCAGUCGCCACACAAAGAGCUACCCGAAGCGAAAGCUGCUGCCUGAAUUCGAUGAUGAGGCCUUAGAGCCCCCGCAAUCGAAAAACAAAACAGCCAUCCGGUCGGAUAGACGACCUCGUGGCCAUCAUAGAGCGGCAAAUGACGCCGCACACAAACCAGUGCGCGAUCCACGUGAGGACUCGCAUCAAAAGGCCGACGCAACCAGAUCCAUCUACGGACCAAGAAAGCGCGCCCCAGUGCACAAUGCAACGCAACAAAAAUCCGAACACCACGUUACACCCAAAUACAGGGGUGCCGCACACCCCCUAUGUUUUGCCGAUGAGGUGCUGGACCAUGGAUUUCCAGAGGGAUUCAAACCCGUAAACAUAGAGGCAUAUGACAGAACGACAGACCCUGGGGUAUGGAUUGAGGACUACAUCCUCCAUAUCCACAUGGCUCGAGGAGACGAUCUCCAUGCCAUCAAGUACUUACCCCUCAAGCUCAAAGGGCCAGCUCGACACUGGCUUAAAAGCCUCCCCGAAAACUCCAUUGGAAGUUGGCAAGAGCUCGAGGACGCUUUUCGGGCAAAUUUUCAAGGGACCUAUGUCCGACCACCCCAUGCAGACGAUUUAAGUCAUAUAACUCAACUGCCCGGAGAGUCAGCCCGAAAGCUUUGGAACAUGUUACUCACUAAAAAGAACCAAAUAGUCGACUGUCCGGAUGCCGAAGCCUUAGCAACUUUCAAGCACAGCGUCCGAGACGAAUGGCUGGCCAGACACCUCGGUCAAGAAAAGCCGAGAACAAUGGCAGCCUUAACAAGCCUCAUGACCCGCUUUUGCGCGGGCGAGGACAACUGGUUAGCCCGAAGUAGCACCAGCGACCCAAGCACAUCCGAAGUCAGGGACGGAAAUGGGAAGCCACGACAAAAACAAGUGCCGGAAUAAAGAAGACAGCCCAAAUAGUACGGCGGUAAACGCCGGAUUCAGCAACUCUCGGCAAGGUCAGCGAAAGUUGCCCUCCAAAAGCAACAGAGACGAAUUGUCCAGCCUAAACAAGAUUCUGGACAAACUAUGUCAGAUCCACAGCACCCCCGAUAAACCUGCAAAUCAUACCUAUAGAGAAUGUUGGGUCUUCAAGCAGUCCGGCAAGCUAAACGCCAAACACAAGGGGCUGGAUACACCAAGCGAAGACGAGGAUGAGCCUCGCCAGCAAAGCACUGGGGAACAGAAAAAAUUCCCACCAGAAGUCAAAACAGUAAACGUGUUACACGUGAUGAAGGGGAGAAACAAAGUGGCACGCCCAAAGACACAUGGCCCAUGACCUAUCACCACAGAGUUCAGCCACUGGUCAUCCCAACCGAUCACUUUUGACCGUAGGGAUUACUCGGCAAGUAUCUGGCAGGCAGGAUUGGCUGCCUUGGUGUUAGACCCGAUAAUUGACGGAUACCAUUUCACAGGAGUCCUGACGGACGGCGGCAGUGGUUUAAACCUGAUAUAUCAGGACACAGUCCGCAAAAUGGGGAUAGACCCAACGAAAGUCAGCCAUAGCAAUACUACCUUUAAAGGAGUAACGCGAGGCACAGAAGCUCACUGCACGGGCUCUCUGUCUCUAGAGGUUGUAUUCGGCUUUCCCGACAACUUCCGAAGCGAAAAGCUAACCUUCCAAAUCGCUCUGUUCCAAAGUGGCUAUCAAGCACUACUCGGACGUGAAGCUUUCGCUCGCUUUAACACAAUACCGCAUUACGCUUCUCUCACGCUUAAGAUGCCCGGUCCACGUGGCAUCAUUACAGUAAAUGGAAAAAAUUGAGCGUUCCUUGCGCGCGGAAGAUCGUGCGGCCGCCCUGGCAGCCGCACACUAGACGACCUCACCAACCAGAGUAGAUGACCGGUCGUUAAGACUAUGGACACGGUUAGACGAGUCCGGCGUAGUUACAUAUAAUUGGUACAGGUUUGAUGGCUAUACUCCUAUAACAAUACAAGGGGCUCAACGCGUGUAAACAAGUGACAAUUCGGCUCAACUUUACUCAUCUUGAACUGUACAUGGUUUAUUUAGUAUAACAUACCUUUUGCACGACAACUUUUCAACUAAGUUCCUCUCUUUUGCAGAUGACCAUCAUGCUACACCCGUCCAGGAUACGGCACAACGGAGACACAGGCGCAGACGUGCAGCAGGGACCCGUUCCAAGGCUUCUUUUUAGAUUAAGACCCUGCAUAAACCUUUUUUACUGUCUCUUGUUGAUACACAUCCCCCGGAUUCUCCGUACAACCGAGCAGCAUGCUGACGUUAUUGGCUUGUGGCCACGUCAGAAUAUUGCACGUACCUGGACACUAGGGGCUUAUUACAAAGGGCUUUGUUUAGCCCGGUUUACAUCACAAAAGACCAAUACCUUAGGGAGUGUUCGGCCUCGCGAGUUUGGCCUUAUAUGCAUCAGCUCCGAAUCAUGUCUUUGGUCAAAUGUUGGGUUUGCCCGGCUCCUAUGUUUUGCUGCCUUACGUUCCGCUCUAUCGGCUAAGGCGGCACCAGGAGAACUACUGCGAUUGUGCCCUGGUUCAUCCGGACGAGCACCUCAGUAGAGAAAGCCGAAAACUGAGUGUCAUGAUAUAGCGUGAGACUGGUCAACCACUCGAUGACCUAGCAGAAUCUUCGGGAUUCCUCUGCCUUAACGAAGGGUCGUUUCCCGGCCAGGCAUGUACGCGCCCUAAAUUCGGACGAGCGCAGAGCCACCAGGGGCUAUAUAGUAGCCCCACUGUCGAACUCCUCUGGCUAAGUGAAAGCGUUAAAGCAUUAUAGUCCGAUUGCCUAGUUCUCUGUGCCAUCACCUCCUUAAUGGACCAAGACGUUGGAUCAAGUGUGAACGUGCGUCUUCUGUGAACACCCCCGCAUUAUAUGCGUGGGGGCUGAAGCCGACGACUGCCAUCUUUUAGGUUAUAUACAUAUAUACAUAAAUAGCCGCACAGGAGGUAUUAUAAUUCUUUCAGGCAAAAGUAUAAAAUAGCCUUUACAAUUCAGUAAAACAUCGUUUUUCGGUAGGAAUACAUGUCAUUAGAGCAUAAUAUUCUUCGAGCACUGCGCUUCUAUUGAACGAGCACCCUCAAGAACUUCUCGAAAGUAGUGCUCGGCAGGUACUCGGCUCUCGUCUGAAUCUUGGGCGGCAAUGGCGGUGGCCUCCAUCUCUGCCCAGUAUGUCUUGACACGGGCAAGGGCCAUCCGCGCACCCUCUAUGCACGCCGACCUCUUCAUCGCGUUGAUGCGUGGCACUGCACCAAGGAACUGUUGCACCAAACUAAACUAACUGUUCGGCUUUGGCCCUUCCGGCCAUAGAUGAUCCACAACAGACCUCAUGGCAAGUACGGACAAUCUAUUAAGCUCGGCCCAUUCGGCCAACCGAUCAGUCAAUGGAAGCGGAUGCUCUGGAACGUUAAAUUGUGACCAGAACAUCUUUUCCAUUUCGCGAUCUUUUUUAUCUCGGAAGUAUUCGGCCGCAUUGGUAGCACUCGCUGCUAAGUCCAGAUACGCGUCCGCAGAACUCCACAGCCGGAGCAUACAAGGGGCAUACUUAGGAUCUCCGAACUUCAUCCGCAGCAUAAAGGGCUUCCCAGCCGCAAUAUCUCCGGCUUGACGCAGCUCCUCCAUCGCUCUCAUUGCGGAGCGGGUGUCUUUGGCCGCCACCAUGGCCUUCUCCAUGUCUGUGAUCUUCGCUCGAUCUUCAUUUUUUAGAAGCUCGUAACGGUCAGCGGUAUUCUUCAAUCCCACAGCCAUCCUGGCUAUUUCUUCCUUGCUUUGGCAGUGAGCAGCCUGUUCGGCUUUCAGCUCCUCGACUGCCUUCAGGGCAGCCGCAUCACUUUUCCUGGCUUGUUCUUUGGCUCGGGCAAGUUCGGCCCGAAGGUUCUCCACGGCCGCAGCUCCAUCUGCAUUCAAAAACAUGUUAUAGAUACUGGCAUCAUGCUCCUCUUACCAUGUGUCACCGGAGAAAUCACAUACCCUGUGCCUCGUCAAGCCACUUGUUGACAAGUACGAUGUCGGCGUCUGCCACAUCAAGCUGCCGCUUUAGAUCGGCAAACUCAUUAGUCCGGCUGGCCACCGGAACCUCCGCCAUCUGCAUAUUAAGGCGGCACAAUUAUUCCUGGGACUAUGAUCCUCUGUGCACCGUUGUCUUCGACAGCACCCCGAGUCUUUCACCGGACGAAAUCCUUUCAAUCACCGUACCCAUAGACGUGCGGUGCUCUUCUGAGAUAGCCGCUUGCUUUAGCAGAUCCUCCAGUACGUCCGACCGCACACCAUGCGGCGCCGGACUCUUCCGAUUGCUCUCUUCAAAAGCCGGAUACUGAGGACUUCGGGCAUCCAAAAAGUCAUCCUCUGGCCCUGCUGGAUCAGGAGAAACCCUCCGCUACAACACUUCGGGGUCGCCCGCCUCACGAGACAGGAUGGUAGGGGGAGGCGUCUCACUUUCCAUCAUCUUCGGAAGAAGAUCCCCAAAAGAUGAACUCUGUCGAGAUGGGCUAUGAUCCGAAUUGCAAGAGGAAUAUUUUCCUCAGAAGUAAGGCAUGAUAUUUCCACUAUAAAGUUCCCUUUUACUUACAGCUCGAUGGAGGGCUGAUCCCCUUGAGGGCAUAGUGCGGCCGGGGUAUCCCCCAGGGCAGGACCCUCUGGCAAAGAUUUCUUCCCCCAUUUGGAGACCAUUGUCUCUGGGUCCUCAGAGGCGGUCCUCUUCCUUCCUUGGGGAGAGGAAGUUUCAGUUCCUUCCCCCGGUUAUCCUCCUUCGCGGAGGCGCCAGCCUCCUUGUUCCCCCCUUUAUCUUCCCCUGAGGGCGCUUGAUAAGGCACGGUCUCCAGCAUCCUGGUUAGCACGGGAUUCGGUGAGGUCUCAGGGAGGGGGGCCGGACACCUGAUCAACUUCACCUUCGCUAUCCAAUCCUGGUCAAAGAGCGGCUUUUUAGGGCGACGUUGCGAUAAAUAAACAGACCGUGUGUUCGGAUGCGGGGCUACUUACUUGGGUAUCCGGGCGAUUGCAGCUCAGACCUGCAUCCUCAGUGGUGUCCGGACACAUUAUUUGUGGUCCGAAGAACAAUUUGUACAUCUCCUCGGGCGUCAUGCCAAGGAAGUGUUGAAUAGCUCGCGGUCCCUCCGGGUUGAACUCCCACAUGCGAAGGGGACGACGUUUGCAGGGCAGAACUCGGUGAAUUAACAUGACUUGCAUUACCAUGACCAGACUGAUAUCUCUCUCAAGGAGAUCUCGUAUGCGGCUCUGCAAUGUGGGCACAUCCUUUACUGGUCCCCAGUCCAGUCCUUUGUUGACCCAUGACGUUAGUCGUGGCGGGGAACCCGAGCGAAAGACAGGUGGAGCCACCCACUUGGUACCCCUGGGAGCUGUGAUAUAAAACCACUCUUGUUGCCAUAAGCUGGACACCUCCUGGAAAGAGCCCUCGGGCCAUGGGGCAUCGGCAUUUUUGCUUAUUACGGCGCCUCCGCACUCUGCGUGCCGCGCCUCGAUCAUCUUCGGCUCCACUUUGAAGGUCUUGAGCCACAGUCAGAAGUGAGGGGUAAUACGGAGGAAAGCUUCACACACGAGGAUGAACGAUGAGAUGUGGAGGAUAGAUUCCGGAGCUAAAUCGUGGAAAUCCAGCCCGUAAUAAAACAUGAGCCCCCUCAUGAAGGGAUCUAGAGCGAAGCCUAGCCCUCGAAGGAAGUGAGACACAAACACAACGCUCUCGCCGGGUUUGGGGGUAGGAAUGACCUGCCCUCAAGCACGCAGCCGGUGCGGGAUCUCGCCGGUCAGAAACCUAGCCUCCCUUAGCUUUUUCACAUCUUUCUCCGUGACGGAGGAAGGCAUCCACCAACCUUGAAGGUUGGAUCCAGACAUAGUCGGAGGUCCGAAGCACCUAAACUUGAGCUUUGAGUGUUGGAACUCGAGGCGGGGGUGGAUUCAAUUAAGAUCGAAAAGGAAAAAGAAUAGGCCUUGGUCUCCUCGUGACCGUUUGGGACUUGCCUACAAUCGAGGAGUCGUACCAACGGGCACGAUUGGGUUACCCACGUCCAUGUUGAUGAGAAUCCCGUAAUAAAGGGGACACGAUCUCUGCUCCGACAAGACAUGCCAAGGAAACCGCCUCGCUAUACACGCUGAGAUUGGUUAUGAAAAACGAAUAAAUGACCUGGCUGCGGUGUGAUGUCACACUGCGAAAUACGUCAGCAGAUUAGAUUUGUGGAAAUAUUAUUCUCUCUACGACGGUAUGUGGAACUUGUUUUGCAGAGCCGGACACGAUCCUCGUGUUCAAAAUCUUCUAUGAAAUAUUCGGAGGAGGAACCCGCCUUGCAAUGCCGAAGACAAUUUGCGCGCCGGACUCAUCGUCAUUGAAGCCUAGUUCAGGGGCUACUGAGGGAGUCCUGGAUUAGGGGGUAUCCGGACAGCCGGACUAUAUCCUUUGGUCGGAUUGUUGGACAAUGAAGAUACAAGAUUGAAGACUUCAUCCCGUGUCCGGAUGGGACUCUCCUUGGCGUGGAAGGCAAGCUUGGCAAUACAGAUAUGUAGAUCUCCUUCCUUGUAACCAACUCUGUGUAACCCUAUCCCCCUCCGGUGUCUAUAUAGACCGGAGGGUUUAGUCCGUAGGACCAAGAAUAAUCAUACCAUAGGCUAGCUUAUAGGGUUUAGCCUCUACGAUCUCGUGGUAGAUCAACUCUUGUAAUACUCAUAUCAUCAAGAUCAAUCAAGCAGGAGUAGGGUUUUACCUCCAUCGAGAGGGCCCGAACCUGGGUAAAAACAUCAUGUCCCCCGUCUCCUGUUACCAUCCGCCUAGACGCAUAGUUCUGGACCCCCUACCCGAGAUCUGCCGGUUUUGACACCGACACAACUCAUCUGGGAUCGGAUCCAUUCCAUCCUCACACACGCAAGCUCACCGAGCUUAAGAACGCCUCUCCUCAGGAGGCUGUUCUUCCCUUGUACUUGUUCAUCCCCAGCCUACAAGGCAAUCCACCACACCAUACUGGAGUAGGGUAUUACACCACAUCGGUGGCCCGAACCAGUAUACACUCUUGUGUCCCUUGUUCUUCGGGUUCGGUGGGCCGAGCUUUGAGAUUGCGGUGAGAGCGUGAGCUAGGGGGAGAGAGAUCUUCACGCGCACCCCAAAGUUCGAACCUUAAGGGUUUUUGCCAGAACCCGUGAUCCGACAAUACAUGGUUCGUAUUUUCAAUAUAUAUGAUUAUCUUUUCUUUAAUCUCACAUACAUUUCUUGAAACACAUGAAUAGUUUUUUACAAACAUUUUUUUAACAAUUUUAACAUGUUUUUUAGAUAAUACUCCCUCCAUCCCGUAAUUCUUGUUGCAGGGGUAGUACAUUUCUUUUUCUGCAUUUUAGUCCUUCCACUUUCAAAGCUUUAGAAAUUAAGCCCCCAUCUCCUUCCUCCUCCUCCCGUCGCCCGCGUCGCCACGGCCAGCCGUCUCCAGGAGAAGGUAGCCGCCGACGAGCAGUUCCUCAGCCACUAACGAGCCCGCCCACGAACAUGACCUCCACUGCCCACGAGGAGGAUCUCCGCUGGCCGCCCACGAGGAGGACUCCGCCGGCCGCCCACGAGGAGGACCUCCGCUACCCACCGACGAGUGGUUCUCUGUCGCCCACCAACGAGUUGUUCCUCCACCACCCACCACCGCCGCACUGGUCCACUCCGCCCAUGAUUCCGCUGCUCACUGCCGCCGCGCUGGUCCGCUUUGGCCCACCGGCUGGUUGAGGUGGUGCUGGCUAGCGACGCCUGUGCCACCACUGCUGCUGCUGGUGGGCGACGCCGACGCCCUCCGAUCCCCGCCCCCGACCCCCGAGGCCUCCGCCUCUGCCUCUGCUACUCUGCUGUGGUCCUGUAGCUUAUACAUAGUGAUAUUGAUCCGCAGCUCGCUUGGCGUGAUCGUGUUGAUCAGCAGCAGCAGAGCUCCAGUAGCAGCUCCCUUGUGCUCCUCUGGCCUGCUCCUUGUGUUGUCGCCAGAGCUCGGUUCCUAAGGAAGGAAGAAGGUAAAAUUCAAUUAAAAUUGUCCGGUUUCAGUUAAUCUGUACUCCAAACUGUUAAAAUUUACUAUCAAUUUUCAGCAAUGUCGCAUUGAGCCUAAACCUUUUUGACAGUACAAGCAAUGCAACAUUGAGCCUCCGCCUCUGCUACUGUUUGCCUGAGCGCCGACCUUGGCUUCCUCCAGAGCCCCCACCUCUGCUGAUGUCUGGGUACGUACGGAAGCAGAUCAAUUAUAGUGAAAUUAAUAGUCACAGAGAAACUGAUAGUCUUCUAUGAAAUUGAAUGUUUGUCUAGAUCAAUUAUUGCUAGCAUUAUGGAACUAGAGAAGAUCAUCCAAUUUUGAACAUACGCAAUCACUGUACUUUGCUAACUGUCAAAUUUUUAAGUCACUGAACAUAUGCAGUCACUAAACAUAUGCAAAUUUGGAGAACUAUUUGGUACUGCUGGAAUUACUCCUGUUUGGAGUACCCCACAAAUUAUGAAAGUUUGGAGUACAAAAUUCAGUUUGUUACUGCCAGUUUGGAGUACUGUUUGCAACUUAUGAACGCAACUUUUGUAAAAUGGCUUUGUUUCUCUGUGUUUCUGAUGCCUUUUGCUUCCAAAGGCAGUUCAGUUCACUCCAUAAAACAGUAGUCCAAAUUGUACUCAAACGGUCAGAUUUUGUAACUGUACUUAAGGCCAAAAUUCAGUGAAAACAUUGCCAAACUGUUAAAAUUCAGUUAAAAGAUUUGUACCUUCAUGCAGACUAAAAGGAGUAGGUUAACUUUAAAGUGCUAGUUAUCGACUAGAGGGGGGUUGAGGGAGUCCUGGAUUAGGGGGUGUUCGGGUAGUCGGACUAUACCUUCGCCGGACUCCUGGACUAUGAAGAUACAAGAUUGAAGACUUCGUCCCGUGUCCGGAUGGGACUUUCCUUGGCGUGGAAGGCAAGCUUGGCGAUGCGGAUAUUCAAGAUCUCCUACCCUUGUAACCGACUCUGUGUAACCCUAACCCAAUCCAGUGUCUAUAUAAACCGGAGGGUUGUAGUCUGUAGGACAAUCAACUCCAUACACAAUCAUACCAUAGGCUAGCUUCUAGGGUUUAGCCUCCUUGAUCUCGUGGUAGAUCUACUCUUGUACUACCCAUAUCAUCAAUAUUAAUCAAGCAGGAGUAGGGUAUUACCUCCAUCGAGAGGGCCCGAACCUGGGUAAAAACAUCAUGUCCCUUGUCUCCUAUUACCAUCCGACCUUGACGCACAGUUUGGGACCCCCUACCCGAGAUCCGCCGGUUUUGACACCGACAUUGGUGCUUUCAUUGAGAGUUCCUCUGUGUCAUCGCCUUUAGGCUCGAUGGAUCCUUUGAUCAUCAGUAACGAUGAGGUCCAGGGUGAGACUUUUCUCCCCGGACAAAUCUUCGUCUUCGGCGGCUUCGCCCUGCGGGCCAAUUCAUUUGGCCACCUGGAGCAGAUCGAAAGCUACGCCCCUGGCCAUCAGGUCAGGUUCGGAAGCCUAAACUACACGGCGGACAUCCGUGGAGAUUUGAUCUUCGGCGGAUUCGAGCCACAGCCAAGCGCGCCGCACUGUUUCGAUGGGCAUGAUCUAGCUCUGUAGCCGAAUAGCGCCUUGGAGGCCGCACUGGCUCCGACCCUUAAUUCGGAGCCCACUGCGCCAAUCGAGGAUGAGCAGUUGGACGUCACCUUGGGGGCUGCGAUCUCAAGGGCGAUCGAGCCGAAUGCCAGCCCCGCACUCCGCGUGACUCAUGACUCCGAGGAUCCGGACUCCUCUCUGGACUCCGAACCCCUCGCGCCCCUACCGAUCGAGUCCAAUUGGGCGCCGAUAAUGGAGUUCACCGCCGCGGACAUCUUUCAGCACUCGCCUUUUGGUGAUAUCCUGAAUUCUCUCAACUCUCUCUCUCUUUAUCAGGAGAGCCCUGGCCGGAUUACGGUCAGAGAGGAUGGGAUACGGACGAUGAAAAAAUUCAAAGCCCACCCACCACCCACUUUGUAGCCACUGUCAACAGUUUAAACGACGUGCUCAACUUCGACUCCACAGACAUCGACAACAUGGAUGACGACACAGGAGAUAACGACGAACCAACGCCCAUAGGGCAUUGGACAGCCACCUCAUCUCACGAUGUGUACAUGGUGGAUACCCCUAGAGGAAGCGACAACGAGGAAAAAGGGGAUGGAACGGGAGAUCGACCCCCCGAAAAGCAAUCAAAGCGUCAGCGUAAACGCUGACCCAAGCCCCGCCUCAAUAAAGACCCAACCAUAGAGCAGGAUGAGCCGGUAGACGACGAGUAGGCCUUAGAGCAACCGUCUGAACAGGGCAACAUGGAUAAAGAAACCGAACAUCCCUCGCCCGGCGAAAACGGCAUUCCGGACGACCUUACGCCGGAUAGACCCACAAAGAAGAAGAAUCUCCACAAGAGGCUCAUUGCAAUAGCACGAAGCCUGAAAAAGCAGAAGCGGAAGCUAAAAACAGCGGAAGACGCACUCCGGAUUAGAUGGAGCAAAGUAAUCAAUACCAUAGAUAAAUACGGCGACGGUCGCCGCACUAAAAGCUAUCCGAAAAGAAGGCUGCUGCCCGAAUUCGACGAAGAGGCUCUAGAGCCCCCACAUUCAAAAAAUAAGAAAGCCAGACGACCCCAUAAAGCGGCAAGCGGCGCCGCACUUAAAAUGGCAUGUGAUCCACCUAAGGAUUCGCAUCACGGCCUAGUGAGGUCCAUUUAUGGGCCAAGAAAGCAAGCUCUCGUAAGCAAUGCAAUAAAGCCAUCAUCAGAAUCCGGCACCCCCAGAUACAGGGGCGCCGCACACCCCCUAUGUUUCACUGAUGAGGUUUUGGACUAUGAAUUCCCAGAGGGAUUCAAACCCAUCAACAUAGAGGCAUACGAUGGAACAACAGAGCCUGGAGUCUGAAUCGAGGACUAUAUCCUCCACAUACAUAUGGCCAGAGGAGACGAUCUCCACGCCAUCAAAUAUUUACCCCUUAAGCUUAAAGGGCCAGCCCGGCACUGGCUUAAAAGCCUUCCUGAAAACACAAUUGGAAGCUGGGAAGAGCUCGAGGAUGCUUUCCGAGAAAAUUUUCAAGGGACCUAUGUCCGCCCCCCGGAUGCAGACGAUCUUAGUCACAUAACUCAACAGCCCGGAGAAUCAGCUCGGCAGUUCUGGAAUAGAUUCCUCACUAAAAAGAAUCAGAUAGUCAACUGUCCGGACGCCGAAGCUUUAGCAGCUUUCAGGCAUAAUGUCCGAGACAAAUGGCUCGCCAGACACCUCGGCCAAGAAAAGCCAAGAACAAUGGCCGCACUAACAAGCCUCAUGACCCGCUUUUGUGCAGGAGAGGAUAGCUGGUUGGCAAGGUCCAGCCCCAGCGACCCAAGUACAUCCGAAACUAGGGAUGGAAACGGAAAACCACGACGCAACAAGGACCAUCGCCGAAUUAAGGAAAAAAGUCCGAAGAGCACGACAGUUAAUGCCGGAUUCAAAGGCUCACGACCAAAUCAGACAAAACCACCCCUCCAAGAUAACAGGGAUGAUCCAUCCAACUUAAAUAAAAUCCUGUACAGGAUAUGUCAGAUACACAGUACUCCCGGGAAGCCUGCUAACCAUACCCACAGAGAUUGUUGGGUUUUCAAACAGUCCGGCAGACUCAAUGCCGAACACAAGGGGCUCGACACACCAAGCGAAGACGAGGACGAACCCCAAAAGCAGAGCACCAGGAAACAAAAGAACUUCCCACAAGAAGUAAAAGCAGUGAACUUACUUCACAUAACAAAAUGUGCCGCGCCCAUAAAGGCACGCACCACCCGACAUAUACCCAAGGGAUCCUGCCACUGGUUGUCAAAACCAAUCAUCUUCGAUUAGCUGGAUUACUUGAAAAGCAUCAGGAACGCAGGCUGGACUGCCUUGAUACUCGAUCCAAUAAUCGGCGGAAUCCAAUUUUCAAAUGUCCUUAUGGACGACGGCAGCGGACUAAACCUGAUGUAUCAGGACACAAUCCGUCACAUGGGGAUAGACCCAGCGAGAAUCCGCCAUAGCAAAACCUCCUUUCAAGGGGUAACACCUAGUCCGGACACCCAUUGCAUGGGUUUACUCCGACUCGAAGUUAUAUUCGGUUCUACCAAUAACUUCCGCCGCGAAAAGCUGACCUUCCAUGUCGUCCCGUUCUCAAGUCGCUAUCAAGCACUACUAGGACGCGAAGCUUUCGCCCGCUUUAACGCAAUACCGCAUUAUGCAUCUCUCACGCUUAAGAUGCCCGGUCCACGGGGAAUCAUCUCUUUGAAGGGGAAGCACUGAAAUGCGCAUCCCCCAAGCGGAGGACUGUGCGGCUGCUUUCACAGCCUCACAGUAAAAUGGUCUCAAUGGCCAAAAAAAACUUCGAAAUAGGUCACUAAAGACCACAAACACGGAUAGACGAGUUCGGCGCAAAAAUCACCAUUGAUGCAGGCCUAUUGGCCACAUACCCCCACACUAGGGGCUACAUGCAGAGACAAUAAAGCUCAAUUUUAUAUAUUUUACUUUAUACAUUGUUUGUUUCAAACCUUUGUCCGACAUGACCCAUUUUUAAAUAAGUUCCUCUUUUUUACAGAUGAACGUCAUGCGGCGCCCGUCCAGGAUACGGCACAACGGAGACACAGGCGCAGACGUGCAGUAGGGACCCGUCUUAAGGAUUCUUUUUAGAUUAAGACCCUGCGUAAACCUUUUUUACUAUCUCUCGUUGUUACAUCUCCCCUGGUUUUCUUUAACAUAACCACGGAGGAGGCUGGCGUCUUGGCAUGUGGCCACGUCAGAAUUCUUGCGCGUACCUGGACACUAGGGGCUUUUUUACUACAAAGUGUUGUUUUUCCCGCACUCAUAAAGACCGAACACCCUAGGGAGUGUUCGGCGUCGCGAGUUUUGGCACUAUAUGCAUCAGCUCCGAAUCAUGUCUUUGGUCAAAUGUUGGGUUGCCCGGCUCCUGAGUUCGGCUACCUUACGUUUCGCUCUAUCGGCUAAGGUAGCACCAGGAGAACUACUGCGAUUGUGCCCCGGUUCGGCCGGGCGAGCACCUCAGUAGAGAAAGCCGAAAACUGACUGUCAUGAUGCAGCGUGAGACUGGUCAGCCACUCGACGACCUAUGGGAAUCUAUCGGAUUCCUCCGCUUUAACGAAGGGCUGCUUCCCGGCAAGGCAUAUACGCGCCCCGAACUCGGGCGAGCGCAGUCGCCACCAAAGGGCUACCUAAAGAGUCCCAGUGUCAAGCUCCUAUGGCUAAGUGAAAGUGUUAAAGCAUUAUAGUCCGGUUGCCUGGCCCGCUGCGCUAUCACCUCCUUGGUAGGACCAAGACGUUGGGUUAAGUGUGAAAAUGCAUCUUCUGCGAGCACCCCCGCACUAUGUGCGUGGGGGCUGAAGCCAACGACAGCCAUCUUUCAGAUUAUAUAUAUAACGGCCGCACAGGAGGUGUUUCAAAUACUUGAAGGCACAAGUAUAAAAGGCCACUACAAUAUUGCUUUAUAAUUACAUAUGCUAUCAUAAAAUAGCAUCCUUCGAGCAUUGCGUCUCUAUUAUACGAGCGCCCUUAAGGACGUCCUGAAAAUAGUGCUCGGAAGGUACUCGGCUUUUGUCCGAAUCUCGGGACGCGACAACGGUGGUCUCCAUUUCUGCCCAGUAUGUUUUGACAUGGGCAAGAGCCAUCCGUGCACCCUCUAUGCAGGCUGACCUCUUCAUUGCAUCGAUUUGUGGCACUGCAUCAAGGAAUUGCUGCACCAAGUUGAAGUAACUCUUCGACUCCGAUCUCCCCGGCCAAAGAUGACCCAUGACGUACUUCAUGGCGAGUCCGGACAACCUAUUCAGUUCGGCCCAUUGAGCCAAACGAUCGUCCACUAAAAGUGGACGCUCUGGAUUGUGAAACUGCGACCAGAAAAGCUUUUCCACUUCGUGAUCUUUUUGAUCUCGAAAAUGUUUGGUCGCAUCAGCAGCACUCGCUACCAAAUCCAGAUAGGUGUCCUUCACACUCCACAUCUGGUCCAACGGAGCAAACCUCGGAUCACAAAACUUCCUCCGCAGCAUAAACGGCCUUCCAGCCGCAAUCUGUCCGGCUUGGUGCAGCUCCUCCUUCGCAGCUCUCAUCGCAGAGCGAGCGUGUUUGGCGUUAGUAACGGCCUUCUCUAAGCCCGUCCGCCUCGCCAGGUCUUCUUCUUCAAGAAGCUUGCAACGAUCAGCAGUGCCCUUUAACUUCACGGCCAUCGCGGCCAUCUCCUCCUUGCUUCGGCAGUGAGAAGCCUGUUCGGCUUUCAGCUCUUCACGGGCUUUCUCGGCAGCCGCAUCGCUUCUUCUGGCUUGUUCCUUAGCUCGGGCAAGUUCUGCCUUGAGACUCUCCAUGGCGGCCGCACCAUCUGCGUCAAUCACACGCAUUGUAAGAUACUGGCAUAGAGCCCUUCUUACCUAAUGUCGUCCGAGGAACUACAUACCUUGAGCUUCAUCAAGCCGCUUGUUGACAAGCGCGAUGUCGGCAUCUGCCACAUCCAGUUGCCGCUUUAGUUCGGCCAAAUCAUCAGUCUGGCUGGAUUCCGGACACCCUGCCGCCUACAUUCAAAGGCGACAUCUUAGACCUAGGAUUAUGAUCCUCCGCGUGCCGUCCUUUCUUGACGACGCGCAGAGUCUCAGGGGCUACUAUCUACACAGGGCGCAUCUUACUUAUGCGCAACUAACAAAAGUGUACAUUAUCCAACGUACCUCAAAACCCGUCAGUAAACUUUUGAUGGCCUCAUGCAAUCCGCUUUGUGCGGAUGAAAUCCUUUCAAUCACCAUGCCCAUCAAUGCACGAUGCUCUUCCGAGAUUGAAGCUCGCCCUAGCAGAAUCUUUAGCUCCUCCGGCCGAGCACCAGACGGUGCCGGACUCGUCCCAUGACCUCUUUCGAAGGCCGGACACGGAGAACCCCGGGGGGGCCACAUGACCAUCUUCUGCCCCUGCCGGAUUCAGAGAAAAUCUCCGCGACGACACCUCAGGAUCGCCCGCCUCACUAGGCGGCACGGCAGAGGGAGGCGUCCCGCUCUCCAUCAUCUCCGGAAGGAGGUCCCCUGAAGAUGAGCUCUGCUGAGAAGGGCUGAGGUCCAAACUAUAAGGUAAAAACUUGGUUAAUCUUCUCAAAUAUAAAUUAAGGAUUUCUCUCAUCCCUCAAAAGGAAAAUCUUCCUCUACUUACGGCUCGCUGGAGGGCUGAUCCCCUUGAGGGCGUAGUCCGGCCGAGGAACUCCCCGGCGUAGGACCCUCUGACGAGGAUUUUUUCCCCCGCUUCGAGGCCACGGUCUCCGGGUCGUCGGAGGCGGCUCUCUUCUUCCCCUUAGGAUAGGGAUUGUCGGUUCCUCCCUUCGGAUUAGCCUCCUUUGAGGAGGCCAAGUUUCCUUGUCCUCGCCUUUACUCCCCUCCAAAGGCAUUAUCUCCAGCAUCCUGACUAGCACAGGAUCCGGCCUGGUUUCGGGAAGGGGAGCCGGACACCUGAUCAGCUUUGCCUUCGCUAUCCAUUCCUGCUUAAAAGGACAACUCUUUCAGGGGCAAAUUAUGACAAUUAUACGGAUAGAAGGUCCGGGCACAAGGUUACUUACUUGAGUAUCCGGGCGAUUGUAGCUCAGGCCUGUGUCCUCGGUUAAAUCCAGACACGUCUCUUGUGAUCCGAAGAACAGUUUAUACAUCUCUGUGGGCGUUGCGCCCAUGAAAUUCCGGAGAGCUCGAGGUCCCUCUGGAUUAAACUCCCACAGGCGAAGGGAGCGAUGUUUGCCGGGCAGUAUUCGGCGAAUCAGCAUGACCUGCGUCACCUUGACCAGGCUGAGGUCUCCUUCCAAGAGUUCCUUAAUGCAGCCCUGCAGCUGGGGCACGUCUUUGGGUAACCCCCAAUCUAACCCUCUGUUGACCCACGAUGUUUGUUGUGGCGGGGGACCCGAGCGAAAGGCAGGAGGCGCCACCCACUUGGUGCCCCGGGGAGCGGUGAUAUAAAACCACUCUCGUUGCCACAAGCCAAGCUCCUCUUGAAAAGAGCCCUCGGGCCAUGGAGCAUCGGCUUUCUUGCUUAUGACAGCACCUCCGCACUCUGCGUGCCGUCCCUCAAUUAUCUUCGGCUCCACUUUAAAGGUCUUGAGCCAUAAUCCAAAGUGAGGGGUAACAUGGAGGAACGCUUCACACAUAAUGAUAAAUGAGGAGAUAUGGAGGAUGGACUCCGGAGCUAAGUCAUGGAAUUCCAGCCCAUAAUAAAACAGCAGCCCCCUGACAAAGGGAUCCAUCGGGAAGCCUAACCCCCGGAGGAAGUGAGACAUGAACACUACGCUCUCACCGGGCUGGGGGCUGGGAACGGCCUGCCCUUGAGCAGGCAACCUGUGCGGAAUUUCGCCGGUCAGGAACUUAGCCUCUCUUAACUUUAGCACGUCCUCCUCCGUGACGGAGGAGGGCGUCCAUCGGCCUUGAAGGUCAGAACCGGACAUUGUCGAAGAUCAGAAGCGCCUGAAAUCUGGAACCUAGGGUGUUGGAACUCAAGGUGACGGGCGAACUCGCUUGAGAUUGAAAGAACGAGCGGAGCCUUGGUCUCUUUAUAAGAGGUUGAAUACCAAGAGCCCUCCCUGUAACCGUUUGGGGCUCGCCUUUAAUUGAGGAAACAUGCUAACGGGCACGAUUGGGUUACCCACGUCCGUAUUGAUGAGAAUCCCGUAAAAAAGGGGACACGAUCUCUGCUUUGACAAGACGUGCCAAGGAAACCACCUUGCAAACUGUGCUGAGGUGGAAAAGUAAAAAGGAUUUGAGUAAAAGACUUGGCUGUAGUGUGAUGAUGCACUACGGAUUGCGUCAGCAGAUUUGAUUUGUGUCAAUAUUAUUCUCUCGAUGGCAAUAUGUGGAAACUUGUUUGCAGAGCCGGACACUAUUCUUGGUGUUUACAAUCUUCUGUGAAGGACUUGGAGGAGGAACCCGCCUUGCAAUGCCGAAGACAAUUUGCGCACCGGACUCGUCAUUGAAGCCUGGUUCAGGGGCUACUGAGGGAGUCCUGGAUUAGGGGGUGUUCGGGUAGCCGGACUAUACCUUCGCCGGACUCCUGGACUACGAAGAUACAAGAUUGAAGACUUCGUCCCGUGUCCGGAUGGGACUUUCCUUGGCGUGGAAGGCAAGCUUGGCGAUGCGGAUAUUCAAGAUCUCCUACCCUUGUAACCGACUCUGUGUAACCCUAACCCUAUCCGGUGUCUAUAUAAACCGAAGGGUUGUAGUCCGUAGGACAAUCAACUCCAUACACAAUCAUACCAUAGGCUAGCUUCUAGGGUUUAGCCUCCUUGAUCUCGUGGUAGAUCUACUCUUGUACUACCCAUAUCAUCAAUAUUAAUCAUGCAAGAGUAAGGUAUUACCUCCAUCGAGAGGGCCCGAACCUGGGUAAAAACAUUGUGUCCCUUGUCUCCUGUUACCAUCCGGCCUUGACGCACAGUUCGGGACCCCCUACCCGAGAUCCGCCGGUUUUGACACCGGUAGGGGUGAAUAGGCGAUUUUUACAAAAGUCUUCAAAACACGAGGUCUUUGAAGACAAACUGAUAUAAUGAUCCUAUAUCACUACAAAAAAAUACACUUUCGUGAUGAUACGUGUUUGUCAUAGUAGGUCACGUUUUCUGUCAUGCAUGUACAUCCAUGACGAUUUUAUGACAGAAUCAAGAUAGUCAUACCUAUGCUGUCGUAGAAGUGUUCCAUGACAAUAUCAAAAUUAUCAUCACAGAAGUGUCCACUUCCAUGACGAUAAAUCCCGCGUCAUAGAAGUGCUUUCGUCAAGGGUGACCGACACGUGGCGUUGACCGUAAUGGGUCGUCGUUAAGCUACCGGGUCCAGUUUUGGAUCCUAUAACCCGUUAGCAGCCCGGACCAAUAGGGAUUUUCCACAUGUAAAAUUCUCAGCCGGAGGAAACACGUGUUUGCUCACCGUUGGGACAGAUGUCAUCCACUCAUUGGACAGGAGGCGCCUAUGAUACAUCGACACAUGGCACGGCCCAAUAGAGGCCCAUUCCGGUGAAAAGGCCGUCCCAGCUAAAGGCCCACCAUGUUUUUUCAGACACUAGUGGGCUGGCCCGUUAACAGCCGGCCAUGUUUUGGGCCAAAUUGAGGCCCAUAGCGGAUCAGGCCCGUUCACAGCCUGCCAUGUUUUGGGCCAAAUUAGGGCCCAUAUCGAAUCAGGCCCGUUAACAGGCCACUAUUCUUUUGGGCCCAUUCUAAGACAGGUUUGUAUUUUGGCCUAUUAAAUGCACGUUAACCAGUUUGGCCCGAUAAAAGUUUCGGCCUGUUAGCGGCCCGUGGUGCAUCUGGGACGUUAUCAGCCCAAUUUAACUUUAGGCCCUUUAACAGCCCAUGCAGAAACUGGGCUAUUUCUUGUCUGAAGUAACUUUAGGCCUCUUAAUGGCCCGUAGUCUUCAUGGAUAAAUUUCAGCCCAACAUGCCAGCCUGUUAAUGGCCCGUGGAACAGUUGGGCCUAAUUACAGCCUGCAUUGAAUAAGGCCUGCUUACAGCCCAUCUGAUAAUGGCUUGUGACACUUUUGGGCCUAUGGCCUGCGUGGAUACCGGCCUGCUUAAAGCCCAUAAUUUUAUUGGGCCAAACUGGUCCGAGAUAUAUUUUGGCCUGUUAACUACUCGUCCUAUUUGGGCCAAACAUGGGCCUUAGACAGUUUCUGAUUGUAUUGGCCCGUGAAUUUUUUGGCCCAACGCUGGCCCAAUCUAGGUUUAAGCCUGUUAAAAGCCCAUGGUAUUCUCUGGCCCAGCUGGCUAGAACUUUACUCGGCCUGUUAAAGGUGGGAAACUACUAUAGGUUUAGACCUGCUAAUGGCCCAAGAUGAUUAUAGGCCCAUGUUUUGUCCCAUAUGAGUAACGGGCCGGCCUGAAGACCGACAACACUGAGAUCCACUGAACCUUCCAUCCUAAAUUACAGCAUACCAACCAAGAAAUAAACCUAGACUAUACAAUAAAGAAAUUACAACAUAGUACAUCCACUAGGAGUCAAAGUUCACUGCCGGUGAUAAUAAAGCGCAACGUGGCCGCGGAUUACAUACACUGGGCAUCAAAGGUCGCCAUCAGUGCAUAUAAACGCGCCGACAAAAGAAUAUACAAAACUGAGAACACUUCAGAAGGCACUAGGCCUGGCCAGGGCGGGCCCUGCAAGCAGCCGAACAAGCUGAUGACACCUCAGUUGUGUCAACGAUAUAUGCUCCCUCCCUAGUUGUAUGGCACCAUAGUGCGCAAGGCAGUCCUCUGACAUCUUCCUUGCAUCUUUGACUUCAAGUCGGAGCUGAGCUAAAGCAAGCCUUUCCGCUUUAAGUUGAGACUGAAGAAGUCGAACUGAUUGAGGCAGCGACUGCAUAGAGGUUGUCUCACACCUGCUGGUGAGUAGCUUCAACUCACUGUCUUCAUCAAGACAGGACCUUGGAGUCGUCACUACAAAACAAAUACACUUCCGUGAUGAUACGUGUUUGUCACGGUAGGUCGCGUUUUUUGUCAUGCAUGUACAUCCAUGACAAAUUUAUGACAGAAUCAAGAUAGUCAUACAUGUGCUGUCGUAGAAGUGUUCCAUGACAUUACCAAAAUUAUCAUCACGGAAGUGUCCACUUCCAUGAUGAUAAAUCGUGCGUCACAGAAGUGCUUUCGUCAAGGGUGGCCGACACGUGGAAUCCACCAUAACGGAACAUUGUUAAGCUAUCGGGUCAGGUUUUGGAUCCGAUAACCCCUUAACAACCCCGACCAAUGGGAAAUUUCCACGUGUAAAAUUCUUAUUGGCCGGAUGAAACAUGUGUCAGCUCGUCAGUGGGUCAGAUAGGCGUCUAUGAUACGUCGACACGUGGCGCGGCCCAACAGAGGCCCAUUCCUAUGAAAAGGAUGGCCCGUUUGACUUGGUCAAAAGCUGGCGGGCCGGACCAUGGAAAGCCUGUUAACGGCUUGUUCGCAUAUAGCCCAUUUACAACCCGCUAACCCAAGGACCGUUACGCCCUAUUCGAAUUAGGCCUAGUAGCGUCAUCUGGGCCAUCCAAUAUGAUUCUAGCCCGUUUUCACUUCUGGCCCAUGUAUGGCCCAUGAUGUCUUUCGGCCCAUAUGAGGCCCUAUGUAACUCUUGGCCUAUUAACGACCCGUGCUGAAACUGGCCCGUAAUGAAUAGUGUAUCACUUUACACCCACUAAAGGCCCGUGGUGAAACUGGCCCGUAAAGAACAGUGUAUCACUUUAUACCCAUUAACGGCCCGUUAUUCCGUUGGGCCGUUUCCAGCCCAUGUUAUCUUUCGGCCUUCUCAGAGCCCAUUUAUUCUUGGGCUAUUUUCCAGCAUUCGUUUACUUACGGCCCGUUACUGUCAUUUUCUGCUUGUGGGCCAAAUUCAGCCCGUGGUUACAGUCGACCCAUUUGUGGUCCGUUAAUACGUUGGGCCGUUUUCAUAGCGUCAUAAAAUAUGGCCUAUUAACAAUGGCCCAUUAUGGUCGGCCCAUGAACGGACAAUUCCAACUCUAGCCCGUUUACGGCCAGAAUGCGGUCUGUUUGGCCCAUGUUUGGCCAAUCGAUCAUACGGCCCGUAUAAGGCCCAUUGAUGAUACGGCCCGUAGAAGGCCCAUUGAUGAUAUUGUUGGGGAACAUAGUAAUUUCAAAAAAUUUCCUACGCACACGCAAGAUCAUAGUGAUGCAUAGCAACGAGAGGGGAGAGUGUUGUCUACAUACCCUCGUAGACCAAAGCAGAAGCAUUGACGCAACGUAGAGGAAGUAGUCGUACGUCUUCCCGGUCCGACCGAUCCAAGCACCGUUACUCCGGCACCUCCGAGUUCUUGGCACACGUACAGCUCGAUGACGCUCCCCGGGCUCCGAUCCAGCAGAGCUUCGGGGAUGAGUUCCGUCAGCACGACGGUGUGGUGACGAUCUUGAUGUUCUAUCGUCGUAGGGCUUCGCCUAAGCGCUGCUACAAUAUGACCGAGGUGGAAUAUGGUGGAGGGGGGCACCGCACACGGCUAAGGAACGAUCAUGAUGAUCAACUUGUGUGUUCUAGGGUGCCCCCUGCCCCCGUAUAUAAAGGAGCAAGGGGGAGGAUGGCCGCCCCUUGGGGCGCGCCAAGGAGAGGGGGGAGUCCUCCUCCUAGUGGGAGUAGGACUCCCCUUUCCUAGUCCAACUAGGAAUAGAGAGGGGGAAGGAAAGAGAGGGAGAGGUAGAGGGAAAGGGGGGCCGCGCCCCCCUCCUAGUCCUAUUCGGACUCCCCAUGAGGGGGGGCGCGCCACCUCCUGGGCUGCUGCCCUCUCUCUCCCCUCAGGCCCACUAAGGCCCAUUACUUCCCCGGGGGGUUCCAGUAACCCCUCCGGCACUCCGGUUUUAUCCGAAAUCACCCGGAACAAUUCCGGUGUCUGAAUAUAGUCAUCCAAUAUAUCGAUCUUAAUGUCUCGACCAUUUCGAGACUCCUCGUCAUGUCCAUGAUCACAUCCGGUACUCUGAACAACCUUCGGUACAUCAAAAUACAUAAACUCAUAAUAAUUGUCAUCGUAACGUUAAGCGUGCGCACCCUACGGUUCGAGAACAAUGUAGACAUGACCGAGACACGUCUCCGGUCAAUAACCAAUAGCGGGACCUGGAUGCCCAUAUUGGCUCCUACAUAUUCUACGAAGAUCUUUAUCAGUCAGACCGCAUGACAACAUACGUUGUUCCCUUUGUCAUCGGUAUGUUACUUGCCCGAGAUUCGAUCGUCGGUAUCCAAUACCUAGUUCAAUCUCAUUAUUGGCAAGUCUCUUUACUCGUUCCAUAAUACAUAAUCUCACAACUAACACAUUAGUUGUAAUGCUUGCAAGGCUUAUGUGAUGUGCAUUACCGAGAGGGCCCAGAGAUACCUCUCCGACAUUCGGAGUGACAAAUCCUAAUCUAGAAAUACGCCAACCCAACAAGUACCUUCGGAGACACCUGUAGAGCACCUUUAUAAUCACCCAGUUACAUUGUGACGUUUGGUAGCACACAAAGUGUUCCUCCGGUAAAUAGGAGUUGCAUAUCUCAUAGUCAUAGGAACAUGUAUAAAUCAUGAAGAAAGCAAUAGCAACAUACUAAACGGUCGAGUGCUAAGCUAAUGGAAUGGGUCAUGUCAAUCAGAUCAUUCAACUAAUGAUGUGACCUCGUUAAUCAAAUAACAACUCUUUGUCCAUGGUUAGGAAACAUAACCAUCUUUGAUUAACGAGCUAGUCAAGUAGAGGCAUACUAGUGGCACUCUGUUUGUUUAUAUAUUCACACAUGUAUUAUGUUUCCGGUUAAUACAAUUCUAGCAUGAAUAAUAAACAUUUAUCAUGAUAUAUGAGGAAAUAAAUAAUAAAUUUAUUAUUGCCUCUAGGGCAUAUUUCCUUCAGUCUCCCACUUGCACUAGAGUCAAUAAUCUAGAUUACACAGUAAUGAUUCUAACACCCAUGGAGUCUUGGUGCUGAUCAUGUUUUGCUCGUGGAAGAGGCUUAGUCAACGGGCCUGCUACAUUCAGAUCCGUAUGUAUCUUGCAAAUCUCUAUCUCUCCCACCUGGAGUAGAUCCCGGAUGGAAUUGAAGAGUCUCUUGAUGUGCUUGGUUCUCUUGUGAAAUCUGGAUUCCUUUGCCAAGGCAAUUGCACCAGUAUUGUCACAAAAGAUUUUCAUUGGACCCGAUGCACUAGGUAUGACACCUAGAUCGGUUAUGAACUCCUUCAUCCAAACUCCUUCAUUUGCUGCUUCCGAAGCAGCUAUGUACUCCGCUUCACAUGUAGAUCCCGCCAUGACGCUUUGUUUAAAACUGCACCAACUGACAGCUCCACCGUUUAAUGUAAACACGUAUCCGGUUUGCGAUCUAGAAUCGUCCGGAUCAGUGUCAAAGCGUGCAUCAACGUAACCAUUUACGAUGAGCUCUUUGUCACCUCCAUAUACGAGAAACAUAUCCUUAGUCCUUUUCAGGUACUUCAGGAUGUUCUUGACCGCUGUCCAGUGAUCCACUACUGGAUUACUUUGGUACCUCCCUGCUAGACUUAUAGCAAGGCACACAUCGGGUCUGGUACACAACAUUGCAUACAUGAUAGAGCCUAUGGCUGAAGCAUAGGGAACAUCUUUCAUUUUCUCUCUAUCUUCUGCAGUGGUCGGGCAUUGAGUCUUACUCAACUUCACACCUUGUAACACAGGCAAGAACCCUUUCUUUGCUUGUUCCAUUUUGAACUUCUUCAAAACUUUGUCAAGGUAUGUGCUUUGUGAAAGUCCAAUUAAGCGUCUUGAUCUAUCUCUAUAGAUCUUAAUGCCCAAUAUGUAAGCAGCUUCACCGAGGUGUUUCAUUGAAAAACUCUUAUUCAAGUAACCCUUUAUGCUAUCCAGAAAUUCUAUAUCAUUUCCGAUUAGUAAUAUGUCAUCUACAUAUAAUAUUAGAAAUGCUACAGAGCUCCCACUCACUUUCUUGUAAAUACAGGCUUCUCCAAAAGUCUGUACAAACCCAAAUGCUUUGAUUACACUAUCAAAGCGUUUAUUCCAACUCCGAGAGGCUUGCACCAGUCCAUAAAUGGAUCGCUGGAGCUUGCACACUUUGUUAGCUCCCUUUGGAUCGAUAAAACCUUCUGGUUGCAUCAUAUACAACUCCUCUUCCAUAAAUCCAUUCAGGAAUGCAGUUUUGACAUCCAUCUGCCAAAUUUCAUAAUCAUAAAAUGCGGCAAUUGCUAACAUGAUUCAGACAGACUUAAGCAUCGCUACGGGUGAGAAGGUCUCAUCGUAGUCAAUCUCUUGAACUUGCCGAAAACCUUUUGCGACAAGUCGAGCUUUGUAGACAGUAACAUUACCGUCAGCGUCAGUCUUCUUCUUGAAGAUCCAUUUAUUCUCAUUUGCUUGCCGAUCAUCGGGCAAGUCAACCAAAGUCCACACUUUGUUCUCAUACAUGGAUCCCAUCUAAGAUUUCAUGGCUUCAAGCCAUUUUGUGGAAUCUGGGCUCACCAUCGCUUCUUCAUAGUUCGUAGGUUCAUCAUGAUCUAGUAGCAUGACUUCCAGAACAGGAUUGCCGUACCACUCUGGUACGGAUCUUACUCUGGUUGAUCUACGAGGUUCUGUAGUAACUUGAUCUGAAGUUCUAUGAUCAUCAUCAUUAACUUCCUCUCUAAUUGGUUCAGACGUCACAGAAACCGGUUCCUGUGAUGUGCUACUUUCCAAUAAGGGAGUAGGUACAGUUACCUCAUCAGGUUCUACUUUCCUCCCACUCACUUCUUUCGAGAGAAACUCCUUCUCUAGAAAGGAUCCAUUCUUAGCAACGAAUGUCUUGCCCUCGGAUCUGUGAUAGAAGGUGUACCCAACAGUCUCCUUUGGGUAUCCUAUGAAGACACAUUUCUCCGAUUUGGGUUCGAGCUUAUCAGGUUGAAGUUUUUUUUACAUAAGCAUCCCAGCCCCAAAUUUUAAGAAACGACAACUUUGGUUUCUUGCUAAACCAUAGUUCAUAAGGCGUCGUCUCAACGGAUUUUGAUGGUGCCCUAUUUAACGUGAAUGCGGCCAUCUCUAAAGCAUAACCCCAAAACGAUAGCGGUAAAUCUGUAAGAGACAUCAUAGAUCGCACCAUAUCAAGUAAAGUACGACUACGACGUUCGGACACACCAUUACGCUGUGGUGUUCCGGGUGGCGUGAGUUGCGAAACUAUUCCGCAUUGUUUCAAAUGUAGACCAAACUCGUAACUCAAAUAUUCUCCUCCAUGAUCAGAUCGCAGAAACUUUAUUUUCUUGUUACGAUGAUUUUCAACCUCACUCUAAAAUUCUUUGAACUUUUCAAAUGUUUCAGACUUAUGUUUCAUUAAGUAGAUAUACCCAUAUCUGCUUAAAUCAUCUGUGAAGGUGAGAAAAUAACGAUAUCCGCCACGAGCCUCAACAUUCAUUGGACCACAUACAUCUGUAUGUAUGAUUUCCAACAAAUCUGUUGCUCUCUCCAUAGUACUGGAGAACGGCGUUUUAGUCAUCUUGCCCAUGAGGCACGGUUCACAAGUACCAAGUGAUUCAUAAUCAAGUGGUUCCAAAAGUCCAUCAGUAUGGAGUUUCUUCAUGCGCUUUACACUGAUAUGACCUAAACGGCAGUGCCACAAAUAAGUUGCACUAUCAUUAUCAACUCUGCAUCUUUUGGCUUCAACAUUAUGAAUAUGUGUAUCACUACUAUCGAGAUUCAUCAAAAAUAGACCACUCUUUAAGGGUGCAUGACCAUAAAAGAUAUUACUCAUAUAAAUAGAACAACCAUUAUUCUCUGAUUUAAAUGAAUAACCGUCUCGCAUCAAACAACAUCCAGAUAUAAUGUUCAUGCUCAACGCUAGCACCAAAUAACAAUUAUUUAGGUCUAAUACUAAUCCCGAAGGUAGAUGUAGAGGUAGCGUGCCGACCGCGAUCACAUCGACUUUGGAACCAUUUCCCACGCGCAUCGUCACCUCGUCCUUUGCCAGUGUUCGCUUAAUCAGUAGUCCCUGUUUCGAGUUGCAAAUAUUAGUAACAGAACCAGUAUCAAAUACCCAGGUGCUACUGCGAGCUCUAGUAAGGUACACAUCAAUAACAUGUAUAUCACAUAUACCUUUGUUCACCUUGCCAUCCUUCUUAUCCGCCAAAUACUUGGGGCAGUUCCACUUCCAGUGACCAGUCUGCUUGCAGUAGAAGCACUCAGUUUCAGGCUUAGGUCCAGACUUGGGUUUCUUCUCCUGAGCAGCAACUUGUUUGUUGUUCUUCUUGAAGUUCCCCUUCUUCUUCCCUUUGCCCUUUUUCUUGAAACUAGUGGUCUUGUUGACCAUCAACACUUGAUGCUCCUUCUUGAUUUCUACCUCCGCAGCCUUUAGCAUUGCGAAGAGCUCGGGAAUUGUCUUAUCCAUCCCUUGCAUAUUAUAGUUCAUCACGAAGCUCUUGUAGCUUGGUGGAAGUGAUUGGAGAAUUCUGUCAAUGACGCUAUCAUCCGGAAGAUUAACUCCCAAUUGAAUCAAGUGAUUACAAUACCCAGACAUCUUGAGUAUAUGCUCACUGACAGAACUAUUCUCCUCCAUCUUGCAGCUAUAGAACUUAUUGGAGACUUCAUAUCUCUCAAUCCGGGCAUUCUGCUGAAAUAUUAACUUCAACUCCUGGAACAUCUCAUAUGCCCCAUGACGUUCAAAACGUCGUUGAAGUCCCGGUUCUAAGCCGUAAAGCAUGGCACAUUGAACUAUCGAGUAGUCAUCAGCUUUGCUCUGCCAGACGUUCUUAACAUCGUCAGUUGCAUCAGCAGCAGGCCUGGCACCCAGUGGUGCUUCUAGGACGUAACUCUUCUGUGCAGCAAUGAGGAUAAUCCUCAAGUUACGGACCCAGUCCAUGUAAUUGCUACCAUCAUCUUUCAACUUUGCUUUCUCAAGGAACGCAUUAAAAUUCAACGGAACAACAGCACAGGCCAUCUAUCUACAAUCAACAUAAACAAUAAAGAUACUAUCAGGGACUAAGUUCAUGAUAAAUUUAAGUUCAAUUAAUCAUAUUACUUAAGAACUCCCACUUAGAUAGACAUCCCUCUAAUCUUCUAAGUGAUCACGUGAUCCAAAUCAACUAAACCAUAACCGAUCAUCACGUGAAAUGGAUUAGUCUUCAAUGGUGAACAUCAUUAUGUUGAUCAUAUCUACUAUAUGAUUCACGCUCGACCUUUUGGUCUUCAUGUUCCGAGGCCAUAUCUGCAUAUGCUAGGCUCGUCAAGUUUAACCCGAGUAUUCUGCGUGUGCAAAACUGGCUUGCACCCGUUGUAGAUGGACAUAGAGCUUAUCACACCCGAUCAUCACGUGGUGUCUGGGCACGACGAACUUUGGCAACGGUGCAUACUUAGGGAGAACACUUCUUGAUAAUUAGUGAGAGAUCAUCUUAUAAUGCUACCGUCAAUCAAAGCAAGAUAAGAUGUAUAAAAGAUAAACAUCACAUGCAAUCAAUAUAAGUGAUAUGAUAUGGCCAUCAUCAUCUUGUGCUUGUGAUCUCCAUCUCCGAAGCACCGUCAUGAUCACCAUCGUCACCGGCGCGACACCUUGAUCUCCAUCGUAGCAUCGUUGUCGUCUCGCCAAUCUUAUGCUUCUAUGACUAUCGCUACCGCUUAGUGAUAAAGUAAAGCAUUACAGGGCGAUUGCAUUGCAUACAAUAAAGCGACAACCAUAUGGCUCCUGCCAGUUGCCGAUAACUCGGUUACAAAACAUGAUCAUCUCAUACAAUAAAAUUUAGCAUCAUGUCUUGACCAUAUCACAUCACAACAUGCCCUGCAAAAACAAGUUAGACGUCCUCUACUUUGUUGUUGCAAGUUUUACGUGGCUGCUACGGGCUUUAAGCAAGAACCAAUCUUACCUACGCAUCAAAACCACAACGAUAGUUUGUCAAGUUGAUGCCGUUUUAACCUUCGCAAGGACCGGGCGUAGCCACACUCGGUUCAACUAAAGUUGGAGAAACUGACACCCGCCAGCCACUUGUGUGCAAAGCACGGCGGUAGAACCAGUCUCGCGUAAGCGUACGCGUAAUGUUGGUCCGGGCCGCUUCAUCCAACAAUACCGCCGAACCAAAGUAUGACAUGCUGGUAGGCAGUAUGACUUAUAUCGCCCACAACUCACUUGUGUUCUACUCGUGCAUAUAACAUCAAACCAUAAAACCUAGGCUCUGAUACCACCGUUGGGGAACGUAGUAAUUUCAAAAAAAUUCCUACGCACACGCAAGAUCAUGGUGAUGCAUAGCAACGAGAGGGGAGAGUGUUGUCUACGUACCCUCGUAGACCGAAGCAGAAGCGUUGACGCAACAUAGAGGAAGUAGUCGUACGUCUUCCCGGUCCGACCGAUCCAAGCACCAUUACUCCGGCACCUCCGAGUUCUUGGCACACGUACAACUCGAUGACGCUCCCCGGGCUCCGAUCCAGCAAAGCUUCGGGGAUGAGUUCCGUCAGCACGACAGCGUGGUGACGAUCUUGAUGUUCUAUCGUCGUAGGGCUUCGCCUAAGCGCUGCUACAAUAUGACCGAGGUGGAAUAUGGUGGAGGGGGGCACCGCACACGGCUAAGGAACGAUCACGAUGAUCAACUUGUGUGUUCUAGGGUGCCCCCCUGCCCCCGUAUAUAAAGGAGCAAGGGGGAGGCCGACCGGCCCUUGGGGCGUGCCAAGGAGAGGGGGGGAGUCCUCCUCCUAGUGGGAGUAGGACUCCCCUUUCCUAGUCCAACUAGGAAUAGAGAGGGGGAAGGAAAGAGAGGGAGAGGUACAGGGAAAGGGGGGCCGCGCCCCCCUCCUAGUCCUAUUCGGACUCCCCAUGAGGGGGCGCGCCACCUCCUGGGCUGCUGCCCUCUCUCUCCCCUCAGGCCCACUAAGGCCCAUUACUUUCCCGGGGGGUUCCGGUAACCCCUCCGGCACUCCGGUUUUAUCCUAAAUCACCCGGAGCAAUUUCGGUGUCCGAAUAUAGUCGUCCAAUAUAUCAAUCUUAAUGUCUCGACCAUUUCGAGACUCCUCGUCAUGUCCAUGAUCACAUCCGGGACUCCGAACAACCUUCGGUACAUCAAAAUACAUAAACUCAUAAUAACUGUCAUCGUAAUGUUAAGCAUGCGGACCCUACGGUUCGAGAACAAUGUAGACAUGACCGAGACACGUCUCCGGUCAAUAACCAAUAGCGGGACCUGGAUGCCCAUAUUGGCUCCUACAUAUUCUACGAAGAUCUUUAUCGGUCAGACCGCAUGACAACAUACGUUGUUCCCUUUGUCAUCGGUAUGUUACUUGCCCGAGAUUCGAUCGUCGGUAUCCAAUACCUAGUUCAAUCUCGUUAUUGGCAAGUCUCUUUACUCGUUCCAUAAUACAUCAUCUCACAACUAACACAUUAGUUGUAAUGCUUGCAAGGCUUAUGUGAUGUGCAUUACCGAGAGGGCCCAGAGAUACCUCUCCGACAUUCGGAGUGACAAAUCCUAAUCUCGAAAUACGGCAACCCAACAAGUACCUUCGGAGACACCUUUAGAGCACCUUUAUAAUCACCCAGUUACGUUGUGACAUUUGGUAGCACACAAAGUGUUCCUCCGGUAAACGAGAGUUGCAUAAUCUCAUAGUCAUAGUAACAUGUAUAAGUCAUGAAGAAAGCAAUAGCAACAUACUAAACGAUCGGGUGCUAAGCUAAUGGAAUGGGUCAUUUCAAUCAGAUCAUUCAACUAAUGAUGUGACCUCGUUAAUCAAAUAACAACUCUUUGUCCAUGGUUAGGAAACAUAACCAUCUUUGAUUAACGAGCUAGUCAAGUAGAGGCAUACUAGUGACACUCUGUUUGUUUAUAUAUUCACACAUGUAUUAUGUUUCCGGUUAAUACAAUUCUAGCAUGAAUAAUAAAAAUUUAUCAUGAUAUAUGAGGAAAUAAAUAAUAACUUUAUUAUUGCCUCUAGGGCAUAUUUCCUUCAGAUAUGGCCCGUAGAAGGCCCAUUGUUUCUACGGCCUGUAGAAGGCCCAUUGUUUCUACGGCCCGUAGAAGGCCCACUGUUUCUACGGCUCGUAGAAGGCCCACUGUUUAUAUGGCCGGUAGAAGGCCCACUUUUUCUACGGCCCGUAGGAGGCCCAGUGUCACUACAGUAAAUAUUAGCCCAUGGUUAUUGUGGCCUAGUUUAAAAAAUAGGUUAUUGCAGCCACUAGCAAACCGCAGAAAAAGAACUGCACUAACUACAAGCAAACAAAUAAACAAGACAACAAGGAAAUACAUAAGCAAGCAACUUACACUAGGCUAUCACGGCUAUUACACAUAUUACAUCCAUUGGGCAUCAAAGUUCGCCGCCAGUGCAAAUAUAGGGAACACAUCAGCAUAUAAACGCCGCAGCAAAACAAGUCCAGAACUGAAACCACUUCAGAAGAGCUCAAGAAACAAUAUCCUGGGUACCCAUAAUGCUAGCAAGAUGCUUAGCAAGCUUAUUAACUUUCUCUUGUUUGGCGCUUAAGUCCUCCAACGCUUGCUGUUGCACCAGAAAGUAUGCAUCUGAAUUCUGCAGGGACUUCCUCAGUCCUUUGGCUUCCUGUUGCAUAACAUCUGAUCGAUGUCUUUCAACUUGAAGUUGAGACUCAAGAAGCCGAACUGAUUCAGGCAACGAGUUCGAAGAGCUGGUGCCAACAGUGGUAGCCAGUAACUCGAACACUACAUCAAGACAGGACUUUCGGGUUGUCUCAGUGUCUUCAUUAUAGUUUUUAUUAGCUUUCUUGGAGACCAAAAGGGAUGUCUCACUAUCUUGAACCUUAUUUGCAUUGCUUCCUCCACCAUUGCAUAACAGGGUACUCUUCUCCAAUAUUUUAUCCGCGUUCAAAAAGAGAAACAAACAAACACAUCUCAGGUUUACAAUGUAGUAUAUGAAGCUCAUUUUGGUAAACCUGUUCAGUAGUAAGGUGGACAGGAUAACAGCAUGAAACAAACAUAUAUCUAUGUAGUAUGGUCAUUGUAUGGUCUAUAUCAUUCUAGUUUAUGUUGCCAAAUCAAGAUAGAUAUAGUUUGAAUCAUAUCUAUUUAAGACAAAGCAGCAUAGAUAGAAUAUAAGUGUGGGAAACUACACAACAAUAACAACACUUGUAAUGUGCAUGGCAUGAGAACAUAACUGUUUAUUCAAUUGAAACUGAAAUCGACAUAGAGCAAGUUACAGCAGCAAACAACCAAACACGUUGAAGAAACAUGUUUAAAACGUACCUGUUGCGCCAUUGGAGUUUUAGUUGCAUCCUUCAAAUUUGAAAUUAGUUGGUAUCAAUAAAUACAGUGAUGCAAGAGCAAAGUAGUAUGAACCAUAGCUACGGAACCUGACCUGAGAACAAUUCUUCUUCUUCUUUAAGCGUUGACUUCGGGUUCGAAGUGGUGGUCUUCGUGAUUUGGGCACUGCAGUUGCCUUACUAACUGCUCGUGUUUGGGUGCUCUGUGGUGGAGACGGUGCUGUGUCAACGGCUGCUGAAGCAGAUAUCUGCUGGGGUUGGGGUUAGAAGGGGUGUAGCUGGUUCUCUGUCCAACUGGGUAGGGGUACAAUCUGCAUGAGUGUGGGUUAUGUGUGGUGGGGCUGGUUCUUGGGCAAGUACGACUGUGGUUCUAUCUACAUCGACAGGUAGCACGAUCUUUUCUGAAGACCGUGUUUUUACUCCCACAGAUACUACCAUCACUCCCUCCAAUUGAAAUGGCUGAUAAACAAGAAAAGUAAUUGAAUGUACAAACAUUGUAAGAUAGACAUGUCCAAUGGAUAGUAGGGAAGAAAACAUGGCAUGAAAUAAUUCACAUUUAUGUUGUCUAAGCAAAAAGAAUAGCAGGACAUAAUUUCACAUAUAUGAUGGCUAAUUAAACAGGAUAGCAGGACACAAUUUCACAUGUAUGAUAGCUAACUAAACAGGAUAGAAUGACAUACUUCAAAAUAUGAUGACUAUGUAAACAUGAUGACAUGAUUUAACUAUACGAUGUGUCUAUUAAAGUGGUUGGCAUGCCAUAAAUCACAAACAUGCCGUCGAUGGAAACAUGAUGGCAUGAUAUAAUUCACGGAUAGAAUGACAUAAUUUAAAAUAUGAUGACUAUUAAACAGGAUGAGAUGAUAUAACUAUAUUAUGUCUUUAGAAAAUGGGUUGGCAUGCCAUAAUUCAGAUACAUGCUGUCUAUGUAAACAUCAUGGCAUGACAUAAUUCAAAUAUAUGAUUUAUAUACUAAGGAAGUGAGCAGAGGGCAAUCGCAUAUAUGAUGUGUCAACUAAGGAGAUGGCAUUCAAUAUUGUGUAUAUGAUCUAAAAACUAAGCAUUGCAAUACAACAUAUGCAUUAUAUGAGUAAUAUAACCCUGCCAAGUUUGAGCAUACACCUCAGGGGGAUAAUAGGACUGGUCAUCUGCCUCUGAAUCCCCCUCUGAAGAGCUAUCUGUAACCAGCAAGAUAUCUGCUUCAGCAGGUAGCAUUGUCUGCUCUGAAGACCUUGUUUUCACUCCAGAUUUCUCCAUCACCAAUUCAAAUGGCUGAUGCACAGGAAGAGCAGUUGAAUAUACAAACAUUAUCGACAAAAGCAAUGAGAAAUACAAGAAAAAGGACGGCAUGAUAUAUUUCACAUAUAUGACGCUUGCCUAAACAGCAUGGCAUUGCAUAAUUCAUAUACAUAAUGCCUUGCAACAAGAUAACAUUGCAUAAUUCACAUAUAUAAUGUCUUGCAACAAGAUGUCAUUGCAUAAUUCACAUAUAUGGUAAUUAGACACUAAACAGGUGGCAUUCACACAAAGCAUGUCUAAACUAAGCAAAUGACAUAGCAAUGCAAGAUACCAUACGCACGAUAUGAGCAACAUAACCCUGCCAAGUUAGGGCAUGCACCUCGGGGGGGGGGGAUAUGACUGGUCAUAUGUCUCUGAAUCCUACUCUGAGGAGCUAUCGGUAACCAGCAAGACACGCGCUUCCUCAGAUAGCAUUGUUUGCUUUGAAGACCUUGUUUCCACUCCAGAUUUUUCCAUGACCGUGCCAAAUGGCUGAUGCACAUGAAGAGUAAUUGAAUGUACUAAAAUUGUUGACAAAUUUAACACGUAAUAAAAAAAUGAUGGCAUGAUAUAAUUCACAUAUAAGAUGACUAGCUAACCAGGGUGGCAUUGCAAAAUUCACAUAUAUGAUGCCUGGCUAGACAAGAUGGCAUUGCAUGAUUCACAUAUACGAUAAAGAAACUAAACAAAUGGCAUUGACACAAAGCAUGUCUAAACUAAGCAGAUGACAUCUUUAAUGUAUACAGUAAGUAAUGCAAGGCACCAUAUGCAUGAUAUUACCAACAUCAGCAUGCCAAGUUAGAGCGAAGACCUCAUGGGGUAAAUAGGAGUGGUCUUCUCCUUCUGAAUCCCCCUCAUAACAGUUAUCUUCCUCUUGAUUAAGAUCCGAAAUGGGUGGAGGGGGGGCUGCCUUUGCGCCCACCAUGGAAUGACUCUGCAUGAAAUUUUAUUGCCACACAAGGCUCGUCUCUUUUGCUCUACAUGAUCAGUUCCAUUGUGUACAAUAACUGGCAUGCAUAGGAAUAAAACAUAGUGAGAUUAUGUAAGGAGUGCAUGCACAAAUCCAGAGUGAUGGUAGCAAACUGUGGAUAGACCCAAAACCAAUGAUAGUAGGCAGAUAAUAGCUUUAGUUAAAGAAUACAGAUAAUGGCUCCUUUAAUGUUUGUUUGCACCCAACAUGAAACUCAUAGUAGACACCGGAGAUUAACCAGAUAGUAGACAGAUAGUACUGAUUGCUGCCCCAAUAUGUACCCCACAACCAUUUAAAAACUCAAGUUUCAGCAUUAGUUUGGACCUGACUCGGAGUCUAAUAGGUGAACACGACAAUAAUGUAGCAUGUCAUCAUAUUAAGCGACGCAUAACGUAAGCAGACACGGAAGAGUGCGACCUCUCUUGCGGACCUGUGUAGUCCUCAAGGUCAUCUGCUCAGUUGAUGAUGGUAAUGCAGUUGCCGUGGCUGCCGGCAGCGGGGAAGAAGAUCUGAGGCGGCGAAAGACAGUCUGGAGAGCGGAUCCCUGCUGUGGUGAACCCUUCUGUCAUUGGAGCAGCUGAGUUGGGGUGGAACACAGCGCCGCAGGAGCAGGACAAACCACACAAGGUUUUCUUUGACACAUAUCUGUAACAGAAGUAAUUGAGUAAGGGCUUGUUUGAAUUUGAGGAUUCUAACAAUGCAGGGAUAGGAAAUAGACAGGAAUAGGAUAGGAAUGCACGUGCAAAAUAGAGAAUUUGAAAACACAGGAUUUCUGCCAAUCUGGGUGUUUGAUUCACAACAAUUGGAAGAUCACAGGAUGCAGAAAAGCAUGGUGAGAUUAAGUCAAACCACAAGAAAAUGUACGGUUAUAAUGCCAUUAUGCUACUAUCUCUUAGUGUUGUGCUUGAUGAAUAGGAAUAUGCAAAGGAGGAGAAGUGGAAAUUAGAAUUCCUACGGUUUUUCUUUCAAGGAGACACUAAAGGAACAAAUACUACAGUUUUCCUUUGCACCAAAUUCAUGAAAAGUAGUACCAAAGGAAACUUUCCAAUUCCGAUGUUUUUCAUUCACUUUUCCUUUCAAGCACUAGCGAUUCUAGUAGGCAGGCUUGAGCAAGGAAAAUCCUACACUAAAAAAAUGUUUUUGUGCUACUUCUAUUACUUUGGACCCAGGCCACUGCCAUACUAGCUCAACUCCCAGGCCCAUCGACAAAUGCACAACUCAAACGCGCAGAGAUAAAUAAUGAUGGCGUUCAAGAGAGUCCAUCGCGGAUAGCUAAGUUGCCUGGUACCUCACUGCUUGUCAUAUAGUAGGAUAGAGUAAUCGUAUUUCCCGUUACUACGAGUGCUCAGUGGACAAUAUAUAUAACAUGUAGAGUAAAAAAGAGAUGCAACAAGUGUACAACCUCUUUGGCGAAGCCAUGUCGAUCUCAGCGUGAUUGGGUUGGCCGGUGAGGAUGCUCCGGCUAACUUGGCUGUCGGAGGAGGGGAAGAAGAUCUUAGGCGUCUGGAUAUGGAGCCCGAGGUACUGCUCCAAUGUGAUGGAGGGUUUCGUCGUUGGAGCAGCUCCGGUGAGUUGUACGACGCCGAGGCUGAAGCAGGACAAGAGAGACAACGAACAACGUUAACCUGAGUGGAAUUCUAAUAGCAUCUCCAAUACAUGAAGUAAAAUACAUAACCACAAAGUGCUAGAUGUAAAAUACAUCAGCCGCUCAUCUCUGAACUUAACUGUCGAAACUGAAUUUAACUAUCGAAACUGAACUUAACUGUCGAAACUGAAUUUUGCUAUCGAAACUGAAUUUUGCUGUCGAAACUGAACGCACUAGCAAGUUGAGGCUACACGUCGGUCGACUGACUUUUUCAUCUCUGGUCAGUCGAUUUUGCAGCCAUUGGAUACGAAAUCAAGGGCCUGCAGUUCAUCUUCAACCUCCACCCCCGUGAGCCGGCCAAACAGCAGCCCCCCGCCGCCCGCGGCAGGCGGUGCGCCGCCCCGCCCACCCCGAAAACACUCCCCACCGCCGGUACGCCACCGCCCCGGCCAUCCCUCUAGGCCCCCCCGUGCCGAGCUUUUUCUCCGACGAUCCCCACGCCACCGCCCCGCCAACGCCCCGCCACCGCCAGCGACCACCGCCCCCAUCCUGAACCCUAAGAUACAUAGUGGGGUACCNNNNNNNNNNNNNNNNNNNNNNNNNNNNNNNNNNNNNNNNNNNNNNNNNNNNNNNNNNNNNNNNNNNNNNNNNNNNNNNNNNNNNNNNNNNNNNNNNNNNNNNNNNNNNNNNNNNNNNNNNNNNNNNNNNNNNNNNNNNNNNNNNNNNNNNNNNNNNNNNNNNNNNNNNNNNNNNNNNNNNNNNNNNNNNNNNNNNNNNNNNNNNNNNNNNNNNNNNNNNNNNNNNNNNNNNNNNNNNNNNNNNNNNNNNNNNNNNNNNNNNNNNNNNNNNNNNNNNNNNNNNNNNNNNNNNNNNNNNNNNNNNNNNNNNNNNNNNNNNNNNNNNNNNNNNNNNNNNNNNNNNNNNNNNNNNNNNNNNNNNNNNNNNNNNNNNNNNNNNNNNNNNNNNNNNNNNNNNNNNNNNNNNNNNNNNNNNNNNNNNNNNNNNNNNNNNNNNNNNNNNNNNNNNAAAAGUCGAUCAGUCAACUGAAGUGUAGCUAAAUCGGAGUAGCAUCGCAAGCAAGAGCAAGAGCGAGAGCAGCAGCGCGAGCAAGAGCAAUAGCAAGAGCAGACCAGGCAGGGGACCAAGAGCAAGAGCAGAGCAGCAGCGCGAGCGAGAGCUAAAGCAGCAGCAGAUCCUAUUGAUGUGGACGUCGCCGCUGAGGGAGCGACGUCGUGGAGGAAGUGGCCGGUGACGCCGCCGUGGAUGGAGCCGCGCCGUGUCGGCUCGGGACCGAGCGCGGGCAGCACCAUGAGAUCGAAUCAAGAAGAAAAUGCGGCGAUUAGUGUACAACCUCUUUGGUGGCGCCGAUUAGGCCGCAACUUCAUCCGAGGAAACGGCGAUGAUGAUGCUCUUCCGGUGGUGCAGGUGAAGACGGCGGUGUGGGAAUGGAGGUGGCGCGAAAGACGAGGGGAACAUCAGGGAAGCUCCUUGGAGGUGGAGGACGAGGUGGCUGAACCGGCCGGACGAUGAGAUCGACGACGGAUCCUCAUCCGGUACGGUGGAUGAGGGAUGUCGAUGUUGGGGAACGUUGCAAAAAACAAAAAAUUUCCUACGGUUUCACCAAGAUCCAUCUAUGAGUUCAUCUAGCAACGAGUAUUCAGAUUGCAUCUACAUACCUUUGUAGAUCGCGAGCGGAAGCGUUCACUAGAACGUGGAUGAUGGAGUCAUACUCGCCGUGAUCCAAAUCACCGAUGACCAAGCGCCGAACGGACGGCACCUCCGUGUUCAACACACGUACGGAGCGGACGACGUCUCCUCCUUCUUGAUCCAGCAAGGGGGAAGGAGAGGUUGAUGAAGAUCCAACAUCACGACGGUGUGGUGGUGGAUGCAGUUGUCACCGCAGCAGGGCUUCGCCGAGCGUCUGCGCGAGAGGGAGAGGUGUAGCAGGGGAGAGGGAGGCGCCAAGAUGCAAGGGUGCGGCUGCCCCCUCCCUCCCCCCCUUUAUAUAGGCCCCCUGGGGGGGCGCCGGCCCUUGGAGAUCCAAUCUCCCAAGGGGGGCGGCGGCCAAGGGGGGUGGAGUACCCCCCAAGGCAAGUGGGGCGCCCCCCACCCUAGGGUUUCAACCCUAGGCGCAAGGGGGUGGGCCAAGGGGGGCGCACCAGCCCACUAUGGGCUGGUUCCCCCUCCCACUUCAGCCCAUGGGGCCCUCCGGGAUGGGUGGCCCCACCCGGUGGACCCCCGGGACCCAUCCGGUGGUCACGGUACAAUACUGGUGACCCCGAAACUUUCCCGUUGGCCGAAACAGCACUUCUAUAUAUAAUUCUUUACCUCCGGACCAUUCCGGGACUCCGAACAACUUUCGGAUUACUGCAUAUUCAUAUCUUUACAACCCUAGCGUCACCAGACCUUAAGUGUGUAGACCCUACUUGUUCGGGAGACAUGCAGACAUGACCGAGACGCCUCUCCGGCCAAUAACCAACAGCGGGAUCUGGAUACCCAUGUUGGCUCCCACAUGCUCCUCGAUGAUCUCAUCGGAUGAACCACGAUGUCGAGGACUUAAUCAAUCCCGUAUUCAAUUCCCUUUGUCAAUCGGUACAUUACUUGCCCGAGACUCGAUCGUCGGUAUCCCAAUACCUUGUUCAAUCUCGUUACCGGCAAGUCACUUUACUCGUACCGUAAUGCAUGAUCCCGUGACCAACCCCUUGGUCACAUUGAGCUCAUUAUGAUGAUGCAUUACCGAGUGGGCCCAAGAGAUACCUCUCUGUCAUACGGAGUGACAAAUCCCAGUCUCGGUUCGUGCCAACCCAACAGACACUUUCGGAGAUACCCGUAGUGUACCUUUAUAGCCACCCAGUUACGUUGUGACGUUUGGCACACCCAAAGAACUCAUACGGUAUCCGGGAGUUGCACAACCUCAUGGUCUAAGGAAAUGAUUCUUGACAUUGCAAAAGCUCUAGCAAACAAACUACACGAUCUUUAUGCUAUGCUUAGGUUUGGGUCUUGUCCAUCACAUCAUUCUCCUAAUGAUGUGACCCCGUUAUCAAUGACAUCCCUAUGUCCAUAGCCAGGAAACCAGGACUAUCUGUUGAUCAACGAGCUAGUCAACUAGAGGCUCACUAGGGACACAUUGUGGUCUAUGUAUUCACACAUGUAUUAUGAUUUCCGGACAAUACAAUUAUAGCAUGAACAAUAGACAAUUAUCAUGAACAAGGAAAUAUAAUAAUCUUUUAUUAUUGCCUCUUGGGCAUAUUUCCAACAGUCUCCCACUUGCACUAAAGACAAUAGUCUAGUUACAUUGUGAUGAAUCGAACACCCAUGGAAUUUUGGUGUUGAUCAUGUUUUGCAAUAGGGAGAGGUUUAGUCAACGGAUCUGCCACAUUCUGGUCCGCAUGUACUUUACAAAUCUCUAUGUCUCCAUUUUGAACACUUUCACGAAUGGAGUUGAAGCGACGCUUGAUAUGCUUGGUCUUCCUGUGAAACCUGGGCUCCUUCGCAAGGGCAAUAGCUCCAGUGUUGUCACAGAAGAGAGUCAUCGGGUCCGACGCGUUGGGUAUGACUCCUAGGUCAGUAAUGAACUCCUUCAUCCAGAUUGCUUCUUGUGCUGCCUCCGAGGCUGCCAUAUAUUCCGCUUCACAUGUAGAUCCCGCCACGACGCUUUGCUUGCAACUGCACCAGCUUACUGCCCCACCAUUCAAAAUAUACACGUAUCCGGUUUGUGACUUAGAGUCAUCCAGAUCUGUGUCGAAGCUAGCGUCGACGUAACCCUUUACGACAAGCUCUUCGGCACCUCCAUAAACGAGAAACAUAUCCUUGGUCCUCUUCAGGUACUUCAGGAUGUUUUUGACCGCUGUCCAGUGUUCCUUGCCGGGAUUACUUUGGUACCUACCUACCAAACUUACGGCAAGGUUUACAUCAGGUCUGGUACACAACAUGGCAUACAUAAUAGACCCUAUGGCUGAGGCAUAGGGGAUGACACUCAUCUCUUCUAUAUCUUCUGCCGUGGUCGGGCAUUGAGCCGUGCUCAAUCGCACACCUUGCAAUACAGGCAAGAACCCCUUCUUGGACUGAUCCAUAUUGAACUUCUUCAAUAUCUUGUCAAGGUACGUACUUUGUGAAAGACCGAUGAGGCGUCUCGAUCUAUCUCUAUAGAUCUUGAUGCCUAAUAUAUAAGAAGCUUCUCCAAGGUCCUUCAUUGAAAAACUCUUAUUCAAGUAGGCCUUAACGUUGUCCAAAAGUUCUAUAUCAUUUCCCAUCAAAAGUAUGUCAUCUACAUAUAAUAUGAGAAAUGCUACAGAGCUCCCACUCACUUUCUUGUAAACGCAGGCUUCUCCAUAAGUCUGCAUAAACCCAAACGCCUUGAUCAUCUCAUCAAAGCGAAUGUUCCAACUCUGAGAUGCUUGCACCAACCCAUAAAUGGAUCGCUGGAGCUUGCAUACCUUGUUAGCAUUCUUAGGGUCGACAAAACCUUCUGGCUGCAUCAUAUACAGUUCUUCCUUAAGAUAGCCGUUAAGGAAUGCCGUUUUGACGUCCAUUUGCCAUAUCUCAUAAUCAUAGUAUGCGGCAAUUGGUAACAUGAUUCGGACGGACUUCAGCUUCGCUACGGGAGAGAAAGUCUCAUCGUAGUCAACCCCUUGAACUUGCCGAUAACCCUUAGCGACAAGUCGAGCUUUAUAGAUGGUGACAUUACCAUCCGCGUCCGUCUUCUUCUUAAAGAUCCAUUUAUUUUCUAUCGCUCGCCGAUCAUCGGGCAAGUCUGUCAAAGUCCAUACUUUGUUUUCAUACAUGGAUCCUAUCUCGGACUGCAUGGCCUCCAGCCAUUUGUUGGAAUCCGGGCCCGCCAUCGCUUCUUCAUAGUUUGAAGGUUCACCGUUGUCUAACAACAUGAUUUCCAGGACAGGGUUGCCGUACCACUCUGGUGCGGAACGUGUCCUUGUGGACCUAUGAAGUUCAGUAGGAGCUUGGUCUGAAGUAUCUUGAUCAUCAUCAUUAACCUCCUCUCUAAUCGAUGCAGGCACCACAGGAACAUUUUCCUGAGCUGCGCUACUUUCCGUUUCAAGAGGCAGUACUUCAUCAAGCUCCACUUUCCUCCCACUUACUUCUUUCGAGAGAAACUCUUCCUCUAGAAAGGAUCCAUUCCUGGCAACAAAGAUCUUGCCUUCGGAUCUGAGGUAGAAGGUAUACCCAAUGGUUUCCUUAGGGUAUCCUAUGAAGACGCAUUUUUCCGACUUGGGUUCGAGCUUUUCAGGUUGAAGUUUCUUGACAUAAGCAUCGCAUCCCCAAACUUUUAGAAACGACAGCUUAGGUUUCUUCCCAAACCAUAAUUCAUACGGUGUCGUCUCAACGGAUUUAGACGGUGCCCUAUUUAAAGUGAAUGCGGUUGUCUCUAGAGUGUAUCCCCAAAAUGAUAGCGGUAAAUCAGUAAGAGACAUCAUAGAUCGCACCAUAUCCAAUAGAGUGCGAUUACGACGUUCGGACACACCGUUACGUUGAGGUGUUCCAGGCGGCGUGAGUUGUGAAACGAUUCCACAUUUCCUUAAGUGUGUGCCAAAUUCGUGACUUAAAUAUUCUCCUCCACGAUCUGAUCGUAAGAACUUUAUUUUUCGGUCUCGUUGAUUCUCUACCUCAUUCUGAAAUUCCUUGAACUUUUCAAAGGUCUCAGACUUGUGUUUCAUUAAGUAGACAUACCCAUAUCUACUCAAGUCAUCAGUGAGAGUGAGAACAUAACGAUAUCCUCCGCGAGCCUCAACACUCAUUGGACCGCACACAUCAGUAUGUAUGAUUUCCAAUAAGUUGGUUGCUCGCUCCAUUGUUCCGGAGAACGGAGUCUUGGUCAUUUUGCCCAUAAGGCAUGGUUCGCAUGUGUCCAAUUAUUCAUAAUCGAGAGACUCUAAAAGUCUAUCAGCAUGGAGCUUCUUCAUGCGCUUGACACCAAUGUGACCAAGGCGGCAGUGCCACAAGUAUGUGGGACUAUCGUUAUCAACUUUAAUUCUUUUGGUAUUCACACUAUGAAUAUGUGUAUUAUCACGCACGAGAUUCAUUAAGAAUAAACCAUUGACCAUCGGAGCAUGACCAUAAAACAUAUCACUCAUAUAAAUAGAACAACCAUUAUUCUCGGAUUUAAAUGAGUAGCCAUCUCGAAUUAAACGAGAUCCAGAUACAAUGUUCAUGCUCAAACUUGGCACUAAAUAACAAUUAUUGAGGUUUAAAACUAAUCCCGUAGGUAAAUGUAGAGGUAGCGUGCCGACGGUGAUCACAUCGACCUUGGAACCAUUCCCGACGCGCAUCGUCACCUCAUCCUUCGCCAGUCUCCGCUUAUUCCGCAGCUCCUGCUUUGAGUUACAAGUAUGAGCAACAGCACCGGUAUCAAAUACCCAGGAGCUACUACGAGCACUGGUAAGGUACACAUCAAUUAAAUGUAUAUCACAUAUACCUUUAGUGUUGCCGGCCUUCUUGUCCGCUAAGUAUUUGGGGCAGUUCCGCUUCCAGUGACCCUUCCCUUUGCAAUAAAAGCACUCAGUCUCAGGCUUGGGUCCAUACUUUGACUUCUUCCCGGCAACUUGGUUACCAGGCGCGGCAACAUCCUUGCCGUCUUUCUUGAAGUUCUUCUUGCCCUUGCCCUUCUUGAACUUGGUGGUUUUAUUGACCAACAACACUUGAUGUUCCUUUUUUAUCUCCACCUUCGCUGAUUUCAGCAUUGAAUAUACCUCGAGAAUGGUCUUUUCCAUCCCCUGCAUAUUGAAGUUCAUCACAAAGCUCUUGUAGCUUGGUGGAAGCGACUGAAGGAUUCUGUCAAUGACCGCGUCAUCCGGGAGAUUAACUCCCAGCUGAGUCAAGCAGUUGUGCAACCCAGACAUCUUGAGUAUGUGUUCACUGACAGAGCUAUUUUACUCCAUCUUAAAACUAAAGAACUUGUCGGAGACUUCAUAUCUCUCGACCCGGGCAUGAGCUUGGAAAACCAUUUUCAGCUCCUCGAACAUCUCAUAUGCUUCGCGUUGCUCAAAACGCUUUUGGAGCCCCGGUUCUAAGCUGUAAAGCAUGCCGCACUGAACGAGGGAGUAAUCAUCAGCACGUGACUGAUAGGCGUUCAUAACGUCUUGGUUUGCUGGGAAUGGUGCUUCACCUAGCGGUGCUUCUAGGACAUAAUCUUUCUUGGCAGCUAUGAGGAUGAUCCUCAGGUUCCGGACCCAGUCCAUAUAGUUGCUGCCAUCAUCUUUCAGCUUGGUUUUCUCUAGGAACGCGUUGAAGUUGAGGGCAACAUUGGUGUGGGCCAUUUGAUCUACAAGACAUAUUGUAAAGAUUUUAGACUAAGUUCAUGAUAAUUAAGUUCAUCUAAUCAAAUUAUUAAUGAACUCCCACUCAGAUUAGACAUCCCUCUAGUCAUCUAAGUGAAACAUGAUCCGACUCGACUAGGCCGUGUCCGAUCAUCAUGUGAGACGGACUAGUCAUCAUCAGUGAACAUCUCCAUGUUGAUCGUAUCUUCUAUACGACUCAUGCUCGACCUUUCGGUCCUCCGUGUUCCGAGGCCAUGUCUGUACAUGCUAGGCUCGUCAAGAUAACCUAAGUGUUUUGCAUGUGUAAAUCUGUCUUACACCGUUGUAUGUGAACGUUGGAAUCUAUCACACCUGAUCAUCACGUGGUGCUUCGAAAGAACGAACUAUCGCAAUGGUGCACAGUUAGGGGGAACACUUUCUUGAAAUUAUUAUGAGGGAUCAUCUUAUUUACUACCGUCGUUCUAAGUAGACAAGAUGCAAAACAUGAUAAACAUCACAUGCAAUCAAAUAAUAAUAGUGACAUGAUAUGGCCAAUAUCAUAUAGCUCCUUUGAUCUCCAUCUUGGGGCUCCAUGAUCGUCUUGUCACCGGCAUGACACCAUGAUCUCCAUCAUCGUGUCUCCAUGAAGUUGCACACCAACUAUUACUUCUACUACUAUGGCUAACACCUUUAGCAAUAAAGUAAAGUAAUUUACAUGGCGUUUCCAUUGCCACGCAGGUCAUAAAAGAAUAAUGACAACUCCUAUGGCUCCUGCCGGUUGUCAUACUCAUCGACAUGCAAGUCGUGAUUCCUAUUACAUGAACAUGAUCUCAUACAUCACAUAUAUAUCAUUCAUCAUUCAUCACAACUUUGGCCAUAUCAUAUCACAAAGCACUUGCUGCAAAAACAAGUUAGACGUCCUCUAAUUGUUGUUGCAAAUUUUACGUGGCUGAAAUAGGGUUCUAGCAAGAACGUUUUCUUACCUACGUAAAAGCCACAACGUGAUUUGUCAACUUCUAUUUACCCUUCAUAAGGACCCUUUUCGUCGAAUCCGCUCCAACUAAAGUGGGAGAGACAGACACCCGCCAGCCACCUUAUGCAACUAGUGCAUGUCAGUCGGUGGAACCGGUCUCACGUAAGCGUACGUGUAAGGUUGGUCCGGGCCGCUUCAUCCCACAAUACUGCUGAAGCAAAAUAAGACUAGUAACGGCAAGAAAAUUGACAACAUCUACGCCCACAACAAUUGUGUUCUACUCGUGCAAAGAGAACUACGCAUAGACCUAGCUCAUGAUGCCACUGUUGGGGAACGUUGCAGAAAACAAAAAUUUUCCUACGGUUUCACCAAGAUCCAUCUAUGAGUUCAUCUAGCAACGAGUAUUCAGAUUGCAUCUACGUACCUUUGUAGAUCGCGAGCGGAAGCGUUCACUAGAACGUGGAUGAUGGAGUCGUACUCGCCGUGAUCCAAAUCACCGAUGACCAAGCGCCGAACUGACGGCACCUCCGCGUUCAACACACGUACGGAGCGGAUGACGUCUCCUCCUUCUUGAUCCAGCAAGGGGGAAGGAGAGGUUGAUGAAGAUCCAACAUCACGACGGUGUGGUGGUGGAUGCAGUUGUCACCGCAGCAGGGCUUCGCCGAGCGUCUGCGCGAGAGGGAGAGGGAGGCGCCAAGAUGCAAGGGUGCGGCUGCCCCCUCCCUCCCCCCUUUAUAUAGGCCCCCUAGGGGGGGCGCCGGCCCUUGGAGAUCCAAUCUCCCAAGGGGGGCGGCGGCCAAGGGGGGUGGAGUACCCCCCAAGGCAAGUGGGGCGCCCCCCCACCCUAGGGUUUCAACCCUAGGCGCAAGGGGGUGGGCCAAGGGGGGUGCACCAGCCCACUAUGAGCUGGUUCCCCCUCCCACUUCAGCCCAUGGGGCCCUCCGGGAUGGGUGGCCCCACCCGGUGGACCCCCGGGACCCAUCCGGUGGUCCCGGUACAAUACCAGUGACCCUGAAACUUUCCCAUUGGCCGAAACAACACUUCUAUAUAUAAUUAUUUACCUCUGGACCAUUCCUGAACUCCUCAUGACGUCCGGGAUCUCAUCCGGGACUCCGAACAACUUUCGGAUUACUGCAUAUUCAUAUCUUUACAACCCUAGCGUCACCAGACCUUAAGUGUGUAGACCCUACGUGUUCGGGAGACAUGCAGACAUGACGGAGACGCCUCUCCGGCCAAUAACCAACAUCGGGAUCUGGAUACCCAUGUUGGCUCCCACAUGCUCCUCGAUGAUCUCAUCGGAUGAACCACGAUGUCGAGGACUUAAUCAAUCCCGUAUUCAAUUCCCUUUGUCAAUCGGUAUGUUACUUGCCCGAGACUUGAUCGUCGGUAUCCCAAUACCUUGUUCAAUCUCGUUACCGGCAAGUCACUUUACUCGUACCGUAAUGCAUGAUCGCAUGACCAACCCCUUGGUCACAUUGAGCUCAUUAUGAUGAUGCAUUACCGAGUGGGCCCAAGAGAUACCUCUCCGUCAUACGGAGUGCAAAUCCUAGUCUCGGUUCGUGCCAACCCCAGACACUUUCGGAGAUACCCGUAGUGUACCUUUAUAGCCACCCAGUUACGUUGUGACGUUUGGCACACCCAAAGCACUCAUAUGGUAUCCGGAGUUGCACAACCUCAUGGUCUAAGGAAAUGAUACUUGACAUUGCAAAAGCUCUAGCAAACGAACUACACGAUCUUUAUGCUAUGCUUAGGUUUGGGUCUUGUCCAUCACAUCAUUCUCCUAAUGAUGUGACCCCGUUAUCAAUGACAUCCCUAUGUCCAUAGCCAGGAAACCAUGACUAUCUGUUGAUCAACGAGCUAGUCAACAAGAGGCUCACUAGGGACACAUUGUGGUCUGUGUAUUCACACAUGUAUUACGAUUUCCGGACAAUACAAUUAUAGCAUGAACAAUAGACAAUUAUCAUGAACAAGGAAAUAUAAUAAUCUUUUAUUAUUGCCUCUAGGGCAUAUUUCCAACAGUCGAGGUGUUGCUGUGGACGAUGUCGUCGGGGAAGAGGCUCCGGCUGGGUGGCGGACGAAGCAGGGUGUGGGGUUUCGUCGCGGGUUUUCACGGCCUCGAUGUACGAAUGGGUGGGCGGAUGGGACGGCAGUGGGGAACCAUGGCUUAGAGACACGCUUGUCCGAAAUGUGGGGUAAGUUACGAAAGUACCCCCACCGAUUUGAGGCAGUUCUUUCGGUUCAGGGGUACCACGGGCAUUUCGCGUGUCGGGAUUUCACAGGAGGUGGGAGUUUUCACGCGUGUUGUAAUUUCGGAAUAGCAUGGCACGGGUUGAGAUGGAGGGAGUUGUCGGAGCACAACGAGACAAAGAUAUAUCUUAAAUAUUUCGGGCUAACAAGGCGCGGGUUGAAGAGGCGGGAGUUUCGCAGCACGAUAGACAGAGAUGCUAGCUUGAAUUUUCUGCAUAACAAGGUGCGGCUUGAAAUUUCGGAAGAACAAGCUUAACGUGUACCAAAAAAAGACAAUUUGCACCUCAACACGCACAACACACACACACAAACACCAUUUAGACUAGAGUAAGGUACACGUGCAUUGCACGCAUGAGAUUUGGCAACCAAAUUAUGAAUAAAUACCACAUUAUAGCAUGCAAGAUUUGAGUCAUAUAUGCAUGAUGUAGAUGUUCGUUUAAUUCUUAUAGUUCAUUUCAUUCAAAAUCAUCUAGUUUUUAUAAGAAAGCUAAUAUAUUUUAAGAUUCAUGGAAUUGUGCGUCGUAAGACAUAAAGUAAAAAACAAAUAAUGGCAAGUCAUGUAGAAAAACAUUUGGGAAAUUCUAAUACGGAAGAUUCUAGAACAAAUAAGAAGUGCUUGUGUUUUGAUGUUUGUGCAUUAUGCUUAAGUUCAACCAUGGAGUCUUCUAGAUUAUACAUGUGGCGAAAUCUGGCGAAAUCUAGAUGAUAUGCAACGGCCAGUAGUGCUCAAAUUUUCCAUCUUUGGACCAUCGGAUUCGCCUCAUCCAACGACCAUCUUUCAAAGUUAAAGUUACCCGCACACAAUAUAAAAAAAUAUAUAAUAUAAUAUAUAUAUAUAGGGGUAUAGAUAUAGAUAUGUGAUGCAAAGCCGCCCAUCAUCUCCAAUUUGAAUAGUGUGUCCAUGCACGGAUGCGACGUGGCCAAAUGAUGUCUGCCAUCGGUAUCUCAAAUUCAAAUCAGUCUGACCUUGUUCAAUGUGUAUACAUUACAACAUGCUCGUUUCCAAACCACACCGCGCAGAUCUCUGUUAUAUUCAUGCAUGCAUGGGUUUCAAACAUCAGGAUCUCUUAUUCAAAUAUUUGAAUUCAACUUUACAUUGAUUAUGACCUCACCUAUUCAGCUAUUCUUUUACACCCACACAGUAGUCUUCUCUUUAUAAUUGUACCACUAACUUUCUCUCGUGCAUGCAUGCACACACACUACCAGUCGGCAUUAUCCAUCGCACGCAUGCAAUCUUUUUCUUCAGGUCGGUCUCCCAUGAAGGCACACAUCAACACACAUCCGCCUCUCCAUCAUAUCGGGCAUUCUUUAUCUCUCACGCGUGCAUGCUCAAUGAUCGAUGUUCCUCUAUGUAUGUGUCUAUAUAGCUAGGUCUUUCAUAGUUUUCCACACAAACCGAUCAAUCGAUAUAUCCAGUGAGGUCUCACCCUCUUUCCCACGUCCACAUCGAUCAAUCUAUACCUCUCUAUAUAGGAUUAACAUAUAUAGCUAAUACACCCACAUUAAUUAUAUAUCCAACAUCCCCCUCUCAUCAUCCAUGCCUUCCGCUCCAUCUCUCAGACGCGUGCACAAUGGCGAAGACAGGGGGAAGUAAGGGCCCUGCCCCCUCCCCCCUAACAUCACUAUAUAUCGAGGCUAAUAUGAAUGUGAUCAUUAGACAAUUGCUGCUAAAAAUGGUUUAAGUUCAUCAAUUGACCCUCCUCGUAAAGGAUUAGCAAUGCUUGGCCCCCUCGCUCAUUUAUUUUUCAUGGCUCCGCCACUGUGCGCAACAGCGCACGUGUUCGCCCCCUCUCUCUAAAUAUCGAUCUCGCACUUGUGCAUUCCUUCAUAGUCUCCCUCCACUCAGCCCCUCGCACCAUCUUCUAGCCCCCCACCGGAUUUUGCCACAUGUACAAUCUAGCAGACUCCAUGGUUGAACUUAAGCAUAAUGCACAAACCUCAAAACAAUAGUGGUUCUCUUUUGUUCUAGAAUACUCCGUACCAUAACUGCCCAAACUUUUUUUCUAGUUGAAUUGCCAUUAUUUGUUUUUACUUUAUGCUUUACAACACACAAUUCCAUGAAUCAUAAAAUAGAUUAAGGGCUUCUUUGAUUCAAAGGAUUCUCAAAGGAAUUUUGGAGGAUUCUAAUCAUUAGGAAUUUUUCCUAUCUUGGUUGUUUGAUUCAUAGGAUUGUAAACCAUAGGAAUUUUUCCAUAUGAUUCAUUUGCACUAGAUUUCAUAGGAAACAUCCCAUCCACUCAAACCUCUUUGAAAGAAUUCUGCGUUUUUUUCUAAGCACAAUCAAACACUCGUACAAUCCUGUAGGAUUCAAGACGACAUUCCACUAUAAUCCCAUGUUUUUCCUAUUCCCGCGUUCUUAGCUUUUUUAUAAAAACUAAUUGAUUUUGAAUGAGAUGAACUAUAAGAAUUAAACGAAGGGCUACAUCAGGCAUAUAUGACUCAGAGCUUACAUGCUAUAGUGUGGUAUUUAUUCAUAAUUUGGUUGCAAAAUCUGAUGCGUGCAAUGCACGUGUACCUUACUAGUACUUCGAGUAUGUGCAAAACACGUAAAUUAGAAUACCAAUGGCACGCUACACAGUGUCUCUCUUAUAGUUCAUGAAGCCAUGUGGAACAUGUGGAGGCGUUGUCGCGACCUCCUUGCGUGGAUUGAUCACAGUGACAUGCUGCUGGUUCCAGAAGAAUGUACUCGUCCUCCCUGAGCCAUACUAGCGGUACAUGCACGAAGUGAAGAUGUGCACGCACACCACGCACGCACUCAUUCCCUCGCACGCACACGCGGGUACAUGGGCAGACACAAUUUUGUACCAAGAUCCACCCCAUGUGAUAAUUUGACGCAUGUAAAGUCGUUUACUUCAUUGAUGGUCAAUUAAUACAGCGCAUGCAAAUUGAGUGGACGUGAGGGCGGAAGAAAGACAUUAUUACUCCACUGCGUGCGUGCGAGUAGUUAAAUCGUGGGUUGCUAGUAGUACUUCCAUUGGUCUCCUUCGUAUUUUGUGCCAAUUUUCGAUAGUACCAUAAUAUUUACUCAUUUGAGCAGUGUAGUACUUGAAAUUUAUGUUCCGCUAAACUCAUCGGGAGCCGUUUCGGGCCUCGAAACCAAAACCAUCAAUUAAUCUUUACCUUGUUCCCAUCACAUUCGAAAGCCUGCUCACACCUACUAGUACGUACCAAACCUGAACGUGUUCCCACUAUGCAGGUAUUAUUACUAGUGUUAGUACUUAGGUUAUAAAAAGGGGAACUACCUAACCGAAAAUUACUCUACCUUUCCUCCUCAUAAGUGCUUCUUCUUCGUCCGUCGUUUCCAUGGCCGGUGAGCAGAGCUCUAGGUCGAGAACUACUCGUAACAAGGGAGCGGCAACCAAGGCUGCGAAAAAAGAGGGCUCGCCGCCACGCAGAGACCUCGAAAGAUCUCUCACGGGCAGGUGAUGGCUCCCAGGAGCACCCUAGCCGCGGAGGCGAACAUGCCGAGCCAGCAGAGCUGGAGUCGUUACCCUCGACGGCAUGCCCGAUCAGCUCAAUAAGCAGAAGGAGUUCAUCCAAGGCUUGAUGGAGUUGCUAAAGGAGAGUCUCGACGACAUGCCCGCUGAGCUCAAUCGGCAGGGGGGGGGGGUUGACCGCCGGCUUGGUGAUGCUGCUGAAGAAGAGCAUUGCCUUGGAGAAGAAGGCGACCGGCGAAAUCCUGCGACUUUGGGAGGAUAAUGCGAAGCUCUGCCACGAGAUCGACCUGUUGAAGGAGAAGAACGCCGACUGGAAGAAGCUGCAUGAGAAUAGUAGUUCCUCGAUGAAGAUGCUGCAGGCCCUCGUCAUGGAACAGAAGGAAGAGUUGGCGAAGCUCCGCAUCGAGCACCCGGCUGCUGUCAAGGUACGUAAUAUGGCCAUGGAACAGAUGAUGAAGGCUCGCGUCGGGAAAUGCCGCAUCAUGGACACAAUGAUGAAGAUGGUGGAGGAGACGCACAAGGAGAUGGAGGUCGUGGAGGCGAUGAAGAAGCAGUUACGACUCCGCGACGAAUUAGAUCAUUUGGGGUGAUAAUCUUCCUUCUUCUUUUGCUCCUGUGUUUCAUCUUUUGCUUCGGGUGUUUCGCUGCACGUGUCACGUUCUCUGUGAGGCAUGAAUAGAACAAUGGUUUUUUUGAGGGAAUGAAUAGAACAAUGCUAACAAUGAGAUGACUAGCAAAUUAGAUCAUUUUUUAUCGCCAUAUGGCACUGGGCUGCCAUGUUUUGUGCUCCUCCGUCGCAGUACUACUCCAGUGGAAAACUUGAGCAUACCACACGGUUCUUUGCUCCUCCUCGAUCAGGUCGUCAACGCAUUUAUACGAGCAGUCAAAUCACAAGGCCCCGCCUUCCAGCAGUAAUGAACCAUCAAAUCACAAAGGCCCUCGCCUCUCGUGAAACCGACCAAGCUAGACUGCCCCGCCCUCUAGCCUUUUAAAAAAUGUAUACUUUUGUACAGCAGUAGUAUCGAUGGAUUGCGCCAUGGAGCAAAACUUGAAAUUAAAAAAGGUGGUACAUAUAGAGAGCGCUCGUCGCCAAAUUAUGCAUAUAGUACUAUUAAAAAGGCUAGUCACAAUAAUGGUGUCCAGCACAACCCACCCCUCAAAUAAAACUAAGAGGGUGCUUGGAUACGUUUUAGUCCCAUGACUAAAAGUAGUGGGACUAAAACAUGCUAGCCUCACCCAUACUUGGAUCCAAAUACUAAAAAGGCUAAAAUCAAGUUAAUGAGCAUUUAUUAUCCUCCAAACCCUCCAAUGCAGAACUCGCCUGUGUUAAAGGAGAGGAGUUAAAUGAGUAGAGAGAGGACUAAUCCACAUUUUAGUAGGGGUACCCCUGACUAAAAAAUUUUAGUCUCAAGACUAGUUUUAGCCCCUCUUUAGUCAGGGUGCUUGGAACUUUAGCCUCUUAAAGAGACUUUUUUUAGUCAGACUAAAAUAAGUCCCUUGGAUCCAAGCACCCUCUAAGCAUCCUGGAAUUCUUUGACAAAACUAAGCACCCUGAAAUUCUUUGACAACUAAACUGCUGGCUAUAUGAUGUUGGCCAUAUAUAUUGUACGUAUAUAAUGUGAAGAAACGAGUGGUAGUACUAUACCAACUAAAAGAUGAAACGUAAGAAAUACUAGUAUGUACGUACUGAAGAGUUAAAGUAACGAGAAGAAACAUAACAUAGUUCUGCUGGGGGCUCAGCACGACACACCCCUCAAAUUAAAUUAAGCACACCUGAAAUUAAACUUUGCAACUAUUCCGGUAGACACUGCAUUAGAACCACCAUGAGCAACGACACUGCCACCAGUCCUCGUCCACGUCCUCGACUUCGUCCUUGUCCCUCUUCCUCUUGGCCGAUACUUCUUUGCUUGAACCGCACACUUGGCUGUUGCUCUUCAUCCAACCCUUGUAGAUAUUGAAGCAAAGGUAGCCAUCCAUUGCAGCAUAGUGGAUGUGGUCUGUAUCUAGUACAUUCCGCUGCCAUGCAUGACGAUGAAACGUGUAAUGAGGUUUCUCCAGUUUACUGUACGAAGGAUGAACCAUGGCUCCUGCCAGGGCCAUCAUUGAAGGCUGACGAGAGGACACUAGCCGAUUCUUCUGGAGGUCGAAGGUGUUGCCUACAACGAGGCCUAUCCGACACAGGACUUCCUUGUCGUUACCAAAGUAUAAAGUAACGAAUUUGACUAGGUUGCUCUCGAGGAAGUUCUUAAAAUCCUGGCACUCAACGUCGGCAUGGCAUAUGUGGUAGACCAAGCAAACGUUAUGUACGCAAACCUGGAUCACGUCGGGCUUCUUCCUCUCUUCGUCCUUUAGAUCCUUCUCUCUCCCCAAGACUGUGGUGUGCUCAACAUCUAGCCCAGCGACCCACUCAUCAUCUGAGUUUUUGAACAUGCGUCUAAAGCGAGAAAGGCAUCCUUUCACCAUCGCGGAAGAACGGGUGUAGAUGACGUCGAACUCAUCACCGGUGAUGGUUCUAACCUUGUACUCACCACUGAUCGUGGAGAUUUGGGAUGCCAUGGAUUUGGGAGGAGGGUUAGGAUUAGUGGAACUGCCGUAAUGUGAAUGGACGAGAUGACUAGGAGCGAACUGCCGUAGUAUUGAAGGACGUGCGGGGACGAGUAGGAGCGAACUGCCAGCGUGCGAACGGCAGGGUAGUGGAUUUCCAUUCUCCCAUGAUACGGGCUUCCGAGAGCCCUUGGAUCUGAGAUCGAACGGUUGCAUGGCGUGAUUCUAGACCUAUGGGUGAAUCUCCUAUCCUGGAGGGUUAUUAUGCAAAUUUUCAGCAACUUAGCAUGCGACCGUUUGAUCUCAGAUCCAAGGGCUGCCAGCAGCCCGUAUUGUGGUCGCGCCUACCACGACCGUCACGUCGCUCGUGCGGUCGCGCCCUUGGAUAUUUAACACGGUGCGUGAGGCUAUCUGAUGUUGGCAUGUCAUACAUAGUCAUCACUUAGUCACUCAUACUACAACAAGGUUUUGGCUAUAAGGUUGGCUAUAAGUGUAUUUUUUUACUUCUCUCUAUCUCUUUCUUCGUACUCCCUCCGUCCCAUAAUAUAAGAACAUUUUUGACACUAGUGUAGUGCCAAAAACAUUCUUAUAUUAUGGGACACAGGGAGUACUAGUAUUUAUUGCAUUUGCCAAGGAGUGACCUCUUCCAAUGAAAUGGUGUUGCUAAGUUUGCUUCAUUUAAUUAGCUAUAUACUCAAAAUUGUCUUUUCACCUAGGUACACGCACUUAGCACCAUUUCUUCCUUGGGUCACCAAACUAGUCUCUCUCUUCUUGAUUAACUUGCCACAUCAGACUUUAUGCCUAUGUGGCAAGCUUAAGCACCUGUAGGAGCAAGUAAAAGUAAGUACAAUAGUGCGCUUUACAUGACAUUUUUGCAUAUGUGGAGGAAAGAGAGGCAAGGAAAAAGUGGAGAAGUGGGCUCUCAUGCAAGAGCCAGCCUCUACUACAUGGUGGAGCAUUGGGAGAGGCACCUGUAUGGAGGUGGUCAGGAAUCUGGGAGACUCACGCCGGUCGUAGCACCGCAGUUAAAAUGAUAAUGGCAAGUCAAAUCACGGGGCCCCACUUGUCCAGCAGUAACUCGCUGUCAAAUCACACAGCCCUACGAUUGCAGCAGCCUACUCCCUCGUCUUCUCACGUCUCUGUCGAACCGACUAGGCGGAACUGCCCCGCCGCCUACCGCGCAGGAAAAGCCCCGCCCUCGACUUUUAAAUAGUAUACAGUAUACUAAUUUUGUAUCCAUGGAUUGCGCCCGCGCCAUGGAGCAAAGCGUCUAGAAAACGGAGGAGAGACGAUGGUCUUGCAAUAGAGAAGAGGGAGAGGCGAGACGGUGGUUUUGAAAUGGAGAUGAUGGAGAGGAGAGGAGGUGGUUUUGCAAUGGAGAAGAUCAGAAGAGGGAGAGGCGAGACAGUGGUUUUGGAAUGGAGAUGAUGGAGAGGAGAGGGGGUGGUUUUGCAAUGGAGAAGAGGGAGAGGAGCGUGCGGUAGCGAUUUAGGAUUGGACGAGAGGGCCGGCGCGCUGUGACUGGAUCAAAAUCAAAAUCAAUUUACCCUUCAAUUAAUAAAGCGACCCCACAUUAACUAGUCUCCCUUUUAUUCUGGGUCAUAAUUGACCAUGAUUUUCGCACAUAAAGUAUAUGUUAUACAUUGCAAAAAUAAUAUAAUUUGAAAGUACAUUCAGAUACGAACCAAAUACAAUUUUUGGUGACAUGCAUUCACAUUUUGCUUGUCAAAUACAGUACGUGGUCAAACUUUGACCCAAAGUACGCAAAACAACAAAAAAAAUACUUCCAAGACCAGCGCCGCUCUUUCGCUCUUCUCCUCUUAAACCACCGCCACUCCUCUCCUGUUCCAAUCUAAAUGCAGCGCCGCUCCUCUCCUCUUCCAUUUCAAAACCACCGCCCCUCCUCUCCUGUUCCAGUCCAAAACCAGCGUCGCUCCUCUCCCGUUCUAAUCCAAAACCAGCGCUGCUCCUCUCCUCUUCCAUUCAAAAACCAUCGCCGGCGAGUGAAGGUGCUGUGGAGAAGUAGAUCGAUGGAGGAGUACAACCAAUACGUGAGGAUCGUAGACGGCGACCCUGUGAAGCUAGCUAGGAUGUUGGAGAUACAGUCUUGGUUUGACAACAAGGACCAACUAGCGGCGACGGUGACAUCCAUGGCCAAAUAUCUGCAAAAGAGCGAAAAGGCGGCGAUACUCCCGGAGGGAGUCGCGCCGGAGUACAUAGAGCUGCUCCUCUGGGCCAUGGAGCAAACAGAUUCACCGAAUCCGAUCGUGAGGGAGCGGUGGUGGGAGUAUCGAUCCCAGAUGGAGCAUCCACCAGAGAUUGAAGGAUUGAGCAUCUACAGGGUGCCGUUUGUGAGGGUGUCCUACCAGAUCGAGCCGGUGGAGUCUUCGUCGACCGAACCCAACUACAAGAGGAGAAAAGCAGUUGGCCCGACGACGCUUCCCCGCCAUCGUCUCCCUCGCCGUUCACAUCAUCUCACGGGGCGGCUGUCUGCUGCCGAGGAAUAGGAGGGGGCUGCCCCCCCAAGCCCAAUAGUCGGGCAGGUUGUGAAUUGUCAGGAGGAGCUUGGGGUUGUCAGUAUUUGCAGGUUGUGAAUUGUGUUUUGUGUUGCGUAUUUUGAGAGUACUUUUAGAUAUAAAUGUCUUUUGAAUUUCAGAUUUGCAGUAUGAGCACAUGAAGUAUUUUAUGAAUUCUAGAGAUCUAUUUUUAGCACUUAAAAAUGUAGUUUCAUAGGAGUAUAAAAGUGCAGACAAUGUGAUUCUUAGAGAAGAAACUACAAGUUUCAGUUUCAGAUAAGAAACUACAAGUUCAGUUUCAGAUAAGAAACUGCAACUUUCAGAGGCAGAGCAUUUAUAUUAACACGUCCUUUUCAAACAGGGCUAACAUCAUGUUGGAAGUUUUAUUCAUGGUCGAAAAUGGAACUACCAGCCAGUUAACAUCAUGCUGAUCAACAUUCAUGCAUAGCACAUCUUCAUAUGAUGCACAGUCAAAAUGCCCACACAAUGUCGAGUGUGCGAAACACAGAGAAAACGAGGGACGAGAUUUAUGCAUUGAUAAACAUAAUUUUUUGAGGAAAACAAGUGCAUUAAUUAGGUGCUUUUGCAAACUACAAAAAGUAUUCCACCAUUCAUCAUCUACCUUGGUUGGUGAGAUUUUUGAAUUGAGCCAUAUAAAUCGAAAAGGAGGGAGUAAUUGGCAAAUAGAUGACCGCUCCCGCGAUCCCCUUCGCCCCCGCCACCACCUCCACCCUCGCCGCCACCCCCGCCACUACCUCCACCCUCGCCGCCGCCAUAGAUCUCGCCGCCACCCCCCGCCUCCUGACUCCGGGCGCGCCUGCCCCCCUCAGCAAGUCCGCUCGCGCGCCCCAUAUAGUCGUCGGCCAUAUCCACGGGGGAAUGGCUGGAAGACAGGCAGAUGUACAAGAUGCAUCUCCCACAUGUCUACAAAGCCUUCCCGUGGAUGCUCCAGCCGCUCGACUCCGUCGCGCCGGCGGUGUUGCGGGAGACUCGAGGGAGGAGAUGGAGGGAGCGGGCGAUGCGGAUCCGCGAUGACGCUCUCUCCUGGACCCAGUGCAUGCGCAAAUGGAGGGAAGCAGAGGAGGAAGCUGCGAGGGAGGAAGCCGAGGAGGGACCGAAUCUGUUCUCUCACUCGCGCAGGUAUGCUCGGAUGUGCAAGGACCAUGUGGAUUGAGAGCUGCUGAAUCUAGCCCUGCGGAUCUACUUCGAAGGAGAUUUCUCGGAGAAGCACAGGAUGCCCCACCCCAAUGAGCCACCGAUUGUGUUCUUUCGAUGGGCGAAAGGAGAAGUGAAUUCAGGAGAUCCACGCCGUGUUGCGAGAUGGGAAUGCUUGACUGGACUCCUGCCCACCAGCACGCCACCGGAGCCGGAGCAGGUGGAUCCCCUACCUUACCUCUCCCCCAAACCUGCAGAAGAUUGAAAUUAGGCUUGCAAUCUGCUUCAAUUGAGCUGUCUGGUGGUUAUUUCUGCUUCCUGAGAGACAACAUCUGGCUGGAGGAUGAGAAGGAACCAGAAACUCCGAUGAAUUUCCCCUAUCACAAUGGGGGGGGGAGCGCCGGUUGGGCAGUGGUACGGCCCACCUCCACCCCAAAUGGGGGCACAAUCUGGGAAGGCUCCUGUAAUUGCCCAAGAUCAAUCUGCUGGUGGUUCUGACUCUCAGAUCAGUGGGAAAUCUCAAGGCAAGAAUCAGCAAAAGAAGAGCUAGGACAUCCAGAAAACUGCUCUUGCCCCUGCUUCGGGCCUUAUGGCAUACUCUGAGGUGAUCUGCUACAACUGUGGGGAACCAGGGCAUCAUUUGGAUAAAUGUGUCAAGCCCAAGAGUUGUUUUAUCUGCAAAAUGGUUACCCAUAAAGUUGAGAAUUGCCCUGUCAGAAGGAAAACCCACAGUUCUGCUAGAUAUGUUGGAAGUGCUGCCCCAGGAUUAUGUCCACCAUUGACAGAAUUUUCUGUGACACAGAAUUAGAUAAUUUCUUUCCCCUUUCUAGUUGUAGAGCUCUACCCAGAUGUGGUAGUGACCACACUCCUUUGCUCUGGGACUCUGGUCUUAACCAAACUCCAAAGAGCAAUAGUUUUAAAUUUGAAAAGUGGUGGUUGCUUAGAGAAGAUUUUACUGAGCUAGUCAGGAAAAUCUGGAAUGAGCCUACUGGGAGCAGCUGCCCCCUAGAAAAUUGGCAAAUCAAAAUUAGGAGAUUUAGAAGAACUACCAAAGGGUGGAACUCCAAUGAGGAAGCUAAUCUUAGAAGAUACAAAAGGCUUCUCCUCCUUGAGUUUGAUUCUCUAGAUAUUAAGGCAGAAACCACUAACCUCUCUGAGGCUGAGACUAAUGGAUUAAACUUUGUCCAUGGAGAGCUCAAGAAAAUUUGGCUUCAAGAAGAAAUCAAAGCCAAACAAAGGUCUAGAGAUAGGAACAUUAAGGAGGGUGAUAGAAAUAUUGCUUACUUCCAUGCAGUAGCUAACCAGAGGAGGAGGAAAACCCUCAUUCACUCCCUUGAUGGCCCUAAUGGCCCUGUUACUGAGGUAGAUGAGAUGCUAAAAGUGGCUAGUGACUUCUACAAAGACCUGUUUAAGAACGAAAACCCUUAUGGGUUCUCUCUACAAAACAAUUUUUUCUCUGCUUCUGAAAAAGUCUCUCCUGCUGAAAAUGAGCUGCUAGAAGCCCCUUUUCCAGAGACAGAGGUGAAGGAAGCCAUUUUUAGCUCUUAUCCUUAUGGGGCUCCUGGUCCUGAUGGGAUUCCCUUCUUGUUUUACCAGCAUUUUGGGGACUUGGUGAAAAAUGAUCUCUUAGAUCUUUUCCAAGCCUUUCAUAGAGGAGAGUUGGAUCCAGCAACUUACUCAUGGGGGGUCUGUUGGGGUCAAGUUAAAUAACUGUGAAAGUGAUUUUUUCCUUGCUGGUAAAGGCCUUAGGCAAGGUGACCCCAUCUCCCCGCUUUUGUUUAAUUUAGUAGUGGACGUUCUUACUAAAAUGCUGAGCAAAGCUGCUGAUCAUAGUCUGAUUGCAGGGCUCUGUCCUGAGGUCUGCCCUGGUGGCAUCAUCUGCCUUCAAUAUGCAGAUGAUACCAUCCUUUUCUUAGACAAUGACUCCACACAUGCUACCAAUCUGAAAACUGUUCUAACCUGUUUUGAACAAGUCUCAGGCAUGAGAAUCAACUACUCUAAAAGUGAAUUCAUCCCUAUCAACAUGGAUGAUCAGGAGUUAGCUGACUUCCUCUCUAUUCUAGUCUGUAAUAAAGGUAACUUCCCCAUUAAGUACCUAGGUAUCCCUCUCCACUAUGAUAAACUGAGGAGAGAGGAUAUCCAACCCCUUCUGGAUAAAAUCAUCAAAAGGAUUGCUGGGUGGAGGGGCAAACUUAUCUCUUACAGAGGUAGAUUGAUCCUCAUACAAGCUUGUUUGGCUAGCAUUCCAGUGUAUCUCCUCUCCUUCUUCAAGUUCCCUAAAUGGGCAGUAAACCUCAUCAAUUCUCAGAUGUCUCAUUGCUUGUGGAAUGAUUUUGAGGGAAAUAGGAAGCUACACCUUGCUAAUUGGGCCCUAGUCUCUAUGAAAAAGAUUUUGGAGGCCUAGGCAUACCUAACCUCCAAGAAAUUAACAUCUGUCUUCUAGGGUCUUGGAUUAAACCUAAUAUACCUAAUAUUUCUAGGUAAUAAACCUAAUAUUUUUGUCCCUUCCUCCAACCCUAAGACCUCUAGAUUCUGGAAAGGAUUAAAAUCUAUUAUGCAUGCUGUGAAAUUUGGCUACAGAUGGAACAUAGGGGAUGGGAGCAGAACUAGGUUCUGGGAAGAUAAUUGGUUUGGCACAUCCCCCCCUAGCAGUCCAAUUUUGGCCUAUUUACUCUGUCUGCAAUGAGCUUAACAAAAGUGUCAAUGAAGUUUGGGAUGGUCAAUGCCUAAAACUCUCUUUUAGAAGGAACUUUAGUGAUAGUCUCAUGGAACAAUGGUUCCAGUUGGAGGAAAUUGCCAAAAGCAUUACCUUUACUGCCGAGCCGGAUGCCCUGAUUUGGCAGCUAGACAAUAAGGGGAAGUAUUCCUCCAGCUCCCUCUAUCAUAUUAUCAACUUUAGAGGGGUUUAACCCAUGUUUAUCCCUGCUGUCUGGAAAUUGAGAGUUCCCCCUAAAAUUCAUGUAUUUCUCUGGCUUCUCUCCAAAAACAAAUUGAUGACUAGGGAUAACCUUAGGAAGAGACACAUCAUCAAACCCCUUGAUUGUGUUUACUGCUUGGAACAAGAGUCUUGUUCUCACCUAUUUUUUGAAUGUAUAGUUGCUAAACAUCUCCGGGCCCACAUUGAGGAAUAUUUCUCUAGUCAGAUUGGCUCAUCCUUCGAAUCUGUCGCCAGAUUCUGGAUUGCUACCAAAAAGUGCUCAGUUUUAAACACUGUUAGCUCAGCUGUCCUUGGGUGCCCCUGGAAAUAUAGAAAUGCUAUGAUUUUCAGUAACACCUCCUGGAUUUCCAUUCCGCAGGUCUUGAGGUUGAUCAGGAACAUGGUGAGGAACUGGGUGAUUCUCUCCUCCGGAUCGGACAAGGACAAGUUGAUGAGCUUCGUGGAAACCCUAACAAGAUCCCUCCAGAAACUAUUGGCGAUCACUUGUGGCUGAACAAGGAUCGACCUGCUCUGGGGCUGGACUCGUGGGCUCAUCUCAAGAUCUCUGAUGAAGAUGAUGGGCACCUGGCGCUGAAAAAGAGGGACAUCCCCCAUGCUACGCCUUCCAGCCCGGUGUCUCCGCUUGCUUACUGGUCGCCGCAGGCUGACACGGCCCCUCGGCUGAAGACAAUGAAGGCUUCACUGGACCCUCCUUAUGUCAUUUGAGUGCUCUAUCCGCUCCGCCUUUGGCACCGCUCGGGUGAUUUGUGUUAUUUAGAGAACUUGUUCGUCCACCCCCCUAGUUUGUAGCUUUUCUACCUUUGUUUUCGAACUGCUCUUUGAGCUGCUGUACCAGAAUAUGUUGUGGUUUCGUUCUCAGCAAUGGAACCGGGGAGAUGUUCCCUGUUUUUCUUAAAAAAAAUAUUUUAUAUGUUAUUAUAUAUUAUUUUUAUUGUCAUCAUAUAUUUAACAGAUACUUACAUAUGUAAGAAAACAAUAUCCCACAUCUUAUUAACUUAUAAAAAUAAUUUCUUAACAAAUAAAAUCCUGGAUUGUUUUGGCACGAAAAUCCUAGUGAUUGUGUACAAAAGCUUGGUAAGAUUUAAGGACGAAUGUAAUAAUAUCACUUAUUAUUUAAAUAUAUUUAUAACAAAUGCUCAGCCCCUUUUUAUUUGUUGAUAACAUUGCUGGCCCAACCCAACAUUAUAAUUAGAAUCAGCCCAGCAAAAUCGUGUAUUUCGAGAAAGUGCAAAUGGCCUAUAAUUUUUUAGGAAAUAAAAUAAACGGGCUGCAUGGACGCUACAUUAUUUGUUCACCCAGCCCAGCUAAUGGCUGUAAUUCAAAGAAAAGAUCAAAUUGACUGUAAAUUCUACCGCGCAAAAAAAGACUGUAAAUUCUGAAAAAAUGGGUUGAAUACGUGCCAUAUUUCUGGAGGCUGAAAUGUGGGGCCAAUUGGUCGAAGCUAAUGCAAGUCGUUGUCAAUUUAGUCAACAAAUGAUUCUGACAUGUUAGCCGUUGGAUUUACAUCCAACGACCGGCAUCCAUCUUCAAUCUCUCGUCUUCUUCCUCCAGCGCCGCCGGGACCACCUCCCGCCUCCUGCUGCUAGCAGCUCUGCUUAGCAUGCUUCGCUACGAAGCGCUACUCCACCAUUGGCCAGGCCAUCCCUCCACCCCUCCACACCUCCUGUUCUUAUCCACCGACUGUUGAACCACACCGCACUAGAUCCAGUUAACCCUCGUACACCUCUCUGUCUGCGACUCUACUCCCGGGUCUUCCCAUCUCCGGCUCGUUGCUGUCCGAGGCCUCGCCGUCGUCCACCACCUUGGAUGCGCUCGGCACGGCGUGGUCAACGUGGUCAACGAACGACACCAUCGGAAGUAGACUGUGCGUGGAGAGGCUGACAGCUGGGUCCACGACCGCACACAAGGAAAUGCCUCCUUAUUACACGCAAAAUAAUGAUUCCUCCACCUGACAUCUGGGACCCACCGGAAGGGCCUCUGUAUUUCGCGAAAAUAACGUUCCCCCCGCUGACAUGUCGGACCCACCAGCUAUCUUCGCACGCAAGGAAGUGCCUCCUUAUUACGCACAAAAAAAUGAAUAUUCCCCCUGCCAGCUGGAACCCAGCAUAGUGGGAGGCUGACUUGUGGGCCUACCAAGUUGACGGGGACGGAGGGCUUUGUCAACUUAGUCAAUAUGAUCGAUUCUAGCUCAUGUUACCAUAUAAUGUUCAUCUAACGGCCGUAGUGCUUCUUCAACCUCUGGUCUUCUUGCUCCAGCCGCCUAAACCAGCGCCGGUCGUGCCGCGUGCUCCUGCCUCCCGUGGCCGGCUGUGAUGCCGCGGAGGCCUCACCGCCCCCUACUACUCCCACUGCUGGCCAGGCCAUCCCUCUACUCACCCACACCCCCUGUUAUUCUGCAGCGACAACAGCCUCACACUGCAGCCGAACCAGUGAACCCCCGUACUUCUCUUCGCGUGGGCAUCCACUUCUACGUCUUCCCCGGCUCCGAGUUGUCCCCUUCCUAGUCCUCGCAGUUGUCCACCGUCCUGGUGCUCUCGGCGCGGCGUGGUCAACGACCGACUUCCAUCGGAAGUGUACUGUACGUGGAGAGGCUGAUAGCUGGGUCCAGGCGGCUGCAAGGAAGUGCCUCCUUAUUACGCGCAAAAUAAUUAUUCCUCCACCUGACAGUAGGGACCCACCAGAUGGGCCACCUUAUUUCGUGAAAAAACGUUUCCCCCCUGACUGCUGGGACCCACCAGACGGGCCAGCGUAUUUCGCGAAAAAAAUGUUCCCCCCGCUGUCAGCUCGGACCCACCGGAAGUGCCCUCUUAUUACGCACAAAAAAAAUGAAUACUCCCCCUGCUAGCUGGGACCCACCAUGGUGGGAGGCUGACCUGUGGGCCUACUAAGUUGACUGGGACGGGGGCCUUUGUAAACUUUAGUCAAUAUGAACGAUUCUAGCUCGAGUGACUGUACGAUGUCCAUCCAACGGCCGUAGUGCUUCUUCAACCUCCGGUCUUCUUGCUCCAGCCUGUAACACCCCGGAUAUAACUUUCCCAAUUUGUACUCCAACUCUUGCCGUUUCCGACGUUAAGUUAUAUUUAUUUUCUCGGGUUCAGGUCUUUGUCUCUGUGUGUUGUUUUCGUUGUCAUGCAUCUCAUAUCAUGUCAUCAUGUGCAUUGCAUUUGCAUACGUGUUCAUCUCAUGCAUCCGAGCAUUUUCCCUGUUGUCCAUUUUACAUUCCGGCGCUUCGUUCUCCUCCGGUGGUCAAUUCUACCUUUCUUUCGUGUGUGGAGAUUAAACAUUUCCGGAUUGGACCGAGACUUGCCAAGCGGCCUUGGUUUACUAUCGGUAGACCGCCUGUCAAGUUUCGUAUCAUUUGGACUUCGUUUGAUACUCCAACGGUUAACCGAGGGACCGAAAAGGCCUCGUGUGUGUUGCAGCCCAACACCCCUCCAAUUUGGCCCAAAACCCACCAAACUCUGCUUCAUCAUCUAGAGCGUUCGAUCACCAUCGCGUGGCCGAAAACCACACCUCAUUUGGACUCUCCUAGCUCCCGCCACCUCUAUUUAAAGACCACUCCCCGAAAUUUUUGGGCAAACCCUAGAUCUCUCCCUCACCUCGCGCGCCGGACAAAAACUGUCGGGCCGGACGUGUCCGACCCGAGCGCGCCGCCACGUGUCGCUCCUCCAUUGGCCGCCGCCCUCGCGCCCACAUCACCGCGCCGCCACCCGCGGGGGCCCGCGAGGCCCAAGGCCGGCCCCCGCGGCCCACUCCGUCCGUCGCCUGCGCCCGAGGCGCCGCCUGCCGCGCUCGCGGCCCCGCUGCCCGCCGUGCGCUAGCCACCACCGCCUCCGCCGCCGGCGCCGCGCUCCGGCCGCGCCGCCCCAAGGCCGGCUCCGGCCACCCCGCUCCUCCUCGGCCGCCCCGGUCUUCUUCCUCUCCGGCGACGCUCCGUGAAGCUCCGGCCGUCUACAGUAAAUCUGGCCAUCCUCGUAAUCCGUGCCAGAUCCAGAUCUGAGAUUCGGGUUGACUUUUGCCUCAAAACCCUAGCUCAUGUUGCAUACUUUGACCUGUGAUAACUUUGCAUCCGUCGCUCCGAUUCACGCAUAUAGCAUAUCAAAUUGUUCGUCUCAGAGAGUACAUCAUUUCAUUCCAUUGCAUCAUUUUCAUUGAGCUCAUCUUGAUGCCCGAAAUGCUGCUAGAAGAGGGCUACUUGAGUUAAUUGUCAGAUCUGCUACUUCAUCUUAGACUUUUGUCAUUUUUGCCAUGAUUAUUGUGUGCAUGAUAUGCCCAUGAGUUCUACAUAUGUUUUGUUAAGGGUUUUGUCAUCUUUCCAGAGGUGCAACCCAUGUAUUUUUGUGAUGUGUGUGGUGACUAGUGCAAGAUUGCAAAGUGAGGCACCCGGUAACUCUGUUUUCAGGGACUUAGUAUUUUCACUAAGUCCUGGGAUUGUUUAGUCCAUGAUGCGAUAUGUUCGUGUUGUUUCCUAGUGAUCCGUGCCUCUUUUGAGGAUGAUCAGUAAAGGAGUUUUGUUAAUAUUGUAGUGCUCUAUCCAUCCAUGUCUUUGUUUGCAAUUAUGGAGCACCCUAGCUUGAGUCAAUCGAGCUGUACUUUUGCUUCGUUGUGAAUCUGGGCAGAUUGUCAACUCGUUUGCAAUUUUGCCGGUGAUGUUGUAGUUGAUCCGUGCAUGCUAUGCUAUUGUUCUUGCCAUGUCUAGCUUGCAUUUUGUGCCUUCUUCAUGGAUGUAUGCUUGCCUUGCCACGACUUGCACCUAGUGAGUGCAUCGAGCCUGUUAACAUGCCUUCGUGAGUUAUGUUUCAGCAUGUCCCAGUUUUCACUAAGUCUGAAAACUGAUUAUGUUUUUGCUAUGUUUGUGUGCUUGUUAGUAUAUUUUGUGAUCCCUUUUGGCUCAAGGUCACUAAGGGACUUUUGUUAAGCUUGUUGAGUAGCUCCAUGCCAUGUUAUUCUUUGUCAUAAUCAGGUCAUGUAGCAUGUUGUUUUGUUGCUCCGAAGAGGGCUAUAUGAUCUGAAAUUUCAGACAAGUGUUAAUUUCACCAAGUCUGAGAUCUGUUUACCAUUUGCGUUGUUCCCAUGCUUGUUUGAACCUGUUAAUGGAUGAAUUGGCCGUAGCUCAAUGCUAGACUUUUGUUAAGCAUCUUGAAUGCUUCCCUGCCAUGUAUUUUGAUGCCAUGCUUGAGUGCUGUAGCAUGUUCAUUUCGUUGCAUUUAGAGGCCUACUUGCUGUAAAUCGCAGACCGGUGCUAAUUUUGAAUCGCUUGCCAUUUCCAAACCGUAACUCCGAUUCCGGUGAUCUUUAUAUCAUUUUCAAGCGAUUUCAUCUCAUCUUUCCAGUGGCACACUUGGUUUUCCAAGUUGAGGCCAGGUUCAUGCAUAUCCUGUCAUAUCUUGCAUUUUGCAUCCCGCAUCGCAUCCCGCAUAGCAUUUCAUCAUUGCAUCAUAUUGAUUGUUCCUUGCACGUGGUUGAUUGUAUCCUUGUUGCUUGUUUGUCUUGUUUGGGUAGAGCCGGGAGACGAGUUCUCUAACGAGGAGCCCGUUGAGUUUGCUUUUGAGGAUCCAGUCACCUCUGACAACUUUGCAGGCAAGAUGAUCAUACCCUCGUAAUCACUACUAUCUUUGCUAUGCUAGUUUGCUCGCUCUUUUGCUAUGCCAAUGCUACGAUGCCUACCAUUUGCUUGUCAGCCUCCCAAUUGCCAUGUCAAACCUCUAACCCACCAUUGUCCUAGCAAACCGUUGAUUGGCUAUGUUACCGCUUUGCUCAGCCCCUCUUAUAGCAUUGCUAGUUGCAGGUGAAGAUUGGAGCCGUUCCUUGUUGGAACAUUUAUUUACUUGUUGGGAUAUCAUUAUGUUGCUAUGUUAUCUUAAUGCAUCUAUAUACUUGGUAAAGGGUGGAAGGCUCGGCCUCUCGCCUAGUGUUUUGUUCCACUCUUGCCGCCCUAGUUUCCGUCAUAUCGGUGUUAUGUUCCCGGAUUUUGCGUUCCUUAUGCGGUUGGGUUAUAAUGGGAAACCCUUGACAGUCCGCCUUGAAUAAAACUCCUCCAGCAAUGCCCAACCUUGGUUUUACCAUUUUCCACCUAGCCCCUUUUCCCUUGGGUUUCGCGGACUCAAGGGUCAUCUUAUUUUAAACCCCCCGGGCCAGUGCUCCUCUGAGUGUUGGUCCAACCUAGAGCACCGUGCGGGGCCGUCCCUUGGCAACUUGGGUUACGUUGGCUCCCGUACGCUUAGCUUAUCCGGUGUGCCCUGAGAACGAGAUAUGUGCAGCUCCUAUCGGGAUUUGUCGGCACAGCGGGUGGUGUUGCUGGACUUGUUUUACCAUUGUCGGAGUUGUCCUGAAGAACCGAGAUACCGAGUCUGAUCGGAACGUCUUGGGAGGACGUCUAUUCCUUCGUUGACCGUGAGAGCUUGUCAUGGGCUAAGUUGGGACUCCCCUGCAGGGAUUGAACUUUUGAAAGCCGUGCCCACGGUUAUGGGCAGAUGGGAAUUUGUUAAUGUCCGGUUGUAGAUAACUUGAACCUUAAUUUAAAUAAAUGAAUCAAUCGUGUGUGUUACCGUGAUGGCCUCUUCUCGGCGGAGUCCGGGAAGUGGACACGGUGUUGGAGUAAUGUUUGCGCAGGUUGCCCUAGUUUUCUCGCUCGCGCCUUGCCUCCUCUUCUCGCUCUCUUUUGCGAAUAAGAUAGCCACCAUAUAUGCUAGUCGCUUGCUGCAGCUCCACAUAUAUUCACAUUACCCUUCCUAUAAGCUUAAAUAGUCUUGAUCGCGAGGGUGCGAGAUUGCUGAGUCCCUGUGGCUCACAGAUUAUUAUUACACCAGAUGCAGGUCCAGGUGAUUCUGCUCCAGGUGACGUGUACGAGCUCAAGUGGGAGUUCGACGAGGACUCUCAGCGUUACUAUGUUUCUUUUCCUGAUGAUCAGUAGUGGUGCCCAGUUGGGGGUGAUUGGGACCGUGUCGCAUGUUGGGUUUUCUUCUAUUUUGGCGCCGUAGUUGGGCCAUGAGUGUUUGGAUGAUGUAUGUUAUUUAUGUACUUUGAUUGACGUGGUGAGUGUAAGCCAACUAUGUAUCUCCCCUUUUAUUAUCUAUAUUACAUGGGAUGUUGUGAUGAUUGCCUAACUUGCGACAUUGCUUUCAAUGCGGUUAUGCCUCUAAGUCGGGCCUCGACACGUGGGAGCUAUAGCCGCAUCGAGGGCGUUACAAGUUGGUAAUCAGAGCCUUCCCCGACCUUAGGAGCCCCAUUGCUUGAUCGUUUUUAGCAGACGAGUUGUGUCUAGAAAAAUGUUUUGAGUCAUUUAGGAAUUAUAUAUCGGAGAGUUUAGGAAUUCUUUUUACUUCCCAGUCUCCUCAUCGCUCUGGUAAGGCAUCAUGACGUAGAGUUUUGACUCUUCUCUUCUCAAAUUUCACUAAAAAAAAUUUUAGGAUCACGCGGGUAUCUUGGAAUCGUUCCGAUGGUUUUAUGAUGAGAACAUUGUCUUGGUACCUCCUGUCAGGGGUUUAGUGGAAGUGUCCUGGGGAGUUGAGCUCUGAGGUGUUGUCAUCAUAAUUUUAUCGUUGCAAUUCUGGAAUACUUGAGUUUAGUACGCCGACAUCAAAAAUCUCUUUUAUGCAGUUCGUUGGUGAGAUAACCUCGACGCCACCCAGUACUGGGGCGGGAGUUCGGGAGUAUCGCCAUAACUUGUAUAACGGAUGCUUUUCGAAGGUUGAGGUAGAUGGUUUCCGAAGGUUUCUUGGUUAUGUGUUGAAGGAUGGAUACAGCUGGAUGUAGGAUUUGCUAGUUUGGGUGAGAUAUUAUGCUUCCCCUGUAUCCCCAACACCUGAUUGCAUAACCGGAAAGUUUCGGGAAUUUCAUAGGUGGGAAUUCUUGUAGCUCUAGUUCUUCUUCCACGGAUAUUGGUUUGAGAUUGGGUUUUCUUACCAAUUAUUCGUUCUUGAGCCGUACCUUGUUGAUUUAGUUCUCUACCUCUAAUUCUACGUGGCUUCGCAAUUUAUGGAUAUGUGACCAUUUCAAGAGGAAUGCAUUCGUUCAUUUUGUUUGGAUGUGAAGACUUUAUGUUGUAAUUUUCAUUCCGUUGGUUCAGCUUCAUUUAUCUGUCUAUGUGCUAACGGUGGUCAACCUCUUUAGGAUGGCUCCCGCUAAGAGCACCAGUCAGAAUCAAAAUCAAGAUCCGCCACCACCUCCACCUCCUCCGGAGGCAUGGCAAGCUGUGAUGGCCGCAACCAAUGCAAACACACAGUUGAUCAUGCAAAUCCUCCAAGAGCGCAAUCAAGGCAGUCAAGGGAAUCAAGGCAGCAAUCAGAAUCAUUUUGCUACACUGAACCAGUUCCUUGCUAAUGGGCCAAAGACGUUCAGCAAUUGUGUUGAAGCAACCGAUGCUGACGAUUGGCUUGUGGAUCUGUGUAAGCAUUUUGAGUGCAGCAACGUCAAGCCUGAAGAUUUCGUCAAGUUCGCUUCCUUCCAACUCAAAGAUCAAGCUGCAGAAUGGUUCCAGCAGUACAAGGAUUCCAGAGGUGGACGUCUGAUCACUUGGGAUGAUUUCCGUCAAGAUUUCCGAGCUCAUCACAUCCCUCAAAGUGUGGUUGAAAGUAAGCGUCAGGAAUUCCGCAACUUGAAGCAAGGCUCUUUGUCUGUCUAUGACUACAACAAGUUGUUCCAGAAGCUCGCCCGCUUUGCCAAGCAGGACGUACCUGAUGAGAAGAGCAUGAUAUACCAGUUCAGGGGUGGUCUCAGAGAAGAAAUUCAGCUCGCUCUUGUCCUCUUUGAGCCGUUGAGAUACGAUGAGUUCUACAACAUGGCACUGAAGCAAGAGGCUGCUCAGUUGAGGUGUGAUGCUUCCAAGAAGCGAGUCAGAGAUGCUACUCCUUCUUCCUCUACUCAAGUGGACAAGCAGCAGAAGUAUUGGCUUCCCCCUCCCCCGUUCCGUCAGCCGUAUCAGCAGAAGAGCAAAGGUGGCAGUGGUUCUUCCCACCCACCCAACCCUGGCUUUCAGAACAAGUCUUCGUCUCUACCUCCAAGAUCGAGUGCUCCGUAUCACCGUCCGCUUUCAGAGGUCACGUGCAACAAGCGCCAAGAAAAGGGUCACUAUGCCAACAAGUGUUUCAACCAGAGGCGUCUUCCUCCUCCUCCUCCUGUGAGAUCGGCAAGUACAGCUGUUGUCAAGCAUAACCCCAAGCAUGCCAAGGUCAACUUGAUGAACGCAGCUCAGGCAGAGGAUUCGUCAGAUGUCAUCAUGGGUAACUUUCCAGUUAACUCUUUUCCCGGAAGAGUUCUUUUUGACACUGGUGCAUCACAUUGUUUCAUGUCAAGAUCAUUUGUUUCCAAGCAUGACUUCGUUUCACAAAUGUUGGGUAAACCUAUGGGAGUGGUUUCUCCGGCUAAGUCUAUGAGGGCUACUUCAAUAGUCCCGGAUAUUUCUAUCAUGAUGGGUGAUUUCAAGUUUCUGGCUUCUCCAAUGGUUCUUGGUAACUCGGAUAUUGAUCUUAUUCUCGGAAUGGACUGGCUUUCUAAGCACAAGGCUCAGCUUGAUUGUGCAGCCAGGCAGAUUCAAUUGACGCAUUCGUCUGAGGAUGUAAUUGUCUUUGCCGCGAAUGAUGAUACCAUCCGUCUGUUUUCCCUCAAUGAGAAGGGUGAACUGGAUGCUAUCUCGCAAAUUCCAGUCGUUUGCGAAUAUCAAGACAUCUUUCCAGAAGAGCUCCUAGGAAUGCCUCUGCACCGGCCAGUUGAAUUCGUUAUUGAUCUUGAGCCCGGCACGGAACCUGUGUGCAAACGUCCUUACAAGCUCGGAUCUGAAGAGUUGAAGGAGCUGAAGAAGCAACUCGAUGAGCAAGAGAGAAUGGGUCUCAUCCGGCCUAGUUCUUCUCCGUGGGGUUGUGGUGUUCUUUUUGCGAAGAAGAAGGAUGGAACGGACCGACUUUGUGUUGAUUACCGUCCUUUGAACAAGAAGACCAUCAAGAACAAAUACCCACUUCCCAACAUCAAUGAGCUGUUCGAACAACUCAAAGGUGCUCAAGUAUUCUCCAAGCUUGAUCUCCGUAUGGGUUAUCAUCAGAUUCGUAUCCGUGAACAAGAUAUUCCCAAGACGGCUUUCAGGACAAGCUUUGGUUCAUACGAAUACACUGUCAUGUAUUUUGGCCUCGUCAACGCUCCUCCGACGUUCUCCCGCAUGAUGAACUUCAUCUUCAACGCCUACACCAAUGACUUCGUUUUGGUCUAUCUCGACGACAUUCUGGUUUUCUCCAAGAACAAGGAAGAUCAUGCCAAGCACUUGCGUUUGGUUCUCGAUAAGCUCAGGGAACAUCAAUUCUACGCCAAGUUCUCCAAGUGUGAAUUUUGGCUCGAUGAGGUUCUUUAUCUUGGUCAUAUCAUCUAUGCCAAGGGCAUUGCCAUGAAUCCUGAGAAGGUGUCUGCAAUUGUGAAUUGGGAACCUCCUCAGAAUGUGAAGCAACUCCGCAGUUUCCUCGGUCUCGCAAGCUAUUGCCGAAGAUUCGUUGAAAAAUUUUCUAAGAUUGCGAAGCCUCUCUCAAAUCUUCUUCAGAAUCACGUCAAGUACGUUUGGUCUCCGGAGUCUGAUAUUGCUUUCAACACUUUGAAAGAGAAGUUGAUCACUGCUCCAGUUCUGACUCCGCCUGAUGAAUCCAAACCGUACGAGGUCUUCUGUGAUGCCUCUCUCCAAGGUCUUGGCGCAGUGUUGACGCAAGAGAAGAAAGUUGUUGCUUAUACCUCUCGCCAGUUGAAGCCUAAUGAGAAGAACUACCCCACUCAUGAUCUCGAGUUGGCGGCAGUUUGUGCAUGCUCUGUUGACUUGGAGACAUCUUCUAUUGGGAAGAAAAGUGGACAUUUUCACUGAUCACAAGAGUCUCAAGUACAUCUUUACUCAGCCUAAUCUCAAACUCAGGCAAACUCGAUGGGUAGAAAUGAUUCAAGAGUAUAAUCCGAGUAUUGAGUAUACUCCAGGCAAGGCCAAUGUGAUUGCUGACGCAUUGAGCAGAAAAGCGUAUUGCAACAGUCUGAUUCUUAAGCCUUAUCAACCCGAGCUUUGUGAAGCUUUCCGCAAGCUAAAUCUGCAAGUUGUUCCUCAAGGUUUCCUCGCCAACCUUCAAGUCUCUCCUACCUUGGAAGACCAGAUUCGCCAAGCCCAGCUUCUUGAUGCGAUGGUGAAAAAGGUGAAGAUUGGGAUUGCCAAGAGUCAACCCAAGUACAAGUGCUACCGCCUUGAUGACAAGGACACUCUCUUCUUCGAGGAUCGAAUUGUUGUACCCAAAGGUGAACUUCGUAAAGUGAUCAUGAACGAGGCUCACAAUUCUCUCCUCUCCAUCCACCCUGGGAGUACGAAGAUGUAUCAGGACCUCAAGCAAGCUUAUUGGUGGACUCGAAUGAAGCGCCGGAUCGCUCAAAUCGUGAAUGAAUGUGAUGUCUGCAGAAGAGUGAAGGCAAAACACCAAAGGCCAGCUGGUCUCCUCCAACCUCUUGCCAUUCCAGAAUGGAAGUUUGACCACAUUGAAAUGGACUUCGUGACUGAGUUUCCAAAGUACAAGCGUGGAAAUGAUGCUAUAUUCGUUGUCAUCGACAAACUCACCAAAGUGGCUCACUUUCUGCCUAUCAAAGAGUCGAUCACUGCAGCUCAAUUGGCGGAACUCUAUACCUCUCGAAUUGUCUCUCUGCACGGUAUCCCUCAAGUGAUAUCUUCAGACCGUGGCAGCAUCUUUACCUCCAAGUUUUGGGAUUCUUUUCAGAAGGCCAUGGGCACCAACAUCCGCUUCAGCACAGCUUUCCAUCCUCAAACAAGCGGUCAAGUUGAGCGUGUCAACCAGAUUCUUGAAGAUAUGCUCAGGGCUUGUGUGAUCUCCUUCGGCAUGAAGUGGGAGGAUUGUCUUCCUUAUGCUGAAUUCUCCUACAACAACAGUUUUCAAGCAAGUUUGGGCAAGGCCCCAUUUGAAAUUUUGUAUGGCAGGAAGUGUCGUACCCCUCUCAACUGGUCUGAAACCGGCGAACGUCAGCUGCUGGGUAAUGACUUAAUCACAGAGGCAGAAGAAAUGUGCAAAGUCAUUCAUGAUAACCUCAAAGCAGCCCAAUCCCGCCAGAAGAGCUACUAUGAUAGUAAGCACCGUGAUUUGGCUUUCGAGAUCGGAGAUCAUGUUUACCUCCGCGUCUCUCCUAUGAAAGGGACUCGUCGCUUCGGUAUAAAAGGGAAGCUUGCCCCCAGAUACGUCAGACCUUUCAAGAUUGUCAGCAAGAGAGGCGACCUCGCCUAUCAACUCGAGCUUCCUUCAAACUUUGCAAAUGUUCAUGAUGUGUUCCAUGUCUCUCAGCUUCGAAAGUGCUUCAAGACCCCUGACCGCAUAGUCAACUUCAAGGACAUUGAGCUCCAAGAAGAUCUCUCUUAUCGUGAGCACCCAGUUGCUAUUCUCGAAGAGACUGAACGCAAGACUCGCAACAAGUCAAUCAAAUUUCUCAAAGUCAAAUGGUCGCACCAUUCCGACCGUGAAGCUACCUGGGAACGCGAGGAUCACCUCCGUUCUGAGUAUCCGGUGUUCUUUUAGUCCUGGAUCUCGGGACGACAUCCUUUCGUAGUGGUGGAGUGUUGUAACACCCCGGAUAUAACUUUCCCAAUUUGUACUCCAACUCUUGCCGUUUUCGGCGUUAAGUUAUAUUUAUUUUCUCGGGUUCGGGUCUUUGUCUCCGUGUGUUGUUUUCGUUGUCAUGCAUCUCAUAUCAUGUCAUCAUGUGCAUUGCAUUUGCAUACGUGUUCAUCUCAUGCAUCCGAGCAUUUUCCCCGUUGUCCAUUUUGCAUUCCGGCGCUUCGUUCUCCUCCGGUGGUCAAUUCUACCUUUCUUUCAUGUGUGGGGAUUAAACAUUUCCGGAUUGGACCGAGGCUUGCCAAGAUGCCUUGGUUUACUACCGGUAGACCGCCUGUCAAGUUUCGUAUCAUUUGGACUUCGUUUGAUACUCCAACGGUUAACCGAGGGACCGAAAAGGCCUCGUGUGUGUUGCAGACCAACACCCCUCCAAUUUGGCCCAAAACCCACCAAACUCUGCUCCAUCAUCUAGAGCGUUCGAUCACGAUCGCGUGGCCGAAAACUGCACCUCAUUUGGACUCUCCUAGCUCCCUCCACCUUUAUUUAAAGACCACUCCCCGAAAUUUUCGGGCAAACCCUAGAUCUCUCCGUCACCUCGCGCGCCGGACAAAAACUGCCGGGCCGGACGUGUCCGACCCGAGCGCCGCCGCCACAUGUCGCUCCUCCAUUGGCCGCCGCCCUCGUGGCCACAUCACCGCGCCGCCAACCGCNNNNNNNNNNNNNNNNNNNNNNNNNNNNNNNNNNNNNNNNNNNNNNNNNNNNNNNNNNNNNNNNNNNNNNNNNNNNNNNNNNNNNNNNNNNNNNNNNNNNNNNNNNNNNNNNNNNNNNNNNNNNNNNNNNNNNNNNNNNNNNNNNNNNNNNNNNNNNNNNNNNNNNNNNNNNNNNNNNNNNNNNNNNNNNNNNNNNNNNNNNNNNNNNNNNNNNNNNNNNNNNNNNNNNNNNNNNNNNNNNNNNNNNNNNNNNNNNNNNNNNNNNNNNNNNNNNNNNNNNNNNNNNNNNNNNNNNNNNNNNNNNNNNNNNNNNNNNNNNNNNNNNNNNNNNNNNNNNNNNNNNNNNNNNNNNNNNNNNNNNNNNNNNNNNNNNNNNNNNNNNNNNNNNNNNNNNNNNNNNNNNNNNNNNNNNNNNNNNNNNNNNNNNNNNNNNNNNNNNNNNNNNNNNNNNNNNNNNNNNNNNNNNNNNNNNNNNNNNNNNNNNNNNNNNNNNNNNNNNNNNNNNNNNNNNNNNNNNNNNNNNNNNNNNNNNNNNNNNNNNNNNNNNCCGGCCGCGCCGCCCCAAGGCCGGCUCCGGCCACCCCGCUCCUCCUCGGCCGCCCCCAUCUUCGUCCUCUCCGGCGACGCUCCGUGAAGCUCCGGCCAUCUACAGUAAAUCCGGCCAUCCUCGUAAUCCGUGCCAGAUCCAGAUCUGAGAUUCGGGUUGACUUUUGCCUCAAAACCCUAGCUCAUGUUGCAUACUUUGACCUGUGAUAACUUUGCAUCCGUAGCUCCGAUUCACGCAUAUAGCAUAUCAAAUUGUUCGCCUCAGAGAGUACAUCAUUUCAUUCCAUUGCAUCAUUUUCAUUUGAGCUCAUAUUGAUGACCGAAAUGCUGCUAGAAGAGGGUUACUUGAGUUAAUUAUCAGAUCUGCUACUUCAUCUUAGACUUUUGUCAUUUUUGCCAUGAUUAUUGUGUGCAUGAUAUGCCCAUGAGUUCUACAUAUGUUUUGUUAAGGGUUUUGUCAUCUUUCUAGAGGUGCAACCCAUGUAUUUUUGUGAUGUGUGUGGUGACUAGUGCAAGCUUGCAAAGUGAGGCACCCGGUAACUCUGUUUUCAGGGACUUAGUAUUUUCACUAAGUCCUGGGAUUGUUUAGUCCAUGAUGCCAUAUGUUUGUGUUGUUUCCUAGUGAUCCGUGCCUAUUUUGAGGAUGAUCAGUAAAGGCGUUUUGUUAAUAUUGUAGUGCUCUAUCCAUCCAUGUCUUUGUUUGCAAUUAUGGAGCACCCUAGCUUGAGUCAAUCGAGCUCUAUAUUUGCUUCGUUGUGAAUCUGGGCAGAUUGUCAACUCGUUUGCAAUUUUGCCGGUGAUGUUGUAGUUGAUCCGUGCAAGCUAUGCUAUUGUUCUUGCCAUGUCUAGCUUGCAUUUUGUGCCUUCUUCAAGGAUGUAUGCUUGACUUGCCAUGACUUGCACCGUAGUGAGUGAAUCGAGCUCAUUAACAUGCCUUCGUGAGUUAUGUUUCAGCAUGUCCCAGUUUUCACUAAGUCUGAAAACUGAUUAUGUUUUUGCUAUGUUUGUGUGCUUGUUAGUAUAUUUUGUGAUCCCUUUUGGCUCAAGGUCACUAAGGUACUUUUGUUAAGCUUGUUGAGUAGCUCCAUGCCAUGUUAUUCUUUGUCAUAAUCAGGUCCUGUAGCAUGUUGUUUUGUUGCUCCGAAGAGGGCUAUAUGAUCUGAAAUUUCAGACAAGUGUUAAUUUCACCAAGUCUGAGAUCUGUUUACCAUUUGCGUUUUUUCCAUGCUUGUUUGAACCUGUUAAUGGAUGAAUUGGCCGUAGAUCAGUGCUAAACUUUUGUUAAGCAUCUUGAAUGCUUCCCUACCAUGUAUUUUGAUGCCAUGUUUGAGUGCUGUAGCAUGUUCAUUUCGUUGCAUUUAGAGGCCUACUUGCUGUAAAUCGCAGACCGGUGCCAAUUUUGAAUCGCUUGCCAUUUCCAAACCGUAACUCCGAUUCCGGUGAUCUUUAUAUCGUUUUCAAGCGAUUUCAUCUCAUCUUUCCAGUGGCACACUUGGUUUUCCAAGUUGAGGCCAGGUUCAUGCAUAUCCUGUCAUAUCUUGCAUUUUGCAUCCCGCAUCGCAUCCCGCAUAGCAUUUCAUCAUUGCAUCAUAUUGAUUGUUCCUUGCACGUGGUUGAUUGUAUCCUUGUUUCUUGUUUGUCUUGUUUGGGUAGAGCCGGGAGACGAGUUCGCUAACGAGGAGCCCGUUGAGUUUGCUUUUGAGGAUCCAGUCACCUCUGACAACUUUGCAGGCAAGAUGAUCAUACCCUCGAAAUCACUACUAUCUUUGCUAUGCUAGUUUGCUUGCUCUUUUGCUAUGCCAAUGCUAUGAUGCCUACCAUUUGCUUGUCAGCCUCCCAAUUGCCAUGUCAAACCUCUAACCCACCAUUGUCCUAGCAAACCGUUGAUUGGCUAUGUUACCGCUUUGCUCAGCCCCUCUUAUAGCGUUGCUAGUUGCAGGUGAAGAUUGGAGCCAUUCCUUGUUGGAACAUUUAUUUACUUGUUGGGAUAUCAUUAUGUUGCUAUGUUAUCUUAAUGCAUCUACAUACUUGGUAAAGGGUGGAAGGCUCGGCCUCUCGCCUAGUGUUUUGUUCCACUCUUGCCGCCCUAGUUUCCGUCAUAUCGGUGUUAUGUUCCCGGAUUUUGCGUUCCUUACGCGGUUGGGUUAUAAUGGGAACCCCUUGACAGUCCGCCUUGAAUAAAACUCCUCCAGCAAUGCCCAACCUUGGUUUUACCAUUUGCCACCUAACCCCUUUUCCCUUGGGUUUCGCGGACUCAAGGGUCAUCUUAUUUUAAACCCCCCAGGCAAGUGCUCCUCUGAGUGUUGGUCCAACCUAGAGCACUGUGCGGGGCCGUCCCUUGGCAACUUUGGUUACGUUGGCUCCCGUACGCUUAGCUUAUCCGGUGUACCCUGAGAACGAGAUAUGUGCAGGUCCUAUUGAGAUUUGUCGGCACAGCGGGUGGUGUUGCUGGACUUGUUUUACCAUUGUCGGAGUUGUCCUGAAGAACCGAGAUACCGAGUCUGAUCGGAAUGUCUUGGGAGGAGGUCUAUUCCUUCGUUGACCGUGAGAGCUUGUCAUGGGCUAAGUUGGGACUCCCCUGCAGGGAUUGAACUUUCGAAGGUCGUGCCCGCGGUUAUGGGCAGAUGGGAAUUUGUUAAUGUCCGGUUGUAGAUAACUUGAACCUUAAUUUAAAUAAAUGAAUCAAUCUGUGUGUUACCAUGAUGACCUCUUCUCGGCGGAGUCCGGGAAGUGGACACGGUGUUGGAGUAAUGUUUGCGUAGGUUGCCCUAGUUUUCUCGCUCGCGCCUUGCCUCCUCUUCUCGCUCUCUUUUGCGAAUAAGAUAGCCACCAUAUAUGCUAGUCGCUUGCUGCAGCUCCACAUAUAUUCACCUUACCCUUCUUAUAAGCUUAAAUAGUCUUGAUCACGAGUGUGCGAGAUUGCUGAGUCCCUGUGGCUUACUGAUUAUUAUUACACCAGAUGCAGGUCCAGGUGAUUCCGCUCUAGGUGACGCGUACGAGCUCAAGUGGGAGUUCGAUGAGGACUCUCAGCGUUACUAUGUCUCUUUUCCUGAUGAUCAGUAGUGGUGCCCAGUUGGGGGUGAUUGGGACCGUGUCGCAUGUUAGGUUUUCUUCUAUUUUGGCGCCGUAGUCGGGCCAUGAGUGUUUGGAUGAUGUAUGUUAUUUAUUUACUUUGAUUGACGUGGCGAGUGUAAGCCAACUAUGUAUCUCCCCUUUUAUUAUCUAUAUUACAUGGGAUGUUGUGAUGAUUGCCUAACUUGCGACAUUGCUUUCAACGCGGUUAUGCCUCUAAGUCGUGCCUCAACACGUGGGAGCUAUAGCCGCAUCGAGGGCGUUACACAGCCGCCAAAAGCAGCGCCAGUCGUGCCGCAUGCGCCCGCCUCCCGUGGCUGGCUGUGCUGCCGCGGAGGCCUCACCGCCCCCUACUAUUCCUACCGCUGGCCAGGCCCUGCGGCGACGGCAGCCUCACACCGCAGCCGAACCAGUGAACCCUCGUACUCCUCUCCGCGCGGGCUUCCACUGCCGCGUCUUCCCCGGCUCCCCGUCGUCCCUUCCUAGGCCUCGCCGUCGUCCACCGCCCUGGUGCUCUCGGUGCGGCGUGGUCAACGUGGUCAUGGAACGACUUCCAUCGGACGUGGACUGUACGUGGAGAUACUGACAGCUGGGUCCACGGUCGCAGCAAGGAAGUGCCUCCUUAUUCCGCGGAAAAUAAUGAUUCCUCCACCUGACAGCUGGGACCCACCGGACGGGCCACUGUAUUUCACGAAAAAAUGUUUCCCCCUGACUGUUGGGACCCACCAGCUACAUCUUCGCACACAAGGAAGUUCCUGACAGUCGGGACCCACCUGGUCGAAGCGUACGUAGCGUUGUCAUUCUGGUCGCGAACGUGUACGUACAUAUAUACUGGUCGAUGUAGAGGUGCGCACAUGUCUUAGUAGAGGCGCGCACGUAGCAUGUACACGUACGUACAGCGGCCAGGGUGCAAGAAAGAAAAUACGGCCACGUAUGUGUACAUACGGGCGGGGUCUCGAACGCCUACUCGUGCAUACGUACAGUCAGGGCUUGUGUACAUGGCUGGGUCGGAAUGGAGAAACAGCGUCGUCGUCGUGUUCAUGGGGAGGCAACAGAAUGCGUCGUGUUCAUCGGGAGGCAACGGAACGCGUGGGAGCCAACCGGCUGGGUCGGAACAGAAUGCGUGGUCGUGUUCAUCGGGAGGGCUUGGACGGAACAGGCGAUGGAAACGAGGCCUGGCGUACCGCAGAACAGAGGAAACAACCUUGUGUUCGACCGGCCACGUUCGAAACGGGAUCCUGUUUAUCGGGAGGGGUCUGGCGUACCACAAAAUGGAGGAAACGGACCUCCUACGGUCGAAACGGGGGUCCUGUUGAUCGGGAGGGGUGUGGCAUACCACAAAACGGAGGAAACAGACUUGUGUUGGAGCGCUAUGGUCGAAACGGGGUCCUGUUCAUCGGGAGGGGUGUGGCGUACCGCAAAACGGGACUCCACGGGAUACUGUUCAUCUCCACCGUCGACCCCCUCCAGCCUCCACGGGCUACUGUUCAUCCACCGUCGACCUCCUCCAGCCUCCACCUGCGACUGUUCAUCCACGAGCUCCUAUUCAUCCAGCCUCCACCGCACGCUACUCCACCGGCUACUGUUCAACUAGCCCUCUCCACGGGCUCCUAUUCAACCACCCCUCCACAGGCUACUGUUCAUCCUGCCCUCCACGGGGUGGUCCUGUUCUCCAGCCCUCCACGGGGUCCUGUUCAUCCAGCCCCAACCGACUCGAUCGAUCGGGGUACUGUUCAUCUAGAGGCAACACCGCGGGGUCCUGUUCAUCCACCCCCACCGGGAACUGUUCAUCUGNNNNNNNNNNNNNNNNNNNNNNNNNNNNNNNNNNNNNNNNNNNNNNNNNNNNNNNNNNNNNNNNNNNNNNNNNNNNNNNNNNNNNNNNNNNNNNNNNNNNNNNNNNNNNNNNNNNNNNNNNNNNNNNNNNNNNNNNNNNNNNNNNNNNNNNNNNNNNNNNNNNNNNNNNNNNNNNNNNNNNNNNNNNNNNNNNNNNNNNNNNNNNNNNNNNNNNNNNNNNNNNNNNNNNNNNNNNNNNNNNNNNNNNNNNNNNNNNNNNNNNNNNNNNNNNNNNNNNNNNNNNNNNNNNNNNNNNNNNNNNNNNNNNNNNNNNNNNUUCAUCCAGAGGCAGCAUCGAUCGGCUUCAGUUAGCAGCAGUAGCGAAGGAAUCGCUCGAUCAGGUUCAGUUAAUAGCCAUCGAUCGAUCGCUCGCUCGGGUUCAGUAAUGCAUAGCCUACAGUGCAAUCGCUCGGGUUCAGUUAGAGCCCAACUCCUCGCUUGGCUUCAGUUAGAGCCCAACGCCUCGCACACACGCACGUAUGUACGAGAGAAAUGCGCAUCACUCGGCCCCCGACCACCCACCGUAACCGGGGACUCCCCGAUAUUUUCCGCGCCCUCGCUUCUACCACGGUUUUUUCCGUCAUGGACGGCCCAAAGAAUGUCAUGCAGAUGCGUCUCCGGCCCGCCCAGGACAAGCCCAUUUUUUGUCAUGAUUUUUUGUCAUAGAAGUAGGAGCCCACCACAUCUAUGAUGAUACCGGGUUUUGUCACAAUUAUCGUCAUAGAAGUGUCAUAUGUAUGAUAGAAAAAACAAUUCGUUCGUCCCGAAAUGUCACGGAUGUGUCUUUUUUUGUAGUGCAUCUCGCUAUCCUCAGUAUGAUUUGGGUCACUAUCUUCCCUAAAGUUCUGCCUGGCAUAAGAGAUACGACUCUGAAAGAGAACCAAGGAGACACGUAACAGGUUUCACAAUUAUAUAAGCAAAUAAAUGGAUUUGUUCUGCAUAAGGAACAUGUUUUUAAAACUACAAUUUAAAACUGGUAGUUGUUGCAAACAUCCAAUCAGAUGUAAACAGCAAAGUAAACAACAGUGGAGGAAAUGAUGCCUAUCCAACUCUAUACUAGAACAACGUUUGAAGGCUUGAGAAGGAUGAACUCACACUACAUGUUAACACGGGCUGGACAAAGCCCAUCUCCAUGUUGAUGGAAGGAUAAUUCAAUAAAUUCCCCAAAGAAAAUUCUUUAUAAGCGUUGCCAUUUUUCUACAUUUUGCAAAGAGUAAAUAUAGACCAAAUAAUAUUGGAAGAAACAGAGGAUAAUGAAGCUCAGGUGCAGACUAAUGAUACAUAAUCAAAUAGCAAUUAAUUAAGUACAGGGUUACAAGGCAAAAGGUACUGACAAGAGGAAUGCACACAUCAACGUGUGCAGUGGCAUUGGCUUUAUUCAACAUUUUGGUAAGAGUAAAUGUAGAUAUGAUAAUUUGGAGAAAGUGGAGGGCAGGGCAGAUAAGAUGUAGAGUAAUGCUAGACAAUCAACUAUCUCGCGAUGCAAGUACAGUAAUACCUCCACCGUCCGUUAUUACUUGUCGCUCAAAUGGAUGUAUCUAGCACUAUUAAGUUCUAAAUACAUCCAAUUGAUCAACAAUUAAUUCGAUAUAGAGGGAGUACAUGACAACAGGUACUUACAUGAGCAAUCCAAAACUUCAUAACCAUUGUGUUAAUUCUACAUUUAUCUAAGAGUAAAUAUAGAUCUUAUAAUUAUUACGCACAAAAAAUGAAUACUCCCCCUGCUAGCUGGGACCCACCAUAGUGGGAGGCUGACUUGUGGGCCUACUAAGAUGACGGGGACGGAGGGCUUUGUAAACUUAGUCAAUAUGAACGAUUCUAGCUCUAGUGACCGUACGAUGUCCAUCCAACGGCCGUAGUGCUUCUUCAACCUCUGGUCUUCUUGCUCCAGUCGCCCAAACAAGCGUCGGCCGUGCCGCCUGCUCCUGCCUCCCGUUUCUGGUUGUGCUGCCACCGCUGGCCAUGCCAUCCCUCUAUACUCACCCACACCUCCUGUUAUUCUCCGGCGACGGCAGACUCACACCGCAGCCGAAGCAGUCAACCCACAUACUCCCCUUUGCGUGGGCAUCCACUGCCACGUCUUCCUCGGCUCUGCGUCGUCCCCUUCCUAGGCCUCGCCGUCCUCCACCACCCUGGUGCUCUCGGCGCGGCAUGGCCAAUGUGGUCAAGGAACGACUUCCAUCGGAAGAGAACUGUACGUGGAGAGGCUGACAGCUGGGUCCACGGCAGCAGCAAGGAAGUGCCUCCUUAUUAUGCGCAAAAUAAUUCUUCCUCCACCUGAUAACAGGGACCCACAGGACGGGCUACCGUAUUUCUCGAAAAAAAUGUUUCUCCCCUGACUGCUGGGACCCACCAGCUACAUCUUCGCACGGAAGGAAGUGCCUGACAGUUAGGACCCACCUGGUCGAAGCGUGCGUAGCAUUGUCAUUCUGGUCGCGAACAUGUACGUACAUACUGGUCAAUGUAGAGGCGCGCACGUGUUGUAGUAGAGGUGCGCACGUGUCGUAGUAGAGGCGCGCAUGUGUCGUAGUGGAGGCGCGCAUGUAGCAUGUACACGUACGUACAGCUAGGGUGCAAGAAAGUAAAUACAGCCACAUACGUACAUACGGGCGGGGUCUCGAACGCCUACUCGCGCAUACGUACGGCCAGGGCUCGUGUACAUGGCUGGGUCAGAACGGAGAAUCUGCGCCGUCGUCGUGAUCAUGGGGAGGCAAACGGCUGGGUCGGAACGGAAUGCGUCUUCGUGUUCAUCGGGAGCCAACCGGCUUGGACGGAACAGCCGAAGGAAAUGAGGCCUGCCGUACCGCAGAACGAAGGAAACGGCCUUGUGUUCGAUCGGCCACGGUCGAAACGGGAUCCUGUUUAUCGGGAGGGGUUUGGCGUACCGCAAAACGGUGAAAACAGGGUCAUGUUGAUUGGGAGGGGUGUGGCGUACCGCAAAAUGGAGGAAACAGACUUGUGUUGGAGCGCUACGGUCGAAAUGGGGGUCCUGUUCAUCGGGAGGGGUAUGGCGUACCGCAAAACGGGACUCCACGGGAUACUGUUCAACUCCGCCGUUGACUACCUCCACGGGCUACUGUUCAUCCACCAUCGACUGCCUCCACGGGCUCUUGUUCAUCCAUCGUCGACCUCCUCCAGCCUCCACCUACGACUGUUCAUCCACGGGCUCCUGUUCAUCGAGCCUCCAUCGCACGCUCCUCCACCGGCUACUGUUCAACCAACUCUCUCCACGGGGUCCUGUUCAACCACCCCUCCACGGGCUACUGUUCAUCCAGCCCUCCACCGGCUACUGUUCAACCCGCCCUCCACGGGGUCGUCCUGUCCAUCCAGCCCUCCAUGGGGUCCUGUUCAUCCACCCCUCCACCGGCACGAUCGAUCGGGGUAUUGUUCAUCCAGCGGCAACACCACAGGUUCCUGUUCAUCCAACCCCCCACCGGGAACUGUUCAUCCAAACCCCCAACAAUUCUCACUGUUCAUCAAGAGGCAGUAGGUUCGAUUGGCUUCAGUUAGCAGCAGUAGCGAAGGAAUCGCUCGAUCGGGUUCAGUUACCGGGCAUCGAUCAAUCGCUCGGGUUCAGUAACGUGUAGCCUGCAGUGCAAUCGCUUGGAUUCAGUAGGCGAACGCCUCGCUUGGGUUCAGUUAGAGCCCAAUGCCUCGCAUCCACGCACGUAUGUGUACGAGAUAGACACGCAUCGCUCGGCCCCCGACCACCCACCAUACUGGGAACUCCCUGAUAUUUUCCGCGCCCUCGCAUCUACCACGGUGUUUCCGUCAUGGACGGCCCAAAGAAUGUCAUGCACCCGCGUCUCCGGCCCGCCCAGGACGAAAAGCCCAUUUCCUGUCAUGAUUUUCUGUCAUAGAAGUAGGAUCCCACCACAUCUAUGAUGAUACCGGGUUUUGUCACAAUUAUCGUCAUAGAAGUGUCAUAAGCAUGACAGGAAAAAAAAUUGUUCGGCCCAAAAUGUCACGGAUGUGUCUUUUUUUUGUAGUAGGUGAAUAGGCGAUUUUUAUGAAAUACUUCAAAACACGGGGGGCUUUGAAAAAGAACAGUAUAAAUGAACCUAUUGAUAUGCAUCAGAAGGUAGACUACACUACACAAGCCAUAGUCAAGUAAGCAAUGAAGUGAAAGCAUGAAGACUAUCAGCAACUAGGUAGUAUAGAUCAGGAUGGAAGAUGGUAUGAAGCCAAACGGUAAACAAACUUCACACAGUGAAGACAAUCAGAUCAUGCAAGCAGGUAAUGACUUCACGAAGACAGACUGAAAGUAAAGGGAAGUGAAGGAUAGAACCAGCAGCUUGGUGAAGACAAGGAUUUGGUAGACCAGUUCCAGUUGUUGUCACAACUAUAUGUCUAGUUAGGGAGGUUGAUAUUUAACUCAGAAGGCCGCGUCUUCACCUUAUUCCCCUUGAGGUAAGAACACGUAGUCCUCUCCCAAUCACUCUAGUAAGUCUUCAAGGUAGACUUCCAAACCUUCACAGAUGUCAGGACCCCGAUCCUAAGUCACACCGAUCUAGCAUGUAACACGUCAUAUCACUUUGCAGCCUCACGCACGGUAUUCCCACGGGUGCCACCUUACCCGGCCCAGGACCGUUUGCGCCUUUUGGCUCACGUAUAUGAUAGUGUCGCGCAUCCAUAUGACAAAGAACCCGGGCCGACAUGGCUAGUCGUGAACCCAAAGCGGUACUAACCCAUGGGGACAUGCAUACAUGAAUCAACUUCGAGCAUGUCGGUCAUCAGCGUGUGAAUCCGGGCUGUAGCACUGGGCUAACAGGACUCCGGUAACCCGGGCUGUAGCAGGCUAGGCAGGACUCCGGAUGUCACCGCGUGACAUUUCCCCGAGGGGACAGACACAGGAACGAAGUGAAACACAUGCCGGCCAGUCAAGUGUCCUGAGCAGUAGUGCUGGGCUAGCAGGACUCCGGUGAACCGGGCUGUAGCGGACUACUAUGGCUCAUGGAAGCACUAGACUACAUUUCCCCAUAAGAGAGGCUGCCAAGGAUAAACAACUAGAUUGUCGGAUCCCACACAUACCAAGCAUUUCAAUCAUACACACAAUAUGCUCGAUAUGUGUAAAUACAACAUGGCAUCACAACAUAACUCUACGACUCAAAGUAUUUAUUCAUUAGGCUCCGAGGAGCGAGAUAUUACAAACAUGGGUCUCACGACCCCAACAUUCAGAGCAUACAAACAACAAGCACAUGCGGAAGCUUAACUUGUCUGAGUACAAACAACUACAAAUGAAGAAGGCUAAAAAGCCUGACUAUCUACAAGACCCUGCCGAGGGCACAAGAUCGUAGCUGAGGUAACCAACUAAACGUCGAAGUCCACGCGGAACUACUAGCGAGACUGACGUCUCUCUGCAAAAACAUAAAAUAGGCAAACGUGAGUACAAAUGUACCUAGAAAUACUUACAUCAGAACUAGCUACAUAUGCAUCGGUGUCAACAAAGGGGGUAGUGGAGUUUAACUACAGCAAGCCAGCUUUGACUCGGUGGCUAUCCUGAACUACGACUGCAAGUAACUCUUUUGAGGUGGCACACACGAGUCCACAUAUUCACCAUAUCAAUACACCACUAUGGAUCCGCUCCCGUCUUCCUACGAGAACGCCAUCCAUAGCACUCACGCUUAUCUUGCGCAUUUUAGAGUAUCCACUUUCACUUGUCUAUGAACUGUUAUAGGCAACCCAGAAGUCCAUUACCGCGGACACGGCUAUUCGAAUAGAUGAUGUUAACCCUGGAGGGGUGUACUUCUUCACACACGCUCUCACCACUUACCGCCGUUUACAUGACAUGUACUCGGCAACCUUCAAGCGGAAGCCCAACGAGGGUGUCGGCCAUGGCCUGCCUAAACACUCAAGUCUCUAGUCCAGGUUUAUCGCCUAUUCAGGUUCCAUCUGCAGGGAGUCCGGCCGAGGUUUCCACAUACGGCCCCGAACGAUGUGAGCAGGGUUCCUGAGACACCAAACGGGCGCCCGGUACACUGUGCCACGUGCCUACCGCAACACAUCCCACCCCGACGGUCAGUGCUGCGUGCGGCCCCCAGCAUACUACAAACACCAGAAACUACUUGCAACUCCUGGAGAGAGGACAAGGGUGAUCAAGAAGCCGAGAGGGUCCAUUGGUUUCGGGCCUAAUGUGUGGUAGUAACUGUUUCAUGGAUCACAAACACAGAACUCAGUUCCUAAGGACGGUUUCAAUGAGACAACCCACCUUGUACUCCUACAUGGCCUCUCAUCGCUACCUUUACCAAAUCGUAUUCAUACACUUAGCUCUCAACAAUAGGACAUGUUCACCACUUUCCAACUCAUCCCCGAUGAAUCAGACCCGUCUCAACUCUAAGCAGUAGCAGGCAUGACAACAAACAUGAAUGAGUAGGCACAUCAGGGCUCAAACAACUCCUACUCAUGCUAGUGGGUUUCAUCUAUUUACUAUGGCAAUGACAGGUCAUGCAAAGGAUAAAGGGGUUCAGCUACCGCAGCAAGUAACAGAUGAAUCGUUAUUGUCCUAAUGCAGUAAAAGAGAGCAGGAGCGAGAGAGUGGGAUUAUAUCGGAAUGAACAAGGGGGUUUUGCUUGCCUGGCACUUCUGAAGAUAUUAUAGUUCUUCAUCGGUGUCAUCGAACUCAUCGUCGAAACCACGUCUAUCGGGAGGGGACAAUUACCGGCAAAUAAAGAAGAACACAAUCAAUGCAAUUCAACAAUUAUGAUGCAUGAUAAUGUCAUGGCAAUAUGGUGUGAGUUGAGCUAAUGCAGCUAGCAAUAAUUUAAAUGAAGUUGGUUUGAACCCAAGGUUCAAAUUCAAAUUCCACAUGUGGUUAUUUAAAUGCCAUUAACAUGUUUUCAGGUAUACAGCAGGUAUAACUUAGUUUGUCAUGCAUGAAAAUGGUACAGAUGGAUAGAUUGCAUUUUUCUGAUAAUUUUUCAUAUAUAAUUUGUUUGAUUUGGAGUUACGGUUGAAUUACUAUGAAUUUUUGAAGUUUUGGGUAUUUUCUGGAAUUUCCUGAAUUAAAAUUAAUCCAGAAAAUGAGUUAUGGCGUCAGCACUACGUCACCAUGAUGUCAGCAGGUCAACUGACCUGGUCCAGGUCAAACCUGACCAGUGGGACCCACUGGUCAGUGUCUCAGUAUCAGUUAGGGUCACUGACAUGUGGACCCAGUCAAUGGCCACGUCAGCAUGGUCAACGCUGACGCGUGGGGCCACUAAGAUUAGUAAAAACUAAACAGAAACUAAUCUAAGUUUAAUUAGUAGGUGGGGCCCUGCUGUCAGUGUCACUAGGUGUUGUCUAAGUGCGUCAUUAGCCUAAACUAAUCUGCCAUGUCACCAUCGCCGGAGUUACGCCGGCGGCGACCAAAACGCGGCGGAGAGACACUGGGUUAGCUCGGGUUUUGCCCACGAUUGACCAAAUCGACCAUGGUUUGGUCCCACGCGUAGCUGGGACUCGCACGCAUCUGGUAGGGCAAACGGAAGGGGCUGGGGUGGAGCGAGCUCGCCGUAGUCGAGCUCGUAGCGGCGGUCGGCGUUCGGGUGUUGAGCGAGAUGGAGCUACAGAGCACGGGGAGAUGGAUGGGUGUGUGCGUUAUGCUCAGGGGAGUGCGGUCAGUACAGUGGUGAGCUCAGACGCGUGCUUGCACGGCCGUAGCCGCGGUGGCGACAUGGCCGGCGGCAAGGAGCAAUCGGCUCCGAUGGCCACGGUGGCUAGAAGGCGCGGGAGAGCACGAGGAGAGAGGGGAAAGACGCAAGGGCUCACGGCGAUUCCAGUAGAGGCGUCGGCGAGGCCGGGGCGAGGCUGGAGCUCGCGAAUCCCCGACGAGUCCGCCGGCGGUCAGAGGUUGGAGACGAGGUUGGGGACGACGCUGCAGGGCUUCCGGAGGGGCGUGGCUCGGUGGGGAGGGAGAGGGGGUCGAGGCGGAGCUCCUGAGAUCAGCGGCAGGGCGAGGGGUGGCCGGUGGCCGCAGGAACGGCGAGCGGCGGCGAGCACACUUGGGUGGUGCGAGGGAGGAAGAGCCAGAGGAGGGAAGGAGCUGCGGGUGCGAGAGAGAGGGCUAGGGGGCGCGUGGCGCCUCCAGGCGCUCGGCCGAGGGCGGGGGGGGAAGCAGGAGGUGGAGGCCUCGGGCGCGCGCGCGUCGACACGCCUCUGCCUACUGGCAGAGGUUGAAGACGACCGCUUCGGCCAGUGGGCUGGGCCAGCUAGAGGGGCUGGCCAGCUGGGCCGCGACAGGUAAGCCAGGUGUGUCUCUGCUCUUUGCUUUCUGUUUUUGUUUUUUUCUAUUUCUUUUAUUCUGUUUUGAAUUAGUAAAAAUACUAAUUCAUUUUUAAAACUCCUGAGAUAAAUUGGGGGCAUUAUUUGGAUUAUUCCAGAAGCCCACAAAUUAUGACAGAAUAUUUGGAGCAUCUAAAAUAUAUAUAGAAUUCAAAUGCCCCAAUUCAAAUACAUUAUGAUUUAAUUCAAAAUUCCAGGAAUGACCUAGAAACAUGUUCAUCAUUUUUGGCAGAGGUUUUUGCCUUUAUCAGAAAUCAUGAACAUUUUCAAAGGGCAUUUUGGGAUCAUUGAAAAUGAUUUUAUUUGAACUUAUUUGAAUUCAUUUGGUGCUAGGGUUUCAACAUCCCCAUUUCAAGUUUCUUAGGAAUUUAAACAUGAUGACAUGAUGAGCAAGCAAAGUCAAGCAAGGGAUGAUCUGGGGCUGUGACAAUAGACUUCGUUCACUAGCAAUCCACGAUGGCUCUUGGAUGCUCAGAACGUGACGCCUAACCAGCUGGAGGAUUCACAGUCCUCAAGUGUAACAAGUCUUUAGAUCAUGCAGGCAGAAAGACUUCAGUGAUGCCUAACACUCUUUGGCUCUGGGUGUUUUGGGCUUUGUCCUCGCAAGGAUCUCUUUCUCUCUCUCAAAUGCUUCGGAGGUGGGUUGCUAUCAAACGACAAAAGUUGUGCACUAACUCUGAGCAGCCCCCAAUUUAUGGUGUAGGGGGUGGGCUAUUUAUAGCCAGGAGGCAACCCGACCUGAUUUGUCCGAACUGACCCCGGGUCACUAAGGAACCGACACGUGUCCAACUGUCGGAUUUCAAACACACGCAUCAGCUUGAUUUGGGCUACAAGUAAAGCUAACUCAUCCAGCUCUGGAUAAGAUUUGCUCUCAUUGUCUUCGCUCAAAGACAUAGGAUUUGGUUGAGCAUCACAUCAGUCACUCUGACUUUGUUCACUUGGACCCCACUUAACAGUACGGUGGUUCCUAUGACUCAACAAAGAAGAAAAGGAAACUACGAAACAACUAUGUCUUCGCAUUCCAUAGUCUUCACGUGAAUGUCUUCUUAUGUCAUAAUCUUCACUGUGAACAUCUUCACAAACCACCAUUGUCUUCAAUGUCUUCAUACAUUUUUAGGGGUCAUCCCUGGUAGGUAAACCGAAUCAAUAAGGGACUACUACAUGUGUUAUCCUGCAGUUCUCAUAAACACAUUAGUCCCUCAACCAAGUUUGUCGUCAAUACUCCAAAACCAACUAGGGGUGGCCGUAGAUGCACUUACAAUCUCCCCCUUUUUGGUGAUUGGUGACAAACUGGUUGAAGUUUUCAACGGGGAUAAAAGUAUGUGAAAGUUAAGGAUUAAGGCAUUGUCAUCAUAAGUAGAAAAAGGCUACCCCUGAAGAUGUGCAUAUAAGUAGUUUGCUUUUGAAUGCAAAUGCACAUGGCACGUUUUACUUUGUGGAGAUCCUCUUCAACUUAUGAAGACAAUUCAUCAUGCAUAUAAAGAGAUAACAAAGAUAAUGACAUGCAUAAUGAAAAAUGGACGUCUGUGGGAUUUAUCAUCGCAUCACACAGUGGCAGCAAAAACAACGUAGCAGACGACCAUCGAGUUUAAGUGUUGCAACCCAAAAACAAAAUUGUUAAAAAGACGAGAGUUGCAACGACUUAGCAAAAAUUUAUGCAACCACCCAUAAUGACCCGCUUGAAGACUGUCAACUCAUAUGCUUCUCCCCUUUUUGUCAGUAAUGACCAAAAAUGUUUGAAGACAUAGAGUAUCUACUCGUUCCCAGAUGGAGUAGAUGAUGGAGCAGGGUCGACGUUGGAGUUAGGUGGUGCGGACGGGCCUGAUGCAGUGUCGUGGUGUAGUGAAGCCAAGGUUGGUGAAGUGGCGUCGUCUUCUUCAUCGACGACUCUCGCAACAACAGUUGUAGCCGAAGAUGAAUGCUCAGAAUCUUCAAUGGAGGGAGUGCGACUCCAGCUUGCAUUUGGUGGAGGCCUGGAGUCAAACUUGAAGUUCUCUAUGAAGCCACCUUCGCGAAAUCGUCUUCAGGAUAGAGCAUUAUGAGGCUCUUCUAGGACCGCCGACAGGCUUCAUGUGCAACAAAUGAGUUCUUGGUGGCCAAAUUACGGAUGCGAUUGACAUCCACCAAGAGACUCUGCAUCUGACGCUUCAGCCAGUCCUGAUGCUUAUCCUGCUUCUGAUGCAAUGCCACAAGGAGCUCUCGGUCAUUGAGUACACGAGAUCGCUUCUGAGGCCUUUGGGCAAUUAUACUUGCAGUGGCUUCAGUGUUAGCACGGUGUGGCACUCUCAUGUUCCCAGCCAGAGGGUAAGCGGGUGUUGCAGCAUUGGGGACAAGGAUUCCGUCAAUUGGCUGCGAGAAGCUUUGAUGUUCAGCAUUCUGAAGAUGUAGGGGCUUCUUGGCAGGCUCGGGGUAGAUGGCUUCAAUAGACAGAUCAACCUCAGGCAGAAAAAUAAUGUGGUUGCACGCUGAGGGCUGAUAGUCUAUAGUGGAAUGAAGCUUAAUUAGGCGCAUCACCCAUGGAGCAUAGAACUUCAGGCCAAAUAGAUCAAUCCCAGAAGCAGCAAGUUGUCUGAUGAAGAAAUCCUGGGUGUUGAAUUUGAUGCCAUUGAUGAUAUUGAAUACCAAAGUCUUCAUGGCUCCUUCAAGUUUAGCUUCAGAAGAAUGUCCCUUGAUUGGCCAUAGAGUACGCCUCAGAAUAUGGUAUACUGUGUGUGGCAAGUACUCGAGGUCCUUCACAAAGAACUCCUUUGGGUAUUCAGUGUCUUGAGGCAAUGGAUUCAUCAGGCUAAGCAUCUAGCUCAUGUUUGGUUUAGGCCUCUGAAAAAUGCUCUGCAGCUCAUCUCUAUGAAGCUGACAACCAAGUUCAUAUGAUUCACCUGGAGUGGGCAGGGAAGUAAGCUCGAUGAUGUCUUGAGCUUUGGCUUUGUCAUGUACAUCACCUAUCAUCCACUCAAGGAUCCAAGUCUUCGGAUCCCUAUUGUAGCCGCAAAUAUGGAGGGUGGCAUAGAUCUGCAGCAGACUCUUCAUUCCGGUGUUCUUUGUCAGUCAUGAAAGGCAGACGACCAACAUCCCCGGGACUACCCAUAGUGGGAGUAACAUAGGUAGUAACAUCACACAUAUCUGGGUUAAAUAGAUGAUGUGGCAUGCAAUAAAUGAAGAAAGAGAUGAAAGUAGUAACAUAGCUAGUUACUACUAGUGAGGGAGUCCUGGAUUAGUGCGUGUCCGGAUAGCCGGAUUAUAACCUUUGGAUGGACUCUUGGACUAUGAAGAUACAAGAUUGAAGACUUCAUCCCGUGUCCGGAUGGGACUUUCCUUGGCGUGGAAGGCAAGCUUGGCAAUACGGAUAUGUAGAUCUCCUCCCAUUGUAACCGACUCUGUGUAACCCUAGCCCUCUCCGGUGUCUAUAUAAACAGGAGGGUUUUAGUCCAUAGGACGAACAACAAUCAUACCAUAGGCUAGCUUCUAGGUUUAGCCUCCCUGAUCUCGUGGUAGAUCCACUCUUGUACUACCCAUAUCAUCAAUAUUAAUCAAGCAGGAGUAGGGUUUCACCUCCAUCGAGAGGGCCCGAACCUGGGUAAAAACAUUGUGUCCCUUGUCUCCUGUUACCAUCCGCCUAGACGCAUAGUUCGGGACCCCCUACCCGAGAUCCGCCGGUUUUGACACCGACAUUGGUGCUUUCAUUGAGAGUUCCUCUGUGUUGUCAUCUUUAGGCCCGAUGGCUCCUCCGACCAUCAACAGCGAUGCGGUCCAGGGUGAGACUUUUCUCCCCAGACAGAUCUUCAUAUUCGGCGGCUUUGCACUACAGGCCAAUUCGCUUGGCCAUCUGGAGCAGAUUGAAAGCUACGCCCCUGGCCAUCAGCUUAGAUUUGGAAGUUUGAACUACACGGCUAACAUCCACGGAGACUUGAUCUUCGACGGAUUCGAGCCACAGCCGAGCGCGCCACACUGUCACGAUGGGCAUGAUUUAGCCCUGCCAUCGAACAGCUCCCUGGAGGCCGCACCCGUAUCCGCUCCGACCCUUAGCUCGGAGCCAACCGCGCCGAUCGAGGACAGGUGGCUAGACCCCGCCGCUGGGGCUGCAGUCUUAACGGCGAUCGAGCCAAACACUGGCCUUAUCCUCUGCGAAGCCCGUGACUCCAGGGUGCCGGACUCUUUUCCGGGCUCCGAACCCUCCGUGCCCCUACCAAUUGAAUCCGAUUGGGCGCCGAUCAUGGAAUUCACCGCUGCGGAUAUCUUUCAGCACUCGCCCUUCGGCGACAUCCUGAAUUCACUAAGGUCUCUCUCUUUGUCAGGAGAGCCCUAGCCGGACUAUGGCCAACGGGAUUGGGAUGCAGACGACGAAGAAAUUCGACGCCCACCCACCACCCACUUCGUAGCCACUGUCGAUGAUUUAACCGACAUGCUCGACUUCGACUCCGAAGACAUCGACGGUAUCGACGACGAUAUAGGAGACAAACAUGAACCAGCACCUAUAGGGCACUAGACAGCCACCCCAUCCUACGAUGUAUACAUGGUGGACACACCCAAAGGAAUCGACGAGGAAGAAUGGGAUGACGCAACGAAGGGUCGCUCCUCCUAAAAGCAGCCAAAGCGGCGGCGUAAGCGCCACUCCAAGCCCCGCCCCGACAGAGACAGCGGUCGUACAGACCCAGCCAUAGAGCAGGGCGAGCCGACGAGCAAUGAACAUGGCAUCGAGCAACCGUCCGAACAAGGCAACUUGGAUAAACAAACCGCACAACCCGUCCCCGGUGAAGAUAACAGUCCGGACGACCUCACACCGGACAAAUUCCUGGAACAGGAAAACCUCCACAAAAGGCUUGUCGCCACGGCGCGUAGCCUAAAAAAGCAGAAGCGGAAGCUCAAAACUGCAGAAGACGCACUCCGAAUCAGAUGGAGCAAAGUACUCAACACCGCAGACAAAUACGGCGAUAGUCGCCACACAAAGAGCUACCCGAAGCGAAAGCUACUGCCCGAAUUUGAUGAGGAGGCCCUAGAGCCCCCAAAAUCAAAAAAUAAGGAAGCCACCCGGUCGGAUAGACGACCCCAUGGACAACAUAGAGCGGAAAAUGGCGCCGCACACAAACCAACACGCGAUCCACCCAAGGAUUCGCAUCAAAAGGAUGGCCCAGCCAGGUCCAUUUACGGGCCAAGAAAGCAAGAUCUAGUAAGCAAUGUAACGCAACAAAUAUCCGAACAACACGGCACACCCAAGUACAGGGGUGCUGCACACCCCCUCUGUUUCACCGAUGAGGUGCUGGACCAUGAAUUUCCAGCGGGAUUCAAGCCCAUAAACAUAGAGGCGUACGACGGAACAACAGACCCUGGAGUCUGGAUUGAGGAUUAUAUCCUAGACAUACACAUGGCCAGAGGAGACGACCUCCACGCCAUAAAAUACUUACCCCUCAAGCUCAAAGGGCCAGCCCGGCAUUGGCUUAUAGGCCUUCCCGAAAACACCAUUGGAAGUUGGGAAGAGCUCGAGGAUGCUUUUCGGGCAAAUUUUCAAGGGACCUAUGUCCAAUCUCCAGACGCAGACGAUUUAAGCCAUAUAACUCAACAGCCCGGAGAGUCAGCCCAGAAACUCUGGAACAGAUUUCUUACUAAAAAGAACCAGAUAGUCGACUGUCCGGACGCCGAAGCCUUAGCAGCUUUCAAACAUAGCGUUCGAGACGAAUGGCUCGCCAGACACCUCGGCCAAGAAAAGCCAAGAACAAUGGUCGCAUUAACAAGCCUCAUGACCCGCUUUUGCACGGGAGAGGACAGCUGGUUGGCAAGAUGCAGCACCAGUGACCCAAGUACAUUCGAAGCUAGGGAUGGAAACGGGAAACCGCGACGCAGCAAGGACCAGCGCCGAAAUAAGGGAAACAGCCCAAAGAGCACGACACUCAACGCCGGAUUCAAAAGCUCUCGGCAGAAUCAGAAAAAGCUGCCCCUCAAGGAUAACAGGGACGAGCUAUCUAACCUGAACAAAAUCUUGGACAAGAUAUGUCAAAUCCACAGUACUCCCGGGAAGCCUGCAAACCAUACCCACAGAGAUUGUUGGGUCUUCAAGCAAUCCGGCAAACUCAACACCGAACACAAGGGGCUCGACACACCAAUUGAGGACGAUGACGAACCCCACAAGCAGAGCACCGGGAAACAAAAGAAUUUCCCACAAGAAGUCAAAACAGUAAACUUACUUCACAUGACAAAAGGGAAAAACAGAGUGGCACCUAUAGAGAUACGCGCCAUACGGCCUAUCCCGAAGGAGUCUCGCCACUGGUUGUUAAAACCGAUCACCUUCGACCAUCAGGAUUACUCUAGAAGUAUCCGGAACGCAGGCUGGACUGCCCUGAUAUUAGAUCCGAUAAUCGACGGACUCCACUUUACACAAGUCCUAAUGGACGGCGGCAGUGGUCUAAACUUGCUAUAUCAGGACACAAUCCGCAAAAUGGGGAUGGACCCAAAAAAAAUUCACCAUAGCAACACUUCCUUUCAAGGAGUAACGCCAGGCCCGGAUGCCCAUUGCAUGGGUUCUCUCCUGCUAGAAGUUAUGUUCGGCUCCCCCGAGAACUUCCGCCGCGAAAAACUAACCUUCCACAUCGCCCCAUUUUCAAGUAGCUAUCAAGCACUACUGGGACGCGAAGCUUUCGCCCGCUUUAACGCAAUACCGCAUUAUGCAUCUCUUAUGCUUAAGAUGCCCGGUCCAUGAGGCAUCAUCUCACUAAAGGGAAAUAUCGAGUGUUCUCGAGCGCGGAAGAAUAUGCGGCUGCCUUUGACAGCCAUACAUUAAAACAGCGUCACCAACAAAAGCAUCUAACAGGUCAUUAAGACCACAGACACGGCUAGGCGAGUCUGGAGCAAACAUAUAAUUGAUAAAGAUUUAGUAGUCGUACACCCCUACACAAGGGGCUCCGCGUAUGUAAAAUAAGCGACAAUAAGGCUCAACUUUACCCGUCUUGAAUUAUACUUUGUUUAUUUAGUACAACAUACAUUCCGCACGACUAUUCUUUUUUUUCUUUUCAGCUAAGUUCCUCUCUUUUACAGAUGAACACCAUGCUACGCUCGUCCAGGACACGGCACAACAGAGACACAGACGCAGACGUGCAGCAGGGACCCGUCUCCAGGAUUCUUUUUAGAUUAAGACCCUGCGUAAACCUUUUUUACUGUCUCUUGUUGAUACACAUCCCCCGGAUUCUCAAUAUAACUGAGGAGGAGGCUGGCAUCUUGGCAUGUGGCCACGUCAGAAUUUUGCACGUACCUGGACACCAGGGGCUUAUUAUCAAGGGCAUUGCUCAGUCCAUUUCCAUAAAGACCGAAUACCUAAGGGAGUGUUCGGCGUCGCGAGUUUGGCCUUAUAAGCAUCAGCUCCGAAUCAUGUCUUUGGUCAAAUGUUGGGUUUGCCCAGCUCCUGUGUUUUGCUGCCUUACGUUCCGUUCUAUCGGCUAAGGCGGCACCAGGAGAACUACUUCGAUUGUGCCCCGAUCCAGCCAGGCGAGCACCUCAGUAGAGAAAGCCGAAAACUGACUGUCAUGAUAUAGCGUGAGACUGGUCAACCACUCGAUGACCUAUCGGAAUCUUCGGGAUUCCUCCGCAUUAACGAAGGGCCGUUUCCCGGCCAGGCACACACGCGCCCCGAGUUCGGGCGAGUGCGGCUCCACCAGGGGCUAUAUAGUAGCCUCACCGUCAAGCUCCUAUGGUCAAGUGAAAGUGAUAAAGCAUUAUAGUCCAGUUGCCUAGUUCGCUACACUAUCACCUCCUUCAUGGACCAAGACGUUAGAUCAAGUGUGAAAAUGCGCCUUCUGCGAACACCCCCGCAUUAUAUGCGUGGGGGCUGAAGCCGAUGACUGCCAUCUUUCAGGUUAUAUACACAUAUACAUUAACGGCCGCACGGCAGGUAUUUUAAUUCUUGAAGGCACAAGUAUAAAAAGCUUUUAUAUUCCAUCAAAAUAUUGUUUUACAAUAAUCCAUGUUAUUCGAACAUAAUAUCCUUCGAGCACCGUGUCUCUAUUAAACGAGUGCCUUGCAGAACUUCCCUGAAAAUAGUGCUCGGCAGGUACUCGGCUUCCGUCCGAGUCUUUGGAUGCAACAGCGGUGGCCUUCAUCUCCGCCCAGUAUGUCUUGACACGGGCAAGGGCCAUCCGCACACCCUCUAUGCAUGUUGACCUCUUCAUCGCAUUGAUAUGCGGCACCACACCAAGGAACUGCUGCACCAAGCUAAAAUAGCUGUUCGGCUUUGGCCUUUCCGGCCACAGAUGAUCCACGACAUCCUUCAUGGCGAGUCUGGACAACCUAUUCAGUUCGGCCCAUUCGGUCAAAUGAUCGUUCAAUAGAAGUGGACGCUCCGGAUUGUUGAACUGUGACCAGAAGAGCUUUUCCACUUUGCUAUCUUUCUGAUCUCGGAAAUGUUCAGCCGCAUCAGCGGCACUCGCAACUAAAUCCAGAUAUGCGUCCGCCGAACUCCACAUCCGGCCCAACGGAGCAUACUUAGGAUCUCCGAACUUCAUCCGCAGCAUAAAGGGCUUUCCAGCCGCGAUAUCUCCGGCCUGGCGCAGCUCCUCCUUCAUCGCUCUCAUCAUAGAACGAGCAUCCUUGGCCGCAGUAGUGGCCUUUUCCAGGUCUGUCUGCUCCGCCUGAUCUUCUUUUUCAAGAAGCUUGCAGCGGUCAGCAGUGGUCUUUAACUUCACAGCCAUCUCGGCCAUUUCCUUCUUACUUCGGUAGUGAGCAGCCUGUUCGGCUUUCAGCUCCUCAACCGCCUUUAGGGCAGCCGCAUUGCUUUUUCUAGCUUGCUCCUUGGCUCGGGCAAGCUCUGCCUGAAGGUCCUCCACAGCGGCAACACCAUCUGCAUUAAGUGCACACAUUGUAAGAUACUGGCAUCAAGCUCCUCUUACCAGGUGUCUCCGGAGAAAUUACAUACCUUGUGCCUCGUCAACCGCUUGUUGAUAAGCGCGAUGUCGGCAUCUACCACGUCAAGUUGCCGCGUUAGCUCGGCAAAUUCAUCAGUCCGGCUGGCCACCGGACACUUCGCCACCUGCAUAGGAAGGCGGCAAAAUUAUACCUGGGACUAUGAUCCUCUGCGUGCUGCUGUCUUCGACAACACACAGAGUCUCAGGGGCUACUAUCUACACAGGGCGCAUCUUAUAUAUGCGGAACUAUCAAAAGCAGGUCCUUCAGCUCCUCCGACUGCGCACCAAGUGGUGCCGGACUUGUUCGAUGGCUUUUCUCAAAGGCCGGACACGAAGAGCUUUGGGGGGCCAUAUGACUGCCAUCCGGCCCUGCCGGAUUAGGAGAAACCCUCCGCGACGACACCUCAGGGUCGCCCGCCUCAUAAGGCGGAACGGCAGGGGGAGGCGUUCCGCUCUCCAUCAUCUCCGGAAGAAGAUCCCCCGAAGAUGAGCUCUGCUGAGAAGGGCUGAGAUCCGAACUACAAGGUAAAAUGUCGGUUAUUUUCCUCAUAGAUAAAAUAAGGAUCCCUGUCAUUUUAAACCUCCCCUCUCUACUUAUGGCUCGGUGGAGGGUUGAUCCCCUUGGGGGCACAGUAUGGCCGAGGUAUCCCCCGGCACAAGACCCUCUGGCGAAGAUUUCUUCCCCCGCUUUGAGACCAUGGUCUCCGGGUCUUCAGAGGCGGUCCUCUUCUUCCCCUGGGUAGAGGAAUUAUCGAUUCCUCCUUUCCUGACAGCCUCCUUCGGGGAGGCAGUAGCUUCCUUGUCCCCCCCUUCGUUUUCUUCCAAAGGCACGAUCUCCAGCAUCCUGGUUAACACGGGAUCCGGCGAGGUCUCAGGAAGGGGGGGCAGACACCUGAUUAACUUCGCCUUCGCUACCCACUCCUGUUUCAAGGACAACUCUUUUAAGGGUGAUGUUGUGAUAAAGGAACGGAUGGUGUGUCCGGGCACAGGGCUACUUACUUGAGUAUCCGGACGAUUGCAGCUCAGACCCGCGUCCUCCGUAGAAUCUGGACAGACUACUUGUGGUCCGAAGAACAAUUUGUACAUCUCCACGGGCAUCAUGCCAAGAAAAUGGUGGAGAGCUUGCGGUCCCUCCGGGUUGAACUCCCACAGGCGGAGGGGGCGACGUUUGCAGGGAAGAGCUCGGCGAAUUAACAUAACUUGUGUCACCACGACCAGACUGAUGUCUCUUUCUAGGAGAUCUCGGAUGCGGCCCUGCAACAGGGGCAUGUCCUUUGCCGACCCCCAGUCCAGCCCCUUAUUGACCCAUGACGCUAGUCGUGGCGGGGGACCCGAGCGGAAAGCAGACGGCGCCACCCACUUGGUGCCCCUGGGAGCUAUGAUAUAAAACCACUCUUGUUGCCAUAAGUUGAACUCCUCUUGAAAAGAGCCCUCGUGCCAUGGAGCAUCAGCAUUCUUGCUUAUAACAGCGCCUCCGCACUCUGCGUGCUGUCCCUCGAUCAUCUUCAGCUCUAAUUUAUAGGUCUUAAGCCACAGUCCGAAGUGAGGAGUAAUACGGAGGAAGGCUUCGCACACGACAAUGAACGAUGAGAUGUGGAGGAUGGACUCCAGAGCUAAGUCAUGAAAUUCCAGCCCAUAAUAAAACAUGAGCCCCCUCACGAAGGGAUCCGUAGCGAAGCCUAGCCCUCGGAGGAAGUGAGACACAAACACCACGCUCUCACCAGGCUUGGGAGUAGGAAUAACCUGCCCGUGAGCAGGCAGCCUAUGCGAGAUUUCACUGGUCAAAACCUGGCCUCUCUCAGCUUUAGCACGUCUUCCUCCGGCAUCCAUCGGCCUCGAAAGUCGAAACCGGACAUCGUCCAAGGUCCGAAGCGCCUGAAAUCUGGGGCCUUGGGUGUUGGAACUCGAGGCGAAGGGCGAAUUCGAUUGAGAUCAAAGGAAAGGAGUAAUGCCUUGGUCUCUUUAUAAGAGGUUGAAUACCAAGAGCCCUCCCCGUGACCGUUUGGGACUCGCCUUUGAUCGAGGAGACGUACCAACAGGAACGACUGGGUUACCCACGUCCGUAUUGAUGAGAAUCCCGUAAAUAAAGGGGACACGAUCUCUGCUUCGACAAGACGUGCCAAGGAAACCGCCUCGCAAAACGCGCUGAGGUGGGGCAGUAAAAAUGAUUCGAAUAAAGGCUUGGUUGUGGUGUGAUGACACGCUACGGAAUACGUCAGUAGCUUAGAUUUGUGUAAAUAGUAUUCUCUCUACGACAGUAUGUGGAACUUAUUAUGCAGAGCCGGACACUAUCCUUGUGUUAAAAAAUCUUCUAUGAAGUAUUUGGAAGAGGAACCCGCCUUGCAAUGCCGAAGACAAUCUGCGCAUCGGGCUCGUCGUCAUUGAAGCCUGGUUCAGGGGCUACUGAGGGAGUCCUGGAUUAGGGGGUGUCCGGAUAGCCAGACUAUAACCUUUGGCCGAACUCUUGGACUAUGAAGAUACAAGAUUGAAGACUUCGUCCCGUGUCCGGAUGGGACUUUCCUUGGCGUGGAAGGCAAGCUUGGCAAUACAGAUAUGUAGAUAUCCUCCCAUUGUAACCGACUCUGUGUAACCCUAGCCCUCUCCGGCGUCUAUAUAAACUGGAGGGUUUUAGUCCAUAGGACGAACAACAAUCAUACCAUAGGCUAGCUUCUAGGGUUUAGCCUCCCUGAUCUUGUGGUAGAUCCACUCUUGUACUACCCAUAUCAUCAAUGUUAAUCAAGUAGGAGUAGGAUUUUUACCUCCAUCGAGAGGGCCCGAACCUAGGUAAAAACAUUGUGUCCCUUGUCUCCUGUUACCAUCUGCCUAGACGCACAGUUCGGGACCCCCUACCCGAGAUCCGCCGGUUUUGACACCGACAACUAGCAUCACACAUAUCAAGGCAAGAUGUGUCUAUAGCCUAAUAAAUGAAGUGCUCCAUAUUACCACACAUAUGUUACUCCCCACUACAGAGGUAAUAACAUAGACUAGUAACAUGGGCAUGUUACUAGUCUAUGUUACUAUCCAUUGUGGCUAGUCUGAAGCAGUCAAGAGCUUCUUCAAGACAAGGCAUCCCAACUAUAGCUUCACAAUCCAAACGCAUAUGUGGAAAGAUUCGCUCUUGGUUGUAGAGGAUGCACGAGUAAUAGCUUCGCUGCUGAUAACUCCAGAAUCUAUCGGAGGAGAUCUUUGGCUUCGAAUAAGGAUUCUUGGUGCUGGCAAAGAAAGUAUUGUGCUCUCUGAAGCUGUGCAUGCUGAAGGAACCCUGUGUAGUUGCAGCACUUGGAAGCCUUGGCAGCCUAGGCUUGGGCUUCUGAACUUGAGGCCUCUGCUCCACAUGGUAAUCAUAUUGUGGCCCGAGAGAAGUGGGUGGAACCAUAACUGGCCAUCUAACUGUGACAAGCUAACCUUCACGAUUGAAUGUGUGUUCCAUGGUGUGAGGCCAAGGAGGAGGAACAACGCCAUCCGAGACGAUUGGCAUCAACGUGACUUCAACAUUCUCAUUAGCUUCAGGCUCCACAAUGUCUUUGGCCAUGACUGAGUCAUUGGCUUCAGUGGUGUUGUUGGUGGCACCCUCAGGAUUUUCAACCUCCAUCUGUUCAAGGACUGGAGGGUCGGGCACAGUCACAUUUUCCUCGAGAAUGACUUGAUCACUAGUUGGGGGUGUGGCAACUCUUUCUUCUUCUUUGUCUUCAUCGGCUGAUGCAGCCGGAUUGUCUUCAGCAACUUUGGCUUCGGACUCAGAGGCAUUCGUAGUAGGGGUGGCUUCAGGAAACAAUUGACGUGCGACUGAGCUUUGUUGCACUUCCCCUUCUAGAAUGCUCGACAUGGUGACCUGUGGCCUGGGACCUUUGCGAAGCCUGUGGAACACUGGCGACGCCUUUGGUGAGGGAGUGGUAUGUACCAUGUAGUUGUCGUCAUCAAGCACUGGAGUGGUGACUUGAGGUGGUGGUGUUCUUGGUGUCUCAUCUUGUACUGGGGUGUCUUGUUGUUGGCGCUCCACCCAUGAGUCGUCUUGAGCGAUUGGCGUCAAUGGACGACCAAUGCUUAUGAGUUCACUGCUCGUUAGAGCAGGCGAUGAUACCGACUGGGACUGGAGCUGAGGAAGGACUACAUCAUCAUCAACAUUGUCUUCGUGACCAAUGUCUUCAACUGUGUUGGGGUUAGCAGCUAGAACUUCUUGACUUGCAUGAGCCUCUGUGGAAGCAGGCUCAUGAAUCACAAGACGACGCUCUUGGUUGGUCGAGACAGGAAGAGCGACGGAGAUAGGUUCAACAAUGAGGGGCUCUGGGGCAGCAAUACGCUCUUUCUUUGAAGACUUCGUCUUCAAUUUCUUCGUGGAUGGAGCACCAUCAGAAGUGUCUUUGUGCUUACGCUUCCUGGCUUCGGCUUCAGCUGCCCUUGUCUUCUUCAGCUCUGAAGCUGCUGAGGUGACCUUAGGCUUCGAGCCAGUCAUACUGGCAGGGAAGACAAUGUGAGGUUCUUCCUGCCUUGGUGCUUUGGUUUGGGCAGCAACAGACUUCUUCUUUUGCUUGGCAGCCAUCAUGGGGUCAAUGCCAGGACGCCGAAGAGUCUUUCGCUUUUCAGCUUCAUUAUGGGCUUGAACACAUUUCUGCGCAUAGUACUUCAUGCGCUCGGGAGAGCCUUUGGCUUCUUCCCUCUUCUUGUGAACUCUUCCUUAAGAUCAUGCAGCAUCUUCUUGAAGAUUUGCACAUCAGCCACACUGAGCUUGUCCAUGUGCUUCUUGAAAUGUGCCUUUUCGUGAUCAAUCUUGUUCUUGAGCUCGAUGAUUUUCUGAGCCAAGGCCAAUUCAUUGGCAAUGGCUCCAUGGAAUGUGAUGCUGAUGUCCACGGGCAGCUGAAGGUCAUCAAUACUGAUGCUCUGGUCAUCAAAACCACUCAUUAAUGAAGUUGUUCAAAAUAUCAACGUCAAAGAGGGGCAGAUCAUUGAAGAUCUCCACCUCUUGCUUGCUCUUGAUCAGCAUCUCAAGUGCUUCAUUACCAAGAUCUUCAUUGCUAGACAAAUCAAUGGUGUCUUCUCGUUGCGUAGAAUAGCAGCAGGAGUCAGUUCAUGCCCAGAAAUCUUCUUGGGCAUCUUGGUCUUCUUGGUCUUCUUGGAGACACGAGACAAAUCUUCAGACUACACACUGGGUUCAGGAGGUGCAGUCUUCAGCGGCUUCACAGUCGAAGCGUUUGGUGUGGCAGAGGGCUUUGAAGCUUUUGACUUCUUUUUCUUCUGCUUUGGUGGAGCUGGCGCAUCUUCGGAGUUUGCAUCAUUAGCUGAUUGCUCCACUGUGGCCCUCUGAGCAGCAAUGUGGGAGAGGAGCCCAUCGAAGCUAGUGAGUGGGCCGAUGACCUCGGAUUGGCAUCGCGAGUGCCAUCCUGCCUUGGUGCAGAUGGACCAGGGUUGAAGUUGAGUCCAAAAUCCUUUUUGUUCUUUGCAGCUAACUCUUUGGCAAACUGAUAGUUGCGCUUGAAGAGAUUGUCUUCAUGACACCAUAACAUGGAUGAUGGGUCGACAUUCUCAGGCUUCGGUCCUCGGACCAUGCAUGGAUAGAAACCUUGAGCAAUGGCUUCAGGCUUCAAUUUUGGCUGCAGAUUCUAGUACAGAAUGUCGCCCCAUGGGCACUUGAUGGCGUUCUUCUCAGCAUAUUCAGUAGUGAUGAAGUUGUACUUGAACCACUGUUCUGCCCAAUAUCUAAGAAUCCAUUGGAUUCGGGUCUUUCGCUGAUUGUAGUUCUCCUCAGGAUCAGUUUUGUACAAUUCAUGCAGAUCCGGAGGUAGAUCUAGAGCUGUAUUGCCUUGGCGCUGCCUGCCACCUUUCCGAGCAGACUUCUCUAUGGCCAUGAUAUUUAAGCAGAUGGGCUUCAGAACAGUGAAAGGCUUCUGUCUACUGGUCAGACAAGAACUGGCUUCAGGGGAGUGAAUAUGAUGAUGUAAGAACUCUCCAAAUGAAUGCAGACUAUGAGAACCAAGGGAUUCUCCCAUGGACAUGUACCUGUGAUAGCAUUAAAGGUGAGAGGGAAGGGGAAGAGGUCAUAUGCAUUCUUAGAAGAUUUUGAAGAUAAAUCAGUUUGAAGACAUUGACCUCAUAGAGCGAAGACAUUCACUUAUUUGAAGGGAGUUGGUUCCAGAUUUAUACAAAUCCAUUAAUAAGUACAAGUGAGGAAUCUAACUAGUUAUGAAGCAUAAGUGAAUAUCCUUUGCAUGAUAUGAGACACAGUCAAAGACAGAUCCAGAUUUGAAAGUCUAGAAACCACUUCUGAUUGAAGUGGAUGGGUUUGACGGAUCAAAAAGACAGUAAAAAGUGAGAUUUAAUUACCGCUGACGAACUGCUAGACGAGGCAGAGAAAGAAGCCGAGCAGUUCAAUCUCCUGCGCCCUAACUUGGCGGCGGAGGACACCUACAGCGGCGGCAGAGAGGACGAGGUACGCGGCUGGCGUGAGGAUGGCGUCGAAGAAGUCGCGGCAGCUAAGCGCUUCGUCUCCGGCGUCGACGCGAGCUAGCGGAGGCGCUGGGGUUUGAGCAAGGUGGCGAGGUGGAAGAAAGGAUAAUGACCGCAUGGGUGAGUAUUUAUAAGGUAGAGGACUACACAGCGUAAUUACGCAGGUGCCCCUAGCGGUUCACAUCUGAUGGACACAUGGCGUGCAUGCAACUCAUUUAGAGUUGUCCCAUGUUCCCACGCAUGCCUAGUUUGUUGGGUGGUCGUUCUGGCUUCUCCGGGAUUCAGGCAAAAUAGAUAUAUCAUCGAAAGCAGUCUUAAAUGUGUGUCUCUGUGUCUUCAGCUGACAAGGAUGCAGUGAAGACAUUUGACAAGUUUCAACAUAACGCAUAUGACUAGAUAGAUAGAGUUUGAGGAAGAAGCAUGGAGGGGGUUAGGGUCCGAUCACAUUCACUUAGUUCAGAAAAAUGGCAAGUUCGAAGACAUAUGUAUAUAAGUGAAUGUUGUAGAGGACAAAACACCAUAUACAUAUCAAAAGACUAAAUCAACAUUGCGAAGAUAAACCAUGAAGAUAAAUCAAUGUUGAAGUCAAACUAAAUGCAAAGAUAAUGCAAUCAUGACGCCAGGAGAAUAUCUUAGAGAAAGUUUGGUGGUUGCGCUACCCACCGUAUAGGAAGUAUUAGACCCAGACACGUCGCACAAUUAUCGUAGAGUGUAUGUCUUCAUUGAUUGAAGAUAUACGUUACUUAGUGUGUUGCACAUCUAAGUCAUCAACAUGCAUAAGCAUUAGGAUGUGUGUCCAAUCACAGGACAUUUGAGGAUUCUAAGAUAUUUAGCUCACACCGCAACUUGCAAAACCUUUUCUCAUCCAAGGGCUUUGUGAAGACAUCUGCCAAUUGCUCUUCAGUGUUGACAUUAAUGAUGCCAAUAUCUUCCUUCAUGACAUGAUCUCUGAGAAAGUGACGGAUCUGAAUGUGCUUUGUCUUCGAGUGCUGAACUGGAUUGUUGGCAAUCUUGAUGGCGCUUUCAUUGUCGCAGUAGAGUGGCACAUGCUCCAGGUGGAUGCCAUAGUCCUUGAGAGUUUGCUUCAUCCACAGAAGCUGAGCGCAGCAAGAUCCAGCAGCAAUGUAUUCAGAUUCAGCAGUGGAGAGGGAUACCCAGUUCUGCUUCUUCGAAGACCAACAAACAAGAGAUCAUCCAAGAAAGUGACAUGUGCCUGAUGUGGACUUGCGAUCAACCUUGUCACCAGAAUAAUCAGCAUCUGAGAAUCCAACUAGAUCAAACUCUGAGCCCUUUGGAUACAAUAAUCCAAGUGUUGGGGUGUAAGCCAAAUAUCAAAGAAUUCUCUUCACAGCUAAGUGAUGCGAUUCCCUUGGUGCCGUUUGAAAUCAGGCACACAUGCAAACGCUAAGCGUUAUAUCUGGCCUAGAUGCACAUAAAUAGAGUAAAGAACCAAUCAUGGAGUAGUAUACCUUCUGAUCGAACUCUUUACCAUUGUCGUCGGGACCCAAUUGACCUUUGGUUGGCAUUGGCGUCGUGUACCCUUUGCAGUCUUGCAUUCCAAACUUCUUCAGGCAAUCUUUGAGAUAUUUUUCUUGUGAAAUGAAGAUGCCAUUGCUCUGCUGACGGAUUUGAAGAUUGAAGAAGAAUUUCAGCUCACCCAUCAUGGACAUCUGAUAUUUCUCUUGCAUCAUAUGCCCAAACUCAUCAUUGUAUCUCUUGUCAGUGCAACCGAAGAUAAUGUCAUCCACGUAGAUUUGGCAUACAAACAGUUCACCAUCAUAUGUCUUCGUGAAGAGUGUGGGAUCUAGAGAACCAGGUAUGAAGCCUUUGCUCUUCAAGAAGUCUUUGAGCGUGUCAUACCAAGCUCGAGGUGCUUGUUUGAGGCCAUACAUUGCCUUCUUGAGCUUGUAUACCAUGUCAGGACGCUUUGGAUCUUCAAAACCAGGUGGUUGUGCAACAUACACUUCUUCUUCAAUUUUGCCGUUGAGAAAGGCACUCUUUACAUCCAUUUGGUACAGAAGAAUGUUGUUGUGGUUGGCAUUGGCUAACAGAAUGCGAAUGGCUUCAAGCCUAGCCACAAGAGCAAAUGUUUCAUCGAAGUUAAUCCCUUCAACUUGAUUGUAUCCUUGAGCAAUGAGACGAGCCUUGUUUCCGACGACUUGACCAUGCUCAUAUUGUUUGUUGCGAUAGAUCCAUUUGGUGCCAAUGAUAUUGUGCUUGCGAGGAUCAGGACGCUUAACUAGCUCCCAAACAUUGUUCAGCUCGAACUGUUGAAGCUCUUCUUGCAUAACUUGAAUCCAUUCAGGUUACAUGAAGGCUUCAUCAACUUUCUUGGGUUCAGAUAUAGAGACAAAUGCAAAGUUCCCACAGAAAUUUGCUAGUUGUGUUGCUCUUGAAUGAGUGAGUGGACCAGGUGCAUUGAUGCUAUCAAUUAUCUUCUCAAUAUGUACUUCAUUUGCAACACAAGGAUGAACUGGACGAAGAUUUUGCCCUUGCUGAUCAUUGUCUUCAUCUUCAGCAUUGGCUUCACAGGUUGAUUAGGUGCAGAAAUGAUGGUUUCUUCUUUAGCCUAUGCCUCUGAAGGUAUGAUUUCUCCAGUACCCAUAAGCUUGAUAGAUUCACUUGGUGAGGCUUCAUCUAGCACAUUUGGCAGGUGCUCUCUUUGCGAGCCGUUAGUCUCAUCGAACCGCACAUCCACAGUUUCAACCACUUUAUAAUGAAAGAGGUUGAAGACUCUGUUGGAGUGCGAAUCUGAUACGUCUCCAGCGUAUCUAUAAUUCUUGAUUGUUCCAUGCUAUUAUGUAUUCUGUUUUGGAUGUUUAAUGGGCUUUAUUAUACACUUUUUAUUAUUUUUGGGACUAACCUAUUAACCGGAGGCCCAGCCCAAAUUGUUGUUUUUUUGCCUAUUUUAGUGUUUCGAAGGAAAAUAAUAUCAAACAGAGUCCAAACGGAAUGAAACCUUCGGGAACAUGAUUUUCGGAACAAACGUGAUCCAGAGGACUUGGAGUGGACGUCAAGCAACAGACGAGGAAGCCACGAGGUGGGGGGCGCGCCCUCCACCCUCGUGGGCCCCUCGUGGCUCCACCGACCUACUUCUUCCCCCUAUAUAUACCUACGUACCCCCAAACCAUCAAGGAGCACCACGAAAACCUAAUUCCACCGCUGCAACCUUCUGUACCCAUGAGAUCCCAUCUUGGGGCCUUCUCCGGCGUCCUGCCGAAGAGGGCAUUGAUCACGAAGGGCUUCUACAUCAACAACCAUAGCCUCCCCGAUGAUGUGUGAGUAGUUUACCUCAGACCUUGGGGUCCAUAGUUAUUAGCUAGAUGGCUUCUUCUCUCUCUUUGGAUCUCAAUACAAAGUUCUCCUCGAUUCCCUUGGAGAUCUAUUUGAUGUAACUCUUCUUUGGCGGUGUGUUUGUUGAGAUCCGAUGAAUUCUGGGUUUAUGAUCUAGAUUAUCUAUGAACAAUAUUUGAAUCUCCUCUGAAUUCUUUUAUGUAUGAUUGGUUAUCUUCGCAAGUCUCUUCGAAUUAUCAGUUUGGUUUGGCCUACUAGAUUGAUCUUUCUUGCAAUGGGAGAAGUGCUUAGCUUUGGGUUCAAUCUUGCGGUGCUCGAUCCCAGUGACAGUAGGGGAAAUGACACGUAUUGUAUUGUUGCCAUCGAGGAUAAAAAGAUGGGGUUUAUAUCAUAUUGCAUGAGUUUAUCCCUCUACAUCAUGUCAUCUUGCUUAAAGCGUUACUCUGUUCUUAUGAAAUUAAUACUCUAGAUGCAUGCUGGAUAGCGGUCGAUGUGUGGAGUAAUAGUAGUAGAUGCAGAAUCGUUCCGGUCUACUUGUCACGGACAUGAUGCCUAUAUACAUGAUCAUACCUAGAUAUUCUCAUAACUAUGCUCAAUUCUAUCAAUUGCUUGACAGUAAUUCAUUUACCCACUGUAAUACUUAUGCUAUCUUGAGAGAAGCCACUAGUGAAACCUAUGGCCCCCAGGUCUAUUUUCCAUCAUAUUAAUCUCCCAACAACUAGCUAUUUCUGGCGCCGUUUAUUUUGCUUUCUUUACUUUUACUCUUUACAAUAAAAAUACCAAAAAUAUUAUCUUAUCAUCUCUAUCAGAUCUCACUCUCCUAAGUGACCGUGAAGGGAUUGACAACCCCUUUAUCGCGUUGGUUGCGAGGUUCUUAUUUGUUUGUGUAGGUACGAGGGACUUGCGUGUGGCCUCCUACUGGAUUGAUACCUUGGUUCUCAAAAACUGAGGGAAAUACUUACGCUACUUUACCGCAUCACCCUUUCCUCUUCAAUGGAAAACCAACGCAGUGCUCAAGAGGUAGCAAGAAGGAUUUCUGGCGCCGUUGUCGGGGAGUCUACGCACAAGUCAAGACAUACCUAGUACCCAUCACAAACUCUUAUCCCUCGCAUUACAUUAUUUGCCAUUUGCCUCUCGUUUUCCUCUCCCCCACUUCACCCUUGCCGUUUUAUUCACCCUCUCUUUUUCCGUUCGCCUCUUUUUUUCUCGCUUGCUUCUUGUUCGCUCGUGUGUUGGAUUGCUUGCUUGUCACGAUGGCUCAAGAUAAUACUAAAUUGUGUGACUUUACCAAUACCAACAACAAUUAUUUUCUUAGCACUCCGAUUGCUCCUCUUACCGAUGCUGAAUCUUGUGAAAUUAAUGCUGCUUUGCUGAAUCUUGUCAUGAAAUAUCAAUUCGCCGGCCUUCCUAGUGAAGAUGCCGCUACCCAUCUAAAUAGCUUUGUUGAUUGUGAUAUGCAAAAGAAGAAAGAUGUGGACAAUGAUAUUGUUAAGUUGAAACUAUUUCUGUUUUCGCUUAGAGAUCGUGCUAAAACUUGGUUUUCGUCUUUGCCUAAAAAUAGUAUUGAUUCUUGGAAUAAGUGCAAAGAUGCUUUUAUCUCUAAGUAUUUUCCUCCCGCUAAGAACAUCUCUCUUAGAAACGAUAUUAUGAAUUUUAAGCAACUUGAUCAUGAACAUGUUGCACAAGCUUGGGAGAGGAUGAAAUUAAUGAUACGUAAUUGCCCUACUCAUGGUUUGAAUUAUGGAUGAUUAUACAAAAAAUUAUGCCAGAUUGAAUUUUGCUUCUAGAAAUCUUUUAGAUUCAGUUGCGGGAGGCACUUUUAUGGAAAUCACUUUAGGAGAAGCUACUAAACUCCUAGAUAAUAUUAUGGUUAAUUAUUCUCAAUGGCACACCAAAAGAUCUAAUAGUAAAAAGGUGCAUGCGAUAGAAGAAAUUAAUGUUUUGAGUGGAAAGAUGGAUGAACUUAUGAAAUUGUUUGCUAAUAAGAGUGUUUCUUCUAAUCCUAAUGAUAUGCCCUUGUCUACCUUGAUUGAGAGUAAUAAUGAAUCUCUGGAUGUGAAUUUUGUUGGUAGGAAUAAUUUUGGUAGCAACGCGUAUAGAGGAAACUUUAAUCCUAGGCCGUUCCAUAGUAAUUCCUCUAAUAAUUAUGGUAAUUCCUACAACAAUUCUUAUGGAAAUUUUAAUAAGAUGCCCUCUGAAUUCGAGACUAGUGUUAAAAGUUUAUGAUUUCUCAAAAGAAUUUCAAUGCCUUGCUUGAAGAAAAAUUUCUUAAAGUUGACGAACUGGCUAGGAACGAGGAUAGAAUUUCUCUUGAUGUUGAUUCUUUGAAACUUAGAUCUAUUCCACCUAAGCAUGAUAUCAAUGAGUCUCUCAAAGCCAUGAGAAUAUCCAUUGAUGAGUGCAAAGAAAGAACCGCUAGGAUGCAUGCUAAGAAAGAUUGCUUUGUAAAAGCGUGUUCUUCUAAUUUUUAUGAGAAUAAAAAUGAAGAUCUAAAAGUUAUUGAUGUUUCCCCUAUUAAAUCUUUGUUUUGCAAUAUGAAUCUUGAUAAUGAUGGGACUGGAGAUGAGUCAACUUUAGUUAGAAGGCAUCCCAAAAAUUUGGAGUUUUUAGAUCUUGAUACAAAAUUUGGUAAAAGUGGGAUUGAAGAGGUCAAAACUUUAGAUAUCAAUGAACCCACUAUCUUGGAUUUCAAGGAAUUUAAUUAUGAUAAUUGCUCUUUGAUAGAUUGUAUUUCCUUGUUGCAAUCCGUGCUAAAUUCUCCUCAUGCUUAUAGUCAAAAUAAAGCUUUUACUAAACAUAUCGUUGAUGCUUUAAUGCAAUCUUAUGAAGAAAAACUUGAGUUGGAAGUUUCUAUCCCUAGAAAACUUUAUGAGGAGUGGGAACCUACUAUUGAAAUUAAGAUUAAAGAUCAUGAAUGCUAUGCUUUGUGUGAUUUGGGUGCUAGUGUUUCCACGAUUCCCAAAACUUUGUGUAAUUUGCUAGGUUUCCGUGAAUUUGAUGAUUGUUCUCUAAACUUGCAUCUUGCGGAUUACACCAUUAAGAAACGUAUGGGAAGAAUUAAUGAUGUUCUUAUUGUUGCAAAUAGGAACUAUGUGCCCGUAGAUUUUAUUGUUCUUGAUAUAGAUUGCAAUCCUUCAUGUCCUAUUAUUCUUGGUAGACCUUUCUUUAGAACGAUUGGUGCAAUUAUUGAUAUGAAGGAAAGGAAUAUUAGAUUCCAAUUUCUGUUAAGGAAAGGCAUGGAACACUUCCCUAGAAAUAAUAUUAAAUUACCAUAUGAAUCUAUUAUGAGAGCCACUUAUGGAUUGCCUACCAAAGAUGGCAAUACCUAGAUCUAUCCUUGCUUUUAUGCGUAGCUAAGGGCUUUAAACGAUAGCGCUUGUUGGAAGGCAACCCUAUUUUAUUUUAGUUUUUUUUUUUACUUUUUUGCUUCUGUUUAGGAAUAAAUCUUUGAUCCAGCCUCUGGUUUGAUUUGUUUUUGUGUUUUAAUUAGUGUUUGUGCCAAGUUAAACCUAUAGGAUCUUCUUGGAUGAUAGUUAUUUGAUCUUGCUGAAAAUUCCAGAAACUUUCUGUUCACGAAAACAAUUUUUAAAAAUCACCAGAAUGUUAUAAAAUACUGAUUCCAAUUGAAGUAGAUAACUAAACAAAUUAUCUAAGUCGUCCUAUUUUGGUGGAUUUUUCUGAGUUCCAGAAGUUUGCGUUAGUUACAGAUUACUACAGACUGUUCUGUUUUUGACAGAUUCUGUUUUUCGUGUGUUGUUUGCUUAUUUUGAUGAAUCUAUGGCUAGUAAAAUAGUUUAUAAACCAUAGAGAAGUUGGAAUACAGUAGGUUUACCACCAAUAUAAAUAAAUAAUGAUUUCAUUACAGUACCUUGAAGUGGUGUUUUGUUUUCUUCCGCUAACGGAGCUCAUGAGAUUUUCUGUUAAGUUUUGUGUUGUGAAGUUUUCAAGUUUUGGGUAAGGAUUUGAUGGAUUAUGGAAUAAGGAGUGGCAAGAGCCUAAGCUUGGGGAUACCCAAGGCACCCCAAUAUAAAUCUAAGGACACCAAAAAGCCAAAGCUUGGGGGUGCCCCGGAAGGCAUCCCCUCUUUCGUCUUCGUCCAUCGGUAACGUUACUUGGAGCUAUAUUUUUAUUCACCACAUGAUAAGUGUUUUGCUUGGAGCGUCUUGUAUGAUUUGAGUCUUUACUUUUUAGUUUACCAUAAUCAUCCUUGCUAUACACACCUUUUGAGAGAGACACACGUGAUUCGGAAUUUAUUAGAAUACUCUAUGUGCUUCACUUAUAUCUUUUGAGCUAUAUAGUUUUUGCUCUAGUGCUUCACUUAUAUCUUUUAGAGCACGGCGGUGGUUUUGUUUUAUAGAAACUAUUGAUCUCUUAUGCUUCACUUAUAUUAUUUUGAGAGUCCUACAAAACAGCAUGGUAAUUUGCUUAAAUUGAGAUGGUAGUCCUAAUACGAUAGGCAUCCAAGAUUAGUAAAAACUUUCUUAUAAGUGUGUUGAAUACUAAGAGAAGUUUGAUACUUGAUAAUUGUUUUGAGAUAUGAAGAUGGCGAUAUUAGAGUCAUGCUAGUUGAGUAGUUGUGAAUUUGAGAAAUACUUGUGUUAAAGUUUGUGAUUCCCGUAGCAUGCACGUAUGGUGAACCGUUAUGUGAUGAAGUUGGAGCAUGAUUUAUUUAUUGAUUAUCUUCCUUAUGAGUGGCGGUCGGGGACGAGCGAUGGUCUUUUCCUACCAAUCUAUCCCCCUAGGAGCAUGCGCGUAAUACUUUGUUUCGAUAACUAAUAGAUUUUUGCAAUAAGUAUGUGAGUUCUUUAUGACUAAUGUUGAGUCCAUGGAUUAUACGCACUCUCACCCUUCCACCAUUGCUAGCCUCUCUAAUACCGCGCACUUUUCGCCCAUAUCAUACACCCACCAUAUACCUUCCUCAAAACAGCCACCAUACCCACCUAUUAUGGCAUUUCCAUAGUCAUUCCGAGAUAUAUUGCCAUGCAACUUACCAUCGUUCCGUUUACUAUGACACGCUCCAUCAUUGUCAUAUUGCUUUGCAUGAUCAUGUAGUUGACAACGUAUUUGUGGCAAAGCCACCAUUCAUCAUUUGUCACUCUUGAUUCAUUGCAUAUCCCGGUACACCGCCGAGGCAUUCACAUAGAGUCAUACUCUAUUCUAAGUAUUGAGUUGUAAGUAAAUAAAAGUGUGAUGAUCAUCAUUAUUAGAGCAUUGUCCCAUGUGAGGAAAGGAUGAUGGAGACUAUGAUUCCCCCACAAGUCGAGAUGAGACUCUGGACUAAAUAAAAAAGAGAAGGCCAAAAGAAAGAAAGGAAGGCCCAAAAAAAUAUGAGAGAAAAAGAGAGAAGGGACAAUGCUACUAUCCUUUUUUCACACUUGUGCUUCAAAGUAGCACCAUGAUCUUUAUGAUAGAGAGUCUCUUGAUUUGUCACUUUCAUAUACUAGUGGGAAUUUUUCAUUAUAGAACUUGGCUUGUAUAUUCCAAUGAUGGUCUUCCUCAAAAUGCCCUAGGUCUUGUGAGCAAGCAAGUUGGAUGCACACUCACUUAGUUUCUUUUGUUGAGCUUUCAUACACUUAUAGCUCUAGUGCAUCCGUUGCAUGGCAAUCCCUACUCACUCACAUUGAUAUCUAUUAAUGGGCAUAUCCAUAGCCCAUUGAUAUGCCUAGUUGAUGUGAGACUAUCUUCUCCUUUUUUGUCUUCUCCACAACCACCAUUCUAUUCCACAUAUAGUGCUAUGUCCUUGGCUCACGCUCAUGUAUUGCGUGAAUAUUGAAAAAGUUUGAGAACAUCAAAAGUAUGAAACAAUUGCUUGGUUUGUCCUCGGGGUUGUGCAUGAUUAAAUACUUUGUGUCAUGAAGAUAGAGCAUAGCCAGACUAUAUGCUUUUGUAGGGAUAACUUUCUUUGGCCAUGUUAUUUUGAGAAGACAUGAUUGCUUAGUUAGUGUGCUUGAAGUAUUAUUAUUUUUAUGUCAAUACUAAACCUUUAUCAUGAAUCUUUCGGACCUGAAUAUUCAUACCACAAAUAAGAGAAUUACAUUAAGGAAUAUGCUAGGUAGCAUUCCACAUCAAAAAUUCUGUUUUUAUCAUUUACCUACUCGAGGACGAGCAGGAAUUAAGCUUGGGGAUGCUUGAUACGUCUCCAACGUAUCUAUAAUUUUUUAUUGUUCCAUGCUAUUAUAUAUUCUGUUUUGGAUGUUUAAUGGGAUUUAUUAUACACUUUUAUAUUAUUUUUGGGACUAACCUAUUAACCGGAGGCCCAGCCCAAAUUGUUUUUUUUCCUAUUUCAGUGUUUCGAAGGAAAAGAAUAUCAAAUGGAGUCCAAAUGGAAUGAAACCUUCGGGAACGUGAUUUUCGGAAUAAACGUGAUCCAGAGGACUUGGAGUGGAUCUCAAGCAACAGACGAGGAAGCCACGAGGUAGGGGGACGCGCCUACCCCCCCAGGACGCGCCCUCCACCCUCAUGGGCCCCUCGUGGCUCCACUGACCUACUUCUUCCUCCUAUAUAUACCUACGUAACCCCAAACCAUCGAGGAGCACCACGAAAACCUAAUUCCACCGCCGCAACCUUCUGUAUCCGUGAGAUCCCAUCUUGGGGCAUUCUCCGGCGUCCUGCCGGAGGGGGCAUUGAUCAUGGAGGGCUUCUACAUCAACACCAUAGCCUCUCCGAUGAUGUGUGAGUAGUUUACCUCAGGCCUUCGGGUCCAUAGUUAUUAGCUAGAUGGCUUCUUCUCUCUCUUUGGAUCUCAAUACAAAGUUCUCCUCGAUUCCCUUGGAGAUCUAUUUGAUGUAACUCUUCUUUUUGCAGUGUGUUUGUCGAGAUCUGAUGAAUUGUGGGUUUAUGAUCCAGAUUAUCUAUGAACAAUAUUUGAAUCUCCUCUGAAUUCUUUUAUGUAUGAUUGAUUAUCUUUGCAAGUCUCUUCGAAUUAUCAGUUUGGUUUGGCCUACUAGGUUGAUCUUUCUUGCAAUGGGAGAAGUGCUUAGCUUUGGGUUCAAUCUUGUGGUGCUCGAUCCCAGUGACAGUAGGGGAAACGACACGUAUUGUAUUGUUGUCAUCGAGGAUAAAAAGAUGGGGCUUUUAUCAUAUUUCAUAAGUUUAUCCCUCUACAUUAUGUUAUCUUGCUUAAAGUGUUACUUUGUUCUUAUGAACUUAAUACUCUAGAUGCAUGCUGGAUAGCGGUCGAUGUGUGGAGUAAUAGUAGUAGAUGCAGAAUCGUUUCAGUCUACUUGUCACGGACGUGAUGCCUAUAUACAUGAUCAUACCUAGAUAUUCUCAUAACUAUGCUCAAUUCUAUCAAUUGCUCGACAGUAGUUCGUUUACCCACCGUAAUACUUAUGCUAUCUUGAGAGAAGCCACUAGUGAAACCUAUGGCCCCCGGGUCUAUUUUCCAUCAUAUUAAUCUCCCAACAACUAGCUAUUUCUGGCGUCGUUUAUUUUGCUUUCUUUACUUUUACUCUUUACCAUAAAAAUACCAAAAAUAUUAUCUUAUCAUCUCUAUUAGAUCUCACUCUCGUAAGUGACCGUGAAGGGAUUGACAACCCCUUUAUCGCGUUGGUUGCGAGGUUCUUAUUUGUUUUUUGCAGGUACGAGGGACUUGCGUGUGGCCUCCUACUGGAUUGAUACCUUGGUUCUCAAAAACUGAGGGAAAUACUUACGCUACUUUACUGCAUCACCCUUUCCUCUUCAAGGGAAAACCAACGCAGUGCUCAAGAGGUAGCAGAAUCCUUUCCGUAGGCAAGCAUAAAACCAUCAUGUGCUUUGGGUGCAAAUUUUGAAGUGUGAUGUGGAUCCUUGAUCCAGCACCUAGCACCAAAUACUCUGAAGUAGCUGACAUUUGGCUUCUUACCAGUCAGGAGCUCAUAAGAUAUCUUCUUUAGAAGCUUGUGAAGAUAAACACAGUUGAUGACGUGGCAUGCCGUCUCAAUGGCUUCAGGCCAGAAUUUCCUUGGAGUCUUGUACUCAUCAAGCAUCAUCCGUUCCAUCUCAAUGAGGGUUCUGUUCUUGUGCUCCAUGAUGCCAUUCUACUGAGGUGUGUAUGGAGCUCAGAACUCAUGUGUGAUGCCCAAUGUAUCAAGAUAAGUGUCGAGGCCGGUGUUCUUGAAUUCUAUGUCGUUGUCACUUCUGAUGUGCUUGAUCUUGAUGCCAUAGUUGGUCAUGGCGCGAUUGGCGAAUUGUCUGAAGACAUCCUGCACUUCAUUCUUGUAGAGGAUUAUGUGCACCCAUGUAUAUCUUGAGUAAUCAUCAACAAUAAUGAAGCCAUUGAGGUAAGUAGUGGUAGUAAGGGUAGAGUAGUGAGUAGGGCCAAAUAAGUCCAUGUGAAGCAGCUCGAAGGGAUGUGUCGUUGUCAUGAUUGUCUUUGAGGGAUGCUUGGCCCUAGUCAUCUUUCCAGCUUCGCAGGCACCAGAAAUAUGAUCCGUCUUGAACUUGACACCCUCGAUGCCUACGACAUGCUUCUUCUUUGCGAGAGUGUACAAGUUCCUCAUGCUAGCAUGCCCUAGCCUCCGAUGCCAGAGCCAACAUUCUGAAGCGUUUUCUAGAAGACAUACGGCCGUCUGUGGUCCUACAGAGAAAUCUACCAUAUACAGAUCAUCUUUUCGAUACCCUUCAAAGACUAGAGAUUUGUCAGAUUCCAUAAGCACAAGGCAACGAUAUUUUCCAAAUAUCACAAUCAUAUUCAGAUCACAAAGCAUUGAGACAGACAUUAAGUUGAAACCAAGGGAUUCAACAAGCAUCACUUUAUCCAUGUGCUGAUCCUUUGAGAUUGCAACUCUACCUCGACCCAAUACCUUGCUUUUACCAGUGUCAGCAAAUGUGAUGUGACUCUUGUCAGACGGACAUAGGGUUGAAUCCAUGAGAAGACUUCGAUCACCAGUCAUGUGGUUAGUGCAUUGCUACCUCUUGAGCUUGUGUUGGAUUUCCCCGAAGAGGAGAGGAUGAUGCAGCAGAGUAGCGUAAGUAUUUCCCUCAGUUUUUGAGAACCAAGGUAUCAAUCCAGUAGGAGGCGACGCGCAAGUCCCUCGUACCUACACAAAAGCAAUAGCUCCUCGCAACCAACGUGAUUGGGGGUUAUCAAUCCCUUCACGGUCACUUACGAGAGUGAGAUCUGAUAGAGAUGAUAGAUAAUAUUUUUGGUAUUUUUGAUAUAGAGAUGCAAAGCAAAAAGUAAAACGCAAAGCAAGAUUAAAGUGAUGGAGAUUGAUAUGAUGAGAAUAGACCCGGGGGCCAUAGGUUUCACGAGUGGCUUCUCUCAAGAGCAUAAGUAUUCUACAGUGGGUGAACAAAUUACUGUUGAGCAAUUGACAGAAUUGAGCAUAGUUAUGAGAAUAUCUAGGUAUGAUCAUGUAUAUAGGCAUCACGUUCGAGACAAGUAGAUCGACUCCUGCCUGCAUCUACUACUAUUACUCCACUCAUCGACCGCUAUCCAGCAUGCAUCUAGAGUAUUAAGUUAAAAACAGAGUAACAGCUUAAGCAAGAUGACAUGGUGUAGAGAGAUAAAUUCAUGCAAUAUGAAAUAAACCCCAUCUUGUUAUCCUCGAUGGCAACAAUACAAUACGUGCCUUGCUGCCCCUUCUGUCACUAGGAAAGGACACCGCAAGAUCGAACCCAAAGCUAAGCACUUCUCCCAUGGCAAGAACUACCAAUCUAGUUGGCCAAACCAAAUGGAUAAUUCGAAGAGACUUGCAAUGAUAACGAAUCAUACAUAAAAGAAUUCAGAGAAGAUUCAAAUAGUAUUCAUAGAUAGACUUGAUCAUAAACCCACAAUUCAUCGGUCUCAACAAACACACCGUGAAAAUAAGAUUACAUCGAAUAGAUCUCCACAAGAGAGGGGGAGAACAUUGUAUUGAGAUCCAAAAGGAGAGAAGAAACCAUCUAGCUACUAACUAUGGACCCGAAGGUUUGAGGUAAACUACUCACACUUCAUCGGAGAGGCUAUGAUGAUGUAGAAGCCCUCCGUAAUGACGGCCCUCUCCGGCGGAGCUCUGGAACAGGCCCCAAGAUGGGAUCUCAUGGAUACAGAAAGUUGCGGCGGUGGAAUUAGGUUUUUGGCUCCGUCUCUGAUCGUUUGGGGGUACAUAGGUAUAUAUAGGAGGAAGAAGUACGUCGGUGGAGCUUCGAUGGGCCCACAAGGGUGGGGGCNNNNNNNNNNNNNNNNNNNNNNNNNNNNNNNNNNNNNNNNNNNNNNNNNNNNNNNNNNNNNNNNNNNNNNNNNNNNNNNNNNNNNNNNNNNNNNNNNNNNNNNNNNNNNNNNNNNNNNNNNNNNNNNNNNNNNNNNNNNNNNNNNNNNNNNNNNNNNNNNNNNNNNNNNNNNNNNNNNNNNNNNNNNNNNNNNNNNNNNNNNNNNNNNNNNNNNNNNNNNNNNNNNNNNNNNNNNNNNNNNNNNNNNNNNNNNNNNNNNNNNNNNNNNNNNNNNNNNNNNNNNNNNNNNNNNNNNNNNNNNNNNNNNNNNNNNNNNNNNNNNNNNNNNNNNNNNNNNNNNNNNNNNNNNNNNNNNNNNNNNNNNNNNNNNGGCGUAGGGUCCAAGUCUCCUAGGUCAUAUUCGGUGAGAAAAUCACGUUCCCGAAGGUUUUAUUCCGUUUGGACUCCGUUUGAUAUUCCGUUUCUUCGAAACACUGAAAUAGGCAAAAAAACAGCAAUUCUGGGCUGGGCCUCCAGUUAAUAGGUUAGUCCCAAAAAUAAUAUAAAAGUGGAAAAUAAAGCCCAAUAUAAUCCAAAACAGUAGAUAAUAUAGCAUGGAGCAAUCAAAAAUUAUAGAUAUGUUGGAGACGUAUCAGGCAUCCCCAAGCUUAAUUCCUGCUCGUCCUCGAGUAGGUAAAUGAUAAAAAGAGAAUUUUUGAUGCGGAGUGCUACUUGGCAUAAUUUCAAUGCAAAUAUUCUUAAUUGUGGUAUGAAUAUUCAGAUUCGAAAGAUUCAAGACAAAAGUUCAUGUUGACAUAAAAACAAUAAUACUUCAAGCAUACUAAUAAAGCAAUUAUGUCUUCUCAAAAUAACAUGGCUAAAGAAAGUUAUCCCUACAAAAUCAUAUAGGCUGGUGCUCUAUUUUCACCACACAAAGUAUUUAAAUCAUGCACAACCCUAAUGACAAGCCAAGCAAUUGUUUCAUACUUUAACAUUUUCAAAACUUUUUCAAUCUUCACGCAAUACAUGAGCGUGAGUCAUGGACAUAGCACUAUAUAUGGAAUAGAAUGGUGGUUGUGGAGAAGACAAAAGGGGAGAAGAUAGUCUCACAUCAACUAGGCGUAUGAACGGGCUAUGGAGAUGCCCAUCAAUAGAUAUCAAUGUGAGUGAGUAGGGAUUGCCAUGCAACGGAUGCACUAGAGCUAUAAGUAUAUGAAAGCUCAUCAAAAGAAACUAAGUGGGUGUGCAUCCAACUUGCUUGCUCACGAAGACCUAGGGAAAUUUGAGGAAGCCCAUCAUUGGAAUAUACAAGCCAAGUUCUAUAAUGAAAAAUUCCCGCUAGUAUAUGAAAGUGACAAAAUGAGAGACUCUCUAUAAGAUCAUGGUGCUACUUUGAAGCACAAGUGUGGUAAAAGGAUAGUAACAUUGUCCCUUCUCUCUUUUUCUCUCAUUUUUUUAUUUGGGCCUUUUUUAUGGCCUCUUUUUUUAUUUUAUUUUAUUUUUCGUCCGGAGCCUCAUCCCGACUUAUGGGGGAAUCAUAGUCUCCAUCAUCCUUUCCUCACUUGGGAAAAUGCUCUAAAAAUUGAUGAUCAUCACACUUUUAUUUUUCUAACAACUCAACAAUUACAACUCGAUACUUAGAACAAAUAUGACUCUAUAUGAAUGCCUCCGGCAGUGUACCGGGAUAUGCAAUGAAUCAAGAGUGACAUGUAUGAAAGAAUUAUGAACGGUGGCUUUGCCAUGAAUACGAUGUCAACUACAUGAUCAUGCUAGCAAUAUGACAAUGAUGGAGCACGUCAUAAUAAACGGAACGGUGGAAAGUUGCAUGGCAAUAUAUCUCGGAAUGGCUAUGGAAAUGCCAUGAUAGGUAGGUAUGGUGGCUGUUUUGAGGAAGGUAUAUGGUGGGUGUAUGAUACCGGCGAAAAGUGCGCGGUAUUAGAGAGGCUAGCAAUGGUGGAAGGAUGGGAAAAAGUGCGUAUAAUCCAUGGACUCAACAUUAGUCAUAGAGAACUCAUAUACUUAUUGCAAAAAUCUAGAAGUUAUCAAAGCAAAGUAUUACGCGCAUGCUCCUAGGGGGACAGAUUGGUAGGAAAAGACCAUCGCUCGUCCCCGACCGCCACUCAUAAGGAAGACAAUCAAUAAAUAAAUCAUGCUCCGACUUCAUCACAUAACGGUUCACCAUACGUGCAUGCUACGGGAAUCACAAACUUUAACACAAGAAUUUCUCAAAUUCACAAAUACUCAACUGGCAUGACUCUAAUAUCACCAUCUUCAUAUCUCAAAACAAUUAUCAUGCAUCAAUCUUUUCUUAGUAUUCAACGUACUAAAAAGAAGUUUCACAAAUCUUGAAUACCAAGCAUAUUAUUAUUAAGCAAAUUACCAUGCUAUUAAGACUCUCAAGAUAAUCUAAGUGAAGCAUGAGAGAUCAAUAGUCUCUUUAAAACAAACCACCACCGUGCUCUAAAAGAUCUAAGUGAAGCACAUAGAGCAAAAUUAUAACGCUCGAAAGAUAUAAGUGAAGCACAUAGAGCAAAACUACAUAGCUCAAAAGACCAAGAAUUCUACCAAAAUUAGACAACCUAGACAAUUUGUUUAUUGAUCAGCAGAAAUUGGAAUCAGUAUUUUAUCACGUUCUGGUGAUUUUUAAGAAUUCGGGCACUGAGCACAAAGUUUCUGGAAAUUACAGCAAGAUCAAAUAACUAUCAUCCAAGAAGAUCCAAUAGGUCUAACUUGGCACAAACACUAAUUAAAACACGAAAGCACAUCCAAACUGAAGGUAGAUGGAUUAUUUAUUCCCUAACAGAAGAAAAACACAAAAAACUAAAAAUAAAAUUGGGUUGCCUCCCAACAAGCGCUAUCGUUUAACGCCCCUAGCUAGGCAUAAAAGCGAGGAUAGAUCUAGGUAUUGCCAUCUUUGGUAGGCAAUCCAUAAGUGGCUCUCAUGAUAGUUUCAUAUGGAAAUUUUAUUUUCUUUCUAGGAAAGUGUUCCAUGCCCUUUUUUAAUGGAAAUUGGAAUCUAAUAUUCCCUUCCUUCCUAUCAAUAAUCGCACCAACUGUUCUAAGGAAAGGUCUACCAAGAAUAAUAGGGCAAGAAGGAUUGCAAUCUAUAUCAAGAACGAUGAAAUCUACGGGCACAUAAUUCCUAUUUGCAACAAUAAGAACAUCUUUAAUCCUUCCCAUAGGUUUCUUAAUAGUGGAAUCCGCAAGAUGCAAGUUUAGAGAGCAAUCAUCAAAAUCACGGAAAUCUAGCAAAUCACACAAAGUUUUGGGGAUAGUGGAGACACUAGCACCCAAAUCACACAAAGCAUAAAACUCGUGAUCUUUAAUUUUAGUUUUAGUAGUAGGUUCCCACUCAUCAUAGAGUUUUCUAGGGAUAGAGACAUUCAACUCAAGUUUUUCUUCAUAAGAUUGCAUCACGGCGUCAACAAUAUGUUCGGUAAAGGCUUUCUUUUGACUAUAAGCAUGAGGAGAAUUUAGCACGGAUUGCAACAAGGAAAUACAAUCAAUUAAAGAGCAACUUUCAUAAUUAAAUUCCUUGAAUUCCAAUAUAGUGGGUUUAGCAACAUCUAGGGUUUUAUUUCUUUCAAUCCCACUUUCAUCAAUUUCAUCAUAGAGAUCUAAAUACUCUGAAUUUUUGGAACGCCUUCUAGGUAAAGGAAGAUCAUAUUCAGUUUCAUCAAGAUUCAUAUUGCAAAACAAAGAUUUGAUAGGGGACACAUCAAUAACUUUUAGAUCUUCAUCUUGAUUUUCAUAGGAAUUGGAAGAACACGCUUUAAUAAAGGCAUCUUUCGUAGCACGCAUCCUAGCGGUUCUUUCCUUGCACUCAUCAAUGGAAAUUCUCAUAGCUUUGAGAGACUCAUUGAUAUCAUGCUUAGGAGGAAUAGAUCUAAGCUUUAAAGAAUCAACCUCAAGAGAAACUCUAUCAACGUUCCUAGCCAAAUCAUCAACUUUAAGAAAUUUCUCUUCAAGGAAAGCAUUAAAAUUCUUUUGUGAAUUCAUAAACUCUUUGACACUACUCUCAAAUUCAGAGGGCAUCUUAUUAAAAUUUCCAUAAGAAUUGUUGUAGGAAUUUCCAUAAUUAGAAGGAUUACUAGGAUAAGGCCUAGGAUUAAAAUUCCCUCUAUAUGCGUUGUUACCAAAAUUAUUCCUACCAACAAAAUUCACAUCCAUAGAUUCAUUAUUAUUUUCAAUCAAAGUAGACAAAGGCAUAUCAUUAGGAUCAGAAGAAACACUUUUAGUAGCAAAUAAUUUCAUAAGUUCAUCCAUCUUUCCACUCAAAACAUUAAUUUCUUUUAUCGCAUGCACUUUUUUAUUAGAAGAUCUUUCAGUAUGCCAUUGGGAAUAAUUAACCAUAAUAUUAUCUAGGAGUUUAGUAGCAUCUCCUAAAGUGAUUUCCAUAAAAGUGCCUCCCGCGGCCUAAUCUAAAAGAUUUCUAGAAGCAAAAUUCAAUCCGGCAUAAAAAUUUUGUAUAAUCAUCCACAAAUUCAAACCAUGAGUAGGGCAAUUACGUAUCAUUAAUUUCAUUCUCUCCUAAGCUUGUGCAACAUGUUCAUGAUCAAGUUGCUUAAAAUUCAUAAUGUCGUUUCUAAGAGAGAUGAUCUUAGCGGGAGGAAAAUACUUAGAGAUAAAAGCAUCUUUGCACUUGUUCCAAGAAUCAAUACUAUUUUUAGGCAAAGACGAAAACCAAGCUUUAGCACGAACUCUAAGCGAAAAAGGAAAUAGCUUCAAUUUAACAACGUCAUUAUCAACAUCUUUUUUCUUUUGCAUAUCACAUAAAUCAACGAAGCUAUUCAGAUGAGUAGCAGCAUCUUCACUAGGAAGGCCGGCGAAUUGAUCUUUCAUAACAAGAUUCAACAAAGCAGUAUUGAUUUCACAAGAUUCAGUAUUGGCAAGAGGAGCAAUCGGAGUGCUAAGGAAAUCAUUAUUGUUGGUAUUGGUGAAGUCACACAAUUUGGUAGUAUCUUGAGCCAUCGCGACAAACAAGCAAUCCAACACACGAGCAAACAAAAGGCAGGCGAGAAAAAAGGAAAACGGAGAAAGAGGAGGAGGAGGAGAAGGAGAAAGAGAAGGCGAAUAAAACGGCAAGGGUGAAGUGGGGGAGAGGAAAAUGAGAGGCAAAUGGCAACUAAUGUAAUGCGGGAGAUAGGGAUUGUGAUGGUUACUUGGUAUGUUGACUUUUUUUGCGUAGACUCCCCGACAAUGGCGCCAUAAAUUCUUCUUGCUACCUCUUGAGCUUGCCUUGGAUUUCCCCGAAGAGGAGAUUUGAUGCCGUAGAGUAGCGUAAGUAUUUCCCUCAGUUUUUGAGAACCAAGAUAUCAAUCCAGUAGGAGGCCACGCGCAAGUCCCUCGUACCUACACAAAAGCAAUAGCUCCUCGCAACCAACGCGAUUAGGGGUUGUCAAUCCCCUCACGGUCACUUACGAGAGUGAGAUCUGAUAGAGAUGAUAGAUAAUAUUUUUGGUAUUUUUGAUAUAGAGAUGCAAAGCAAAAAGUAAAAGGCAAAGUAAAAAGCAAAGCAAGAUUAAAGUGAUGGAGAUUGAUAUGAUGAGAAUAGACCCGGGGGCCAUAGGUUUCACUAGUGGCUUCUCUCAAGAGCAUAAGUAUUCUACGGUGGGUGAACAAAUUACUGUUGAGCAAUUGACAGAAUUGAGCAUAGUUAUGAGAAUAUCUAGGUAUGAUCAUGUAUAUAGGCAUCACGUCCGAGACAAGUAGAUCGACUCCUGCCUGCAUCUACUACUAUUACUCCACUCAUCGACCGCUAUCCAGCAUGCAUCUAGAGUAUUAAGUUAAAAAUAGAGUAACGCCUUAAGCAAGAUGACAUGAUGUAGAGAGAUAAAUUCAUGCAAUAUGAAAUAAACCCCAUCUUGUUAUCCUCGAUGGCAACGAUACAAUACGUGCCUUGCUGCCCCUUCUGUCACUGGGAAAGGACACCGCAAGAUCGAACCCAAAGCUAAGCACUUCUCCCAUGGCAAGAACUACCAAUCUAGUUGGCCAAACCAAACGGAUAAUUCGAAGAGACUUGCAAUGAUAACCAAUCAUACAUAAAAGAAUUCAGAGAAGAUUCAAAUAUUAUUCAUAGAUAGACUUUAUCAUAAACCCACAAUUCAUCGGUCUCAACAAACACACCACAAAAAGAAGAUUACAUCAAAUAGAUCUCCACAAGAGAGGGGGAGAACAUUGUAUUGAGAUCCAAAAAGAGAGAAGAAGCCAUCUAGCUACUAACUAUGGACCCGAAGGUCUGAGGUAAACUACUCACACUUCAUCGGAGAGGCUAUGAUGAUGUAGAAGCCCUCCGUGAUGACGGCCCUCUUCGGCAGAGCUCCGGAACAGGCCCCAAGAUGGGAUCUCGUGGAUACAGAAAGUUGCGGCGGUGGCAUUAGGUUUUUGGCUCUGUCUCUGAUCGUUUGGGGGUAUGUAGGUAUAUAUAGGAGGAAGAAGUACGUCGGUGGAGCUUCGGUGGGCCCACGAGGGUGGGGGCCGCGCCUGGGGGUAGGGCGCGCCCCCCUACCUCAUGCCCACCUCGAAGCUUCCUUGGCAUAGGGUCCAAGUCUCGUGGGUCAUAUUCGGUGAGAAAAUCACGUUCCCGAAGGUUUUAUUCCAUUUGGACUCCGUUUGAUAUUCUGUUUCUUCGAAACACUGAAAUAGGCAAAAAAACAGCAAUUCUGGGCUGGGCCUCCGGUUAAUAGGUUAGUCCCAAAAAUAAUAUAAAAGUGGAAAAUAAAGCCCAAUAUAGUCCAAAAUAGUAGAUAAUAUAGCAUGGAGCAAUCAAAAAUUAUAGAUACGUUGGAGACGUAUCAUGCAUCCACUGUCCAUAAUCCAUUCUAAAGCCUUUGGUGUCUUACCCUACAGUGCAGUUUGGGGGAUAGGCUUCACUAAGGGUAUUGUGAAGCAUAAACAUUUGACGAACAAGCGGAUUAUGAAAGUUCAGAUCCUGGUUAGGGUAAAUAGGAUGUUUGUCAAGGAAUCCUGGGAUGAAAUACAUAGUAAGAGCAUUUUGGCAUUUUAUCUUGCGUCCCACAAGAUGUUUUAGGUCCCCAGCAUAAGCAUCGGAAGCCUUUGAUUUCCGGCUGGAGACCUUUCCCUGCAAAAGAGAGUUAUUUUUUCUUAACCACCCACAUUUUCAGGGGUGGCUUAGAAGCAACGAGUCUAAGUGCAGCAUCUGAGAACUUCGGCUUUGGAGCCCUAGCAAAUAGCCUUGCAGGAGGUGAAUAAUACUCAUAAGAAUAAGCAGAAAAGUUCUUGGUCUUAUGAACAUAGCGGUUUGAUGAAACACACUCAUAUUCAUAAGUCUGAGUAUGGUUUCCCUACAAAACAUUCGCAUUAGGGUGACUCUGGUGAGUCCUCUGUCUGUAUGAAGCCUUUGGACCAUAUGAAGCCUUUGGUCUGGGGUUUGUCUUCUUCCCAGGUGGUGUCAUGAUGACAUUCACAGGAAGCUUCUCAAGACAACUUUUGGGCACCCGGAUCUUCUUCAAAGGUGGCCCAUUCCUGCAGUUAGUACCAAUAUACUUGGCAAACUCUUCACCAUUCUUAUUCUUAAACAGAUUAUAGUUUGCAUCAAAGGAUUCAUCAAUGAUAAUCGGGUUAGCACAAGUGAAGCAAGAUACGGUAGAUGGAUCCAUUGAAGGUCCCUUUGCAGCAACUCAUGUGGUUUUGGGGUACUGCACAUGCUUCCAGUAUGAACCAUCAACAUUCAUUUUCCUCUCGAACCCAGCACCCUCUUUCCUAGGGUUUCGAUUCAGAAUAUAUUUCUUGAGGACAUAGUGUCUGAUGCCCUUUGAGACUUUUGUAUAUUCCUGUUUCAAGCAAUGUCUUCAACCUGGCAUUCUCAUCAGCAAUAGUAGUGGUAUCCUCAGUAGAGGGGUUAGUUACCACAUCAGCAGUUGAAGAUAUUGCAACAGUAGCAGCAGUAGAACAUUCAGCAACAGAAACGACAUUAUCACGCUCAAGACAUUUUAGACAUGGUGGUUCAAAGCCUACCUGAGAGGAACUGAUCUGUUGAGCGCGAAGUGACUCGUUCUCCUUUUGAAGAUCUUCAUGAGUCGCUCUCAAGUUCUCAAGUUCUUGCUUCCUUUGAAGAUAAUCAUAGGAAAGAUUUUCAUGAGUAGUUGAGAGCGUUUCAUGACGACUCUCAAGUUCCUCGUACUUAACGUGAAUAUUUUUUAUGUCUUUGUAAGUGCAUCUAGUGCCACCCCUAGUUGGUUUUGGAGUAUUGACGACAAAUCUGGUUGAGGGACUAAUGUGUUUGUGAGAAUUGCAGGAUAACACAGGUAGUAGUCCCUCAUUGAUUCAGUUUACCUACCGGAGAUGACCCCUAAAAAUGUAUGAAGACAUUGACGACAAUGGUGGUAUGUGAAGAUAUUCCUAUUGAAGACUAUGACAUGAGAAGACAUUGAGUGAAGACUAUCGAGCGUGAAGACUUAGUCGUUUCGUUGUUUCCUUUUUUUCUUUGUUGAGUCAUAGGAACCACCGUACUGUUAAGUGGGGUCCAAGUGAACAAAGUCAGAGUGACUGAAGUGUUGCUCAACCCAAAUCCUAUAUCUUCGAGCGAAGACAAUGAGAGCAAAUCUUAUCCAGAGCUAGAUGAGUCAGCUUUGCUUGUAGCCCAAGUAAAGUUGCCGUGUGUGUUUGAAAUAUGACCGUUGGAACACGUGUCAGUUCCUUAUUGACCUAGGGUCAUUUCGGACAUAUCAGGUCGGGUUGCCUAGUGGCUAUAAAUAGCCCACCCCUACACCAUAAAUUGGUGGCUGCUCAGAGUUAGUGCACGGCUUUUGUCGCAUUGAGAGCAACCCACCUCGAAGCCUUUGAGAGAGAGAAAUCCUUGCGAGGACAAAGCCCAAACACCCAGAGCCAAAGAGUGUUAGGCAUCACUGAAGUCUUUCUGUCUGCGUAACCUAAAGACUUAUUACACUUGAGGACUGUGAAUCCUCCACCCGGUUAGGCCUCGCGUUCUGAGCAUCCAAGAGUCAUUGUGGAUCGCCGGUGAACGAAGUCUGUGAAGGUUUGGAAGUCUACCUUGAAGUCUUACCAGAGUAAUUGGGCGAGGACUGGGUGUCCUUAGCUCAAGGGGAAUAAGGUGAAGACGUAGUCUUCUGAGUUGAAUCUCAGCCUCCCUAACCAGACGUACAGUUGUCACAGCAACUGGAACUGGUCCAACAAAUCCUGUGUCCUCAACAAGUGACUGGUUCUAUCCUCUCCCUCUCUUUAUUUAGAGUUUGUCUUCGUGAAGUCAUUGCUUGUUUGCUUUACCUAUUUGUCUUCACUGUCUGACUAUUUUUGUAGUUUGGCUUCAUACCAUCUUCCAUCCUGAUCCUUACUACCUAGCUGCUGUUAGUCUUUGUACUUUCACAUUAUUGCAUACUUGACUAUGGCUUGCUUAGUGUAGUUUAUCUUCCACUGCAUAUCAAUAGGGUCAUUUCUAUUGUUUGUCUUUGAAACUUCCAUGUUUUGAAGACUUUCAUAAAAAUCGCCUAUUCACCCCCCCUCUAGUCGAUAACUAGCACUUUCAAUUGGUAUCAGAGCAAGGUACUCCCUUGUUCUGUGUGAUUCAGUUUAACCUCCUGGAGUUUUAGCUAUGUCGACUGCAGGGAUAAUCAAAGUCUCCGCUGCUUGCCCCGUCUUCGAUGCAACUGAAUAUCCCUACUAGAAGAAUAAGAUGCGCAUGCAUCUUGAAGCCAUUGAUGUCGACCUCUGGUAUGUCGUCAAGAAUGGCAUUCCCAAGACUGGUGAAGGUGUCACUCCUGCUGAUGUCAAGAAGUUCAUUCAACUGGAUUCUACUGCCAAGAACAUCAUCUAUGGUCAUCUGACCAAAGGACAGUAUGGCCGUGUGAGUGCUCUGGAAACGUCGAAGCUAGUCUGGGACUGGCUGUCCAAGGUCAACGAAGGCGUCUCAACCCAGAGAGAUCAAAGGAUCAGUGUUCUUCGCAACCUCUUCAACCGCUUCAAGAGAAACGACAAUGAAAAUGUCCAGCUCACGUUUGAUCGCCUCACCGACAUCACAAAUGAGCUUCGUGCUCUCGGCGCCACUAAGAUUACCAAGCAUGAAAUCGUCAUGACACUACCGCGAUCACUUGACAGCUCCUUUGACACCCUUUCCCUCAUGAUACAAGAACGCCCUGACUUCAAGACACUCGAUCCGUCUGAUAUACUAUAGAGGCUCAACACACAUGAGUUCCAGCUAUCUGAGAAAAGAGAUAUAUAUGGUCCCAACUAUGGCCGAACUCGCGCUUUGAAGGCAAAAGUUGUUUCCUCAUUUGAAGAAGAAUCUGACUGCAGUUCUGAUGAUCCUGAAGACAUUGGAAAGGAACUUGCUAUGCUUGUGAAGAAUUUCCAGAAGUUCACUAAGAAGAAGGGCUUCAGAAAGUCUUCACGAUCUAGCUCAAGAAAUGAUGAAGCUUCCACUCAUGACUACAAGAAGAGAACAUGUCACAAGUGCAAGAAACCUAGACACUAUAUCUCUGAGUGUCCACAGUGGGACAAUGAGAAGAAGAAGAAGAUCAAGGAAUAUGAUUCUGAUGACAAGAAGAAGAAGAAAUCUUCAAAGUCUUCUUCCAAGUCCUCAUCCAAGUCUUCAUCUCAUAAGAAGAGCUCAUCUGGCAAGGCUCGUGCUUUUGUUGGCAAGGAGAUGGAUUUAGAGGAGGAGUCUACUUCUGAGGAGGCGGAGGUGGAGUCUGAGGAGGAGUCUGACCCUGGCGUUGCAAGUUUGGCUCUAGCCACAGCCUACGUUGCCAAGUCCAUCUUCAACACUGAAGACAAUGACUUCCACACCAACGCUGAAGCUAAUGACAAGGACGACUCCGCUCCCACAUACUGCUUCAUGGCACGUGGUGCGAAGGUAAAAUCAUGCGAUGCUUACUUUCAAACAUAAAGUGAAGAUGACUCUGAUUGUGAAUCCAAACCCAGCUACAAAACACUUGCUAAAAUUGCAACUGAACAACAAAAAGCUAUGGAACAUACUCAAAAACUGUUAGACAAAAGCGAUGACCUGUUGGACGCGGAAAUGACCCGUUCAUAGUCCUUAGUUGAAGACAUAAAAAAUCUUCAUGCUAAGUACCAAGAACUUGAAAGUCGUCAUGAAACGCUCUCAACCACUCAUGAAAAGCUCUCCUAUGAUUAUCUUCAAAGGAAGAAAGAGCUUGAGAAAUUGAGAGCGGCUCAUGAAGAUCUUCAAAAAGAGAAUGAGUUACUUCGCGCUCAACAGAUCAGUCCCGCUCAGGAUGGAUUUGAACCACCAUGUCUAAAAUGCCUUGAGUGUGACAACGCUACCUCUGUUGCUGAAUGUUCUACUGCUGCUACUGUUGCAUUGUCUUCAACUACUGAUGUGGUAACUAACCCCUCUGCGGAGGAUACCACUACUAUUGCUGAUGAAAAUGCUAGGUUGAAGACAUUGCUUGAAACAGGGAUGUACGAAAGUCUGAAAGGGCAUCAGACAUUGUGCGAUGUCCUCAAAAAGCAUAUUCUGAACCAAAAUCCUAGGAAAGAGGGUGUUGGGUUCGAGAGGAAAAUGAAUGUUGAUGGUUCCUACUGGAAGUCUAAGCAGUAUCCCAAAACCACAUGGGUUGCUGCAAAGGGACCUUCAGUGGAUCCAUCCACCUUAUCUGGCUUUACCUGUGCUAACCCUGUUAUCGUUGAUGAAUCCUUUGAUGCAAACUAUAAACUGUUCAAGAAUCAGAAUGGUGAAGUGUUUGCCCGGUAUAUUGGCACUAACUGCAGGAAUGGGCCACCUAUGAAGAAGAUCUGGGUUCCCAAAAGCUGUCUUGAGAAUCUUCCGGUGAAUGUCAUCAUGACACCACCUGGGAAUAAGACAAACCCCAGACCUAAGGCUUCAUAUGGUCCAAAGGCUUCAUACAGACCGAGGACUCACCUGAGUCACCCUAAAGCCAAUGUUUUGCAGGGAAACCAUACUCAGACUUAUGAAUAUGAGCGUGUGUCUUCAAACCGCUAUGUUCAUAGAACUAAGAACUUUUCUGCUUAUUCAUAUGAGUAUCAUUCAUCUCCUGCAAGGCUAUUUCCUAGGGCUCCAAAGCCGAAGUUCUCAGAUGCUGCACUUAGACUCAUUGCUUCUAAGCCACCCCUGAAGAUGUGGGUGGUUAAGAAGAAUUAACUUUCUUUUGCAGGAAAAGGUCUCCAGCCGAAAAUCAAAGGCGUCUGAUGCUAUUGCUGGGGACCUAAAACAUCUUAUAGGGCGCAAGAUCAAAUGCCCAAAUGGUCUCACUAUGUAUAUUGUUCCUGAAUCGUUUGCCAUUCAUCCUAUCAGUCCUAAUCUUGAUCUGAGCUUCAAUAAUCCUCUUGCCCAUCAAAUGUUUAUGCUUCACACAUCUCUUGGUGAGGCCUAUCCCCCUGACUGUACUAUAGGGCAUGACACCUCAUGCUUCAGAAUGGAUUAUGGACAGCAGAUGCACUAAUCAUAUGACUGGUGAUUGAAGUCUUCUCAUGGACUCAACCUUACGUCCAUCUGACAAGAGUCACAUCACAUUUGCUGACACUGGAAAAGCAAGGUAUUGGGUCUAGGUAGAGUUGCAAUCUCAAAGGAUCAGCACAUGGAUAAAGUGAUGCUUGUUGAAUCCCUUGGUUUCAACUUAACGUCUGUCUCAAUGCUUUUUGACUUGAACAUGAUUGUGCUAUUCGGAAAAUAUCGUUGCCUUGUACUAAUGGAAUCUGACAAGUCUCUAGUCUUUGAAGGGUACCGGAAAGAUGAUCUAUACAUGGUAGAUUUCUCAGCAGGUCCACAGCUUGCCGUAUGUCUUCUUGCAAAAGCUUCAGAGUGCUGGCUCUGGCAUCGGAGGCUGGGGCAUGCUGGCAUGAGGAACUUACACACUCUCGCCAAGAAGAAGCAUGUCAUAGGCAUCGAGGGCGUCAAGUUCAAGAAGGAUCAUUUGUGUGGUGCCUGCGAAGCUGGAAAGAUGACUAGGACCAAGCAUCCCUCGAAGAUAAUCAUGACGACAUCUCAACCCUUCGACCUGCUACACAUGGACUUAUUUGGCCCUACUCACUACUCUACCCUCACAACAACUGCUUGUCUCUAUGGCUUCGUCAUUGUUGAUGAUUACUCAAGAUAUACAUGGGUACACAUAAUUCUCUACAAGACUGAAGUGCAAGAUGUCUUCAGACACUUCGCCAACCGUGCCAUGAAUAAUUAUGGCAUCAAGAUCAAGCAUAUCAGAAGUGACAACGGCACUGAGUUCAAGAACACUGGACUUGAUCUUUAUCUGGAUACAAUGGGAAUCACUCAUGAGUUCUCUGCUCCAUACACACCUCAGCAAAAUGGCAUCGUGGAGCGCAAGAACAGAACCCUCAUUGAGAUGGCUCGAACAAUGCUCGAUGAAUACAAGACCCCAAGAAAGUUCUGGCCUAAAGCUAUUGAUACAGCUUGUCAUAUCAUCAACCGUGUCUGCAUCCAUAAGCUUCUGAAUAAAACAUCCUAUGAGCUCCUCACUGGCAAGAAGCCAAAUGUCAGUUACUUCAGAGUAUUUGGAGCUAGGUGCUGGAUCAAGGAUCCACAUCACAAAUCAAAAUUUGCACCUAAAGCUCACGAAGGCUUCAUGCUCGAUUACGGAAAGGACUCGCACUCUUACAGAGUCUUCAAUCUCUAUCUUUACAAAACCGUCAAAACUGUGGACGUGCGGUUUGAUGAAACCAAUGGUUCACAAAGAGAGCUCCUGCCAAGUACACUAGACGAAGCUCCACCCAUCGAAUCUAUCAAGCUAAUGGGAACUGGUGAAAUCAUGCCUUCUGAAGCUCAGCCUGAAGAGGAACUUAUCAUUUCUGCACCCAAUCAACCUGAAGAAAAUGCUCAGCCUGAAGACAAUCCUUCCAAUGUUGAUAAUGAUCAGCAAGAGCAAAAUCUUCGUCUAGUUCAUCCUCGUGUUGCAAAUGAAGUACAGAUUGAGAAGAUAAUUGAUAGCAUCAAUGCACCCGGUCCACUUACUCGCUCAAGAGCAACACAGUUAGCAAAUUUCUGUGGGCACUUUGCCUUUGUGUCAAUAUCAGAACCCAAGAAAGUUGCUGAAGCCUUUAUGGAACCUGAGUGGAUUCAAGCUAUACAAGAAGAGCUUCAACAGUUCAAGCUGAACAAUGUUUGGGAACUUGUCAAUCGUCCUGACCCUCGCAAGCAUAACAUAAUAGGCACAAAAUGGAUAUAUCGAAACAAGAAAGAUGAGCAUGGUCAAGUCGUCAGAAACAAAGCACGUCUCAUCGCUCAAGGAUAUACUCAAGUUGAAGGGAUUGACUUCGAUGAAACAUUUGCUCCUGUGGCUAGGCUUGAAGCUAUUCGCAUACUGCUAGCCUAUGCUAACCAUCACAACAUCUUGCUAUAUCAAAUGGAUGUGAAGAGUGCAUUUCUCAACGGCGAGAUUGAAGAAGAAGUAUAUGCCGCACAACCUCCUAGCUUUGAAGAUCCAAAACACCCUGAUAUGGUGUACAAGCUAAACAAAGCACUGUAUGGCCUCAAACAAGCUCCUCGCGCCUGGUAUGAUACGAUCAAAGACUUCCUGAAGAGCAAAGGCUUCAAACCUGGAUCCCUUGAUCCCACACUCUUCACGAAGACAUAUGACGGUGAACUGUUUGUGUGCCAAAUCUAUGUGGAUGAUAUUAUCUUCGGCUGCACCAAUCAGAAGUAUAGUGAUGAGUUUGGACACAUGAUGCAAGAGCAAUAUCAGAUGUCCAUGAUGGGUGAGCUAAAGUUCUUCCUUGGUCUUCAGAUUCGUCAGCAAAGGAAUGGCAUCUUCAUAUCUCAAGAAAAAUACCUCAAAGAUUGCCUGAAGAAGUUUGGAAUGCAAGAUUGCAAAGGUUACACGACGCCAAUGCCAGCCAAAACACCAUCUGGGUCCCGACGACAAUGGUAAAGAGUUCGAUCAAAAGGUAUACCGCUCCAUGAUUGGUUCUUUACUUUACCUAUGUGCAUCUAGGCCAGAUAUUAUGCUUAGUGUUUGCAUGUGUGCUCGAUUCCAAGCGGCACCAAAGGAAUCGCAUCACUUAGCUGUGAAGCGAAUUCUUCGAUAUUUGGCUUACACCCCAACAUUAGGAUUAUGGUAUCCAAAGGGCUCAGAAUUUGAUCUGGUUGGAUUCUCGGAUGUUGAUUAUGCUGGUGACAAGGUGGAUCGCAAGUCUACAACGGGCACAUGUCAUUUCCUAGGACGAUCACUUGUCUGUUGGUCUUCAAAGAAGUAGAACUGUGUAUCACUCUCCACUGCUGAAUCUGAAUACAUUGCUGCUGGAUCUUGCUGCGCUCAGCUUCUAUGGAUGAAGCAAACUCUCAAGGACUAUGGCAUCAAUCUGAAACAAGUACCUCUCUUCUGCGACAACGAAAGCGCCAUCAAGAUUGCCAACAACCCAGUUCAGCACUCGAAGACAAAGCACAUUGAAGUUCGUCAUCACUUUCUCAGAGAUCAUGUCAUGAAGGAAGAUAUUGAUAUCAUUCAUGUCAACACUGAAGAGCAACUGGCAGAUAUCUUCACAAAGCCCUUGGAUGAGAAAAGGUUUUGCAAGUUACGGUGUGAGCUAAAUAUCUUGGAAUCCUCAAAUGUCCUGUGAUCAGGCACACAUCCUAACACUUAUGCAUGUUGAUGACUUAGAUGUACAACACAUGAAGUAAAGUAUAUCUUCAAUCAAUGAAGACUUACAUUCUGAGUGUGGAUACAUUAACGCGGAAUUUGACUUCGGAGCACCAUGAUAAUUGUGCGCCAUGUCUGGGUCUAAUACUUCCUAUACGGUGGGUAACGCCACCACCAAAUUCUUCUGUUUGAAGUGUUUUACUCAUGGCGUUACUUUUGCUAUGUCUUCGCAUUUGGUUUGUUCUCAAACUCUAUCUGUCCAAAUCAUAUGCAUUCUAUUGAAACUGUCAAAUGUCUUCUCUGCGUCCUUGUCAGCAGAAGAUACAGAGACAAACAUUAAGUCUGUUUUAAAUGAUUCAUCCUUAUUGCUGAAAUCCGGAGAAGCCAGAACGACCAUCCGACAAACCUGGCGGGCGUGGGAACGUGGGACAACUCCAAGUAUGUUGCAUGCAUGCCACGUGUUCCUCAGAUCUGAACCGCCAGGGGCACCUGCGUAAUUGCGCUGUGUCGCAUUCUUCCUUAUAAAUACAUGUCCCCUUGCGGUCAAGAAAACCUUCUUCCACCUCUCCACCUCGUCAAAACCCUAGCGCCACCGCUAGCUCUUGACGACACCGGCGACGAAGUGCUUAGCUGCCGCGACUUCACCGACGCCGUCCUCACACCGGCCGCGGACAUCGUCCUCUCCGCCGCCGCCGUAGGUGUCCUCCGUCGCCAAGUUAGGGCACGAUGGACUGAACUGCUCGGUCUCCUACUCUUCCCAUCUAGCAGUUCUUCGCGUGGUAAAUAAAACUCUAUUUUUACCAUCUUUUUGAUCCUCAAAAAUUCAUCUUGUUUACCAAAAUAGGUUUCUGCCUACACAAUGUUAGAUCUAUCCUGUCUGCAUCUCAUACUGCCUAGUAUAUUCACUUAAGCUUCACGUCUUGUUAGAUUCCUCACUUGUACUUAUUCGUGGAUUCGUACAAAUCUGGAACCAACUCUCAACAUAUAAGUGAAUGUCUUUGCAUCAUGAGGUAAAUGUCUUCAAACUGAUUUAUCUUCAAAAUCUUCUGAGAAUGCAUAUGACCUCUUCCCCUUCCCUCGCAUCUCUAAUGCUGUCACAGGUACAUGUCCGUGGGAGAAUCCCUUCGUUCUCAUAGUCUGCAUUCGUUUGCAGAAUUCUUACAGCAUCACAUUAACUCUCCCGAAGCCAGUUCCUGUUUGUCCAGCAAGCGGAAGCCUUUGAAGCCUUUGAACAUGUUGAAGCCAUUCAGUUUGAAGUUCAUGGCUACAGGAAAAUCUGCAAGGAAGGGUGGCAGACAGCGUCGUGGGGGUACAUCAAUGGAUCUGCCUGAAGAUCUCUAUGAACUUUACAAAACCGAUCCCGAAGAAAGCUAUGGACAGCGCAAGACUCGAAUCCAAUGGAUUCGAAGAUAUUGGGCAGAGCAAUGGUUCAAGUACAACUUCGUAACCAGGGAGUAUGCUGAGAAGAAUGCUAUCAAGCGGCCUUGGGGCGAUAUUUUGUACAAAAAUCUUCAACCCAAGACCAGAGCUGAAGCCAUUGAGCAAGGCUUCUAUCCUUGCAUGGUCAGGGGACCUCAACCUGCCAACGCCGACCCCACUUCUCUCUUGUGGUGUUGAGAUGACGAUCUUUUCAAACGGAAUUAUCAGUUUGCAAAAGCCUUAGCAAAGAAGAACAAAGAUUCUUUAGGAUUAGACUUCAAUCCUGAUCCUUCUGCUCCCCGGGCUGACGGCACACGUGAUGCAGAACCCAAUAUCAUCGGACCCUUCUACAACCCUGAUGGCCUCAUCACCCACAUCUCUGUUCAAGGUGCCAAAGUGGAUUCUGAUGAUGAUGCUGACACUGACGAAGCCCCUGCUCCUACCCCAAAGCCACAUAAGCAAAAGAAGGCUAAAGCUUCAAAGUCAGCUGCUCCUCCAAAAGCUUCACGUGCGAAGCCACUAGCUACUGCACCUCCUGAAGACAAUGUGCAGUCUGAAGAUCUAUCUCGUAUCUCCAAUAAGACGGAGAUGAAAAAGAAAAAUGUCAAGAAUACUGAUCAGGCACUGACCCCUGCUGCCAUUCUGCGAGACGAACACAUUGAUCUGUCUAGUGAUGAAGAUCUUGCAGAUGACGCUCUUGAACAACUGAUAAAGAGCAAGGAAGAAGCAGAAAUCUUCAAUGAUUUGCCUCUCUUUGAUGUGGCAAUCAUCCACAACUUCAUUGAUGAGUGGUUUGAUACCCCCAAUCUUAGUUUUGAAGAUCUGCAACUUCCAAUUGGCCUCAGCGUCUCUUUCAAUGGAGCCAUUGCUUCUGAGCUAGCUCUAGCUCAGCGCAUAGUUGAACUGAAGCACAAAAUUGACUAUGAGAAAGCUCGGUUCAAGAAGCACAUGGCAAAGCUCAGCGUGCAAGAUGUCAAAAACUUGAAAGUUAUGCUGCACGAGCUCAAGGAAGCUUUUCUCAAGAAGCGUGAAGAAGCUAAAGGUUCUCGUGAACUCAUGAAGAGUCUGGCUGACAAGUGCGUGCAAGCCUACAAUGAAGCUGAGAAGCGCAAGGCUCUUGGUCGCCCUGGAAUCGACCCCAGAAUGGCUGCAAAGAAGAAGAAGCCAUCGACUGACCAAUCUGCACCUUCAGGACGGGAAGAACCUCGCAUAGUCUUCCCAAGCAGCAUGACCGGCUCGAAGACAAAGGUCAGGUCAACCGCUUCAGAACUGAAGAAGACAAGGACUGCCGAGGCUGAAGCCAGAAAGAGGAAAAAUCCUGAAGCUUCUGAUGUCGCUCCCUCCAAGAAGAAGCGCAAAACCAAGAAAGAUCGGGCUGCUCCCACAGAGCCCCUCGUUGUCAAACCCAUAUCGGUUGCUCGUCCUGACUCUUCGUAUCAAGAACGAUGGAUGAUAGUUCAUGAGCCUGCUUCCACAGAGGCUCCUGAAGCUGAAGACAUUCCAGCAGUUGACCCCUCCGCUGCUGAAGACAUUUGUCACCAUGACAAUGUUGAAGAUGAUGUAGUUCUUCCUCAGAUCGAGCACAACUUGGUAUCAUCGCCUGUUCUCACGAAUAGUGAACUCAUCAGCAUUGGUCGUCCUCUGAUGCCAAUUGCUCAGGAUGCAUCAUGGGCUGAUCACCCACAACACCAAGACACCUCAAGUACUCCUCAACAACAAGCUACCCCACCAGUGCAAGAAGGAGAUGAUGACUUUGAGGCCCAUCCAACUCCAUCUCCACAGGCGUCGCCAGCAUUACGUAGGCUUCGCAAAGGACCAAGGCCUCAAGUUCCUCUUUCGAGCGUUCCAGAAGGAGAAGUGCACCACCAAUCCAUUGCACGUCAGGUGUUCCCAGAAGCCACCCCUACUGUGAAUGUCUCCGAGUCUGAAGCUAAAGUUGCUGAAGACAAUCCAGCUGCAUCAGCAGAAGAAAAACAAGAAGAAGAAUGUGUCCCUACUCCCCCCAUCACUGAAGAAGUUGUUCCUGAAGUGAACGUGUCUGUGCCCAACCCUCCAGCUCAUCAAGUGGAGGUUGAGAAUCUUGAGGCUGCCACCACUAACACCAAUGAAGCCAAUGACGUGGUCAUGGCUGAAGCAAAUGUGGAGCCUGCACAGAAUACUGAGCCUGAAACCAAUGAAGCCAAUGAAGCACCUGCUCCAGAUGCGCAGCCUGACGCCUCUGCUAAUGCCACUGCUCCCACUCCGCCACCAAGGCCGCAUACCAUAGAACAAGCAUACAACUAGGCAGCUUAUAACCGUCAAAUGGCCUCUUCUGGUUCCUCCGCCUGCUGCUGGUCCUCAAUUUGACUACCACAUUGAGCACAGGCCUCAGGUUCAGAAGCCACUGCCAAGACUACCUAGGUUUCCAGGUACUGCGUUUGCACCAGGAUCAUUUAAUAUCAAUGGCUUAAAAGCGCACAACACCUUCUUCAAUAGCGCCAAGAACUCCUACACUAGGGCAAGAAUAUCAUCUGAUCGGUUCUGGAGCUAUCGGCAGCGCAAUUAUUACUCAUGCAUUUUGUACAAUCAAGGUCGCAUUUUCCCACAUAUGCAUCUUGACACUGAAGCCAUAACUCAUCUGCCCUGUUUGGAAGAAGCGUUGGAUUGCUUCAGAGAGUCUAGCUUGUUGCAGUUCGUCACUAACAAGGAGCACUGGAAUGAAGAAUUACUGCUCCAGUUCUAUGCCACUCUUCAAAUUCGUGGCUACAACAGGGAUCCGAAGACUUGGGUCCUUGAGUGGAUGACAGGCAAUGUCCAUCAUGAAGCCAAAGCCUUUGAUAUCAUUGAGCUUACUGGCCUACCCACUUCAGGUGAUCUCUAUGAACCUGGUUGUCAGCUUCAUAGUGCUGUUAUGGAAAGCAUCUUUCACAAGCCUGAACCCAACAUGAGUCAGAUGCUUAGCAUGAUGAAGCCUUUGUCUCCUGAUGCGGAAUAUCCUAAGGAGUUCUUUGUUGAAGACCUUGAGUAUCUGCCACGUACUAUCUAUCACAUCAUAAGGCGAACUCUCUGGCCCAUCAAAGGACAUUCUCCUCAUGCAAAGCUGGAAGGUGCAAUGAAGACUUUGGUCUUCCAUAUUCUUCAUGGCAAAAGCUUCAAUGCACAAGACUUCUUUAUCCGCCAACUUGCUGCAUCAGGCUCUGAUCUCUUUGGCUUGAAGUUUUACGCUCCAUGGAUUAUGCGUCUGAUCAAACUGCACUCAGCUGUCAACUAUCAGCCCUCUACUCACAAUCAUCUGAUUUUUCUGCCUGAGGUUGAUAUGUCAGUUGAAGCUAUCUAUCCAGAGCCUGCCAAGGAGCCCCUGUGUCGGUGGGAAUGGCACCUAUGGGAUCACAAGAAUCCCUACUACGGUUGGUGGGGCGCGGGGUCGUGAGGAGAGCGGAUCAAACAGAUAGUACACAGUUUGUUUAUCCAGGUUCGGGCCACGAGGAUGCGUAAAACCCUACUCCUGCUUUGGUGGAUGUAUAUUCAUGUUCUUGAGCUAGCUCUGGGGUGUUAGGAGCUCCAAAAAGCCGAAUCCUUCUCCUGGUCGCCUCGGGCCUCCUUUUAUAGAAAAAGGGGUCGCCACAGUGGCAUACAGGAGGUGGAAAGGGUACAGUGAUGCGAGGUUAUCCCUCGCAUUACACAACAAGGCGCAUUUAAUGCGUCUGCUUAGGUGUCCUUGCUUUAUCGAGGACGGGGGAGAAAUCCAUCUCGUCCGUCGCUGCUCCUUCUUGUGUCGACACACGCCCUGGCCAGCGAUGUCUGCGAUGCCAUGUAGGUAGGCAGGCAGCUGAGGUGGCAUAGUGGUGGGUAUUCACGAAGAUCUGCAUGCCGCCAUGCAGGUGCCUACCCAGCUGGUUGGGUCGGCAGCUGCAUGCGUACGGCGGUGGAGGUUUAGUCAGCGUGGGCCUGAUGGCGGCCCUGUGGAUGUCCUUGGCAAGGGCCUUGCCGGGGCCCCAACAAGGGUCUUGCCGAGGCGCCUGUUGUCAUCCACGGCAAGGCGCUUGCCGGGGGUCUCGUGGUCUUCCCUGGCUGGUAUCUCGUCGUCUUCUUAGUGCGUAUCUGAUCUUGAAUGUCUUCACUAAGAUCUGCAUGCCACCACGGGGAUGUCUCCCGAAUCCUUGCCCCUUGGGGGCAGUGGACUCAAGGGUAAUUUGCUCCGUAGGCGUGGGGCGAGUCGCCGCGACAAGGGUCUUGCCGGGGUUGCUAAAACUGUCUCCCGGCAAGGAUCUUGCCGGGGGAGUCCGCUUCGUCCUUUUUGCUCUUCGUGGUCUUGGUCUUGGCGUCGUUCUAGUUCCCUUGAGCUUCAAUCUUACCCUGGCUCACCCCCCUUGCCUUGCUUGGUGUGGUGGUGCCCAUGGCUCAGACUACCUGUGCACAGUUAUAGGGGUACAAAAAGUGUACCCCUCUUUUUGUACACCGACAGGAGCCCCCUGGCAUGGGCCACACAUAAGUGCAACGCGUUGUUGGGCCAGGCCCAAAAACGGUGCGCGGGCAGGCAGGGCGGUUUUUACUGCGGUAAGAUUUUUUGCGCGCUGCGCUUCCCACGACUCCCGCGCGUGGCGCGGCGUGGGGAGGCGCGUGUGACAUGGGCAGCAUGCGUGGGGUUGGUCUCCGCACGCAUGCAUCACGUCGUAGUAAAGGGGCGGUUCGCGCCUUCCCCAUAAAUGAGGGAAGCGUGGAGGCGCGGCCCAUUUACUGAAUGGGGACGAGGCGCGGUCCUCAAGGCAUCCACUCCCCACGAUCACGGGGUGGGGAGAGGUAGCCUCACCCGUCCCCUCGGUUCUGCACGUCUGCCACGUGUCUCCCAUGCGCUUGGGGUGUCAAACGGUGGAGGCGGGAAACCGGGCCGUCGCUGGUUGGGGCGGCGGGUCGGUCUUGGCUCCCUGCGCCUUCCGUGUCUUGAUUGGCCGAGCGGGGCGGUCGAGCCCCAACCCCGUUCCUUUAUAAAGAGCGGGAGGGGGGAUGGCGUCCCGCAUUCUUCCAUCUUCUUCCUCCUUCAGCUUAUGCUCCUCUCUUCCAUUCGUCAUGGAGAGAGGAAAUCCCGGUCCUUCAACGGUGGCGGCGAGGGUCGCCGCUCGACAACGCGUCCCUCCUUCUCCUGCGCCUGUGGUGGUAGAGUCGGCCGCGAGGGGAAGGGGGAGGGGCGAGGCCGGGGCGCUCGGGGAAGAGGAGGACGGGGUGGCACGCCGGCCUCGCCCCCGCCAGUAGCUCCUCCUCUAAUGGAGGGCCAUGUUAGGGAUGACCCUUGUGAGUUCUUCGUCAGGUUGCGCCAGCCGCCGCGCCGUCGCCUUUGUCUCCCGACUCCAUUUGCGCAGGAGAUGGAGCUGGAUCCGCCGGAGUCAUUGCGGCUGCACAUGAGGGGCUGCGGGAUCAGUGGCACGCGGGUCCGUGUCGACUUCCCUGCUCCUCAUGUGAUGUAUCUUCGUUGGAUUCCCUGCUCCUCAUGUGAUGUAUCUUCGUUGGGGAUGGAAGACGUUUUCUCAUAUCCACAGCUUGACGUAGGGGCUCACUCUCCAUUUUAAGCUGAUGGAGGGUGGCCUUCUCUCCGUCAAGGUCUUCGGGCACUUUGGGACUCGUACAAGGUGCUGCGUGGAGAGCUCUUCUGAUAGUGAAGAUUCCUCCUUGAGCGAGAGUGACGAGGAGGACAGCGGCAGCGACGACGAGGGCGGUAGGCGGCAGGAUGACGGGUCCGACUAGGUGUCGGGCGCCGCUCCGUGUGGCACCGGCAACCCCAUCAUCCGUGUCGCCGGCUCCUUGAACUUCUCGGGGUAGUCUCCUUGGGCGGCUGGCGUUGGGAGGCUGCGGAAGAGGAAGAGGGCGGGCGGCAAGGCCGUCAAGUCGGAGUACACGGGCACCGACGCCUUCGACGCAUACUGACGUCCUGCCGCCUCGUCUUCGAGCUCUGCUUCCAGCACCGCCAUCACCAUCCAGCCUUUGGACGGCCACCAAGAUGUUCUCUCGGUGUCUUCUGCCACCCGUAGCUCGCCUAGGCACUCCUUUUGCCCUUUUUCCCUCCUUGACCUGCCUCCUGAGGAGAGGGACAAGAAAGGGAUUACGGGCACCUUAUCUCUUUUUAAUUUGUAAGCCUUUGGGCCUUUGUUGAAUUUAAAACCCGUAAUCCUCUCAUUCAUGUUUUUCAUUCCCUAUGGACUGUACCUGACUGGAAUGUUUUUAAUGAAAAAGGGAUGUUUGCCGGGUCAUUUGUUUGUGGGUGAAACCCACGACAAGGAAUAAAUCCUUGAUAUCUUUAAGAUAAACAUUUCCUUGCCCGGCAACAUGCCUCGCCAUCUCCCCACUUCGCUCGAUCUUCCUCACGCUUUCGGCGGAGGCCGGGAUGAAGUGGGUUUAGGCUCCUCGUCCUAUCCUUUUGCUGUUGCGACUACGACCAAACUCGGUCCUAGGAACGGGCCCUAGGGCCUAGAGUUAGGGGAGCACGGUAGUUUGAGGGUAAAAUGAGGUUUCACAUACCUCAGUCCGUAAGGAAAUGCAUGAUAAGGGAUAAAAAACUUAUCUGAAUCCGCAGCCCCGGGCAACCCUGGUUUGCCAUGGGUGAAUCUUUGCUCUUGCAGCCCCCGGCAAUACUGGCUUGCCGGGGCCUAGAUGCCGGUCUGUUCCUUUUUUUCUCCCCAAGUGGUUUGGCAAGGAUAUCUAUGUGUCCUGCGAACCAAAGAAGAUAAAAGAAAGACAAAGAGAUGCAAACUCGACCUCUAAGCUAGGGGUUAGCCGCCGUUAAGCACUAUCAACCCUAACCAAGGAUGAGACUCGACCUAGCAUGCAUGCUAUAACUUAGGGCGCCAGCGCUUCAUUUAUUUAUGCUCAGGGUCUGUGCCUGGCUUUGUACAAAGGGUUACAUGCGUCAUCGGCAAGGCUUGUACAAAAGGUGGCUUGCCGGGGGGCCCGGCAAGCCGCGCCUCACGGGUAAAACUUGCGAAGAUGAUCAAUGUUCUAGGAGUUACUCACCGGAAUGGCUUCUUCGGUCUCCAGGCGGACUGCGCCGGGCCUGGUGACUCGUAUUACCCGAUAAGGGCCUUCCCACUUUGGCGUCAACUUGUUGGAAUUCUUGGCCGAUUGAACGCGCCGAAGAACAAGGUCGCCUUCCUCAAAGCUUCGGGCACGAACCUUGCGGCUAUGGUAGCGGCGCAAGGCUUGCUGGUAGCGCGCUGCUCUCACAGCCGCCCGAAGACGAUCUUCCUCAAGGAGCAUUGCGUCAUCUUGCCGCAAUUGCUCUUGCUCAAGCUCAUCAUAAGCGAGUACUUGAGGUGAGCCGUAUAUGAGUUCUGUGGGGAGAACUGCUUCUGCCCCGUAUACCAGGGCAAAGGGUGUCUGGCCGGUGGCUCAAUUUGGUGUCGUUCUGAUUGACCAAAGAAUUGCCAGCAAUUCAUCAAUCCAGCACCUUCCACUCUUGCGCAGUCUGCCAAAGGUCUUUGUCCUCAGGCCUCGCAGUACUUCAGCAUUCGCCCUCUCAGCUUGACCAUUGCUUCGUGGGUGAGCAACGGAACCGAAACAGACCUUGCUGCCGAGGUCUUGAAUAUAUUGCAUGAAGGUGUGACUUGUGAACUGCGUGCCGUUGUCGAUGAUGACCCUAUUGGGUACACUAAAACGGCACACCAGUCCUUUGAAGAACUUGACGGCUGACUGUGUUGUGACCUUCCUCACUACUUCCACUUCUAGCCACUUUGUGAACUUGUCGAUUGCAACGUACAAGAACUCAAAGCCCCCGAUAGCGCGGGGGAAAGGGCCCAGUAUGUCGAGCCCCCAGACCGAGAAAGGCCAGGAGAGAGGAAUGGUUUGAAGGGCUUGAGCUGGCUGAUGAAGCUUCUUCGAAUGGAACUGACACGCUUCACACCUGGUGACUAGUGUCGUCGCAUCCUGGAGGGCGGUGGGCCAGAAGAAGCCUUGCCGAAACGCUUUGCGGGCAAGGGCCGUCGACCCUAUGUGGGAUCCACAUAUGCCUCCAUGUAUCUCCGCCAACAGCCCCAGUCCUUCCUCUCGAGGGAUACACUUCAAUUUCACACCGUUCGGCCUCUUUCUGUACAGGACGUCAUUGACGAACUGGUACAUAGUAGAGUGACGGGCUACUUUUUCCGCUUAUUCCUGCUCCUCAGGAAGUUCCCCUGUUUGGAGGAAUCGGAUGAUAUAUUGUGCCCAUGCUGGAGCCUGGGGCUCGACGGCGAGGACUAAAGGCAUUUCCUCUGCUAUAGGAGCGGCUGUCUCCACGGCAAGAGCUUGAUGCUCCGUCGGAGCUAGCCGUCCCGUGGCGGUCUCAGUGUCUCCGGAAACGUCCUUGUCGGCGGCUUCGGGGAGCUCGGCGGGAAAGUACUUGCCGGGCCCUGAUUUUCUCCUCUUGUUUUGUUCUGUUGAUGGAUCAACGGAUGGCUGAGUUAGCUGAAGCACAAAGGUACCUGGUUCCACAGGUAGCUUGAGGGUGGCGCGUUUUGACAGGUAAUUGGCGAUGUCGUUCUCUGCUCGGGGAACGUGCUCUGCCUGUAUACCGUCAAAACGCUCUUCCAGCUUCCUCACUUCAUCUACGUAGGCCUUCAUCAACGGGCUCUGGUAGUCCUUGUUGACUUGUUUGACGACAAGUUGCGAGUCGCCCCUGACAAUGAGUUUCUUGAUUCCGAGGUCUGCCGCGAUCCUAAGACCAGCAAGCAGCCCCUCGUACUCAGCAGUAUUGUUUGUCGACACCUCCCUGGGGAAGUGCAUCUGGACCACGUACUUGAGGUGCUCCCCGGUGGGCGCGACAAGCAGUACGCCAACCCCGGCGCCCUGUAAGGAGAAAGCCCCAUCAAAGUACAUGACCCAGUCGCAACUUGCCUCUUUGCCGGGGAGAACAGUCUCCUGGGUUUCUUCAUCAGGCGUCGCGGUCCGUUCUACAACGAACUCCGCCAGGACUUGGGUUUGAAUCGUCGAGGUACUCUCAAACUUGAGGCCAAAGCUGGACAGCUCCAAUGCCCAUUCUACAAUUCUUCCUGUUGCGUCUAGAUUGUGCAAUAUCCGUUGCAGAGGGAGGCGAGUAACGACGGUGAUCUCGUGCGCCUGGAAGUAGUGACGCAGCUUCCUCGAGGCCAUAAGAACGCCGAAGAGCAGUUUCUGCACACCGGAGUUCCUUAAUCUAGCCCCCUGCAGGAGGGAGCUAACAAAGUAGACCGGGUGCUGCAUCAUUUUCUUCCUUGGCGGCACUCCAACCGGCUGUGUCAUCUCUGCACCAACGGCAUCAGGCUCUGUCGCUGCUAUCACCUCGUCAUCAAUUUCUCUCUGCGCCACUAGCGCGACGCUGACCACCUGGUUCGUUGCCGCCAGGUAUAGUAGCAACGAUUAUUGUGGCCUAGGCGCAACUAGUACUGGCGUGGAGGAGAGAUACCUCUUCAAAUCUUGCAAUGCUACUUCGGCUUCUGGCGUCCAUUCCAUCGGGCCCGCCUUUUUCAAGACCUUGAAAAAGGGAAGGGCGCGCUCGGCAGACUUGGAAAUGAACCUGCUCAUGGCGGCAAUGCAACCAGUAAGCUGACGUACAUCCUUGACCCGCUUGGGCGCUUCAAUCUGUUCUAUAGCUUUGAUCUUGUCCGGAUUGGCCUCUAUCCCAUGCUGUGACACAAAGAACCCGAGAAGCUUGCCGGACGGGACACCGAAGACGCACUUCUCAGGGUUCAGCUUGAGAUUGAUCUUGCGUAGGUUUGCAAAUGUUUCUUAUAAAUCCGGUAUAAGGGUUGCCCUGUUCUUGGUUUUGACCACUAUAUCAUCCAUAUAAGCGUCCAUAUUUCUAUGGAGCUGGGGUUCAAAACCAAUCUGGACCGCCCUUGCAAAUGUUGAACCAGCACUCUUCAACCCGAAAGGCAUCCGUAUGAAACAAUACGUACCACAUGGGGUGAUGAAUGCCGUUUUCUCUUCGUCUUCUCUUGUCAUGAAGAUCUGGUGGUAGCCGGAGUAGGCAUCGAGGAAUGAUAACAGAUCACACCCAGCCGUGGAGUCAACAAUCUGGUCGAUGCGCGGCAACGGGAAGGGGUCUUUGGGACAAGCCUUAUUGAUAUCUGUGUAAUCAAUACACAGCAUCCACUUCCCAUUUGCCUUGCGCACUACCACUGGAUUGGCCAACCACGUUGGAUGGAGCACUCCUCUUACCAAACCCGCUGCUUCCAGUUUUCGGAUCUCCUCUGUGAUGAACUCUUGUCGUUCCAAAGCUUGCUUUCUUACCUUUUGCUUGACGGGCCGCGCAUGAGGACAGACAACAAGGUGGUGCUCAAUCACCUCCCUGGGAACGCAGGGGAUGUCGGAUGCUUGCCAUGCAAACACAUCGACAUUCGCCCGCAGGAAGGUGACGAGCGCGUCUUCCUAUUUGUCGUCAAGGGCGGAGCUUAUGGUGAAAGCCCCUCCCGUGCCGUCCUCCUUGACAGAAACCUUCUUGGUUCCUGGCUGUGUGGCCCUGAACUUCUUGUUUCUGCCGGUGGAGCUUUCUGGCACGUCCUCGACGGGAGCACUACACUCCAAAGAGGUGCACUUGCCGGAGUGGGUGCCUGAGGUCUCGCCGGUCUUCUUCUUUUUCCUUCCCGGGGCUCCAGCGGCAGGAGCAAGCGCCUUAGCAGUGGCGGCUGCUGCAACUGCUUGUUGGUAGAGUUGGUCAGCACAAAUUAGCGCGUCCUUCUUGUCCGAUGGGACGGUGAUGAUCGUCAUAGGCCCCGGCAUCUUCAGGGUGUUGUAGGCGUAAUGUGACGCCGCCAUGAACUUGGCCAGCGCUGGGCGGCCAAGGAUCCCGUUGUAAGACAAGGGGAUCUUGGCAACGCCGAACACAAUCUUUUUUGUCCGGUAGUUCAGAUCACUCCCAAAAGUCACGGGCAACGUGACCUUUCCCUUUGGUUGACUUCUUCCCGGGUUGACCCCCUAAAAUGUGCCCGUCUCUUCGAGAUCUCCAUUAGGAAUCUACAGUUUCUCGAUCACGGUAGGCGAGAUUAAGUUCAGACCGGCUCCGCCAUUGACUAGCAUCUUUGUCACCUUGAGGUUGCGUAUUGUUGGUGAAACCAACAAUGGCAAGCACCCGACUGCAGUGGUGCGAUCAGGGUGAUCCUCAGUGUCAAAAAUGAUAGGUGUGCUGGACCACUUCAGCGGCCUUUGGGCAUCAAACGAUGGCUCUGCCGCUGUAAUCUCACGCGCCCACUGUUUAAGCUGGCGGUGAGAGGUAUGCAGCAAGGCGCCGCCAUCGACGCACAUGGCCUCUGUAGCUUUAUGAAAUUCUUGGUCACCAGACUCAUCAUCCUCUUCGUGAUCAUCGUCUUCUGGCUUUUUGUCACGGCCCCGGGCGGGCCUCUCCUGCUGUUUAUCCUUGCCGUGAUGGCCCGCCUGGCCGUCACGCUUCUUGCCGGACCCCUCAGCACCGUCCUGGCCCUUCUCCUUGUCCCGCCUCUCAUAUUCAGCCCUCUGCUUCUCAGCAAGGAGCUCAACCUGUCGGCAGUUCUGGAGAUCAUGGCCCUUGGUGCGAUGGAUCUUGCAGUAUUGCUUGUCGGAGUUUCCUGACUUCUCGGCAGCCGCCAAGGCCCGGCAUGCGACACAUCUGGCAAUUUCCUUGCCAGGGUCAUCUGCCUUGGUUUUCUUGGCGGAGCCGGCGUCAUCAGAUCCCUCGACGGCAAGCACGUCUUUACCUUUGCGCUUCCUGUUGCGGCGCCGGCCUUUCUUUGCCGGGGCGGCAGUAUCCUCAUCUGAAGAGUCGGUUUCCACGCCGGCAUCUUCGCCGGGGUACUUCCUUCCCUCUUCCGCCCAGGCACAUCUGUCAGCAAGAACAUAGAGUUUUGCCACGUCUUUCACCUUGUUCAUUGCCAGCUCUUCGCGCAUCUUGCGGUUACGCACGUUCUGAUGAAACGCGCUGAUGAUGGCGGCAGGGUGAACAUCAGGGAUAUUGUACUGUACCCGGCUGAACCUCUGUAUAUAUUUGCACAGACUCUCGCGUCCCUUCUAGGGAAUGACGUGCAGGUCGCUUGCUUGGCCAUGGGCUUGGUGACCUCCAGUAAAGGCGCCAACAAACUCAUGGCACAAAUCCGACCAGGAGGAAAUAGAGUCUAUCGGCAAGUGCAUCAACCACGACAUGGCGUUGGGUUUAAGAGCCAAUGGAAAGUAAUUCGCAAGCACCUUAUCGUCGCGGGCUCCGGCAGCUUGCAUCGCGAUGGUGUAGAUGCUGAGGAACUCAGACGGGUGGGUCUUGUCGUUGUACUUCUCGCCAACGUCAGGUUUGAAGGUGAAGUGAGUGGGCCACUGGAACUGCCGCAGCUCACAGGUAAAAGCCGGACAGCCUACCUCGUAAGGUAGGCCUCCAGGGAUCUCCGAGGCCGGGUGGUUCGCAGCAGGCCCUGCUCGCCUGUCCGACUGGUGGCGCGCUCCGCGCCGGCGCUCGAUAGUGGUUCGAGCAUCUUCAUUGGCUCGUUCCCGAAGAACUUGGCGCUGGUCACAGCGGGUACGUGGGUCGGACAACGCUAUGGAGAUGUCGUCGCCCGUGACGUCGCGACAAGCCGGCGUCCGCGGUACCGGAUGGGGAGGAGGUGAAUGCACCGUGGUCGCGGCGCCGCCGGCUUUUCCGCCACUGGUGCGUGGGACUCCAUUGGAGCGUCGACCCGGGGGCUCCACCGGGCUUGGUUCGUCUUUGUUGGACACCGCAACAAGGCUUCGGAUAGUGGCUCUCCAUUCGUCGAGUUUCCCCGUGGUGGGGGGAAAGUCGAGGAGCAACUGCGCGCGCGCCAGGGCCUCUGCUGGCGUCGGCGGCAGUGGAACCUGCACGGAUCGCGACGCGCUUCGACUUCUGACCAUGUCAGAAGGAGCCCUAUCACGAACCCGCGGUCGCGUGCCGUUUUCACCAAGGCUUCGGUGAGCGGGCAGGUCUUCUAUGUCCCGGGAGUGGCGCUCGGGGCUCUUCCCGCGGCAAAGCCUGGGAUCUUCGGCGUGACGACGCCAUUCAUCGCGUGCUGCCUGGGAGGAGCGCGCUGUUGGCGCUGGCGUGGGAGUCUUGGAGGCCCUUGUGUCGCCUUCGGGUGGGGCGGCGGUGACCUUGGAAGGCCCCGCUCCACCCGCGGAGGGCCUGGCUCCGCCUUUGGAUUUGGCGAUGUGUGGCCCGUUACUAGGCGCACAAACAUCACCGCCUCCCAAACUCCGGCUGCUGGGACGGUGCUGGUGUUCGCGAGCAGCGCCCCGGGUCCUUUCUGCGACCGGUCCGCUGCUCGCCCGCGUCGGGACGGGCUGUCCGGCUUCCGACUGGCCAACCGCCACCGUCGUCUUCUUCUUGGGCGCCAUGAUGAUGAAGAAGCGUCGAACUAACUGCUAAAGCCGAUUCUCACAACCGCGCCCCCUACCUGGCGCGCCAAAGAUGUCAGUGGGAACGACACCUAUGGGAUCACAAGAAUCCCUACUACGGCAGGCGGGGCGCGGGGUCGUGAGAAGAGCAGAUCAAACAGAUCGUACAAAGUUUGUUUAUCCAGGUUCGGGCUGUGAUGAUGCGUAAAACCCUACUCCUGCUUUGGUGGAUGUAUAUUCCUGUUCUUGAGCUAGCUCUAGGGCGUUAGGAGCUCCAAAAAGCCGAAUCCUUCUCCUGGUCGCCUCGGGCCUCCUUUUAUAGAAAAAGGGGUCGCCACAGUGGCAUACAGGAGGUGGAAAGGGUACAGUGAUGCGAGGUUAUCCCUCGCAUUACAUGACAAGGCGCAUUUAAUGCGUCUGCUUAGGUGUCCUUGCUUUAUCGGGGACGGGGGAGAAAUCCGUCUCGUCCGUCGCCGCUCCUUCUUGUGUUGACACGCGCCCUGGCCAGCGAUGCCUGCGAUGCCAUGUAGGCAGGCAGGCAGCUGAGGUGGCGCAGUGGUGGGUCUUCACGAAGAUCUGCAUGCCGCCAUGCAGGUGCCUGCCUAGCUGGUUGGGUCGGCAGCUGCAUGCGUACGGCGGUGGAGGUUUAGUCGACGUGGGCCUGAUGGCGGCCCUGCGGAUGUCCUUGGCAAGGGCCUUGCCGGGGCCCCGGCAAGGGUCUUGCCAAGGCGCCUGUUGUCAUCCCCGGCAAGGCGCUUGCUGGGGAUCUCGUGGUCUUCCCUGGUUGGUAUCUCGCCAAAGGUCGUCGUCUUCUUAGUGCGUAUCUGAUCUUGAAUGUCUUCACAAAGAUCUGCAUGCCACCACAGGGAUGUGUCCCGAAUCCUUGCCCCUUGGGGGCAGUGGACUCAAGGGUAAUUUGCUCCGUAGGCGUGGGGCGAGUCGCCACGGCAAGGGUCUUGCCGGGGUUGCUAAACCUGUCUCCCGGCAAGGAUCUUGCCGGGGGAGUCCGCUUCGUCCUUUUUGCUCUUCGUGGUCUUGGUCUUGGCGUCAUUCUAGUUCCCUUGAGCUUCGGUCUUACCCUGGCUCACCCCCCUUGCCUUGCUUGGUGUGGUGGUGCCCGUGGCUCAGACUGCCCGUGCACAGUUAUAGGGGUACAAAAAGUGUACCCCUCUUUUUGUACACCGACACCCUGAGUCUUCACAAUGCUGAUAAUCAAAGCUUCUCACAAAAUAUUGAAGGAGUUCAAGCUAUCACUCGUGUUUAUCCUCUGGCUGGUAUUACGCGUGCUCCUCAUCGUGCCCUCACUGAAGCCACUGAAAGCACCAUUGCACAACGGCCCAAGAAGCGAUCUCGUGUUCUCAAUGACCGAGAGCUUCUAGUUGCCCUUCAUCAGAAACAUGAUAAGCAUCAUGACUGGCUGAAGUGUCAAAUGAAAAGCCUCUUGGUGGACGUCAACAGGAUUCGCAACCUUGCCACCAAAAAUGCCUUUGUCGCCCAUGAAACUUGUCGGCGUACAUGGAAAGGGCUGACGCUUAUGUGUUCUGAAGAUGAUCUUCAAGAUGAUGGCUUCUCUGAACGUUUCAAGUUUGACACAACACCUCUGAGAAGGAUUGUGCUGCGCGCACUCCACCUCUUGAAGACUCUGAGUUCUCCUCUUCUGCUGCAACAGUGGAUGCCCGUGUCAUUAAUGAUGAAUAUGAUGCUACUUCACCACCUUCUGCACGAAUAAAAACUGCACCAAGUUCGUCUGCACCGCCAAACAACACCGACGACCCUGCUGCUUCACCUACUCCUCAUGGGAACGAGUAGAGGCUCUAUGUCUUCAAACCUUUUUGGUCCUUACUGACAAAAGGGGGAGAAGCAUAUGAGUUUGAUAGUCUUCAAGCGGGUUCAUAUGGGCGGUUGCAUUAUAUUUUGCCUAGUGUUUACAACUCUUGCUUUUUGAUAUAUUUGGUUCUUUGAGUUGUAACACUUAAACUCGAUGGUCGUCUGCUACUUAUUUGCUAUUCUGUGAUGCGAUGAUAAAUUCCGCAUGUGCGAUGAUAACUUCCGCACUUAAGUCAUUCUGCAGACGUCCAUUUUUCAUUAUGCAUGUCAUUAUCUUCGUUAUAUCAAAUCAUGCAUGAUGAAUUAUCUUCAUAAGUUGAAGAGGAUCUCCACAAGUACAACCUGCCAUGUGCAUUUGCAUUCCAAAAGCAAAUUACUUAUAUGCACAUCUUCAGGGGGAGCCCUUACCACUUAUGAAGAAAAUUCCUAAAUCCUUUACAUUUCACAUACUUUAUCCCUGUUAAAAACUUCAACCAGUUUGUCAUCAAUCACCAAAAAGGGGGAGAUUGUAAGUGCAUCUAGUGCCACCCCUAGUUGGUUUUGGAGUAUUGACGACAAAUCUGGUUGAGGGACUAAUGUGUUUGUGAGAAUUGCAGGAUAACACAGGUAGUAGUCCCUCAUUGAUUCGGUUUACCUACCGGAGAUGACCCCUAAAAAUGUAUGAAGACAUUGACGACAAUGGUGGUAUGUGAAGAUAUUCAUAUUGAAGACUAUGACAUGAGAAUACAUUGAGUGAAGAUUAUGGAGCGCGAAGACUUAGUCGUUUCGUUGUUUCCUUUUCUUCUUUGUUGAGUCAUAGGAACCACCGUACUGUUAAGUGGGUUCCAAGUGAACAAAGUCAGAGUGACUGAAGUGAUGCUCAACCCAAAUCCUAUAUCUUCGAGCGAAGACAAUGAGAGCAAAUCUUAUCCAGAGCUGGAUGAGUCAGCUUUGCUUGUAGCCCAAGUAAAGUUGCCGUGUGUGUUUGAAAUCUGACCGUUGGAACACGUGUCAGUUCCUUAGUGACCUAGGGUCAUUUCGGACAUAUCAGGUCGGGUUGCCUAGUGGCUAUAAAUAGCCCACCCCCUACACCAUAAAUUGGUGGCUGCUCAGAGUUAGUGCAUGGCUUUUGUCGUAUUGAGAGCAACCCACCUCGAAGCCUUUGAGAGAGAGAAAUCCUUGCGAGGACAAAGCCCAAACACCCAGAGCCAAAGAGUGUUAGGCAUCACUGAAGUCUUUCUGUCUGCGUGACCUGAAGACUUAUUACACUUGAGGAUUGUGAAUCCUCCAGCCGGUUAGGCGUCGCGUUCUGAGCAUCCAAGAGUCAUUGUGGAUCGCCAGUGAAUGAAGUCUGUGAAAGUUUAGAAGUCUACCUUGAAGACUUACCAGAGUAAUUGGGUGAGGACUGGGUGUCCUUAGCUCAAGGGGAAUAAGGUGAAGACGUGGUCUUCUGAGUUGAAUCUCAGCCUCCCUAACCAGAUGUACAGUUGUCAUAGCAACUGGAACUGGUCCAACAAAUCAUGUGUCCUCAACAAGUGACUGGUUCUAUCCUCUCCCUAUCUUUAUUUAGAGUUUGUCUUCGUGAAGUCAUUGCUUGUUUGCUUUACCUAUUUGUCUUCACUGUCUAACUAUUUUCGUAGUUUGGCUUCAUGCCAUCUUCCAUCCUGAUCCUUACUACCUAGCUGCUGUUAGUCGUUGUACUUUCACAUUAUUGCAUACUUGACUAUGGCUUUCUUAGUGUAGUUUAUCUUCCGCUGCAUAUCAAUAGGGUCAUUUCUAUUGUUUGUCUUCGAAACUUCCAUGUUUUGAAGACUUUCAUAAAAAUCGCCUAUUCACCCCCCCCUCUAGUCGAUAACUAGCACUUUCAGUCUUCAAUUAAGGACUGAGUUUGAGUCAUUUCCGUGUCCAACAGGUCAUCGCUUUUGUCUAACAACUUUUGAAUAUGCUCCAUAGCAGUUUGUUGUUUUGUAGCAAUUUUAGCAAGUGUGUUGUAGCUAGGUUUAGAUUCACAUUCAGAGUCAUUUUCACUGGAUGUUUGAAAGUAAGCAUCACGUGAGUUUACCUUGGCACCAUGUGCCAUGAAGCAGUAGGUAGGAGCAGAGUCAUCCUCAUCAUUAGCAUCAGCGUUGGGGACGAGACCAUUGUCUUCGGUGUUGAAGAUGGACUUGGCAAUAUACGCUGAAGCCAGAGCCAACCUUGCCACACCUGAAUCAGACUCCUCCUCAAACUCCACCUCCGCCUCCCCAAAAGCAGACUCCUCCUCUGAAUCCAUCUCCUUGCCAACAAACGCACGAGCCUUGCUUGAUGAGUUCUUCUUGAGAAAUGAAGACUUCGAUGAAGACUUUGAGGAUUUCUUCUACUUGUUGUCAUCAUAAUCAUAAUCCUUGCUCUUCUUCUUCUUCUUGGUCUCAUUGUCCCAUUGUGGACACUCGGAGAUGUAGUGACCAGGUUUCUUGCAUUUGUGGCAUGUUCUCUUCUUGUGGUCACGAGUGGAAGCUUCAUCAUUUCCUCAGGUGGAUCUUGAAGACUUUCUGAAGCCUUUCUUCUUGGUAAACUUCUGGAACUUCUUCACGAGCAUAGCUAGCUCCUUUCCAAUGUCUUUGGGAUCCCCAGAACUAUAGUCAAAUUCUUCUUCAGAUGAGGAAACAACCUUUGCAUUCAAAGUGUGAGUUCAACCAUAGUUGGGAGCAUAGAUGUCUCUCUUCUUAGAUAACUGGAACUCAUGUGUGUUGAGCCUCUCAAGUAUGUCAGACUGAUCGAGAGUCUUGAAGUCAGGAUGUUCUUGAAUCAUCAGGGUCAGGGUGUCGAAAGAGCUGUCAAGUGAUCUCAGAAGCUUCUUGACGAUUUCGUGCUUGGUGAUCUCAGUGGCACCAAGUGCGCGAAGCUCAUUUGUGAUAUCAGUGAGGCGAUCAAACGUGAGCUGGACAUUCUCAUUGUCGUUUCUCUUGAAGCAGUUGAAUAGGUUGCAAAGAACAUCAAUCCGUGAGUCUCUUUGAGUUGAGACGCCUUCGUUGACCUUGGAGAGCCGGUCCCAUACUAGCUUUGUAGUUUCCAGUGCACUCACACGACCAUAUUGUCCUUUGGUCAGAUGACCACAAAUGAUGUUCCUGGCAGUUGAAUCCAGUUGAAUGAACCUCUUGACAUUAGCUGCGGUGACACCUUCACCGACCUUGGGAACGCCAUUCUUGACGACAUACCAGAGGUCGACGUCAAUGUCUUUAAGAUGCAUACGCAUCUUACUCUUCCAGUAGGGGUAAUUAGUGCCAUUGAAGAUGGGGCACGCAUUGGAGACCUUGAUUAUCCCUGCAGUCGACAUAGCUAAAACUAUAGGUGGUUAAACUGAAGGAAAUAUGCCCUAGAGGCAAUAAUAAAGUUGUUAUUUAUAUUUCCUUAUAUCAUGAUAAAUGUUUAUUAUUCAUGCUAGAAUUGUAUUAACCGGAAACUUAGUACAUGUGUGAAUACAUAGAGAAACAGAGUGUCCCUACUAUGCCUCUACUUGACUAGCUCGUUAAUCAAAGAUGGUUAAGUUUCCUGACCAUGGACAUGUGUUGUCAUUUGAUGAACGGGAUCACAUCAUUAUAGAAUGAUGUGAUGGACAAGACCCAUCUGUUAGCUUAGCAUAAUGAUCGUUUAGUUUUAUUCCUAUUGCUUUCUUCAUGACUUAUACAUGUUCCUCUGACUAUGAGAUUAUGCAACUCCCGAAUACCAAAGGAACACCUUGUGUGAUAUCAAAUGUCACAACGUAACUGGGUGAUUAUAAAGCUGCUCUAUAGGUGUCUCCGAUGGUGUUUGUUGAGUUGGCAUAGAUCGAGAUUAGGAUUUGUCACUCCAUGUAUCGGAGGGGUAUCUCUAGGCCUUCUCGGUAAUGCACAUAACUAUGAGCCUUGCAAGCAAUGUGUCUAAUGAGUUAGUCACGGGAAGAUGCAUUACGGAAUGAGUAAAGAGACUUGCCAGUAACGAGAUUGAACUAGGUAUGGUGAUACCGACGAUCGAAUCUCGGGCAAGCAACAUACCGAUGACAAAGGGAACAACGUAUGUUGUUAUGCGAUUUUGACCGAUAAAGAUCUUCGUAGAAUAUGUAGGAGCCAAUAUGAGCAUCCAGGUUCCGCUAUUGGUUAUUGACAGGAGAUGUGUCUCGGUCAUGUCUACAUAGUUCUCGAACCCGUAGGGUCCGCAAGCUUAACGUUCGAUGAUGAUUUGUAUUAUGAGUUAUGUGAUUUGAUGACCGAAGAUUGUUUAGAGUCCUGGAUGAGAUCACAGACAUGACGAGGAGUCUCGAAAUGGUCGAGACAUAAAUAUUGAUAUAUUGGACGAUGUUAUUCAGACACCGGAUGAGUUCCGAGAGGUACUAGAUAACUAUCAGAGUGCCGGAGGGUUAUCGGAACCCCCCGGGGGAACUAAUGGCCCUUGAUGGGCCUUAGUGGGAAGAGAGGAAGGGCCACAAGGAGGGCCGGCCCCCUUCCUUCUUCCCCCUCUUCCUUAGGUGGAAUCCUACUAGGACUUGGAGUCCUACCUCUCCUGGCGCGCCCUAGGAGGGUCGGCCGGCCUCCCCUCCCCUCCUUUAUAUACGGGAGCAGGGGGCACCCUAGAACACACAAGUUUCUCUUAACCGUGUGCGGUGCCCCCCUCCACAGCUACACACCUCGGUCAUAUCAUCGUAGUGCUUACGCAAAGCCCUGCGCUGGUAACUUCAUUAUCACCAUCACCAUGCCAUCAUGUUGACGGAACUCUCCCUCGGCCUCAACUGGAUCAAGAGUUCGAGGGACGUCAUCGAGCUGAACGUGUGCUGACGUGGAGGUGCCGUAUGUUCGGUGCUUGGAUCGGUUGGAUCGCGAAGACGUUUGACUACAUCGACCGCAUUACUAAAUGCUUCCACUUUCGGUCUACAAGGGUACGUGGAUACACUCUCCCCGCUCGUUGCUACGCAUCUCCUAUAUAGAUCUUGCGUGAUCGUAGGUAAAUUUUUUGAAAUACAGCGUUUCCCAACAAUGGCAUCUGAGCCAGGUCUAUGCGUAGAUGUUAUAUGCAUGAGUAGAACACAAAGAGUUGUCAGCGAUAAUAGUCAUACUGCUUACCAGCAACGUCUUACUUUGAUUCGGCGGUAUUGUUGGAUGAAGCGGCCCGGACCGACAUUACAUGACCACGUUCAUGAGCCUGGUUCUACCGACGUGCUUCACACACAGGUGGCUAGUGGGUGUCUGUUUCUCCAGCUUUAGUUGAAUCGGGAUUGACUACUCCCGAUCGUUGUUGAAGGUUAAAACAGCACACUUGACGAAAAAUCAUUGUGGUUUUGAUGUGUAUGUAAGAAUGGUUCUUGCAAGAAGCCCGUAGCAGUCACGUAAAACUUGCAACAACAAAGUAGACGACGUCUAACUUGUUUUUGCAGGGCUUGUUGUGAUGUGAUAUGGUCAAGUCAUGAUGAUAUAUAAAUUGUUGUAUGAGAUGAUCAUGAUUGGAAAAGUUAUCGGCAACUGGCUGGAGCCAUAUGGUUGUCGCUUUAUUGUAUAAAAUGCAAUCGCCAUGUAAUUGCUUUACUUUAUCACUAAGUGGUAGCGAUAGUCAUAGAAGCAAUAGUUGGCGAGAUGACAACGAUGCUACGAUGGAGAUCAAGGUGUCAAGCCGAUGACGAUGGUGAUCAUGACAGUGCUUUGGAGAUGGAGAUCAAAGGCACAAGAUGAGGAUGGCCAUAUCAUAUCACUUAUUUUGAUUGCAUGUGAUGUUUAUCCUUUAUGCAUCUUAUUUUGCUUAGUACGGCGGUAGAAUUAUAAGAUGAUCCCUCACUAAAUUUCAAGGUACAAGUGUUCUCCCUGAGUAUGCACCGUUGCAAAAGUUCGUCGUGCCGAGACACCACGUGAUGAUCGGGUGUGAUAAGCUCUAUGUUCACAUACAACGGGUGCAAGCCAGUUUUGCACACGCAUAAUACUCGGGUUAAACUUGACGAGCCUAGCAUAUGCAGAUAUGGCCUCGGAACACUGAAACCAAAAGGUCGAACGUGAAUCAUAUAGUAGAUAUGAUCAACAUAGUGAUGUUCACCAUUGAAAGCUACUCCAUCUCACGUGAUGAUCGGACGUGGUUUAGUUGAUAUGGAUCACGUGAUCAUUUAGAUGACUAGAGGGAUGUCUAUCUAAGUGGGAGUUCUUAAGUAAUAUGAUUAAUUGAACUUUAAUUUAUCAUGAACUUAGUACCUGCUAGUAUUUUGCAUGUCUAUGUUAUUGUAGAUAAAUGGCCUGUGCUACUGUUCCUUUGAAUUUUAAAGCGUUCCUAGAGAAAGCUAAGUUGAAAGAUGAUGGUAGGAACUACACGGACUGGGUCUGUAACUUGAGGAUUAUCCUCAUUGCUGCACAGAAGAAUUAUGUCCUGAAAGCACUGCUAGGUGCAAGACCCGCUGCAGGAGCAACACCGGACGUUAUGAAUGUCUGGCAGAGCAAAGCUAAUGACUACUCGAUAGUUCAGUGUGCCAUGCUUUACGGCUUAGAACCGGGACUUCAACGAUGUUUUGAACGUCAUGGAGCAUAUGAGAUGUUCCAGGAGUUGAAGUUAAUAUUUCAAGCAAAUGCCCGAAUUGAGAGAUAUGAAGUCUCCAAUAAGUUCUAUAGCUGCAAGAUGGAGGAGAAUAGUUCUGUCAGUGAACAUAUACUCAAAAUGUCUUGGUACCACAACCACUUGACUCAACUGGGAGUUAAUCUUCCUGAUGAUAGUGUCAUUGAGAGAGUUCUUCAAUCACUGCCACCAAGCUACAAAAGCUUCUGAUGAACUAUAAUAUGCAAGGGAUGGAUAAGACAAUUCCCGAGCUCUUCGCGAUGCUAAAAGCUGCGGAGGUAGAAAUCAAGAAGGAGCAUCAAGUGUUGAUUGUUAACAAGACCACUAGUUUCAAGAAAAAGGGCAAAGGGAAGAAAGGGAACUUCAAGAAGAACGGCAAGCAAGUUGCUGCUCAAGUGAAGAAGCCCAAGUCUGGACCUAAGCCUGAGACUGAGUGCUUCUACUGCAAAGGGACUGGUCACUGGAAGCGGAAUUGCCCCAAGUAUUUGGCAGAUAAGAAGGAUGGCAAAGUGAAAGGUAUAUUUGAUAUACAUGUUAUUGAUGUGUACCUUACUAAUGCUCGUAGUAGCGCCUGGGUAUUUGAUACUUGUUCUGUUGCUCACAUUUGGCACUCGAAACAGGGGCUACUGAUUAAGCGAAGAUUGGCUAAGGACGAGGUGAUGAUGCGCGUGGGUAAUGGUUCCAAAGUAGAUGUGAUCGCCGCCGGCACGCUACCUCUACAUCUACCUUCGGGAUUAGUUUUGGACCUAAAUAAUUGUUAUUUGGUGCCAGCGUUAAGCAUGAACAUUAUAUCUGGAUCUUGUUUGAUGCGAGACGGUAAUUCAUUUAAAUCAGAGAAUAAUGGUUGUUCUAUUUAUAUGAGCAAUAUCUUUUAUGGUCAUGCACCCUUGAUGAGUGGUCUAUUUUUGUUAAAUCUCGAUAGUAGUGAUACACAUAUUCAUGGUAUUGAAGCCAAAAGAUACAAGUUUAAUAAUGAUAGUGCAACUUAUUUGUGGCACUAGCAUUUAGGUCAUAUUGGUCUAAAGCGCAUGAAGAAACUCCAUGCUGAUGGGCUUUUGGAAUCACUUGAUUAUGAAUCACUUGAUGCUUGCGAACCAUGCCUCAUGGCCAAGAUGACUAAGACUCCAUUCUCCGGAACAAUGGAGCGAGCAAUAGAUUUAUUGGAAAUAAUACAUACUGAUAUAUGCGGUCCGAUGAGUGUUGAUGCUCGCGGUGGGUAUCGUUAUUUUCUGACCUUCACAGAUGAUUUGAGCAGAUAUAGGUAUAUCUACUUAAUGAAACAUAAGUCUGAAACAUUUGAAAAGUUCAAAGAAUUUCAGAGUGAAGUGGAAAAUCAUCGUAACAAGAAAAUAAAGUUUCUACGAUCUGAUCGUGGAGGAGAAUAUUUGAGUUAUGAGUUUGGUCUUCAUUUGAAACAAUGCGGAAUAGUUUCGCAACUCAUGCCACCUGGAACACCACAUCGUAAUGGUGUGUCCGAACGUCGUAACUGCACUUUAUUAGAUAUGGUGCGAUCUAUGAUGUCUCUUACUGAUUUACCACUGUCGUUUUGGGGCUAUGCUUUAGAGACGGCUGCAUUCACGUUAAACAGGGCACCAUCUAAAUCCGUUGAGGCGACACCAUAUGAAUUGUGGUUUGGCAAGAAACCCAAGUUGUCGUUUUUUAAAGUUUGGGGUUGCGAUGCUUAUGGUAAAAAGCUUCAACCUGAUAAGCCCGAACCCAAAUCGGAGAAAUGUGUCUUCAUAGGAUACCCAAAGGAGACUGUUGGGUACACCUUCUAUCACAGAUCCGAAGGAAAGAUAUUUGUUUCUAAGAAUGGAUCCUUUCUAGAGAAGGAGUUUCUCUCGAAAGAAGUGAGUGGGAGGAAAGUAGAACUUGAUGAGGUAAUGUACCUGCUCCCUUAUUGGAAAGUAGUUCAUCACAGAAAUCAGUUCCAGUGAUUCCUACACAGGAAGCUAAUGAUGAUGAUCAUGAAACUUCAGAUCAAGUUACUACCGAACCUCGUAGGUCAACCAGAGUAAGAUCUGCACCAGAGUGGUACGGUAAUCCUGUUCUGGAAGUCAUGUUACUUGAUCAUGACGAACCUACGAGCUAUGAGGAAGCGAUGAUGAGCCCAGAUUCCACGAAAUGGCUUGAGGCCAUGAAAUCUGAGGUGGGAUCCAAGUAUGAGAACAAAGUGUGGACUUUGGUUGACUUGCCCGAUGAUCGGCAUGCCAUAGAGAAUAAAUGGAUCUUCAAGAAGAAGACUGACACUGACGGUAAUGUUACUGUCUACAAAGCUCGACUUGUUGCGAAAGGUUUUCGACAAGUUCAAGGAGUUGACUAUGAUGAGAGCUUCUCACCCGUAGUGAUGCUCAAGUCUAUCCGAAUCAUGUUAGCAAUUACCGCAUUUUACGGUUAUGAAAUCUGGCAAAUGGAUGUCAAAACUGCAUUCCUUAAUGGAUAUCUUAAAGAAGAGUUGUAUAUGAUGCAACCAAAAGGUUUUGUCAAAAGAUGCUAACAAAGUGUGCAAACUCCAGCGAUCCAUUUAUGGACUGGUGCAAGCCUCUCAGAGUUGGAAUAUACGCUUUGAUAGUGUGAUCAAAGCAUAUGGUUUUAUACAGACUUUUGGAGAAGCCUGUAUUUACAAGAAAGUGACUGGGAGCUCUGUAGAUUUUCUGAUAUUAUAUGUGGAUGACAUAUUGUUGAUCGAAAAUGAUACUGAAUUUCUGAAUAGCAUAAAAGGAUACUUGAAUAAGAAUUUUUCAAUGAAAGACCUCGGAGAAGCUGCUUAUAUAUUGGGCAUCAAGAUCUAUAGAGAUAGAUCAAGACGCUUAAUUGGACUUUCACAAAGCACAUACAUUGAUAAAGUUUUGAAGAAGUUCAAAAUGGAUCAGUGAAAGAAAGGGUUCUUGCCUGUGUUACAAAGUGUGAAAUUGAGUCAGACUCAAUGCCCGACCACUACAUAAGAUAGAGAGAAAAUGAAAGUCAUUACCUAUGCCUCAGCCAUAGGUUCUAUCAUGUAUGCAAUGUUGUGUACCAGACCUGAUGUGUGCCUUGCUAUUAGUUUAGCAGGGAGGUACCAAAGUAAUCCAGGAGUGGAUCACUGGACAACGGUCAAGAACAUCCUGAAAUACCUGAAAAGCUAAGGAUAUGUUUCUCGUUUAUGGAGGUGACAAAGAGCUUGUCGUAAACGGUUACGUCGAUGCAAGCUUUGACACUGAUCCGGAUGACUCUAAGUCACAAACUGGAUACGUAUUUAUAUUGAAUGGUGGAGCUGUCAGUUGGUGCAGUUCCAAACAGAGCGUCGUGGCGGGAUCUACGUGUGAAGUGGAGUACAUAACUGCUUCAGAAGCAGAAAAUGAAGGAGUCUGGAUGAAGGAGUUCAUAUGCGAUCUAGGUGUCAUACCUAGUGCAUCGGUCCAAUGAAAAUCUUUUGUGACAAUACUGGAGCAAUAGCCUUGGCGAAGGAAUCCAAAAUUCACAAGAGAACCAAACACAUUAAGAGACGCUUCAAUUCCAUCCGCGAUCAAGUCAAGGAGGGAGACAUAUAAAUUUGCAAAAUACAUACGGAACUGAAUAUUGAAGACCCAUUGACUAAGCCUCUCACGAGCAAAACAUGAUCAGCACCAAGACUCCAUGGGCGUUAGAAUCAUUACUAUGUAAUCUAGAUUAUUGACUCUGCAAGUGGGAGACUAAAGGAAAUAUGCCCUAGAGGCAAUAAUAAAGUUGUUGUUUAUAUUUCUUUAUAUCAUGAUAAAUGUUUAUUAUUCAUGCUAGAAUUGUAUUAACUAGAAACUUAGUACAUGUGUGAAUACAUAGACAAACAGAGUGUCCCUAGUAUGCCUCUACUUGACUAGCUUGUUAAUCAAAUAUGGUUAAGUUUCCUGACCAUGGACAUGUGUUGUCAUUUGAUGAAUGGGAUCACAUCAUUAGAGAAUGAUGUGAUAGCUUAGCAUAAUGAUCGUUUAGUUUUAUUUCUAUUGCUUUCUUCAUGACUUAUACAUGUUCCUCUGACUAUGCGAUUAUGCAACUCCCGAAUACCGGAGGAACACCUUGUGUGCUAUCAAAUGUCACAACGUAACUGGGUGAUUAUAAAGAUGCUCUACAGGUGUCUCCGAUGGUGUUUGUUGAGUUGGCAUAGAUCGAGAUUAGGAUUUGUCACUCCGUGUAUCAGAGAGGUAUCUCUGGGACCUCUCGGUAAUGAACAUCACUGCGAGCCUUGCAAGCAAUGUGUCUAAUGAGUUAGUCACGGGAUGAUGCAUUACGAAACGAGUAAAGAGACUUGCUGGUAACAAGACUGAAAUAGGUAUGGUGAUACCGACGACCGAAUCUCGGGCAAGUAACAUACCGACGACAAAGGAAAUAACAUAUGUUGUUAUGCGGUUUUGACCGAUAAAGAUCUUCGUAGAAUAUGUAGAAGCUAAUAUGAGCAUCCAGUUUCCGCUAUUGGUUAUUGACCGAAGAUGUGUCUCGGUCAUGCCUACAUAGUACUCGAACCCGUAGGGUCCGCACGCUUAGCGUUCGAUGAUGAUUUGUAUUAUGAGUUAUGUGAUUUGAUGACCGAAGAUUGUUCGGAGUCCCGGAUGAGAUCACAGACAUGACGAGGAGUCUCAAAAUGGUUGAGACAUAAAGAUUGAUAUAUUGGACAAUGUUAUUCGGACACCGGAUGAGUUCCGAGAGGUACCGGAUACCUAUCGGAGUGCCGAAGGGUUAUCGGAACCCCCCAGGGGAACUAAUGGGCCUUGAUGGGCCUUAGUGGGAAGAGAGGAAGGGCCACAAGGGGCUGGCCGCGCCCACCCCCCCUUGGGUCCGAAUUGGACUAGGGGAAGGGGGCGGCGCCCCCCUUUCCUUCCCUUCCCCCUCUUCCUUCCUUCUUCCCCCUCUUCCUUAGGUGGAAUCCUACUAGGACUUGGAGUCCUAGUAGGACUCCCCUCUCCUAGCAUGCCCUAGGAGGGACGUCCGGCCUCCCCUCCCCUCCUUUAUAUACGGGGGCAGGGGGCACCCUAGAACACACAAGUUUCUCUUAACCGUGUGCGGUGCCCCCCUCCACAGUUACACACCUCAGUCAUAUCGUCGUAGUGCUUAGGAAAAGCCCUGCACCGGUAACUUCAUCAUCACCGUCACCACGCCAUUGUGCUAAUGGAACUCUCCCUCGGCCUCAACUGGAUCAAGAGUUCGAGGGAUGUCAUUGAGCUGAACGUGUGCUGAACGCGGAGUUGCCGUACGUUCGGUGCUUGGAUCGGUUGGAUCGCGAAAACGUUCGACUACAUCAACCGCGUUACUAAACGCUUCCACUUUUGGUCUACGAGGGUACGUGGACACACUCUCCCCGCUCGUUGCUAUGCAUCUCCUAGAUAGUUCUUGCGUGAUCGUAGGUAAAUGUUUUGAAAUACUAUGUUUCCCAACAUAAACCGAAUCACACAGAACAAGGGAGAACCUUACUCUGAUACCAAUUGAAAGUGCUAGUUAUCGACUAGGGGGGGUGAAUAGGCGAUUUUUAUGUAAGUCUUCAAAACAUGGGGGCUUUGAAGACGAACAGUAGAAAUGAACCUAUUGGUAUGCAGCAGAAGGUAGACUACACUAGACAAGCCAUAGUCAAGUAAGCAAUGAAGUGAAAGCACGAAGACUAUCAGCAACUAGGUAGUAUAGAUCAGGAUGGAAGAUGGUAUGAAGCCAAACGGUAAAUAGUCUUCACACAGUGAAGACAAUCAUAUCAUGCAAGCAGACAAUGACUUCACGAAGACAGACUGAAAGUAAAGGGAAGUGAAGGAUAGAACCAGUAGCUUCUUGAAGGCAAGGAUUUGGUAGACCAGUUCCAGUUGCUGCGACAACUGUACAUCUGGUUAGGGAGGCUGAGAUUUAACUCAUAAGACCACGUCUUCACCUUAUUCCCCUUGAGCUAAGAACACUUAGUCCUCGCCCAAUCACUCUGGUAAGUCUUCAAGGUAGACUUCCAAACCUUCACAGACUUCGUUCACUGGUAAUCCACAAUGGCUCUUGGAUGCUCAGAACGUGACACCUAAUUGGCUGGAGGAUUCACAGUCCUCAAGUGUAACAAGUCUUCAGAUCACGCAAACAGAAAGACUUCAGUGAUGCCUAACACUCUUUAGCUCUGGGUGUUUUGGGCUUUGUCCUCGCAAGGAUCUCUCUCUCAAAUGCUUCGGAGGUGCGUUUCUCUCAAAUGACAAAAGCCGUGCACUAACUCUGAGCAGCCCCCAAUUUAUGGUGUAGGUGAAGGAAAUAUGCCCUAGAGGCAAUAAUAAAGUUAUUAUUUAUUUCCUUAUAUCACGAUAAAUGUUUAUAAUUCAUGCUAGAAUUGUAUUAACCGGAAACAUAAUACAUGUGUGAGUACAUAGACAAACAGAGUGUCACUAGAAUAGCUCUACUUGACUAGCUCGUUGAUCAAAGAUGGUUAUGUUUCCUAGCCAUAGACAUGAGUUGUCAUUUGGUUAAUGGGAUCACAUCAUUAGGAGAAUGAUGUGAUUGACAUGACCCAUUCCGUUAACUUAGCACACGAUCUUUUAGUAUGUUGCUAUUGCUUUCUUCAUGACUUAUACAUGUUCCUAUGACUAUGAGAUUAUGCAACUCCCGUUUACCACAGGAACACUUUGUGUGCUACCAAACGUCACAACGUAACUGGGUGAUUAUAAAGGUGCUCUACAGGUGUCUCCGAAGGUACUUGUUGGGUUGGCGUAUUUCGAGAUUAGGAUUUGUCACUCCGAUUGUCGGAGAGGUAUCUCUGGGCCCUCUCGGUAAUGCACAUCACUUAAGCCUUGCAAGCAUUGCAACUAAUGAGUUAGUUGCGGGAUGAUGUAUUACGGAAUGAGUAAAGAUACUUGCCGGUAAUGAGAUUGAACUAGGUAUUGAGAUACCGACGAUCGAAUCUCGGGCAAGUAACAUACCAAUGACAAAGGGAACAACGUAUGUUGUUAUGCGGUCUGACCGAUAAAGAUCUUCGUAGAAUAUGUGGGAGCCAAUAUGAGCAUCCAGGUUCCGCUAUUGGUUAUUGACCGGAGACGUGUCUCGGUCAUGUCUACAUAGUUCUCGAACCCAUAGGGUCCGCACGCUUAACGUUUCGAUGAUAGUUAUAUUAUGAGUCUAUAUGUUUUGAUGUACCGAAGGUUGCUUGGAGUCCCGGAUGUGAUCACGGACAUGACGAGGAGUCUCGAAAUGGUCGAGACAUGAAGAUUGAUAUAUUGGAAGCCUAUGUUUGGAUAUCGGAAGUGUUCCGGGUGAANNNNNNNNNNNNNNNNNNNNNNNNNNNNNNNNNNNNNNNNNNNNNNNNNNNNNNNNNNNNNNNNNNNNNNNNNNNNNNNNNNNNNNNNNNNNNNNNNNNNNNNNNNNNNNNNNNNNNNNNNNNNNNNNNNNNNNNNNNNNNNNNNNNNNNNNNNNNNNNNNNNNNNNNNNNNNNNNNNNNNNNNNNNNNNNNNNNNNNNNNNNNNNNNNNNNNNNNNNNNNNNNNNNNNNNNNNNNNNNNNNNNNNNNNNNNNNNNNNNNNNNNNNNNNNNNNNNGGCAAGGGCCACGCGCCCUUCCCCCCUAGUCCGAAUAGGACAAGGAGAGGGGGGCGGCACCCCCCCUUCCUUCUUCUCCUCCACCUCUUCCCCCCAAGUCCUAAUCCAACUAGGAAAGGGGGGAGUCCUACUCCCGGUGGGAGUAGGACUCCUCUUGGCGCGCCCCCCUUGGCCGGCCGCACCUCCCCCCCUUGCUCCUUUAUAUACGGGGGCAGGGGGCACCCUAGACCCAACAAUUGAUCGUUUGAUAUUUUAGCCAUGUGCGGUGCCCCCCCUCCACCAUAGUCCACCUCGAUAAAACUGUAGCGGUGCUUAGGCGAAGCCCUGCGUCGGUAGAACGUCAUCAUCGUCACCACACCGUCGUGCUAGCGAAACUCUCCCUCAAAACUCAGCUGGAUCGGAGUUCGAGGGACGUCAUCAGGCUGAACGUGUGCUGAACUCGGAGGUGCCAUGCAUUCGGUACUUGAUCGGUCAGAUCGUGAAGACAUACGACUACAUCAACCACGUUGUGCUAACGCUUCCACUUUUGGUCUACGAGGGUACGUGGACAACGCUCUCCCCUCUUGUUGCUAUGCAUCACCAUGAUCUUGCGUGUGCGUAGGAUUUUUUUUGAAAUUACUACGUUCCCCAACAGUGGCAUUCGAGCCAGGUUUUAUGCGUAGAUGUCAAAUGCAUGAGUAGAACACAAGUGAGUUGUGGGCGAUAUAAGUCAUACUGCUUACCAGCAUGUCAUACUUUGGUUCGGCGGUAUUUUUGGAUGAAGCGGCCCGGACCGACAUUACGCGUACGCUUACGCGAGACUGGUUCUACCGACGUGCUUUGCACAUAGGUGGCUGGCGGGUGUCAGUUUAUCCAACUUUAGUUGAACCGAGUGUGGCUACGCCCGAUCCCUGCGAAGGUUAAAACAUCACCAACUUGACAAACUAUCGUUGUGGUUUUGAUGUGUAGGUAAGAACGGUUCUUGCUAAGCCCAUAGCAGCCACGUAAAACUUGCAACAACAAAGUAGAGGACGUCUAACUUGUUUUUGCGGGGCAUGUUGUGAUGUGAUAUGGUCAAGACAUGAUGCUAAAUUUUAUUGUAUGAGAUAAUCAUGUUUUGUAACCGAGUUAUCGGCAACUGGCAGGAGCCAUAUGGUUGUUGCUUUAUUGUAUGCAAUGCAAUCGCCCUUUAAUGCUUUACUUUAUCACUAAGCGAUAGCGAUAGUCAUAGAAGCAUAAGAUUGGCGAGAAGACAACGAUGCUACGAUGGAGAUCAAGGUGUCGCGCCGGUGACGAUGGUGAUCAUGGAGGUGCUUCGGAGAUGGAGAUCACAAGCACAAGAUGAUGAUGGCCAUAUCAUAUCACUUAUAUUGAUUGCAUGUGAUGUUUAUCUUUUAUGCAUCUUAUCUUGCUUUGAUUAACAAUAGCAUUAUAAGAUGAUCUCUCACUAAAUUUCAAGAUAAAAGUGUUCUCCCUGAGUAUGCACCAUUGCCAAAGUUCGUCAUGCCCAGACACCACGUGAUGAUCGGGUGUGAUAAGCUCUACGUCCAUCUACAACGGGUGCAAGCCAGUUUUGCAAACGCAUAAUACUUGGGUUAAACUUGACGAGCCUAGCAUAUGCAGAUAUCGCCUCGGAACACUGAGACCGAAAGGUUGAGCGUGAAUCAUAUAGUAGAUAUGAUCAACAUAGUGAUGUUCACCAUUGAAAACUACUCCAUUUCACAUGAUGAUCGGUUAUGGUUUAGUUGAUUUGGAUCACGUGAUCACUUAGAAGAUUAGAGGGAUGUCUAUCUAAGUGGGAGUUCUUAAGUAAUAUGAUUAAUUGAACUUAAAUUUAUCAUGAACUUAGUACCUGAUAGUAUCUUGCUUGUCUAUGUUGAUUGUAGAUAGAUAGCCCGUGCUGUUGUUCUGUUGAAUUUUAAUGCGUUCCUUGAGAAAGCAAAGUUGAAAGAUGAUGGUAGCAAUUACACGGACUGGGUCCGUAACUUGAGGAUUAUCCUCAUUGCUGCACAGAAGAAUUACGUCAUGGAAGCACCGCUAGGUGUACCACCUGCGCCGGCAACUGCAGACAUUGUGAACGCCUGGCAGUCACGUGUUGAUGACUACUUGAUAGUUCAGUGUGCCAUGCUUUACAUCUUAGAACCGGGACUUCAAUGACGUUUUGAACGUCAUGGAGCAUAUGAGAUGUUUCAAGAGUUGAAGUUAAUAUGUCAAAAGAAUGCCCGGAUUGAGAGAUAUGAAGUCUCCAAUAAGUUCUACAGCUGCAAGAUGGAGGAGAAUAGUUCUGUCAGUGAGCAUAUACUCAAGAUGUCUGGGUAUAAUAAUCACAUGAUUCAACUAGGAGUUAAUCUUCCGGAUGAUAGCGUCAUUGACAGAAUUCUCCAGUCACUUCCACCAAGCUACAAGAGCUUCGUGAUGAACUAUAACAUGCAAGGGAUGGAUAAGACGAUUCCCGAGCUCUUCGCAAUGCUAAAGGCUGCGGAGGUAGAAAUCAAAAAGAAGCAUCAAGUGUUGAUUGUCAAUAAGACCACUAGUUUCAAGAAAAAGGGCAAAGGGAAGAAGAAGGGGAACUUCAAGAAGAACAUCAAGCAAGUUGCUGCUCAGGAGAAGAAACCCAAGUCUGGACCUAAGCCUGAAACUGAGUGCUUCUACUGCAAGCAGACUGGUCACUGGAAGCGGAACUGCCCCAAGUAUUUGGCGGAUAAGAAGGAUGGCAAGGUGAACAAAGGUAUAUGUGAUAUACAUGUUAUUGAUGUGUACCUUACUAGAGCUUGCAGUAGCACCUGGGUAUUUGAUACUGGUUCUGUUGCUAAUAUUUGCAACUCGAAACAGGGACUACGGAUUAAGCGAACACUGGCCAAGGACGAGGUGACGAUGCGCGUGGGAAAUGGUUCCAAAGUCGAUGUGAUCGCGGUCGGCACGCUACCUCUACAUCUACCUUCGGGAUUAGUUUUAGACCUAAAUAAUUGUUAUUUGGUGCCAGCAUUGAGCAUGAACAUUAUAUCUGGAUCUUGUUUGAUGCGAGACAGUUAUUCAUUUCAAUCAGAGAAUAAUGGUUGUUCUAUUUAUAUGAGUAAUAUCUUUUAUAGUCAUGCACCCUUGAAGAGUGGUCUAUUUUUGAUGAAUCUCGAUAGUAGUGAUACACAUAUUCGUAAUGUUGAAACCAAAAGAUGCAGAGUUGAUAAUGAUAGUGCAACUUAUUUGUGGCACUGCCGUUUAGGUCAUAUCGGUGUAAAGCGCAUGAAGAAACCCCAUACCGAUGGACUUUUGGAACCACUUGAUUAUGAAUCACUUGGUACUUGCGAACCGUGCCUUAUGGGCAAGAUGACUAAAACGCCGUUCUCCGGUACUAUGGAGAGAGCAACAGAUUUGUUGGAAAUCAUACAUACAGAUGUAUGUGGUCCGAUGAAUGUUGAGGCUCAUGGCGGGUAUCGUUAUUUUCUCACCUUCACAGAUGAUUUAAGCAGAUAUGGGUAUAUCUACUUAAUGAAACAUAAGUCUGAAACGUUUGAAAAGUUCAAAGAAUUUCAGAGUGAAGUUGAAAAUCAUCGUAACAAGAAAAUAAAGUUUCUACGAUCUGAUCGUGGAGGAGAAUAUUUGAGUUACGAGUUUGGUCUACAUUUGAAACAAUGCGGAAUAGUUUCGCAACUCACGCCACCCGGAACACCACAGCGUAAUGGUGUGUCCGAACGUCGUAGUCGUACUUUACUAGAUAUGGUGCGAUCUAUGAUGUCUCUUACUGAUUUACUGCUAUCAUUUUGGGGUUAUGCUUUAGAGACGGUUGCAUUCAUGUUAAAUAGGGCACCAUCAAAAUCCGUUGAGACGACGCCUUAUGAACUGUGGUUUGGCAAGAAACCAAAGUUGUCGUUUCUUAAAGUUUGGGGCUGCGAUGCUUAUGUGAAAAAGCUUCAACCUGAUAAGCUCGAACCCAAAUCAGAAAAAUGUGUCUUCAUAGGAUACCCAAAGGAGACUGUUGGGUACACCUUCUAUCAUAGAUCCGAAGGCAAGACAUUCGUUGUUAAGAAUGGAUCCUUUCUAGAGAAGGAGUUUCUCUCGAAAGAAGUGAGUGGGAGGAAAGUAGAACUUGAUGAGGUAACUAUACCUGCUCCCUUAUUGGAAAGUAGCUCAUCAUAGAAAUCUAUUCAUGUGACACCUACACCAAUUAGUGGGGAAGUUAAUGAUGAUGAUCAUGGAACUUCAGAUCAAGUUGUUACUGAACCUCGUAGAUCAACCAGAGUAAGAUCCGCACCAGAGUGGUACGUUAAUCCUGUUCUGGAAGUCAUGUUACUCGACCAUGAUGAACCGACGAACUAUGAAGAAGCGAUAGUGAGCCCAGAUUCCGCAAAAUGGCUUGAGGCCAUGAAAUCUGAGAUGGGAUCCAUGUAUGAGAACAAAGUGUGGACUUUGGUUGACUUGCCCGAUGAUCGGCAAGCAAUUGAGAAUAAAUGGAUCUUCAAGAAGAAGACUGACGCUGACGGUAAUGUUACUGUCUACAAAGCUCGACUUGUUGCGAAAGGUUUUCGACAAGUUCAAGGGAUUGACUACGAUGAGACCCUCUCACCCAUAGCGAUGCUUAAGUCUGUCCAAAUCAUGUUAGCAAUUGCCGCAUUUUAUGAUUAUGAAAUUUGGCAGAUGGAUGUCAAAACUGCAUUCCUGAAUGGAUUUCUGGAAGAAGAGUUGUAUAUGAUGCAACCAGAAGGUUUUGUCGAUCCAAAAGAGGCUAACAAAGUGUGCAAGCUCCAGCAAUCCAUUUAUGGACUGGUGCAAGCCUCUCGGAGUUGGAAUAAACGCUUUGAUAGUGUGAUCAAAGCAUUUGGUUUUGUACAAACUUUUGGAGAAGCCUGUAUUUACAAGAAAGUGAGUGGGAGCUAUGUAGCAUUUCUGAUAUUAUAUGUGGAUGACAUAUUGCUGAUUGGAAAUGAUAUAGAAUUUAUGGAUAGCAUAAAGGGAUACUUGAAUAAGAGUUUUUCAAUGAAAGACCUCGGUGAAGCUGCUUAUAUAUUGGGCAUUAAGAUCUAUAGAGAUAGAUCAAGACGCUUAAUUGGACUUUCACAAAGCACAUACCUUGACAAAGUUCUGAAUAAGUUCAAAAUGGAUCAAGCAAAGAAAGGGUUCUUGCCUAUGUUACAAGGUGUGAAGUUGUGUAAGACUCAAUGCCCGACCACUGCAGAAGAUAGAGAGAAAAUGAAAGAUGUUCCCUAUGCUUCAGCCAUAGGCUCUAUCAUGUAUGCAAUGCUGUGUACCAGACCUGAUGUGUGCCUUGCUAUAAGUCUCAACUCAAAGAGACUCACGGAUUGAUGUUCCCACUCACUUUCCUUGCUAUAAGUUUCAAAUCAUAUAAUACCAGACCUGAUAUGCUCCCAGUCACUUUCUAUCAUGUAUGCAAUGCUGUGUACCAGACCUGAUGUGCGCGGGCAGGCAGGGCGGUUUUUACCGCGGUAAGAUUUUUUGCGCGCUGCGCUUCCCACGACUCCCGCGCGUGGCAUGGCGUGGGGAGGCGCGUGCGACAUGGGCAGCAUGCGUGGGGUUGGUCUCCGCACGCAUGCAUCACGUCGUAGUAAAGGGGCGGUUCGCGCCUUCCCCAUAAACGAGGGAAGCGUGGAGGCGCGGCCCAUUUACUGAAUGGGGACGAGGCGCGGUCCUCAAGGCAUCCACUCCCCACGAUCACGGGGUGGGGAGAGGUCGCCUCACCCGUCCCCUCGGUUCUGCACGUCUGCCAUGUGUCUCCCAUGCGCUUGGGGUGGCAAACUGUGGAGGCGGGAAACCGGGCCGUCGCUGGUUGGGGCGGCGGGUCGGUCUUGGCUCCCUGCGCCUUCCGUGUCUUGAUUGGCCGAGCGGGGCGGUCGAGCCCCAACCCCGUUCCUUUAUAAAGAGCGGGAGGGGGGAUGGCGUCCCGCAUUCUUCCAUCUUCUUCCUCCUUCAGCUUAUGCUCCUCUCUUCCAUUCGUCAUGGAGAGAGGAAAUCCCGGUCCUUCAACGGUGGCGGCGAGGGUCGCCGCUCGACAACGCGUCCCUCCUUCUCCUGCGCCUGUGGUGGUAGAGCCGGCCGCGAGGGGAAGGGGGAGGGGCUAGGCCGUGGGCGAGGCCGGGGCGCUCGGGGAAGAGGAGGACGGGGUGGCACGCCGGCCUCGCCCCCGCCAGCAGCUCCUCCUCUAAUGGAGGGCCAUGUUGGGGAUGACCCUUGUGAGUUCUUCGUCAGGUUGCGCCGGCCGCCGCGCCGUCGCCUUUGUCUCCUGACUCCAUUUGCGCAGGAGAUGGAGUUGGAUCCGCCGGAGUCAUUGCGGCUGCACAUGAGGGGCUGCGGGAUCAGUGGCACGCGGGUCCGUGUCGACUUCCCUGCUCCUCAUGUGAUGUAUCUUCGUUGGAUUCCCUGCUCCUCAUGUGAUGUAUCUUCGUUGGGGAUGGAAGACGUUUUCUCAUAUCCACAGCUUGACGGAGGGGCUCACUCUCCAUUUUAAGCUGAUGGAGGGUAGCCUUCUCUCCGUCAAGGUCUUCGGGCACUUUGGGACUCGUACAAGGUGCUGCGUGGAGAGCUCUUCUGAUAGUGAAGAUUCCUCCUCGAGCGAGAGUGACGAGGAGGACAGCGGCAGCGACGACGAGGGCGGUAGGCAGCAGGAUGACGGGUCCGACUAGGUGUCGGGCGCCACUCCGUGUGGCACCGGCAACCCCAUCAUCCGUGUCGCCGGCUCCUUGAACUUCUCGGGGUAGUCUCCUUGGGCGUCUGGCGUUGGGAGGCUGCAGAAGAGGAAGAGGGCGGGCGGCAAGGCCGUCAAGUCGGAGUACACGGGCACCGACGCCUUCGACGCAUACUGACGUCCUGCCGCCUCGUCUUUGAGCUCUGCUUCCAGCACCGCCAUCACCAUCCAGCCUUUGGACGGCCACCAAGAUGUUCUCUCGGUGUCUUCUGCCACUCGUAGCUCGCCUAGGCGCUCCUUUUGCCCUUUUUGCCUCCUUGACCUGCCUCCUGAGGAGAGGGACAAGAAAGGGAUUACGGGCACCUUAUCUCUUUUUAAUUUGUAAGCCUUUGGGCCUUUGUUGAAUUUAAAACCCGUAAUCCUCUCAUUCAUGUUUUUCAUUCCCUAUGGACUGUACCUGACUGGAAUGUUUUUAAUGAAAAAGGGAUGUUUGCCGGGUCAUUUGUUUGUGGGUGAAACCCACGACAAGGAAUAAAUCCUUGAUAUCUUUAAGAUAAACAUUUCCUUGCCCGGCAACAUGCCUCGCCAUCUCCCCACUUCGCUCGAUCUUCCUCACGCUUUCGGCGGAGGCCGGGAUGAAGUGGGUUUAGGCUCCUCGUCCUAUCCUUUUGCUGUCGCGACUACGACCAAACUCGGUCCUAGGAACGGGCCCUAGGGCCUAGAGUUAGGGGAGCACGGUAGUUUGAGGGUAAAAUGAGGUUUCACAUACCUCAGUCCGUAAGGAAAUGCAUGAUAAGGGAUAAAAAACUUAUCUGAAUCCGCAGCCCCGGGCAACCCUGGUUUGCCAUGGGUGAAUCUUUGCUCUUGCAGCCCCCGGCAAUACUGGCUUGCCGGGGCCUAGAUGCCGGUCUGUUCCUUUUUUUCUCCCCAAGUGGUUUGGCAAGGAUAUCUAUGUGUCCUGCGAACCAAAGAAGAUAAAAGAAAGACAAAGAGAUGCAAACUCGACCUCUAAGCUAGGGGUUAGCCGCCGCUAAGCACUAUCAACCCUAACCAAGGAUGAGACUCGACCUAGCAUGCAUGCUAUAACUUAGGGCGCCAGCGCUUCAUUUAUUUAUGCUCAGGGUCUGUGCCUGGCUUUGUACAAAGGGUUACAUGCGUCAUCGGCAAGGCUUGUACAAAAGGUGGCUUGCCGGGGGGCCCGGCAAGCCGCGCCUCACGGGUAAAACUUGCGAAGAUGAUCAAUGUUCUAGGAGUUACUCACCGGCACGGCAUCUUCGGUCUCCAGGCGGACUGCGCCGGGCCUGGUGACUCGUAUUACCCGAUAAGGGCCUUCCCACUUUGGCGUCAACUUGUUGGAAUUCUUGGCCGAUUGAACGCGCCGAAGAACAAGGUCGCCUUCCUCAAAGCUUCGGGCACGAACCUUGCGGCUAUGGUAGCGGCGCAAGGCUUGCUGGUAGCGCGCUGCUCUCACAGCCGCCCGAAGACGAUCUUCCUCAAGGAGCGUUGCGUCAUCUUGCCGCAAUUGCUCUUUCUCAAGCUCGUCAUAAGCGAGUACUCGAGGUGACCCGUAUAUGAGUUCUGUGGGGAGAACUGCUUCUGCCCCGUAUACCAGGGCAAAGGGUGUCUGGCCGGUGGCUCAAUUUGGUGUCGUUCUGAUUGACCAAAGAACUGCCAACAAUUCAUCAAUCCAGCACCUUCCACUCUUGCGCAGUCUGCCAAAGGUCUUUGUCCUCAGGCCUCGCAGUACUUCAGCAUUCGCCCUCUCAGCUUGACCAUUGCUUUGUGGGUGAGCAACGGAAGCGAAACAGACCUUGCUGUCGAGGUCUUGAAUAUAUUGCAUGAAGGUGUGACUUGUGAACUGAGUGCCGUUGUCGAUGAUGACCCUAUUGGGUACACUAAAACGGCACACCAGUCCUUUGAAGAACUUGACGGCUGACUGUGUUGUGACCUUCCUCACUACUUCCACUUCUAGCCACUUUGUGAACUUGUCGAUUGCAACGUACAAGAACUCAAAGCCCCCGAUAGCGCGGGGGAAAGGGCCCAGUAUGUCGAGCCCCCAGACCGAGAAAGGCCAGGAGAGAGGAAUGGUUUGAAGGGCUUGAGCUGGCUGAUGAAGCUUCUUCGAAUGGAACUGACACGCUUCACACCUGGUGACUAGUGUCAUCGCAUCCUGGAGGGCGGUGGGCCAGAAGAAGCCUUGCCGAAACGCUUUGCCGGCAAGGGCCGUCGACCCUAUGUGGGAUCCACAUAUGCCUCCAUGUAUCUCCGCCAACAGCCCCAGUCCUUCCUCUCGAGGGAUACACUUCAAUUUCACACCGUUCGGCCUCUUUCUGUACAGGACGUCAUUGACGAACUGGUACAUAGUAGAGUGACGGGCUACUUUUUCCGCUUCUUCCUGCUCCUCAGGAAGUUCCCCUGUUUGGAGGAAUCGGAUGAUAUAUUGUGCCCACGCUGGAGCCUGGGGCUCGACGGCGAGGACUAAAGGCAUUUCCUCCGCUAUAGGAGCGGCUGUCUCCACGGCAAGAGCUUGAUGCUCCAUCGGAGCUAGCCGUCCCGUGGCGGGCUCAGUGUCUCCGGAAACAUCCUUGUCGGCGGCUUCGGGGAGCUCGGCGGGAAAGUACUUGCCGGGCCCUGAUUUUCUCCUCUUGUUUUGUUCUGUUGAUGGAUCAACGGAUGGCUGAGUUAGCUGAAGCACAAAGGUACCUGGUUCCACAGGUAGCUUGAGGGUGGCGCGUUUUGACAGGUAAUUGGUGAUGUCGUUCUCUGCUCGGGGAACGUGCUCUGCCUGUAUACCGUCAAAAUGCUCUUCCAGCUUCCUCACUUCAUCUAGGUAGGCCUUCAUCAACGGGCUCUGGUAGUCCUUGUUGACUUGUUUGACGACAAGUUGCGAGUCGCCCCUGACAAUGAGUUUCUUGAUUCCGAGGUCUGCCGCGAUCCUAAGACCAGCAAGCAGCCCCUCGUACUCAGCAGUAUUGUUUGUCGACACCUCCCUGGGGAAGUGCAUCUGGACCACGUACUUGAGGUGCUCCCCGGUGGGCGCGACAAGCAGUACGCCAACCCCGGCGCCCUGUAAGGAGAAAGCCCCAUCAAAGUACAUGACCCAGUCGCAACUUGCCUCUUUGCUGGGGAGAACAGUCUCCUGGGUUUCUUCAUCAGGCGUCGCGGUCCGUUCUGCAACGAACUCCGCCAGGACUCGGGUUUGAAUCGUCGAGGUACUCUCAAACUUGAGGCCAAAGCUAGACAGCUCCAGUGCCCAUUCUACAAUUCUUCCUGUUGCGUCUAGAUUGUGCAAUAUCCGUUGCAGAGGGAGGCGAGUAACGACGGUGAUCUCGUGCGCCUGGAAGUAGUGAUGCAGCUUCCUCGAGGCCAUAAGAACGCUGAAGAGCAGUUUCUGCACACCGGAGUACCUUAAUCUAGCCCCCUGCAGGAGGGAGCUAACAAAGUAGACCGGGUGCUGCAUCAUUUUCUUCCUUGGCGGCACUCCAACCGGCUGUGUCAUCUCUGCACCAACGGCAUCAGGCUCUGUCGCUGCUAUCACCUCGUCAUCAAUUUCUCUCUGCGCCACUAGCGCGAUGCUGACCACCUGGUUCGUUGCCGCCAGGUAUAGUAGCAACGAUUAUUGUGGCCUAGGCGCAACUAGUACUGGCGUGGAGGAGAGAUACCUCUUCAAAUCUUACAAUGCUACUUCGGCUUCUGGCGUCCAUUACAUCGGGCCCGCCUUUUUCAAGACCUUGAAAAAGGGAAGGGCGCGCUCGGCAGACUUGGAAAUGAACCUGCUCAUGGCGGCAACGCAACCAGCAAGCUGACGUACAUCCUUGACCCGCUUGGGCGCUUCAAUCUGUUCUAUAGCUUUGAUCUUGUCCGGAUUGGCCUCUAUCCCACGCUGUGACACAAAGAACGCGAGAAGCUUGCCGGACGGGACACCGAAGACGCACUUCUCAGGGUUCAGCUUGAGAUUGAUCUUGCGUAGGUUUGCAAAUGUUUCUUGUAAAUCCGGUAUAAGGGUUGCCCUGUUCUUGGUUUUGACCACUAUAUCAUCCAUAUAAGCGUCCAUAUUUCUAUGGAGCUGGGGUUCAAAACCAAUCUGGACCGCCCUUGCAAAUGUUGAACCAGCACUCUUCAACCCGAAAGGCAUCCGUAUGAAACAAUAUGUACCACAUGGGGUGAUGAAUGCCGUUUUCUCUUCGUCUUCUCUUGUCAUGAAGAUCUGGUGGUAGUCGGAGUAGGCAUCGAGGAAUGAUAACAGAUCACACCCAGCCGUGGAGUCAACAAUCUGGUCGAUGCGCGGCAACGGGAAGGGGUCUUUGGGACAAGCCUUAUUGAUAUCUGUGUAAUCAAUACACAGCAUCCACUUCCCAUUUGCCUUACGCACUACCACUGGAUUGGCCAACCACAUUGGAUGGAGCACUCCUCUUACCAAACCCGCUGCUUCCAGUUUUCGGAUCUCCUCUGUGAUGAACUCUUGUCGUUCCAAAGCUUGCUUUCUUACCUUUUGCUUGACGGGCCGCGCAUGAGGACAGACAGCAAGGUGGUGCUCAAUCACCUCCCUGGGAACGUAGGGGAUGUCGGAUGCUUGCCAUGCAAACACAUCGACAUUCGCCCGUAGGAAGGUGACGAGCGUGUCUUCCUAUUUGUCGUCAAGGGCGGAGCUUAUGGUGAAAGCCCCUCCCGUGCCAUCCUCCUUGACAGAAACCUUCUUGGUUCCCGGCGGUGUGGCCCUGAACUUCUUGUUUCUGCCGGUGGAGCUUUCUGGCACGUCCUCGACGGGAGCACUACACUCCGAAGAGGUGCGCUUGCCGGAGUGGGUGCCUGAGGUCUCGCCGGUCUUCUUCUUUUUCCUUCCCGGGGCUCCAGCGGCAGGAGCAAGCGCCUUAGCAGUGGCAGCUGCUACAACUGCUUGUUGGUAGAGUUGGUUAGCACAAAUUAGCGCGUCCUUCUUGUCCGAUGGGACGGUGAUGAUCGUCAUAGGCCCCGGCAUCUUCAGGGUGUUGUAGGCGUAAUGUGACGCCGCCAUGAACUUGGCCAGCGCUGGGCGGCCAAGGAUCCCGUUGUAAGGCAAGGGGAUCUUGGCAACGCCGAACACAAUCUUUUUUGUCCGGUAGUUCAGAUCACUCCCAAAAGUCACGGGCAACGUGACCUUUCCCUUUGGUUGACUUCUUCCCGGGUUGACCCCCUGAAAUGUGCCCGUCUCUUCGAGAUCUCCAUUAGGAAUCUACAGUUUCUCGAUCACGGUAGGCGAGAUUAAGUUCAGACCGGCUCCGCCAUCGACUAGCAUCUUUGUCACCUUGAGGUUGCGUAUUGUUGGUGAAACCAACAAUGGCAAGCACCCGACUGCAGUGGUGCAAUCAGGGUGAUCCUCAGUGUCAAAAAUGAUAGGUGUGCUGGACCACUUCAGCGGCCUUUGGGCAUCAAACGAUGGCUCUGCCGCUGUAAUCUCACGCGCCCACUGUUUAAGCUGGCGAUGACAGGUAUGCAGCAAGGCGCCGCCAUCAACGCACAUGGCCUCUGUAGCUUUCUGAAAUUCUUGGUCACCAGACUCAUCAUCCUCUUCGUGAUCAUCGUCUUCUGGCUUUUUGUCACGGCCCCGGGCGGGCCUCUCCUGUUGUUUAUCCUUGCCGUGAUGGCCCGCCUGGCCGUCACGCUUCUUGCCGGACCCCUCAGCACCGUCCUGGCCCUUCUCCUUGUCCCGCCUCUCAUAUUCAGCCCUCUGCUUCUCGGCAAGGAGCUCAACCUGUCGGCAGUUCUGGAGAUCAUGGCCCUUGGUGGGAUGGAUCUUGCAGUAUUGCUUGUCGGAGUUUCCUGGCUUCUCGGCAGCCGCCAAGGCCCGGCAUGCGACACAUCUGGAAAUUUCCUUGCUAGGGUCAUCUGCCUUGGUUUUCUUGGCGGAGCCGGCGUCAUCAGAUCCCUCGACGGCAAGCACGGCUUUACCUUUGCGCUUCCUGUUGCGGCGCCGGCCUUUCUUUGCCGGGGUGGCAGUAUCCUCAUCUGAAGAGUCGGUUUCCACGCCGGCAUCUUCGCCGGGGUACUUCCUUCCCUCUUCCGCCCAGGCACAUCUGUCAGCAAGAACAUAGAGUUUUGCCACGUCUUUCACCUUGUUCAUUGCCAGCUCUUCGCGCAUCUUGCGGUUACGCACGUUCUGAUGAAACGCGCUGAUGAUGGUGGCAGGGUGAACAUCAGGGAUAUUGUACUGUACCCGGUUGAACCUCUGUAUAUAUUUGCACAGACUCUCGCCUCCCUUCUAGGGAAUGACGUGCAGGUCGCUUGCUUGGCCAUGGGCUUGGUGACCUCCAGUAAAGGCGCCAACAAACUCAUGGCACAAAUCCGACCAGGAGGAAAUAGAGUCUAUCGGCAAGUGCAUCAACCACGACAUGGCGUUGGGUUUAAGAGCCAAUGGAAAGUAAUUCGCAAGCACCUUAUCGUCGCGGGCUCCGGCAGCUUGCAUCGCGAUGGUGUAGAUGCUGAGGAACUCAGACGGGUGGGUCUUGUCGUUGUACUUCUCGCCAACGUCAGGUUUGAAGGUGCAGUGAGUGGGCCACUAGAACUGCCGCAGCUCACAGGUAAAAGCCGGACAGCCUACCUCGUAAGGUAGGCCUCCAGGGAUCUCCGAGGCCGGGUGGUUCGCAGCAGGCCCUGCUCGCCUGUCCGACUGGUGGCGCGCUCCGCGCCGGCGCUCGAUAGUGGUUCGAGCAUCUUCAUUGGCUCGUUCCCGAAGAACUUGGCGCUGGUCACAGCGGGUACGUGGGUCGGACAACGCUAUGGAGAUGUCGUCGCCCGUGACGUCGCGACAAGCCGGCGUCCGCGGUACCGGAUGGGGAGGAGGUGAAUGCACCGUGGUCGCGGUGCCGCCGGCUUUUCUGCCACUGGUGCGUGGGACUCCAUUGGAGCGUCGACCCGGGGGCUCCACCGGGCUUGGUUCGUCUUUGUUGGACACCGCAACAAGGCUUUGGAUAGUGGCUCUCCAUUCGUCGAGUUUCCCCGUGGUGGGGGGAAAGUCGAGGAGCAACUGCGCGCGCGCCAGGGCCUCUGCUGGCGUCGGCGGCAGUGGAACCUGCACGGAUCGCGACGCGCUUCGACUUCUGACCAUGUCAGAAGGAGCCCUAUCACGAACCCGCGGUCGCGUGCCGUUUUCACCAAGGCUUCGGUGAGCGGGAAGGUUUUCUACGUCCCGGGAGUGGCGCUCGGGGCUCUUCCCGCGGCAACGCCUAGGAUCUUCGGCGUGACGACGCAAUUCAUCGCGUGCUGCCUGGGAGGAGCGCGCUGUUGGCGCCGGCGUGGGAGUCUUGGAGGCCCUUGUGUCGCCUUCGGGUGGGGCGGCGGUGACCUUGGAAGGCCCCGCUCCACCCGCGGAGGGCCUGGCUCCGCCUUUGGAUUUGGCGAUGUGUGGCCCGUUACUAGGCGCACAAACAUCACCGCCUCCCAAACUCCGGCUGCUGGGACGGUGCUGGUGUUCGCGAGCAGCGCCCCGGGUCCUUUCUGCGACCGGUCCGCUGCUCGCCCGCGUCGGGACGGGCUGUCCGGCUUCCGACUGGCCAACCGCCACCGUCGUCUUCUUCUUGGGCGCCAUGAUGAUGAAGAAGCGUCGAACUAACUGCUAAAGCCGAUUCUCACAACCGCGCCCCCUACCUGGCGCGCCAAAGAUGUCGGUGGGAACGACACCUAUGGGAUCACAAGAAUCCCUACUACGGCAGGCGGGGCGCGGGGUCGUGAGAAGAGCAGAUCAAACAGAUAGUACAAAGUUUGUUUAUCCAGGUUCGGGCUGUGAUGAUGCGUAAAACCCUACUCCUGCUUUGGUGGAUGUAUAUUCCUGUUCUUGAGCUAGCUCUGGGGCGUUAGGAGCUCCAAAAAGCCGAAUCCUUCUCCUGGUCGCCUCGGGCCUCCUUUUAUAGAAAAAGGGGUCGCCACAGUGGCAUACAGGAGGUGGAAAGGGUACAGUGAUGCGAGGUUAUCCCUCGCAUUACAUGACAAGGCGCAUUUAAUGCGUCUGCUUAUGUGUCCUUGCUUUAUCGGGGACGGGGGAGAAAUCCGUCUCGUCCGUCGCCGCUCCUUCUUGUGUUGACACGCGCCCUGGCCAGCGAUGCCUGCGAUGCCAUGUAGGUAGGCAGGCAGCUGAGGUGGCGCAGUGGUGGGUCUUCACGAAGAUCUGCAUGCCGCCACGCAGGUGCCUGCCUAGCUGGUUGGGUCGGCAGCUGCAUGCGUACGGCGGUGGAGGUUUAGUCGACGUGGGCCUGAUGGCGGCCCUGCGGAUGUCCUUGGCAAGGGCCUUGCCGGGGCCCCGGCAAGGGUCUUGCCAAGGCGUCUGUUGUCAUCCCCGGCAAGGCGCUUGCCGGGGAUCUCGUGGUCUUCCCUGGCUGGUAUCUCGCCAAAGGUCGUCGUCUUCUUAGUGCGUAUCUGAUCUUGAAUGUCUUCACAAAGAUCUGCAUGCCACCACAGGGAUGUGUCCCGAAUCCUUGCCCCUUGGGGGCAGUGGACUCAAGGGUAAUUUGCUCCGUAGGCGUGGGGCGAGUCGCCACGGCAAGGGUCUUGCCGGGGUAGCUAAAACUGUCUCCCGGCAAGGAUCUUGCCGGGGGAGUCCGCUUCGUCCUUUUUGCUCUUCGUGGUCUUGGUCUUGGCGUCGUUCUAGUUCCCUUGAGCUUCGGUCUUACCCUGGCUCACCCCCCUUGCCUUGCUUGGUGUGGUGGUGCCCGUGGCUCAGACUGCCCGUGCACAGUUAUAGGGGUACAAAAAGUGUACCCCUCUUUUUGUACACCGACACCCUGAGUCUUCACAAUGCUGAUAAUCAAAGCUUCUCACAAAAUAUUGAAGGAGUUCAAGCUGUCACUCGUGUUUAUCCUCUGGCUGGUAUUACGCGUGCUCCUCAUCGUGCCCUCACUGAAGCCACUGAAAGCACCAUUGCACAACGGCCCAAGAAGCGAUCUCGUGUUCUCAAUGACCGAGAGCUUCUAGUUGCCCUUCAUCAGAAACAUGAUAAGCAUCAUGAUUGGCUGAAGUGUCAAAUAAAAAGCCUCUUGGUGGACGUCAACAGGAUUCGCAACCUUGCCACCAAAAAUGCCUUUGUCGCCCAUGAAACUUGUCGGCGUACAUGGAAAGGGCUGACGCUUAUGUGUUCUGAAGAUGAUCUUCAAGAUGAUGGCUUCUCUGAACGUUUCAAGUUUGACACAACACCUCUGAGAAGGAUUGUGCUGCGCGCACUCCAUCUCUUGAAGACUCUGAGUUCUCCUCUUCUGCUGCAACAGUGGAUGCCCAUGUCAUUAAUGAUGAAUAUGAUGCUACUUCACCACCUUCUGCACGAAUCAACACUGCACCAAGUUCGUCUGCACCGCCAAACAACACCGACGACCCUGCUGCUUCACCUACUCCUCAUGGGAACGAGUAGAGGCUCUAUGUCUUCAAACCUUUUUGGUCCUUACUGACAAAAGGGGGAGAAGCAUAUGAGUUUGAUAGUCUUCAAGCGGGUUCAUAUGUGCGGUUGCAUUAUAUUUUGCCUAGUGUUUACAACUCUUGCUUUUUGAUAUAUUUGGUUCUUUGAGUUGUAACACUUAAACUCGAUGGUCGUCUGCUACUUAUUUGCUAUUCGGUGAUGCGAUGAUAAAUUCCGCAUGUGCGAUGAUAACUUCCGCACUUAAGUCAUUCUGCAGACAUCCAUUUUUCAUUAUGCAUGUCAUUAUCUUCGUUAUAUCAAAUCAUGCAUGAUGAAUUAUCUUCAUAAGUUGAAGAGGAUCUCCACAAGUACAACCUGCCAUGUGCAUUUGCAUUCCAAAAGCAAAUUACUUAUAUGCACAUCUUCAGGGGGAGCCCUUACCACUUAUGAAGACAAUUCCUAAAUCCUUUACAUUUCACAUACUUUAUCCCUGUUAAAAACUUCAACCAGUUUGUCAUCAAUCACCAAAAAGGGGGAGAUUGUAAGUGCAUCUAGUGCCACCCCUAGUUGGUUUUGGAGUAUUGACGACAAAUCUGGUUGAGGGACUAAUGUGUUUGUGAGAAUUGCAGGAUAACACAGGUAGUAGUCCCUCAUUGAUUCGGUUUACCUACCGGAGAUGACCCCUAAAAAUGUAUGAAGACAUUGACGACAAUGGUGGUAUGUGAAGAUAUUCAUAUUGAAGACUAUGACAUGAGAAGACAUUGAGUGAAGAUUAUGGAGCGCGAAGACUUAGUCGUUUCGUUGUUUCCUUUUCUUCUUUGUUGAGUCAUAGGAACCACCGUACUGUUAAGUGGGUUCCAAGUGAACAAAGUCAGAGUGACUGAAGUGAUGCUCAACCCAAAUCCUAUAUCUUCGAGCGAAGACAAUGAGAGCAAAUCUUAUCCAGAGCUGGAUGAGUCAGCUUUGCUUGUAGCCCAAGUAAAGUUGCCGUGUGUGUUUGAAAUCUGACCGUUGGAACACGUGUCAGUUCCUUAGUGACCUAGGGUCAUUUCGGACAUAUCAGGUCGGGUUGCCUAGUGGCUAUAAAUAGCCCACCCCCUACACCAUAAAUUGGUGGCUGCUCAGAGUUGGUGCAUGGCUUUUGUCGUAUUGAGAGCAACCCACCUCGAAGCCUUUGAGAGAGAGAAAUCCUUGCGAGGACAAAGCCCAAACACCCAGAGCCAAAGAGUGUUAGGCAUCACUGAAGUCUUUCUGUCUGCGUGACCUGAAGACUUAUUACACUUGAGGAUUGUGAAUCCUCCAGCCGGUUAGGCGUCGCGUUCUGAGCAUCCAAGAGUCAUUGUGGAUCGCCGGUGAACGAAGUCUGUGAAAGUUUAGAAGUCUACCUUGAAGACUUACCAGAGUAAUUGGGUGAGGACUGGGUGUCCUUAGCUCAAGGGGAAUAAGGUGAAGACGUGGUCUUCUGAGUUGAAUCUCAGCCUCCCUAACCAGACGUACAGUUGUCACAGCAACUGGAACUGGUCCAACAAAUCAUGUGUCCUCAACAAGUGACUGGUUCUAUCCUCUCCCUAUCUUUAUUUAGAGUUUGUCUUCGUGAAGUCAUUGCUUGUUUGCUUUACCUAUUUGUCUUCACUGUCUGACUAUUUUCAUAGUUUGGCUUCAUGCCAUCUUCCAUCCUGAUCCUUACUACCUAGCUGUUGUUAGUCGUUGUACUUUCACAUUAUUGCAUACUUGACUAUGGCUUGCUUAGUGUAGUUUAUCUUCCGCUGCAUAUCAAUAGGGUCAUUUCUAUUGUUUGUCUUCGAAACUUCCAUGUUUUGAAGACUUUCAUAAAAAUCGCCUAUUCACCCCCCCCCCCUCUAGUCAAUAACUAGCACUUUCAGUCUUCAAUUAAGGACUGAGUUUGAGUCAUUUCCGUGUCCAACAGGUCAUCGCUUUUGUCUAACAACUUUUGAAUAUGCUCCAUAGCAGUUUGUUGUUUUGUAGCAAUUUUAGCAAGUGUGUUGUAGCUAGGUUUAGAUUCACAUUCAGAGUCAUCUUCACUGGAUGUUUGAAAGUAAGCAUCACAUGAGUUUACCUUGGCACCAUGUGCCAUGAAGCAGUAGGUAGGAGCAGAGUCAUCCUCAUCAUUAGCAUCAGCGUUGGGGACGAGACCAUUGUCUUCGGUGUUGAAGAUGGACUUGGCGAUAUACGCUGAAGCCAGAGCCAACCUUGCCACACCUGAAUCAGACUCCUCCUCAAACUCCACCUCCGCCUCCUCAGAAGCAGACUCCUCCUCUGAAUCCAUCUCCUUGCCAACAAACGCACGAGCCUUGCUUGAUGAGUUCUUCUUGAGAAAUGAAGACUUCGAUGAAGACUUUGAGGAUUUCUUCUUCUUGUUGUCAUCAUAAUCAUAAUCCUUGCUCUUCUUCUUCUUCUUGGUCUCAUUGUCCCAUUGUGGACACUCGGAGAUGUAGUGACCAGGUUUCUUGCAUUUGUGGCAUGUUCUCUUCUUGUGGUCACGAGUGGAAGCUUCAUCAUUUCUUCAGGUGGAUCUUGAAGACUUUCUGAAGCCUUUCUUCUUGGUAAACUUCUGGAACUUCUUCACGAGCAUAGCUAGCUCCUUUCCAAUGUCUUUGGGAUCCCCAGAACUAUAGUCAGAUUCUUCUUCAGAUGAGGAAACAACCUUUGCCUUCAAAGUGUGAGUUCAACCAUAGUUGGGACCAUAGAUGUCUCUCUUCUUAGAUAACUGGAACUCAUGUGUGUUGAGCCUCUCAAGUAUGUCAGACGGAUCGAGAGUCUUGAAGUCAGGAUGUUCUUGAAUCAUCAGGGUCAGGGUGUCGAAAGAGCUGUCAAGUGAUCUCAGAAGCUUCUUGACGAUUUCGUGCUUGGUGAUCUCAGUGGCACCAAGUGCGCGAAGCUCAUUUGUGAUAUCAGUGAGGCGAUCAAACGUGAGCUGUACAUUCUCAUUGUCGUUUCUCUUGAAGCAGUUGACUGGGAGCAUAUCAGGUCUUGCUAGAAAGUGACUGGGAGCUCUGUAGAUUUUCUGAUAUUAUAUGUGGAUGACAUAUUGUUGAUCGGAAAUGAUACUGAAUUUCUGAAUAGCAUAAAAGGAUACUUGAAUAAGAAUUUUUCAAUGAAAGACCUCGGAGAAGCUGCUUAUAUAUUGGGCAUCAAGAUCUAUAGAGAUAGAUCAAGACGCUUAAUUGGACUUUCACAAAGCACAUACAUUGAUAAAGUUUUGAAGAAGUUCAAAAUGGAUCAGUGAAAGAAAGGGUUCUUGCCUGUGUUACAAAGUGUGAAAUUGAGUCAGACUCAAUGCCCGACCACUACAUAAGAUAGAGAGAAAAUGAAAGUCAUUACCUAUGCCUCAGCCAUAGGUUCUAUCAUGUAUGCAAUGUUGUGUACCAGACCUGAUGUGUGCCUUGCUAUUAGUUUAGCAGGGAGGUACCAAAGUAAUCCAGGAGUGGAUCACUGGACAACGGUCAAGAACAUCCUGAAAUACCUGAAAAGCUAAGGAUAUGUUUCUCGUUUAUGGAGGUGACAAAGAGCUUGUCGUAAACGGUUACGUCGAUGCAAGCUUUGACACUGAUCCGGAUGACUCUAAGUCACAAACUGGAUACGUAUUUAUAUUGAAUGGUGGAGCUGUCAGUUGGUGCAGUUCCAAACAGAGCGUCGUGGCGGGAUCUACGUGUGAAGUGGAGUACAUAACUGCUUCAGAAGCAGAAAAUGAAGGAGUCUGGAUGAAGGAGUUCAUAUGCGAUCUAGGUGUCAUACCUAGUGCAUCGGUCCAAUGAAAAUCUUUUGUGACAAUACUGGAGCAAUAGCCUUGGCGAAGGAAUCCAAAAUUCACAAGAGAACCAAACACAUUAAGAGACGCUUCAAUUCCAUCCGCGAUCAAGUCAAGGAGGGAGACAUAUAAAUUUGCAAAAUACAUACGGAACUGAAUAUUGAAGACCCAUUGACUAAGCCUCUCACGAGCAAAACAUGAUCAGCACCAAGACUCCAUGGGCGUUAGAAUCAUUACUAUGUAAUCUAGAUUAUUGACUCUGCAAGUGGGAGACUAAAGGAAAUAUGCCCUAGAGGCAAUAAUAAAGUUGUUGUUUAUAUUUCUUUAUAUCAUGAUAAAUGUUUAUUAUUCAUGCUAGAAUUGUAUUAACUGGAAACUUAGUACAUGUGUGAAUACAUAGACAAACAGAGUGUCCCUAGUAUGCCUCUACUUGACUAGCUUGUUAAUCAAAGAUGGUUAAGUUUCCUGACCAUGGACAUGUGUUGUCAUUUGAUGAAUGGGAUCACAUCAUUAGAGAAUGAUAUGAUAGCUUAGCAUAAUGAUCGUUUAGUUUUAUUUCUAUUGCUUUCUUCAUGACUUAUACAUGUUCCUCUGACUAUGCGAUUAUGCAACUCCCGAAUACCGGAGGAACACCUUGUGUGCUAUCAAAUGUCACAACGUAACUGGGUGAUUAUAAAGAUGCUCUACAGGUGUCUCCGAUGGUGUUUGUUGAGUUGGCAUAGAUCGAGAUUAGGAUUUGUCACUUCGUGUAUCAGAGAGGUAUCUCUGGGACCUCUCGGUAAUGAACAUCACUGCGAGCCUUGCAAGCAAUGUGUCUAAUGAGUUAGUCACGGGAUGAUGCAUUACGAAACGAGUAAAGAGACUUGCUGGUAACAAGAUUGAACUAGGUAUGGUGAUACCGACGAUCGAAUCUCGGGCAAGUAACAUACCGACGACAAAGGAAAUAACAUAUGUUGUUAUGCGGUUUUGACCGAUAAAGAUCUUCGUAGAAUAUGUAGAAGCUAAUAUGAGCAUCCAGUUUCCGCUAUUGGUUAUUGACCGAAGAUGUGUCUCGGUCAUGCCUACAUAGUACUCGAACCCGUAGGGUCCGCACGCUUAGCGUUCGAUGACGAUUUGUAUUAUGAGUUAUGUGAUUUGAUGACCAAAGAUUGUUCGGAGUCCCGGAUGAGAUCACAGACAUGACGAGGAGUCUCAAAAUGGUUGAGACAUAAAGAUUGAUAUAUUGGACGAUGUUAUUCGGACACCGGAUGAGUUCCGAGAGGUACCGGAUACCUAUCGGAGUGCCGAAGGGUUAUCAGAACCCCCCAGGGGAACUAAUGGGCCUUGAUGGGCCUUAGUGGGAAGAGAGGAAGGGCCACAAGGGGCUGGCCGCGCCCCCCCCCCCCCUUGGGUCCGAAUUGGACUAGGGGAAGGGGGCGGCACCCCCCUUUCCUUCCCUUCCCCCUCUUCCUUCCUUCUUCCCCCUCUUCCUUAGGUGGAAUCCUACUAGGACUUGGAGUCCUAGUAGGACUCCCCUCUCCUAGCGCGCCCUAGGAGGGACGUCCGGCCUCCCCUCCCCUCCUUUAUAUACGGGGGCAGGGGGCACCCUAGAACACACAAGUUUCUCUUAACCGUGUGCGGUGCCCCCCUCCACAGUUACACACCUCAGUCAUAUCGUCGUAGUGCUUAGGAAAAGCCCUGCACCGGUAACUUCAUCAUCACCGUCACCACGCCAUUGUGCUAAUGGAACUCUCCCUCGGCCUCAACUGGAUCAAGAGUUCGAGGGAUGUCAUUGAGCUGAACGUGUGCUGAACGCGGAGGUGCCGUACGUUCGGUGCUUUGGAUCGGUUGGAUCGCGAAAACGUUCGACUACAUCAACCGCGUUACUAAACGCUUCCGCUUUUGGUCUACGAGGGUACGUGGACACAAUCUCCCCGCUCGUUGCUAUGCAUCUCCUAGAUAGUUCUUGCAUGAUUGUAGGUAAAUGUUUUGAAAUACUAUGUUUCCCAACAUAAACCGAAUCACACAGAACAAGGGAGAACCUUACUCUGAUACCAAUUGAAAGUGCUAGUUAUCGACUAGGGGGGGUGAAUAGGCGAUUUUUAUGUAAGUCUUCAAAACAUGGGGGCUUUGAAGACGAACAGUAGAAAUGAACCUAUUGGUAUGCAGCAGAAGGUAGACUACACUAGACAAGCCAUAGUCAAGUAAGCAAUGAAGUGAAAGCACGAAGACUAUCAGCAACUAGGUAGUAUAGAUCAGGAUGGAAGAUGGUAUGAAGCCAAACGGUAAAUAGUCUUCACACAGUGAAGACAAUCAUAUCAUGCAAGCAGACAAUGACUUCACGAAGACAGACUAAAAGUAAAGGGAAGUGAAGGAUAGAACCAGUAGCUUCUUGAAGGCAAGGAUUUGGUAGACCAGUUCCAGUUGCUGCGACAACUGUACAUCUGGUUAAGGAGGCUGAGAUUUAACUCAUAAGACCACGUCUUCACCUUAUUCCCCUUGAGCUAAGAACACUUAGUCCUCGCCCAAUCACUCUGGUAAGUCUUCAAGGUAGACUUCCAAACCUUCACAGACUUCGUUCACUGGUAAUCCACAAUGGCUCUUGGAUGCUCAGAACGUGACACCUAAUUGGCUGGAGGAUUCACAGUCCUCAAGUGUAACAAGUCUUCAGAUCACGCGGACAGAAAGACUUUAGUGAUGCCUAACACUCUUUAGCUCUGGGUGUUUUGGGCUUUGUCCUUGCAAGGAUCUCUCUCUCAAAUGCUUCGGAGGUGCGUUUCUCUCAAACGACAAAAGCCGUGCACAAACUCUGAGCAGCCCCCAAUUUAUGGUGUAGGUGAAGGAAAUAUGCCCUAGAGGCAAUAAUAAAGUUAUUAUUUAUUUCCUUAUAUCACGAUAAAUGUUUAUAAUUCAUGCUAGAAUUGUAUUAACCGGAAACAUAAUACAUGUGUGAGUACAUAGACAAACAGAGUGUCACUAGAAUGCCUCUACUUGACUAGCUCGUUGAUCAAAGAUGGUUAUGUUUCCUAGCCAUAGACAUGAGUUGUCAUUUGGUUAAUGGGAUCACAUCAUUAGGAGAAUGAUGUGAUUGACAUGACCCAUUCCGUUAACUUAGCACACGAUCUUUUAGUAUGUUGCUAUUGCUUUCUUCAUGACUUAUACAUGUUCCUAUGACUAUGAGAUUAUGCAACUCCCGUUUACCAGAGGAACACUUUGUGUGCUACCAAACGUCACAACGUAACUGGGUGAUUAUAAAGGUGCUCUACAGGUGUCUCCGAAGGUACUUGUUGGGUUGGCGUAUUUCGUGAUUAGGAUUUGUCACUCCGAUUGUCGGAGAGGUAUCUCUGGGCCCUCUCGGUAAUGCACAUCACUUAAGCCUUGCAAGCAUUGCAACUAAUGAGUUAGUUGCGGGAUGAUGUAUUACGGAAUGAGUAAAGAUACUUGCCGGUAAUGAGAUUGAACUAGGUAUUGAGAUACCGACGAUCGAAUCUCAGGCAAGUAACAUACCAAUGACAAAGGGAACAAUGUAUGUGGUUAUGCGGUCUGACCGAUAAAGAUCUUCGUAGAAUAUGUGGGAGCCAAUAUGAGCAUCCAGGUUCCGCUAUUGGUUAUUGACCGGAGACGUGUCUCGGUCAUGUCUACAUAGUUCUCGAACCCAUAGGGUCCGCACGCUUAACGUUUCGAUGAUAGUUAUAUUAUGAGUUUAUAUGUUUUGAUGUACCGAAGGUUGUUUGGAGUCCCGGAUGUGAUCACGGACAUGACGAGGAGUCUCGAAAUGGUCGAGACAUGAAGAUUGAUAUAUUGGAAGCCUAUGUUUGGAUAUCGGAAGUGUUCCGGGUGAAAUCGGGAUUUUACCGGAGUACCAGGAGGUUACCGGAACCCCCCGGGGGGUUAAUGGGCCAUAGUGGGCCUUAGUGGAGAAGAGGAGAGGCAGCCAGGGCAAGGGCCGCGCGCCCUUCCCCCCUAGUCCGAAUAGGACAAGGAGAGGGGGGCGGCACCCCCCUUCCUUCUUCUCCUCCACCUCUUCCCCCCCAAGUCCUAAUCCAACUAGGAAAGGGGGGAGUCCUACUCCCGGUGGGAGUAGGACUCCUCUUGGCGCGCCCCCCUUGGCCGGCCGCACCUCCCCCCCUUGCUCCUUUAUAUACGGGGGCAGGGGGCACCCUAGACACAACAAUUGAUCGUUUGAUAUUUUAGCCAUGUGCGGUGCCCCCCCUCCACCAUAGUCCACCUCGAUAAAACUGUAGCGGUGCUUAGGCGAAGCCCUGCGUCGGUAGAACGUCAUCAUCGUCACCACACCGUCGUGCUAAUGAAACUCUCCCUCAAAACUCGGCUGGAUCGGAGUUCGAGGGACGUCAUCAGGCUGAACAUGUGCUGAAGUCGGAGGUGCCAUGCGUUCGGUACUUGAUCGGUCAGAUCGUGAAGACAUACGACUACAUCAACCACGUUGUGCUAACGCUUCCGCUUUUGGUCUAUGAGGGUACGUGGACAACGCUCUCCCCUCUUGUUGCUAUGCAUCACCAUGAUCUUGCGUGUGCGUAGGAUUUUUUUUGAAAUUACUACGUUCCCCAACAGUGGCAUUCGAGCCAGGUUUUAUGUGUAGAUGUCAAAUGCAUGAGUAGAACACAAGUGAGUUGUGGGCGAUAUAAGUCAUACUGCUUACCAGCAUGUCAUACUUUGGUUCGGCGGUAUUUUUGGAUGAAGCGGCCCGGACCGACAUUACGCGUACGCUUACGCGAGACUGGUUCUACCGACGUGCUUUGCACAUAGGUGGCUGGCGGGUGUCAGUUUAUCCAACUUUAGUUGAACCGAGUGUGGCUACGCCCGGUCCCUACGAAGGUUAAAACAUCACCAACUUGACAAACUAUCGUUGUGGUUUUGAUGUGUAGGUAAGAACGGUUCUUGCUAAGCCCGUAGCAGCCACGUAAAACUUGCAACAACAAAGUAGAGGACGUCUAACUUUUUUUUGCGGGGCAUGUUGUGAUGUGAUAUGGUCAAGACAUGAUGCUAAAUUUUAUUGUAUGAAAUAAUCAUGUUUUGUAACCGAGUUAUCGGCAACUGGCAGGAGCCAUAUGGUUGUCGCUUUAUUGUAUGCAAUGCAAUCGCCCUGUAAUGCUUUACUUUAUCAUUAAGCGAUAGCGAUAGUCAUAGAAGCAUAAGAUUGGUGAGAAGACAACGAUGCUACGAUGGAUAUCAAGGUGUCGCGCCGGUGACGAUGGUGAUCAUGGAGGUGCUUCAGAGAUGGAGAUCACAAGCACAAGAUGAUGAUGGCCAUAUCAUAUCACUUAUAUUGAUUGCAUGUGAUGUUUAUCUUUUAUGCAUCUUAUCUUGCUUUGAUUAACAAUAGCAUUAUAAGAUGAUCUCUCACUAAAUUUCAAGAUAAAAGUGUUCUCCCUGAGUAUGCACCGUUGCCAAAGUUCGUCGUGCCCAGACACCACGUGAUGAUCGGGUGUGAUAAGCUCUACGUCCAUCUACAACGGGUGCAAGCCAGUUUUGCAAACGCAUAAUACUUGGGUUAAACUUGACGAGCCUAGCAUAUGCAGAUAUCGCCUCGGAACACUGAGACCGAAAGGUUGAGCGUGAAUCAUAUAGUAGAUAUGAUCAACAUAGUGAUGUUCACCAUUGAAAACUACUCCAUUUCACAUGAUGAUCGGUUAUGGUUUAGUUGAUUUGGAUCACGUGAUCACUUAGAAGAUUAGAGGGAUGUCUAUCUAAGUGGGAGUUCUUAAGUAAUAUGAUUAAUUGAACUUAAAUUUAUCAUGAACUUAGUACCUGAUAGUAUCUUGCUUGUCUAUGUUGAUUGUAGAUAGAUAGCUCGUGCUGUUGUUCUGUUGAAUUUUAAUGCGUUCCUUGAGAAAGCAAAGUUGAAAGAUGAUGGUAGCAAUUACACGGACUGGGUCCGUAACUUGAGGAUUAUCCUCAUUGCUGCACAGAAGAAUUACGUGAUGGAAGCACCGCUAGGUGUACCACCUGCGCCGGCAACUGCAGACAUUGUGAACGCCUGGCAGUCACGUGUUGAUGACUACUUGAUAGUUCAGUGUGCCAUGCUUUACAGCUUAGAACCGGGACUUCAAUGACGUUUUGAACGUCAUGGAGCAUAUGAGAUGUUACAAGAGUUGAAGUUAAUAUGUCAAAAGAAUGCCCGGAUUGAGAGAUAUGAAGUCUCCAAUAAGUUCUACAGCUGCAAGAUGGAGGAGAAUAGUUCUGUCAGUGAGCAUAUACUCAAGAUGUCUGGGUAUAAUAAUCACAUGAUUCAACUAGGAGUUAAUCUUCCGGAUGAUAGCGUCAUUGACAGAAUUCUCCAGUCACUUCCACCAAGCUACAAGAGCUUCGUGAUGAACUAUAACAUGCAAGGGAUGGAUAAGACGAUUCCCGAGCUCUUCGCAAUGCUAAAGGCUGCGGAGGUAGAAAUCAAAAAGAAGCAUCAAGUGUUGAUUGUCAAUAAGACCACUAGUUUCAAGAAAAAGGGCAAAGGGAAGAAGAAGGGGAACUUCAAGAAGAACAUCAAGCAAGUUGCUGCUCAGGAGAAGAAACCCAAGUCUGGACCUAAGCCUGAAACUGAGUGCUUCUACUGCAAGCAGACUGGUCACUGGAAGCGGAACUGCCCCAAGUAUUUGGCGGAUAAGAAGGAUGGCAAGGUGAACAAAGGUAUAUGUGAUAUACAUGUUAUUGAUGUGUACCUUACUAGAGCUUGCAGUAGCACCUGGGUAUUUGAUACUGGUUCUGUUGCUAAUAUUUGCAACUCGAAACAGGGACUACGGAUUAAGCGAACACUGGCCAAGGACGAGGUGACGAUGCGCGUGGGAAAUGGUUCCAAAGUCGAUGUGAUCGCGGUCGGCACGCUACCUCUACAUCUACCUUCGGGAUUAGUUUUAGACCUAAAUAAUUGUUAUUUGGUGCCAGCAUUGAGCAUGAACAUUAUAUCUGGAUCUUGUUUGAUGCGAGACAGUUAUUCAUUUCAAUCAGAGAAUAAUGGUUGUUCUAUUUAUAUGAGUAAUAUCUUUUAUAGUCAUGCACCCUUGAAGAGUGGUCUAUUUUUGAUGAAUCUCGAUAGUAGUGAUACACAUAUUCGUAAUGUUGAAACCAAAAGAUGCAGAGUUGAUAAUGAUAGUGCAACUUAUUUGUGGCACUGCCGUUUAGGUCAUAUCGGUGUAAAGCGCAUGAAGAAACCCCAUACCGAUGGACUUUUGGAACCACUUGAUUAUGAAUCACUUGGUACUUGCGAACCGUGCCUUAUGGGCAAGAUGACUAAAACGCCGUUCUCCGGUACUAUGGAGAGAGCAACAGAUUUGUUGGAAAUCAUACAUACAGAUGUAUGUGGUCCGAUGAAUGUUGAGGCUCAUGGCGGGUAUCGUUAUUUUCUCACCUUCACAGAUGAUUUAAGCAGAUAUGGGUAUAUCUACUUAAUGAAACAUAAGUCUGAAACGUUUGAAAAGUUCAAAGAAUUUCAGAGUGAAGUUGAAAAUCAUCGUAACAAGAAAAUAAAGUUUCUACGAUCUGAUCGUGGAGGAGAAUAUUUGAGUUACGAGUUUGGUCUACAUUUGAAACAAUGCGGAAUAGUUUCGCAACUCACGCCACCCGGAACACCACAGCGUAAUGGUGUGUCCGAACGUCGUAGUCGUACUUUACUAGAUAUGGUGCGAUCUAUGAUGUCUCUUACUGAUUUACUGCUAUCGUUUUGGGGUUAUGCUUUAGAGACGGUUGCAUUCAUGUUAAAUAGGGCACCAUCAAAAUCCGUUGAGACGACGCCUUAUGAACUGUGGUUUGGCAAGAAACCAAAGUUGUCGUUUCUUAAAGUUUGGGGCUGCGAUGCUUAUGUGAAAAAGCUUCAACCUGAUAAGCUCGAACCCAAAUCAGAAAAAUGUGUCUUCAUAGGAUACCCAAAGGAGACUGUUGGGUACACCUUCUACCAUAGAUCCGAAGGCAAGACAUUUGUUGUUAAGAAUGGAUCCUUUCUAGAGAAGGAGUUUCUCUCGAAAGAAGUGAGUGGGAGGAAAGUAGAACUUGAUGAGGUAACUGUACCUGCUCCCUUAUUGGAAAGUAGCUCAUCAUAGAAAUCUAUUCAUGUGACACCUACACCAAUUAGUGGGGAAGUUAAUGAUGAUGAUCAUGGAACUUCAGAUCAAGUUGUUACUGAACCUCGUAGAUCAACCAGAGUAAGAUCCGCACCAGAGUGGUACGGUAAUCCUGUUCUGGAAGUCAUGUUACUCGACCAUGAUGAACCUACGAACUAUGAAGAAGCGAUAGUGAGCCCAGAUUCUGCAAAAUGGCUUGAGGCCAUGAAAUCUGAGAUGGGAUCCAUGUAUGAGAACAAAGUGUGGACUUUGGUUGACUUGCCCGAUGAUCGGCAAGCAAUUGAGAAUAAAUGGAUCUUCAAGAAGAAGACUGACGCUGACGGUAAUGUUACUGUCUACAAAGCUCGACUUGUUGCGAAAGGUUUUCGACAAGUUCAAGGGAUUGACUACAUGAGACCUUCUCACCCAUAGCGAUGCUUAAGUCUGUCCAAAUCAUGUUAGCAAUUGCCGCAUUUUAUGAUUAUGAAAUUUGGCAGAUGGAUGUCAAAACUGCAUUCCUGAAUGGAUUUCUGGAAGAAGAGUUGUAUAUGAUGCAACCAAAAGGUUUUGUCGAUCCAAAAGAGGCUAACAAAGUGUGCAAGCUCCAGCAAUCCAUUUAUGGACUGGUGCAAGCCUCUCGGAGUUGGAAUAAACGCUUUGAUAGUGUGAUCAAAGCAUUUGGUUUUGUACAAACUUUUGGAGAAGCCUGUAUUUACAAGAAAGUGAGUGGGAGCUAUGUAGCAUUUCUGAUAUUAUAUGUGGAUGACAUAUUGCUGAUUGGAAAUGAUAUAGAAUUUAUGGAUAGCAUAAAGGGAUACUUGAAUAAGAGUUUUUCAAUGAAAGACCUCGGUGAAGCUGCUUAUAUAUUGGGCAUUAAGAUCUAUAGAGAUAGAUCAAGACGCUUAAUUGGACUUUCACAAAGCACAUACCUUGACAAAGUUCUGAAUAAGUUCAAAAUGGAUCAAGCAAAGAAAGGGUUCUUGCCUAUGUUACAAGGUGUGAAGUUGAGUAAGACUCAAUGCCCGACCACUGCAGAAGAUAGAGAGAAAAUGAAAGAUGUUCCCUAUGCUUCAGCCAUAGGCUCUAUCAUGUAUGCAAUGCUGUGUACCAGACCUGAUGUGUGCCUUGCUAUAAGUCUGGCAGGGAGGUACCAAAGUAAUCUAGGAGUGGAUCACUGGACAGCGGUCAAGAACAUCCUGAAAUACCUGAAAAGGACUAAGGAUAUGUUUCUCGUUUAUGGAGGUGACAAAGAGCUCAUCGUAAGUGGUUACAUUGAUGCAAAUUUUGACACUGAUCCGGACGAUUCUAAAUCACAAACCAGAUAUGUGUUUACAUUGAACGGUGGAGCUGUCAGUUGGUGCAGUUCUAAACAAAGCAUCAUGGCGGGAUCUAUGUGUGAAGCGGAGUACAUAGCUGCUUCGGAAGCAGCAAAUGAAGGAGUCUGGAUGAAGGAGUUCAUAUCCGAUCUAGGUGUCAUACCUAGUGCAUCGGGUCCAAUGAAAAUCUUUUGUGACAAUACUGGUGCAAUUGCCUUGGCGAAGGAAUCCAGAUUUCACAAGAGAGCCAAGCACAUCAAGAGACGCUUCAAUUCCAUCCGGGAUCUAGUCCAGGUGGGAGACAUAGAAAUUUGUAAGAUACAUACGGAUCUGAAUGUUGCAGACCCAUUGACUAAGCCUCUUCCACAAGCAAAACAUGAUCAGCACCAAGACUCCAUGGGUGUUAGGAUCAUUACUAUGUAAUCUAGAUUAUUGACUCUAGUGCAAGUGGGAGACUGAAGGAAAUAUGCCCUAGAGGCAAUAAUAAAUUUAUUAUUUAUUUCCUUGUAUCAUGAUAAAUGUUUAUUAUUCAUGCUAGAAUUGUAUUAACCGGAAACAUAAUACAUGUGUGAAUACAUAGACAAACAGAGUGUCACUAGUAUGCCUCUACUUGACUAGCUCGUUGAUUAAAGAUGGUUAUGUUUCCUAGCCAUAGACAUGAGUUGUCAUUUGGUUAACGGGAUCACAUCAUUAGGAGAAUGAUGUGAUUGACAUGACCCAUUCCGUUAGCUUAGCACCCGAUCGUUUAGUAUGUUGCUAUUGCUUUCUUCAUGACUUAUACAUGUUCCUAUGACUAUGAGAUUAUGCAACUCCCAUUUACCGGAGGAACACUUUGUGUGCUACCAAACAUCACAACGUAACUGGGUGAUUAUAAAGGUGCUCUACAGGUGUCUCCGAAGGUACUUGUUGGGUUGGCGUAUUUCGAGAUUAGGAUUUGUCACUCCGAUUGUCGGAGAGGUAUCUCUGGGCCCUCUCGGUAAUGCACAUCACUUAAGCCUUGCAAGCAUUGCAACUAAUGAGUUAGUUGCGGGAUGAUGUAUUACGGAACGAGUAAAGAGACUUGCCGGUAACGAGAUUGAACUAGGUAUUGAGAUACCGACGAUCGAAUCUCGAGCAAGUAACAUACCGACGACAAAGGGAACAACGUAUGUUGUUAUGCGGUCUGACCGAUAAAGAUCUUCGUAGAAUAUGUGGGAGCCAAUAUGAGUAUCCAGGUUCCGCUAUUGGUUAUUGACCGGAGACGUGUCUCGGUCAUGUCUACAUAGUUCUCGAACCCGUAGGGUCCGCACGCUUAACAUUUCGAUGAUAGUUAUAUUAUGAGUUUAUAUGUUUUGAUUUACCGAAGGUUGUUCGGAGUCCCGGAUGUGAUCACAGACAUGACGAGGAGUCUCGAAAUGGUCAAGACAUGAAGAUUGAUAUAUUGGAAGCCUAUGUUUGGAUAUCGGAAGUGUUCCGGGUGAAAUCGGGAUUUACCGGAGAACCGGGAGGUCACCAGAACCCCCCGGGGGGUUAAUGGGCCAUAGUGGGCCUUAGUGGAGAAGAGGAGAGGCGGCCAGGGCAAGGGCCGCGCGCCCGUCCCCCCUUGUCCGAAUAGGACAAGGAGAGGGGGGCGGCGCCCNNNNNNNNNNNNNNNNNNNNNNNNNNNNNNNNNNNNNNNNNNNNNNNNNNNNNNNNNNNNNNNNNNNNNNNNNNNNNNNNNNNNNNNNNNNNNNNNNNNNNNNNNNNNNNNNNNNNNNNNNNNNNNNNNNNNNNNNNNNNNNNNNNNNNNNNNNNNNNNNNNNNNNNNNNNNNNNNNNNNNNNNNNNNNNNNNNNNNNNNNNNNNNNNNNNNNNNNNNNNNNNNUUCUCCUCCACCUCUCCCCCCAAGUCCUAAUCCAACUAGGAAAUGGGGGAAUCCUACUCCCGGCGCACCCCCCUUGGCCGGCCACACCUGCCCCCUUGCUCCUUUAUAUACGGGGGCAGGGGGGCACCCUAGACACAACAAUUGAUCGUUUGAUCUUUUAGCCGUGUGCGGUGCCCCCCUCCACCAUAGUCACCUCGAUAAUACUGUAGCGGUGCUUAGGCGAAGCCCUGCGUCGGCAGAACAUCAUCAUCACCACGUCGUCGUGCUGACGAAACUCUCCCUCAACACUCGGCUGGAUCGGAGUUCGAGGGACGUCAUUGGGCUGAACGUGUGCUGAACUCGGAGGUGCCGUGCAUUCGGUACUUGAUCGGUCGGAUUGUGAAGACGUACGACUACAUCAACCGCAUUGUGCUAACGCUUCCGCUUUCGAUCUACGAGGGUACGUGGACAACACUCUCCCCUCUCGUUGCUAUGCAUCACCAUGAUCUUGCGUGUGCGUAGGAAUUUUUUUUGAAAUUACUACGUUCCCCAACAGUAGGGGGUGGGCUAUUUAUAGCCAGGAGGCAACCCGACCUGAUUUCUCCGAACUGACCCUGGGUCGCUAAGGAACCGACACGUGUCCAACGGUCGGAUUUCAGACACACGCGGCAGCUUGACUUCGGCUACAAGUAAAGCUGACUCAUCCAGCUCUGGAUAAGAUUUGCUCUCAUUGUCUUCGCUCAAAGACAUAGGAUUUGGUUGAGCAUCACAUCAGUCACUCUGACUUUGUUCACUUGGAACCCACUUAGCAGUACGGUGGUUCCUGUGACUCAACAAAGAAGAAAAGGAAACUACGGAACAACUAUGUCGUCGCAUUCCAUAGUCUUCACGUGAAUGUCAUCUCAUGUCAUAAUCUUCACUGUGAAUAUCUUCACAAACCACCAUUGUCUUCAAUGUCUUCAUACAUUUUUAGGGGUCAUCUUUGGUAGGUAAACCGAAUCAAUAAGGGACUACUACUUGUGUUAUCCUGCAGUUCUCACAAACACAUUAGUCCCUCAACCAAGUUUGUCGUCAAUACUCCAAAACCAACUAGGGGUUGCACUUGAUGCACUUACAGAUUUUUAGGAAGUCGUGCAACAAACUAAUCUAGACAUCCGAUUGCUACAACAACCUCCAAAUAGCCCUGAGUUUAAUUGUUUGGACCUCUGCUUUCAUAACUCCCUCCAGUAUCUAACCGACUGCAAGUCACCUACAAACAUCCAGGAACUGGUACAGGGUGUGGAAGAGGAAUUCGAGAACUAUGAUCCCCACAAGUUGUACAGAAGCUUUAUCACAUUAGAAGCAGUUAUGUUUGAAGUUAUGAAAGACAAAGGAGGAAAUUGUCACACCCUGAUUUUCAUGCCACAACACUUAAGCUAAUAAAUCAUGAUAAAAUGUGGUUUGACAAAAACUUUUGAGUGUUUUGGAGCUUACCUUGAUUGGAUUUUGUAUGUUGUUUGCAAGUGCUCUAAAAAUCAAAUAAAUCCUCCAACUCCUAUACUUCAUCUCCUUUCUCCAAACUCUUGAAACAAUGAUCAUGCUAUGUGUAUAGAACAUAAAAAUAAUUUCUUACAAAAAUAAUUUGGCCAAAAAGUAUUUUCUAAAAUUAGUUUUCCAAAAAACCCUUGAAUUGAGAUUUGCACUGCAAGUACUUGAUUUGAGGUGUGAAAAAUAUUUCAAAAGGUAUAUUUGAAACCUAUUAGAUAUAGGAUUCCCAGAAACCACAAAAAUAUAAUUUUAAAAGUUAUUUUCCUAUUUUAUUUAAAAGCUUUUUCUUAAGGCCAGAAAUGGUCUUUAAUAGGGAAAAAUUAUUUUAUUGUUUCAAAAAUAUUUGACAAAAUCAGGGAAACUCAGGGGGCAUAUAUUUCCCAUAUAUAAGAGUUUCAACACAUGGUCAUGUUCAAAAUAUUGGUCAAAUCCCUCAAAAACCCUUUCUGGAUAUUUCAAGCUUUUGAAAUAUUUACAAAGGAAAUAUUCCCCAAAAAUUCCAAGAAAAUUCUAUCAUGUCUCAUAUGACAUGUUUGAUGAGCUUGCCAAGCCUCAUGUCAUGGAGAAUAGUAUAACCCCAUGGGAUCCCCUCAAAACCAUUUCUGCCCAUUUCAAGGAUUUGAAAUAUUUCUACAGGAAAUAUUUUCAUAAAAAUCCAAGAAAAAUCCAGCAAGUCAAAAAUGCAUAUUGUGAUCACCCUGCGAAGCCUCAUGUCAAUCAAGGUCAUUUUGGUUCACCAAAAUGCCCCAAAACCCUCUCUGACCAGAAUCAAGUUUGAACAAGUUUGUACUACCAACUUUCUCUCCUUGACCUCAACUUUUGUGAGCAUGUUCAUAUGCCCAAAUGAGGCCACUACACCAAGUAGUGCAUCAAGGAGAAGUGUUAUGCUCAACUAGAUCUACACAAGUCUAUUUCUGCUCAUUCCUAGGGUUUACAAAAGUUGCAUUGGCAACUUUGCCCAAAUAAGCUCCAAAUUGGUGGAAGGCCCUAAUUUUAUGUGUCAUUUCACCCUGUGGAGUCUCAUGGCAAUUGGAAAUCAUUUGCUUGCCAAAACCUUUAUCAAACACCUUCUGCCACUUAUCAAAAAUCACCAUUUUGACCACUAAAACUAUUCUCCUUGAGCUCCACUUUUUACCACAGCUCCUCCUAGACCUCUUCUACCUCCAGUAGCAAUGGCUGCAGCUCAGGUCAAUAAUUGAGGGGUGAAACCACCUCUUUUACCUCUCUGAACAGCCCUUGCACCCCUCUUCCUCACCUCCCUCCUCACUCCAGUGGCCACCCAAGGCAUCCAAGGCUUUCCCCACAUUCUUUACUCCUCCCUAGAGCUACCAGACACACUUUGCCGUGCCCACUUUGCCAAAAAAUGGCAUGCCGGCCAUUUGCACGCUCUGGAGCAUGCUACAGUGCGCUCCCGCACUGUAGCUGCCCCCUGCCAACCGCCUCCGGCCACCUCGGGCCUCCCCAGCGUGUCUCACGAGGCCGCCUCGACGUCUGGGACAUGGCAAGCUGCCGGGCCCCUCCUAAACCUCUCCCCUCUCUCCUCCAUGGAGCUCGCCCGAGUGCGACGUAGGCCGCGUCCACGGUGCACCAUGGCCCCUCUAUUUAGAGGCCCUCCCGAGCUCUCCUACGGCUUCUUCCCGCUCUCCCUCUUCCCCAGCAAUCUCCCAGACAAGACACCUCUACCCCUCGCGCCCUCCUGCCCCCUCCAUGGCUGCCAUGGUCGCCGUCGGCCUCCACCCGGCUCUGGCGAACCACUUCGGUGAUGAACAUGCGAGCUAGGACGCUUCCCAGUCAGAAUGCCUAUAGGGUUAAGGCAGAUGGCAUGGGUCCAAGUUGUCAAUGAAGAUUUCCGCUGCGAUGCUAUACUCAAGACUUGACCAUAAUGGCCCUACUUGUGUAAUACGGUAUGUAUGGAUGUAAGACUCUUGUUAUUCAGAUUCUGUGUGUUCAGUGAGCAUUGAUCUCUGGGAUCACUGUACACAUGCAUUCGGUGAUCACGACUAAUGAGUCGGGGUCCCCACAGAAAUCAAUAUAAGUUACCACACUUGCACAAGGAUCGUAUUCAGAAUGCUAGCAGGAAAAUAAUCAGUGUAUAUUGCGACAGUCAGGUAGUUGUUGAUACCAGGGCCAUUAUAUAAGAAAUUGAAAUUGCAAUAGGAAAAGAAAAGGGAAGUAAAGAAGUAGUUGUAGAAGGGAAAAGAAGGAAAAGUAAAGGGAAUGGAAGAAGUAGCAAUUGAAGGGAAAAGCAAGAAACAUGAAGAGAAGGGAAGUGAAGUGUAUGUCUUGUGAAUGUCAUGUGUAUUGGAUUAUUGUAAUUAUUUGAAUCUAUUGGAUUUAUUUCAAUUAUCUAGAUUUAUUUGAAUUAUUUCAACUUAUUUGAAUUUAUUUGUUGCUCGUCUACCCGUACUAGUAUUAGUCCUACCAGUCACCUGUUGUGCAGAGGGUGACUACACUUUUUGUUUAAUAUGGACAUGUGUAGGGUGCUUGCUUGCAUCAGGACAUCAGAAAAGAACAUACUCUCUUGUCUCUCUUGGGAGAGAUUAACUUUAAUUAAGCCAUUUCUCUUGCGAAGCAAGUGCCCUGUUUUACUGACUGUCAAAAAGCCAUAGUACCCCAAAAUAACUUCUGCUUAGUGCUAGAGCAGAUCUUCUCAGCUAAGAUCCUAAUUACUCCUACUAAUGAUGAUAUCUCCUUGGGGCCAAGUGGUUGGCAGUAUUACUCCUACUAGUAUUUUCAUGAUUCAGCGCCAUGCAAAUGUAUUCCAUCAAAAACAGAAUCAAAGACAUAAUGUGGGAGUAGUAGUGGAUAUUUAUUGCCCAUGCUGAUUAUUCACUUCACAAGGUUACCUAGUACUCCAUCAAAAACAGAAUCAAAGAUGGCAUGGCAUGCUUGACGUGAUGUAACUAAUCUUAGUGCCAUAAUCUUUCCCAUUUUAGAAAUGCACUAAUCUUUGCCAUGGAGUACUAUAGAUAUAGAUUGAGUAACUAACGGUGUUACUAAUCUUUGCCAUGGAGUAUUUCUAAAAUGCAUGAAGGUUAUGUAUAGUGAAGUGAAACUACAAUUUUGUCAUGGAUUGGUGAUGGUACUGAAAUUUGUUGGUAAAUCCUUCUGAUUUGGCAGGAUCCACUACUCACCAAGGCUUUUACUACCCUUCAGGAAGCCAGCUGCUUUCCAGAUCAUCAUUAAACAGGGGAGGAGGACACAGGAUAGUGGUUGCCCAGUGCUUUAUCAUCAACACAGCUGGUGCCAGAUCAUCUACUUUCCAUGGCAAUCCGUGAUGGGAAAACCAUUUUAGUAAGUUCAAGAGAAUAAAUAAGUUACAGAUUUCAUGCACAAAGUGCUAGACAGUAGACAUAUGGAGUGAGUUUUUUGCUCGUAAAUCUGCUCUUGCUUAAGCAAGUUUUUGACUGAAACACCUUCAGUAGUGUAACGCCCCGGACACACCCGUCGGUGGUCGUUACUCCUGGCGGGAUUUAGACUGGCCCCACAGAUCAAUACUAGUCUUUUCUACGCACUUUGUCAUCACUCGUGCGCACCCGGGAGCAACUUCCCGGUCGGUCACCCAUCCUGAAACUACUCCAAGCUGAGCACGCUUAACUUUGGAGUUCUGUCCGAAUGGGCUCCCAAAAAAAGGAGGAAUUCCUUAUUGAUAUGAGUAGUCUAUCAUCCCUAAUAAGCCAGGCUAUCACAUACACCCCCACUCAGAGGAACCAACGUCCUCGUCGAGCCACGGGAACGUUCCCUCUUGGCACAUACGUCUGUGCAUCCAGUCCGGUACAUGUACCAUGCCAUGUGCCACGACGGGUCAAAAACGUCAUGAACAACAUGACCGCGCACCUGUCCGCAAACAUCUGUGUAACCGCGAGGGUCGGCUCUGAUACCAACUUGUAACGCCCCGGACACACCCGCCGGUGUCCUUACUCCUAGCGGGAUUUAGACUGGCCCCAUAGAUUAAUACUAGUCUUUUCUACGGACUUUUGUCCUCAUUCGUGCGCACUCGGGAGCAACUUCCCGGUCAGUCACCCAUCCUGAAACUACUCCAAGCUGAGCACGCUUAACUUUGGAUUUAUGUCCGAAUGGGCUCCCGAAAAAGAAGGAAUUCCUUAUUGAUAUGAGUAGUCUAUCAUCCCUAAUAAGCCAGGCUAUCACAAGUAGACACCACAAAUCAUGGCCUCACCUUUGCUUGUUGGUGCAUUUCGAGCAUCCUGCGGCAGUCCAGCCUUGCGACAGGGGCAACCAAUGAUAGCCGAUACCCUCGAAACAGCCUCACUGACAGCUAUUUCCACUCUUUCCUUGCGGAAAACCUUGACGAUGUCUUCUUCCUCGUCUUGGUCGAUUGGCAUCAUCCUGCCAUUGAUUCGUCGCAGACCAACGCCUUUUCGGGACCACCUCAGCAUAAUAUUCUCAAGGAUGCCAACACUUUGAAGUAACUUCUUGUACUUGUUUCUUUCUUGGUGAGCUCUGAACCAUGCCUAUCAGAAUAAACAGGUGGACUUGCUUAUGGACUGAACAAAAUCCUCAAAACAUUAAGGAUGCACUAGUACACAUCACAUAAUUACUCCACGCGUAAUACAAUGUUCUGUUCUGACACAAAGAUUAGUUACUAAAUCUAGCAUUUUAGAAUUAGUGUCAUUUUAGCAUUUUAGAAUUAGUGUAUAUUUAAAAUGCUGUUGAGAUAGUACUAAUUUCAGAGUUCAUAGUUCAUGACUGAAUUUAGAGACAGUAAAAAUCUUACUAAAAACAAAAUUGUUCAGAGAUCGAAUGCUUGCAAAAUUGUUCAGUUAACUGUGCAAAAUUGUUCAGUUAAUUGUGCAAAAUACUCCAAAAUCUAAACUAGCAGAACUAGUGCAAAUAUUCAGUAAAUUUAGUAAAUAUGGAGUAGAGAAGGGAGGUUGACCCAGGCUGUAGGACUUAGGGUUGAUCUGCAGCAGUGCAGAAAACUUGUAGCCGCCGCUGCUGCUGCCAAGUGAGCAGGCACAACCCACUGGACAGCCCAGCCGUGGUGUUGCAGGCGCAGGUCUUCCACCAGAGAAACAACGAAGAAGACCCAGCCGCCAUCGUAUUCCUCGUGGAGUUGUCGUCGCCGUCUUCCACACUCGCAAAUCCACGACCUUUAGCUUGCCGUUGUCGUCGGGCUCGUCAGCAUUUAGCUUGCUGCAUCUCCUGUCGUCGUUGGGCUCGUCGGCCUCUAUGUUGUUGUUGGUGGUCCGGAUCCAGCGCCUCCGGGAUCUCCGAUGGCGGUUCCGACGCAGCCGGAGUAGAGCGCGGCGGUAGCUGGGGAAAUCCAAGAUUCUUUUGAGGAAGGAGGGUGCUUGGGCAGGCAGGCGAGCGGUAGCUGCGGCGGCGGAGCAGGAGGCAACCGCGGCAGGAGAGCGGGGGAGCAGGGGAGCUGCGGCGGCGGGGAGAAGGGCAGCUGCUGCUUCUAUCGGAGGAGGACGACGAGGAGCGUGGGUUUGGUCGGGAGAAACCAGAUGUGUUUUUUGCAAAAUUGCCCUCACGACAAGAAUUACAGGAUGGAGGGAGUGUACUAGAGUAACAAUUUUUGUACAUUUCAUUAACAUAUUUCAAAAUUAUGGGUUUUAAAAUCAUAAUUAAAUUAUGUUUUAAAUAUAUGUAUUAAUUUUAAGCAUUUUUGAAAUUUAAUCAGGUCUACAAAAGGAACAAAGUGCAUUCUUUCGUUUUUAAGGUUCUUUUGAAAGGCUUAAUUCUUCAUUCACAGCCUACUGCGGGCCUCUGGUCUCAAAUUUAGCCCAGGGGAUCGAAAUUUAUUCCAAGCGGUAUAGAAACUUAGAGCCCACUAGCCCAGCAAACCCUAUUAUCCCGUAUAUAACCCCUCCCCCCAGCCGGCCCCCAGUCACGCCAGCCCCUCACCCUCUCCUCUACACGCGGCAAACCCUAAUCCAGCCCCGUCGCCCAAAGCCCCAAACCCUAACCCAGCUGCGGCGGGCGACGGUCAAAUCUCCCAGCUUGCCGCGCAUCCGGUCGAUCUCCCACCUCUCGACACCUCGUGUGCGUCCACGGCGGCGCGAACAAGGCGUCGGCAGCGAAGCGAAGGCAAGGGCGCCCAUCGAGCGACGGUCGGAUCUCCCGGCUCACCGCGCAUCCCGUUGACCUCCCACCUCUCGGCACCUCGCGUCCACGGCGGCACGAACAAGGCGGCGGCAGCUAAGCGAAGUCAAGGGCGCCCAUCGGGCGACGCUCGGAUCUCCCAUCUUUCCGCGCAUCUGGUCGAUCUCAUACCUCUCGACACCUCGCGUCCACGGCGGCGCAAACAGACGCUGGCAGCGAAGCGAGUGCAAGGGGGGCGGCGGCGGAGCUCUCAGCCGUUCCCACAUAUCCGACCUGAACCACCCUCCUUGGCUCUCCAGCAUUUCAUCUCAUCCGACUCAGUCCACGACGUCGGGGUAUGCUAUUUUAUCCUCAUUCCUCAUUAUAUCAAUCGCUGUCCUCUGAUGUAUAAUUUGUAACGUGAUGGGCAAAUGCCUACAAGCAAUUCCUUAGAUUGAUUUAGUAUCUUUUAGUCCUUCUAAUUUGUUAUAUGAGCCUCUCUAUGUAUUUGUAUGUUGAGUUGUUGACAGAAUGGAUGAUUGUAUGUGUGCUUUACUUCUGUUAAGUGCAAACUAUGAUAUGAUUAAGUAAUCUGUUAUGAGGCCAUUCUAUGCAUAGUUCCAGAGCUAUGGCUUCACAAAUUAAAGUAAGUUAAUCGAAAGUAAAUGGUACUCCCUCCGUACAGAAAUACUUGUCAUAGAAAUGGAUACAAAUGUGUGUAUCCAGAACUAAAAUACAUCUAGAUACAUCCAUUCCUUGGACAAGUAUUUCCGGACGGAGGGAGUAUUUAUGAAAAAAUCAGGUGUGCAUUUGGUAGUCCUUUCGCUCAGAAAACGUUAUCUGUUGGGUGAGCACUUGUAUGCGCCUAUGUGCUUAAGUUGUUUUUUUCUAUGAUUAUGCAAGUUUCUGUACAUGUUGACAUGAUGAAAGUAACUUGGUUAAUUUCAUAUACUUAGUAACAGUAUUGUCCUGGUUCAUUUUAUUCUUGUCCACAAAUAGUACUAGAUGUAGGUGUUAUACUGCGGCAUUAUCAACAACCUUAUCCUGGUAAUUGCUGUUAAGCUGUGUUUUUCCCCAUGGACUAUCAAAUCUUGAAUUGCUGCUUUAAUAUGUGGUAUACUUUAGCUGUAGUUUACAGCUUUUUUAGUUUGUUCUAAUUCUGGCUUUUGAGUAUAUUUUGAUACUAAUUGGAAAAUUUGUGUUGAUUGUUUGAUUUCAAAUAUGUGCUGACUGUCAAUGUGUGCUGAUUGUUUUAUUUAAAAUAAGUGUUGUCUGCCUGCAUUCGGGUUACUUGUUUUUUUGCUUAUGUCUGAUAAUAUAAGAAUAACAUUCCGUUUUUUGCUUUUAAGGAAUGGAUCAAGCCCAAGCCUUGUUCUUCUUGCAAUGGAUCGGCGCCCACCGGACCCAAAUCGGCGCCCACCGGACCCAAUUGACUGAAUUUUUUGAUCUUUACUUUGGAGAUGCUGCUGUCAUAUGCAGCAACAAUGGUCGCAACUAUCUGAAGAGUGCCUACCAGUUUGUCAUUGAUACAUUCAAUCGAGGGUAUUGCUGGCAUGGAUCAUUUUCUGUACGCAAUUUCCUGGUCGCUGGUGAAUUAUUUAUGAUGGGCAUACCUGCACUCCACAAGACUCUUGGUUUUCAUGACCUCCUUAUUGAUCUUAGAGCCUUGAGCAAUGCUUUGCUGCCAUACUACUGUGAAGGAAACCAACCUAGAAACGUGCAUGCACUAUUCACAGACCAUCUUCAUUAUAUUACCACUAAUGUCCCAUUAGGAAUUGGACCAUCAAUUGUGUUCCACUCUAGGUUCAUUCGUCUGAUAUACCAUCACUUCUCGUUCUCAUUGCUGGAUCAUACGUAUUCGCUGUUUUCAGCACUUGCAACAGCAAAAAAUCAUCUUGGGCAGGAUGAUGUACGCGCAUUUAAUACUCUCCUUCGACAAGCUUGGAAUGAUUUACUGAUGGACCAGAUUGCAGUAGUUGGUCAAAAUUGGCCUGAUCAAGCCGAACAAAAUCCGAUCUUUUAUGAAAUUAUGUGGUGGCAGAGCAGGCAGGCAGGGGUACCUCCAAGGAGAGGAUAUACAGGUACACCUGAGUCAUUAUACAAUUUUGGAAGAAACAACAGAGUUCAUGCACCUGAAAAAACAAAGGUAUACAUAUUACUAUGUUUGUUGUAAAAAAAUGUCACAUUUGGGCUGGAGACAAAGCAACGUUGUAAAUUUUACCUCUUCUGUCAUUUUAGGGGCCAAGGGGAGCUCUGCUAGGGGAGAUUCAGCAAGUGCCACCCCAUGGUGCAGGGCGUUGGCGAUGGAUGAUCAUUACUCCUGAGGGGGAAUGGGGCUAGGUGUGGCAGCCUGCUCAAGGGCAGUGGUUCUGGCCGACGGUUCCAGGUGAUACCCAGUGGCGAAUGACCAAGUGGCCAAAUGCUGCACCAGUGCUGCCUCUACUACCAUUAUCUGCCCAGGUAGUGUGAUGAGAUCCCUUGGUUUCAUGGAUACAUAAAAUUUGAGGCAUAUACAUUAAACAGUGUCUUUACAUGCAAACUACACAGGACCAGAAAAUGGAUAAUCCAGAGAAUGUGGGCCAUAUGGUAGGGAAGAAGUUUGGGAUGUUCUUUGCUCAUGCCACGACCUUUGUCCUCCUAUUCUUACAGUGUGGAACUCCAGAGUAGUAAGUUUUUUCUUCAUAUUUGUUCAAAUUUGGCAAAGAAAGUGCAUAGAAAAUAAUCAAAAUUUCUUCUGAAUACAGUAUUGAUCAGCCUCAUCAGAGAUACGAAGAGGCAAUGGAUAGUUAACUGCAGAGUAAGUACCUUGUACACACUUGUAUUUUCCGACCAGUGAAGCUUGAUGUUAUGGUCUGAUGCCAUUUUUUACACUUGUACAUGUGAACAUAAAUCACAUAUGUAUUUUACAUCAUGGAUUUAUAUUCAUGUCAUUCAAUCUGCUAGAGCCAAUUUUUAGUUGCAAAACAGGCCUGAGAUAAUGUCCUAUUUUAUGUGAGUUUGAAUAGGGAACAUGAAGUUGACUAGCACACAAUUACUAGAGUUUAAAGUGUAUUGUCAGGUCUAUGCUUCUCUCGGUGUUAGUUUUUUUGUUAGCUAAAGCUUGCCAUUCUGAUGGAACUUUGUACGGCACAUAUAUUUUGAGUAAAUUACUUGAAUUACAGACUCAAUGUACAUACUAUACCUCACUUACCACUACGAGCUACUAUUUAGGGAGAAUUUGUGUUGCUGAAAUUCCACGUGUAAAGACAUGUUUCGUAGAUCUACAUGUCUAGAUUCUCUUUGUUUUUAAAAAGUGCAGUUUUAUGUUGCACUUCUUUAUUGAAUCCAGGCCUGCAUAGCAUACCCCGAAAGUCUUAAAUCUGCAGCUAUGUGGAAUUGGCUCUUAAUUUCGUAGCUCUGCAAUUUUUGUACUUAAACAAGUACUCCCUCCUUAAACUAAUAUAAGAGCAUUUAGAUUAGUACUUUAGUGAUCUAAACACACUUAUAUUAGUUUACAGAGGGAGGAGUUUGGUAAUGCUUUGUACUUUGGGGAUGGGGACACAUUUCACAUGAUACAUGUAGGGAUCCAAGUUACGGUCCCGCUAGAACCUGCUUUAUUUCCUUUCAUCACGCUAAUCCUUUGUUAAGAAAGUUUGAUCUUAACAUUUUCCUUUUAGGCUCUGUUUUAGGGUGUUCUCCUUUUUGGGAAUAUGCAAACUAGGCUGCCCAAGCAGUUUGGGUAUAGAUGGGACCUUGGAAAGGGUGAUUCAAUGUUUUGGGAGGAUAAAUGGAUAACUAACUAUCAUUUAUGCACCACUUAUUUGAAUCUUUAUAAUAUCUGUAAUGAGAAGAACCAUUCAACUUGUCUAUGAUGAACAAUUUCUCUUUGGAUAAUGGUUUCUGCUGUUGGUUCACAUUUCUCUUUGGAUAAUGAUCCCCCCAGGAGGAUGUUGCAUUCUGCUGGGGUGUAUAUUGUGCAAUUUAUUUAGAAGAAAUAGUUUGGCUUGUCGUUUAUAACCCAUCUGCUCUACAGGUCAUGCUGUUUUCUCCCAUUGCCGAGGCACAGCUGAGAGGAGUUUCGAUGUUCCAAUGCUGGCAAGAUUUAAGUUGAAGGCUGCGGCUACGAGCUUGUGGGCUGAUUCGCAAUGCGUUCCAGUUUGAUCAAAUUCUCCAAAAGUUGCACUGAUGAGCCAAUGCAUUGCUGAGUGAAUCUUUUUGUAAUUUUCUGUUGCUUAGGUCUACUUACUGAAUCAGUGAAUCUUAUUGAUUCAUGUUGCUCAUUACUUCCUUGUAAAAAAUUAACA
RNAcentral lists this long non-coding RNA (284615 nucleotides) under Triticum aestivum (bread wheat). Its description in RNAcentral is "long non-coding RNA (TAES_LNC014385)". The stretch from base 50513 to 50599 matches the Rfam family "Small nucleolar RNA Z161/Z228". Lineage: Eukaryota; Viridiplantae; Streptophyta; Magnoliopsida; Poales; Poaceae. The record is from RNAcentral.